RNAcentral lists this long non-coding RNA (187175 nucleotides) under Theobroma cacao (cacao). Its description in RNAcentral is "long non-coding RNA (TCAC_LNC004181)". Lineage: Eukaryota; Viridiplantae; Streptophyta; Magnoliopsida; Malvales; Malvaceae. The record is from RNAcentral.
GAGGGAGCAGAAUAUCGUGCCCAUACUCUUCUUUUGCCAUGUUGAAGACAUGCAUUAGUUGAGGGCAAUCAAUUAUCUGAACUGAUUCCAAGUGCGGAAGUCCUUGAGCCAAAGUGAUGGGAAACACAUAUCUCAAGCUUUCGCAACUAGCUAUCACAAGAGAUUUUAAUUUUGGCCAGCACAGAAGAGAGCGAUCCUUGUUUGAAAUUAUCUCAUCACCAUUUUCUGCUUCGGUGAUUAAAUGUUCCAAAGAGUUGCUUCCCUUUAUCCAGAGUUCUUCCAGAUGCACCAAAGUUUGAGCAAGUGUAGCUAAAAAGAGAUACUCCAGUUUAGAACACGAGCAAAUUCUCAUAGUUUUAAGAUUCUGGAGGUUAACAAGAUGGGUGGGUUCUCUCCAUAUGCACCUCAAUUCUGGUAAGGACUCCAGCUCCAAACAAAUUAAAUUUGAGAGUGGGGGUGCCUGAUUUUCCUCACAUAAAACAUAUAUUAUCAAUAAAUAAUUAUUUAAAUAUGAAUUCGUUGUACUUGUUCAAAAAAGUACUUAAAUAUUAAAGGCAUACAUUUUAAAAAAUUUUAAAACGAAGUGUAAAAAGCCACAAUUUAGAAAGAUUACAACUGAUGUUUACUUAUAUAUUUGGUAAUUUAACAUAAAAAAACACAAUUAGAUAAAGAACAAAUAAUAGAAUUAUUAAAGGAAAAAUGGAGAGAUGAGGGGUACCUCCAACUCAGCCAUAUCUUGGGCAAAAGCAAAGACUUGCUCUAAUUUCUUGCAUGCAGAUAUCUUGAGUUGUUCAAGAUGCAACAAACUUUGAGCAAGGCAAGGUGAGAAGAUUGAUUUUAGUUUAUCACAACCAUCAACUUUUACAUCCUUCAGAUUUUGUAGGCUUACAAGAUGAGUUGGCUCUUUCCAUAUACUCUCUAAUGCUGGUAAUGACUGCAGCUCCAAGCUUCUUAAAUUUGAGAUCGACCACAUACAACCAUUCAUUUGAAACACUGAUUGCAACUGUCCACAAUCGCAAAUGAUCAAUGUUUCUAAGUGUUGUAAGAAGCUAUUCGGUAAUUGACCAUGGCAUAACUCUUUCAAAGAAGUCAUUUUACCAAUGUCUAAGUUCACCAAAUUAGAGAAUGCAGUGGCUGGACUCUGUUCUCGUGUUGUAUCGAUCAAGCAUUCCAAAUCAUCGCAAGAUGUAAGCUGAAGAGAAGUUAAUUCAUUUAGUCCCCACUGAUCUACAUUUGGAACAACAGUUUUGUGUUCCAUGAUAUUCUCCAGACUCAGCCUUUCCACAUUGCGAAACAGCUCCUUAAAUGCAUUUAAUGAGGAGGAAUCUCUAAUUCUCAAUAUUCUCGAGAUAAGCUUUCUCGGAAUUUCAAUGUAUCCAUUUACACCUAUAUUGUAGCUUUGUAGUUUAGGAAACACAAAGUUUUCUUGAAAACAUUGAUCAGUAGAAACUGUCAAUGUUAAUGCAGUCAAACGAGACAACGAAUUCAACUCCGAUAAGUUGGCAAUGGUAAAACUUAACAUGUGUAGCUCUUGGAGUGACGUUAACCUGUUACACACAAAUACACAAUAUUAUUAACACAAUAACAGCACUUUCAAGCAGACAAUGAAAUAGCUACUAUUAAACUACAGCUUGCAAUGUUUCAUAAUAAUCGGAGUGACUAAAAGCUCAUGAUAUAUAUACAUAUAUAUAUAUAUAUAUAUGUAUAUAGUAGUCAAAUUGAAAACAACAAAAGGAAAAAUAAAAUAACAUAAAAUUAAAUUUUUUUUUUACUCAGCCAAGAAAAAAAAGAGAUUUAUAUAUAGACAGCUUAAAUGUACAAAAUAAGAAGAAACAAGAACAACCGCUCAAAGCAAAAAACUUAAAAAGAAGCAACUUGAUAGCUUGGCUGGAGGCAAAAUCAACACUUCAUAUGAGAUGACAUGUUACGGGAUUGGUGUCAGUACACAAGAGACCAACAUAUCAAACAGUCUCAUAAAAAUCGACCAAGGCAAAGAUGAAUAUAUUGGCACAAUCAGAUUGCCAGCGGGAAACAAUAAAAUUAAAUACUUAAGUAAAAACAAUUAGAUAAUCAGUUUUAAUGACAUCUAAGUAUUACCUUGAUAUCAAGUUAGGGGGGACAUGUCUGUCUUCAUCUCCAACCCAAAAAAUAUAUAGUGACUUUAGUCUGCGCAACUCCACUAAUUCUUCAGGUAAUUCAUCAAUAUAAGUUCUAAUCAAAGACAAAGACUCAAGAUUUUCUAGAUUUCUCAACGAUGAAAUGUUCUCAACGUCACACCUCAUAAUGCACAGAGUUCGCAGAUUUGUUAGGAAUUGAAGUGCUUCCAUUGAGAAUACAACACGUUGAAGAAAUAAAACUCGGAGGGUUUUCAUUCCUUCAAAAAAUUUACUCGGAACUCUUAGGUAAUCUUCUCCCGUUAAAAACAAAGUCUUGAGUUUUGAAAAUUCUAAUUUAUCGGGAAAAUUAACUAUCUUAAUAUUCCAUAAGGAGAUUGUUGUGUAACAACCAAAAAUUUCACUCUUAGGCCAUUCCGUCAGCUCAUUUUUUACCAUGAACAUAUUUUCCCCUCUUGAUGUUAUCCAAUGAGCAAAAUCACGAACCACAUCAUGCAUUUUUACAUAGAAUUCAUCGUCAGUUUCCAAUAACAAACCAAACUUUUGGAGCUUUGAUAGUGCUAGAUGAAUUUCCCUCCUUAUUUCUUCAAUUAAGUUAAUAUGACAAAACAGUCCCUGACCAAUUCCGAAUUCAGUCAACAACUCAACAUUAAUAUCAUAAUCUUCUGGAAAAAGAGAACACAACAAGAAACAUGACUGAAUAUUUUCUUCCUUCAAAUAAUCAUAACUAAGCUUAAGGCAGCUAUAGAUACCUCCACAAACAUCUUGAUUAUCCAAAUGUCUUGACUCCUUAAGUCGUUGAUUUGCUGCUAUCCACCCAUUUAGACUUUCACGUUUUAGAGCUUUCGCCAUAGUUACAAUUGCAAGAGGCAAACCCUUAGCUUCACGAGCAACCUCCUUGGCUACAUCAUUCAAGGUGGGAGAGGCAUCUUUUAGACCAGCAUUAUCUUUGAAUAAAGCCCAUGCCUCAUCUUCAGACAGAAUGUUCAGUUUAAAUUCUUCUUGACAAUUCAUUUGACUACAGACUUGUCGAAGACGUGUAGUUAGAAGAAUUUUGCAACCAGGGUGUUUGUCACCAGAUGGAAUUCCUAUAUUUCGCAAUUCAAACUGUUCCCAAACAUCAUCGAGAAUAAUGAGAAUCUUCUUCUCGCCUUUUAAUCUCUUGAAUAACUCUUCUGCUUUUCCUUCUUCUGUACUUGCAUUAAAUUUUAAACCCAAGAUUUCAGAAAUUCUAUGUUGAAUUUUGUUGAUGUCUGGAUUUUGAGACACCCCCCUAACAAUCACAACUUUAUCAAAGAGCUUUUCUUCCGUAGCUUGCUUCCCCACUACUUCCGCCAAAGUUGUUUUACCCACUCCUGGCAUUCCGUGCAAUCCAAUCACGUUCACACCAUCACCUUUUAAAGCCUUCAUGAUCCCAUUGAAAGCUAACGUUGAAGAUUCGGAACGCAUGAAAUCCUUGGGUAGUAGGAACUCUAUUCCUUGAAGAGGAGGGCGCUGGCCGACUAGUGGAAAGUUACAGGUCUCUAAAAGUUUAGAGAUACAAAGAUUCUUCUUCGCGACUUUCUUACUUAAGCAAUAUCGCCAACCCCAACUAGGACACCAAUUGAAACACUUGUUACGCUCUAUUUCUUCUUCCAAACUCUGAGCUUCUCCCAAUUCUUUAUCUGCCUUUGUUAGCCACUCCUCAACGCCCUUCUUAAUUACCUCAGUUUGCCUUAAAGCCUCAUCGACAGCAUCUUUCAACUCAUCUCUUUUUGAUUCAAGUUCAUUUCGCCGGUUCUUGAAAUCUUCAACAAUUUCGCCAAAACGGAAAAAGUAACGGAGAUAAGGUGAUGCGUAUUCUGUUGCUAAGUUCCCCGCGGUACCGCUAAUAGCAGCGCAAACACAUUCAAGAAACAUUCUUUGAUGAUCUGAGGCUGAAAAACAAUUUGGAUGAGUAAAAUGUUUUACAGAGAGACAAAAAGUAAUUACGAAAUGUUCACAAAAUAUCUCGCCUUUGCAGCAAUACUUUUAUAAAAUAUGUGAAUCACAAGAGAACAAAUUGUCCGCCGACUAACUUGGAAAUUGAAAAUGCUGCACAAGUAGAAAUUAUUCACUGGUCAUGUGUAUAGUAAUUAGAAAUAUAUCUUACAUGUUAGAGUAAAAUCAUAGUAUUAUGAUUCUAUAAAAUACUUUCUCAAAAUUUAAAAUAUCUAUUUAUUUCAGUUUUUUCCUAAUAGCUACAGCUUUUGUGUAACCAUGCAUGCUCGUCAUGGGCAAGGAAAGAAGUAAAGUGCAAAAUUAUUAUUUUUAUUUUCCAAGUGAAGAACUCAAGAAGUCAAAUGCAUAAGUGACAAGAGAAAUAAAAAGCAUAGCAAAAAUUAUAUAUGGACAAUAUAAUAUGUAUUGUUGAAGCUUACCUCACUUCGAAAGGAUCUUCUAACGCUGCAUGGAUUUUUUCUUCACCAACUCCGGAGAUCGGGAAAGUAAAAUUAAGGACUUCUUUUCUGGAUAGAAAGCAGAGAAAUCCAAAUACUAGAGGUAGCAGCUUUGGGUUUUUUUUUUUUUUUUGGCCUUUGUGGAGCUGAGGAAAGGAAACGUAGGGAUCAAAGAACAGUUUUUGUUUUUUAUUUUUCUGAGUUAAAAGAAAAUGAGGAAAGUAGAAACCAAUGGAAAAAACGAACAGAGAUUUUUUUUUUUUUUGAGUUGAAAGAAAAUGAGGAAAGCAGAAACCAAUGACAAUAAACCAACAGAGAUGCUUUUCUGUUUUUGAGUUGAAAAAUUGAGUGGAAAAAUCAAGGAAAAUGAAAUGGAAAAUUAAGGCAGAAAUCAAACAAAAUCUUUGGGAUAGUGCAGCUCACAGAUGUGGAGAUGGUAGAAGAAGAAGCUUGAAUGGAAACUCUAUGAAGACGAAGUAGUGAGAGUAGGUAUAGGAACUUUGGAACACUAAUAUUCAAAUUAGGAACAACGGAAAAAAAUUAGCAACUUGGCUUACACUUCCCAUGUAAGAUUCUCUUUUCUUUGAUAUGCGAGAGCUAAUGCUAUACAUUGAGAAAGUUAAUUUGUUUUAUUUAUCGUUUUUCAGUUGGCUUUUCCAUAGUUUGUCCCCCUUUUGUUUUUUCUUCCCUGGUUGUGGGUGGUGCUCGAGACACAAAUGUUUAUUGCUCCCUCUAGCUAAAAGCUCUUUGGCCAGCAUGUGCAAUCAACAUUAUUAUAUAAUGUUUAUAGAUUUGAGGAUUUUUGUUUACCACUAGAGACAGUUGCAUGUGAACGAAUUAGAUAUUCUAUUCAAAUUUUAAUUGGGAAUCAGUAAAAUUUCAUUAAUAAAAAAAUUAUUUGGUGAUUAAGUUUAUUUAAAGGAUAAAUAUAGUUAAUGAUUAAGAGUUUUUAAUGGAUAGGAAUUCAUGGUGACAAAGUAAUAUGGUUUUAUAAAUAUGGAAUGUGUCUUAACUUUUAAAAUUAAGAUAGAGAUGAGAUCUUUAUAUGAUCUUAUGUAAAAGAUAAUUUUUUUUAAAUGGAGUUUUUUGUAAAAACUUCACAGAAUUAUAGAGAUGUGAGAAGGAGCACGAGAAAUACAAGAAAGAGUAGGGGAAACGCAGUUUGCAUGGGAUCGAAAGUAUUUUAUGAGUUGAAACAAUAGGGAGCACAGAAACUGGAUUUGUUUCGAAGCUUAAGUUUAGUAUUUGUUUUUAUUUGUACUUUUUGUAAUCUCUAUGCCUAUAAUGAAUUUUUCUGAAUGCAUAUUAAAUAUUAUCUCUUAUAUGUGCUUUAUAAAUUAAAUUUUCAUUUGUAAUUUAUUUACUUAACUUACAAAAUAUAUAGUAUAAAAAGGAGGGUUUUUCUUUCUAGUUUUUUAGUGAUAUAUUACCUUGGACUCCGCACCUGGUCUUUAAGCUCAUGUGGUUAAAGCUCAGCAGAGUAAUAAGAUUUGGUCAUUAUCUUGGGCUUUACGUUGACCCAACCAGAGCAAUCUACUCUCAUUUUAAGGAAAGGAAGUACUUAUUGUAAACCUUGAACUAGUGGGAGUAAUUGUUUAUAUACCUUUCUCUCUUCCAAAACGUUGGUCCUAUCCUUUUAUUUCGAAUUUUUUCAUUUUUUAGUUAAUUUUCUUUUAAAAAAUUAUAUUCUGUGGAGGGAGGACAUGAGCCCGUAGUGAAAAUGUAUUUGUAUUAUCAAAAUCAAAUAAAAACUAAAAGAAAUAUCAUCAAAAACAGGGGUCAAAGCCUUGUACCCUUUCUAUACUUUUAUCACUUCGCUUUUUCCGUUAUAUUUGGUCUUUGAGGUGAUGGCCUUGGAGUAGUAAUGUAUUCUUCCAACAAUUACUAGUCAUUUUACAAUAAUAGGAAAUUUUUUAGUAAAAUAUUUAUAUAAUAUAUUGCCCUGUUUAAAUUGUGUAGGCCUCAAUAAGUUAAAUUUUGAGCUGAUUAAAUUAUCGAAAAUUAUCCAAUAAACUGUCAUGGAGUUUGAAAACUUUAUCAAUGGAAUUAGGAGGUUGCAACAUAUUCAUUCGGAUAUAUUUGAAAAAAUAAAUAAAUUAAUCUGAUAAAUAAAAGGAUAUUAAUUUGACAAUAUUUUAAUUUUACUAACAAAGUUAAAAUCUCACCGAGGAUGCAUAGAUUAAUAGUCCUUAAAAUAAUCCCUUUGUUUUUACAAUUGAGGGACAUUGAUCGUUACAUGCAUUAGUAGUGGAGAUUUGUUGCCUUUUCCUUAAAAGAUCAUUACAUUUUUUGCUUAAUUGCAUGCUUGUGUUCGGCUUAUAUAUAUAGGCUUUCAUUAGUGCUUGUUGAAUUAUGGCAGUGAAGUGUUUAGUAGAGUUGAUAUGAAUGAAGUGACUAUCCAGAGAUAUUGCAUCGUAUCGUUUUCUGCUUAUUGGGUUCCAUUGCUUGGAGCAUUUCUGCAGUUUCUGCGUACUUAUUUGCUACAACUUGAAAGAAAUGAGCAUGGCAAGAUUGUAUACAAAUUUGCCUAUGACUUCAAAUUUAGUUCGGCUUGAUCAACAAAAGAGGAAAAUUUCAGUUGAGAUUUUAGCAUUUUGGUUACUGAAUGAGUGACUCUAGGAAGAUGGAUAACGUUCAUGCAUGCUUGCGAAGCUCGUUUGGUAAUAUAUAGCACAAAAAGCAUAGUGAACCCAACUUCGAAACACAUGGAUGCCAUCUAUUUUUCUAACAACAGCCGUGGCAAGCGUGAGCAUACCAAUUCUAAGUUCUAACAUUGGGUUUAGACCACUUUAUCAAAUUUCAAAGCCUUUCUUUAGUGCUUUUUUCCCCUGGAUUUCUUGGUAGAAUUAACUGGUGCCGUAAAAGAGGGCCAUGUUGGGGAUGGCAGGGGACGGAUUAGUGUAAUUUUUUUAUAUUUAUAAUUGAAACAAAUUAGAGGAAUGCAGAUUAGGGGACAGUAGAUUAUGGAAACGGUGGAAGACAUUUCAGCAGGUGGAUUCUUUAAAGGAGGUGAUAGGCAGUGUAUUAUUCUGUGAGUGCUGAUUUUUUGGCAAAGGAAGGUGCAAGGAGAGAAAGUUUUUAUUGGAUAUUGUCAUUACCUUGAGAUUUACAUUGAGCCAGUGGGAUUAAUUAUUAUUAUUAUUUUUUUGUUUUUAAGAAAAAGAACCACUUUUUGUAAACCGUGAACUAAUGGAGGCAAUUGGUUUUAUAUACAUAUUGCUCUUGCAAAACAUUGUAAUUUAGAAAUUUAGAAGUAGAGGUAUACGUUGAUCCCUUCAUUAAUUCGACAACUUCCAUAUAAAACAAAAGCUCAGCAGAUGAAGACGAAGCUAGCAGCUAGCUUGGAGGGAAGUGUGUAAGGCACUAAGCAGCUAGCAGUACAAUUCCUGGCCUCAGUCAUGGUUCACUUUUUGCCUAUGGAGACGCAAUCUCUUUUUAUAAUCAAUUUGUUUUCAUUUGACACUCUGUUUAAGAUGUAGUAGCUCAAUCUCAGCCAUAUACACGAAUAAAAUAAAACGACGGUAUUUACUUGGUUAAUUGGUUGUUAGCCAACUUGAUGGAAAUCUAGUAAUUAAAAGCCAAAGGAAAAUAUCAUCAAAAUCAGGGGCCAAAGCCUUUCGCCUUUUUUAUAGUUGAUGCUCCUUCCAGCUUUUACCACAUUGCUUUUUCCUUUACACUUGGUCUUUGAGGUGAUAGCCUUGGAAUAGUAAUGAGAACCACCCAAAACCAAUUAAAGUAGAUGAUAGAUGAAAGAAAGAAAUGAGAAUACUUGUUAAUUUGCUACUAAGUAGCAGCAGCUAGUCAAAUUCAGAUUUAUGCAUUAACAUAGUUUCACCUUCUUGUUAAAAUUUAUUCUGAUUCUUCUGAUGUAGCUUUAUUUACCCAGCAGCGAGCCUUCAAAAUCAAACAAAGUGGGACAUGAAGAACAAAAAUUAGCUUGGGACAAUCUUCAACCGAAGAAGUCAAAUUUGGAAAUACAAGAUGGUAACAUUAUAUAAUAAUUGAGGGAGCACUAUUUGCUUCUCUUUCUGGGUACUUACUUCUUCAUCUGCAAUUCCAAAUAGUUGCUCUAGUUCAGAAGAUCCUUCGACUGUGAUUAUUUCUAGUUUUGGCAGAGCAACAUUAACCGGAAACAGACUUUUCAUUUUAUUUCAGUAACCAACACAAAAUCGAUUCUUUCAACAACCCCAACCCCCGCAUAAGCCAGAAUUUCAAUUUCAUUACUUUUGGAAAUGAGAAAAACAAGAAACUGAGUGCGUACUGGUAAUAUUCACAGUCAAACGUAUUGCAUAUUUCAUCUGAUGGUAAAGGUUGUUGCAUCAUAUUUGAUAAACAAAGAGGAGAUAUUCGGGAUUUUUUUUUCUUAAUUUUAAUUUGGGCAUUGAAAUUUUAUUAAAGAGUGUUAGGCCUUGAAAAAGGGGAAGAUGUUUUUGGCAUAGAAACUUCAAGGACUUUAUAUUUUUCUUCUUCCAAUUGCCAUUGGUUUGUAAGCAAAGAUGGGAGUAAGGAAUGCAGUUGCCAAAUCUAACAAGUUUGUUUCACAAUUGAGGGGCUAUGUGAUCUGAUGUCUCAGGGUGAAGAUUUGUUACUUUUUCUCCCAGCGUUUUACAAGCAUGGAAAACCAUGGGGAAAUUUGUUGAUGUCUGACUCAGACAUGCAAGUAGACAUUACAAAUCAACUAAACAUUGUAAAAGAGAAGCAAAGAUCAACCAGCUGCAAGUCAACUAAACACAGAGAAAAACCAUGUUGCUCACAGUCCUUUCCCAAGUCAGAGAGGUAUAACUCCUGCAAAGACAUAAAUAUAUCAUAAUUUCAUUAGAAAUUGAAUAGAUUACAAAGGGCCAAGACACUGUUGCCUAAAUAUUGGAAGAGAAAAAUGUCUUGAAUCCCAAAGAAAGAACAUAUAUCACUCUAUGCAUCUAAUUAAUCAUAACUCAAGCAAUUACUUUAAUAUACGAUUGAUUAUAAGUGUACGUUAAUAAACUCAGUUACAAAGAUCAAUUAACAUAUGACCUCAAAAGUACAAAGCUUUCAUAUUAUUUCAAAAAAAUUUAGAUAAGCUCAUAUCUUUUUAUUGUAUUUAAUUAAAUUUUUUAAAUAUUAAUUUUCAAUAUCCAAACCUUUUUUUUUUUGGAUAAAACCCAUAGAUGAUGGUUAAUCCUUUAACAUGCGAUAAUAACUCCGUCACUGCAUGCAAUUGAACUUCCUAAUAAAUUCACAACAAAAUGGAAGAUACUAGAAAAAUUGGAAAGGUAGAUAAUACACCUUAAAUCAGAAUUGAAAUAUUUUUAUAUGUGUAAAAAUUAGAGAUUUGGGCCAAAAGAAAAUUUUGUACCUUUUCUUUAAAGCUUAUUAAAGUAGAAAAAUAAACUAAAGUUUGGAGUAUAAAUAGUGUAUAGUAUAUAUACAGGUAAAUGUCAAUGUAAUAAAAGUUUUCGAUGGGAAAGAUGUUUUCUUAUGAAAUAAACAAUCAACUAAUAAGUAUCAAAAGAAACAUUGGAACAAAUGAAAAUAUAACAAAAUUACCUUCAACUGAGACUGCGACGUAAGUCUUUGUGGAUCUUGGGAAUGAGUCAUUAAUUGGGGUUGGGGACUAAUAUUGCAAGGGUCAAAAUCUUUCGAAGAUGGUAACAUGGCAGAAUAAUUUCUUGGACAAAAGCUCCUCAAGUUUUUCAAGUUUUCAAGUGUUUAAAUCUGUUAUUGAGGGAGCACAAUACGGUGCCCAUCCUUUUCUUUUCCCAUGUUGGAGACAUGCAUUAAUUGAGGGCAAUCAAUUAUCUGAACCGAUUCCAAGUACGGAAGUCCUUGAGCCAAAGUGAUUGGAAACACAUAUUUCAAGCUUUUGCAACUAGCUGUCUGAAGAGAUUUCAAUCUUGGCCAGCAUAGAGAAUAGCAAUCCAUAAUUGAAACUAUUUCAUCCCCAUUUUCUGUUUCUAUGAUUAAAUGCUCUAAAGAGUCGGUUUUCUCUAUAUGGAGUUCUUCCAGAUGCUUCAUAGAUUGAGUAAGGGCAGGCAAAAAGAGAUAUACAAGCUUAGAACAUGACCAAAUUCUCAUAGUCGUUAAGACUUCGGAGAUUAACAAAAUGGGCAGAUCCUCUCCAUAUGCAUCUCAAUUUUGGUAAUGACUCAAGCUCCAAACAAGUUAAAUUUGAUAGUACUUGUGCCUCAUUUUCCUCACAUAAAGAAUAACACAUAAAAGUUGAGAGAUAUAAAGCGUCUUCUUUGCAUCUUUGAUACUUAUGCAGUAUCGCCAGCCCCAACUAGGACACCAAUUGAAAUACUUGUUACGCUCUAUUUCUUCUUCCAAACUCUGAGCUUCUCCCAAUUCUAUCUCUGCCUUUGUUAGCCACUCCUUAACGUCCUUCUUAAUUACCUCAGUUUGCCUUACAGCCUCAUCGACAUCAUCUUGCACCUGAUCUUUUUUCGAUUGAAGUGCUUUUCGCUGCUUCUUGAAAUCUUCAACAAUUUUGGCAAAACAGAAAAAGAAAGUGAGAUAAGGUCAUGCUUAUUCUUUUGCCAGAUUCCCUACAGCAUGUAAAACUGCGGAUGGCAAUUGUAUUCAGCCUGCAACAACAUUGCCCGUAGACUAGAAAACUCAAUAUCACAGAGAAGGAAGGAAAGAUAUGGGAUGAAACAAGAAAGGGAACCAAAAUAAAAAAACAAAAAAGAGAUGAAGGAACCUGACCCUCUCAAAGAAAUAAAAACCACAACAUUGUACACCAGCCAAUGAAAACCCACAACCUUAAAACAUGUCGUAUCAAAGCAACACCUUAAGUGCCCUUGAAGAGUGGACCAGUUUCAAGCCACAGUAGAGCAACCACACCUCACUGCAAAAUACAAUAAAAAUAAAACACAUUAAGCACAACGUAUAUAAUGUCAGAAAAUGAUAAUGGCAGAUGUAGCGAGCAUAGACAAACUAGUCAUUUCAUUUGUUUUUUAUUAACCUUCCAUGCAAUUAAAGUAACAAAGGGUGGUCAAACAGAUUCAGCAUGCUUGCAUUCUUUCUGCUUUUGCUAAGAGCCAGGAAUAAUUAUGAAAAUAUGUAUAAUUCGUAAAAUCAUGUUUACCUGCUGUGGUUGUUGGUAAGCUUAUGGUUGCUGGUAAUUCCCAUAUCCAAGAUAGCCCCCAUAGGACAUGUUAGGAUCUUGGGGAGGAGGUGCAUAUCCAUAUGCUUCAAAUCCUUGAGCAUAUCCAUAAUAUCCACCAUUCCACUAGGCCUGAUCUGGUUGAGCCUGAAACUCCAACAGAUUUCCCUCUUAGUUUGUAGAAAUAUAUAUAGCAAGGUUUUAAUUACAAAAUACCAUGAUUUUAAAUACAAAACCUGAUUGCUUGAAGGACUACAUCCCCAUGAAAGUCAAAUGUUUCUUCCUCCUAAUACGAUGCCAUUCAAAACUGAUAAAGCUUGCUCUGCGUUAGUCCUGAAGUAUAUCAAAUUGCAGAAUAAAUUAAUAUAAUAUAAUAAUAUUUCACGCACUUAAAUAUUCGGAAGAAUUUACAGCUUACCUAUUAGCAUAUUGAACAAAACCACAACGCUUGUUAGCAGGAAUUUUUACAUGAACUACCUCACCCAGCUGGCUAAAUAUUUGUUUUAAUUGGUCUUCAGAAACACUAGGAUCCAAACCACCAACAAAUAUCUGCAUUUAAGCAUGUAAGAUUUCAGUCGACCACACCAUGAAAUAAGCAUAUUAAUAUAUAUAAAAAAGCUACCCACUGUGGUAUUAUUUGGAUCAUUCUCGCCAGGAUUUCCUUGAGUAUUUGGGUAAGAAGCUGCAAAUGACAAAUACAUGUAAACUACAAUAGAAUGAGAUGAUAAAAAAGCUCAUUGCUUCUCAAAACUCAAAUUAAACAUUGUUGAAAAAACCAAGCAUUAAGAUAAUACACUUAAAAAUACUAAAAAAGUUCUAAAAAAUUCCCUCCAUGGCAUGCAAAAGAACAAAAAUGUAAAACCACCAGCUAUACAUCACUCAAAAGUUACAAUUACAACCAUAAACCUCUUUGGGUUACAUCAAGGCUUACCAUUACCAGGGAAAGUGAAAAGUAUCAGACUAAAUGGAUUUCAAUAGUAGCCCAUAAAGAAAUCAUUAAUUACAUUACACUCAGGGAAUCGGUAAAGGUCCUAUUCUUUCAUUAACCUUUUACAAUAGCAUGAAAAGGAGAAAAAGGAAAAUUGAAAUCAGAGACUUAACUUUUCUCUGCACUUGACAUGAAAUAUUUCCUUUUGCUCCUUUCUUUCACACAUUUUUUGUAAGGGGGAGGGGAGGGAGGGAGGAAGCUGUCAGGGCUUAAAUAGAAUGAUUCACAACUUCAACUUCAAAGAUUAUGUUUUAGUAGAAAGAACCUAUCUGCUAAACUAAUUUCAGAAAUGCUUUAACAUUCUCUGCGUAGACAGAAACCUAUAGAGAUUAUAUUAGCAGCCACAAAAUGAUAAGAUGAAGAACAUAUUUAGAAAAUAAGGAAAUUCCUCUAAACUGAAGUGAUGCAAAACCUCAAAUGACAAGUAGAAAAAGAAUGCCUUGAAAAUGCAAUAUUAAUACUGGUAGAUUCAUACACAGCUAGGCCAUCACUAUUUAGGUUUUGGCAAUAAAGCAUGCACGAGUGAUCCACUUCCAUUGAGGUUAAAUCCAUUAACUGAAAAUGCCUUUAACUACAAGUCCCAGGUUUCUUUCCUGACUCAAUUUGUCCUCAUUUGUAACAGAGCAAUAGAAUGAGGACAAAGAAGUUACUAUAACGUUUAAAAGAAGCACAGAUAUAAAAUGCAAUAGAACAAAAAUUGCCCCAAGGCUCAAUAACAGAAUGGUGCAUGAUAACAUCCAUACCAACUUUACCCAUGGCUGCUUCACCUAGUUUUGAGCAUUACAGCUUGAAUUUAAAGGAAACAAAGAGAAGAGUGUAAACAUAUGCAAGUAUCAAAAGGGAACUUAUCUACGACGAACUUAGAAAAAAAAGGUUUCUGGAGUGGUAAAAGUAUCUAAAAAAAGAUUCAAAGGAAACAUGUUGGGAAAACUGAAACAACUUGUACUUGACUGGAAUACUUGAUAAGGAACUAGAAAAGUAAUUUACGAAUGUAGCACAAAUACUGCCACGAGAAAAUGAGGCUUACGAUAUAAACAAAGUAACUGACCUAAAAUGGGGCCACGCAUUAAAGUGGGAUCAUUUCAGCUGAUACCAGUUCCAGGCUCCCCAAAAUGAGAGCCUUUUUGGUGUCCUGCUUUAAGACAACAUGAGUUUUAAAUAAGUUUGUGAACGUUUUAAUAUAAUUAAACGUGCCCAAGUUUGCAAAGGCAAACUGAAAGGAAAUGACUUUGUAUAAAUUCUGCCGAUCUUCAAGUGCAUAACUGAAAGAAUUCAAAUUUUAAGGACACUGUAACAACUAACAAGUAACAACCUCGACUCAGAAAAUUAAAACCCAAAAACAAAAAUAGAAUAACCAACAAGCAUUCAACUUGUCAAGUCAAAGUUCUCUAAGAUAAAUCAUGGCAGAUAAAAACUAUAAAAAAACCAAGCAACCUUCAUGUUAGUUUGCCAAGAUCUAUUGAUGAGCAUGAAAAAUGCUCUGUAGAAAAGAGUAAAACCAGAAAACUAGAAGAAGAGAAAAACUGAUCAGGAAAUUGGAAGAAGAAAAACUAACUUCUCAUCGAGUCAAGAGUCUGUUACACCUAUUUAUACACAAGUCAUGCUGACAUCAAAGAAAGCCAAUCCUAAUUACAAAAUAAUUAAAUAUAUAAUCAGAUAUCUAUUUACACUUGGACACGUGUAUGUAUUUAACACUUCAUAUGAAAAUCAAGAUAAAUAAUGAAUUUAACAUAACCCGUUUGCUUAUUCCUAAUCAGCUUAGCUGAAGCCACCUAAACUAUCCCAAAAAAAUUAAACUUCCUUUAAUUACUUUUUACUGAUUUUAUUACUUAAGUAGUUAAGUUUAAAAGGAAAAGAAAGGAAAUUCAUUUAAAUAACAAAAGGGAAUAAUAUUUUGAUUUAUUAAAAUGUAUAUAAAACUGUGAAUUUUAUUGGACUAUAUUUGCUCCGUUUAAUUAAAUUUUAUUAUAUUUUUUUACUAUUUUACUAUUUACUUAGGCACUCUUAAAUCUUUUUUUUUUCUAAAAGCCCCUAAUUUUUUUUUCUAAAAUAAUAUAAUUAACUAAUUAAUUACCUCUCCAGUGUGAGCGAAGAUGUUGAUGAGGUAAUUCUCAUCCAUCCACUGCUAAAGAUCACCGAUCUAGAAGGAUCGAAUCUCACUGGAGCCGCAACGGCUGAAUCGGUGGAGUACUGCUGCAUCUGACCUAGCGGAGGAACGGGUUGUGGAGCCCAGUCGGAAGGUGGAGGAACCGGCUGACCCGCCUGUUGCUGCUGUUGUUGUUGUUGCAUCAUCAUCCACGGCUGCUAUUGCGGUUGCUGCUGGUACUGCUGGGUUUGAGACUGAUCAGCUGCCAUGGACUGCGGUGGAGCUACACCUCCUGCUGGGGGUUGUUGCAUCAUACUCGAUAGAUAGAUAGAUAGGGAAGAGAAUCGGGAGAUCUCAGAGAGGAGAGGAAACCCAAGUGGGGAAUUGAAAUUUUAUAAAGAGAGGAUUUUGUUUUAUUGACCAGAGGAUGCUUGUCGGGGUAACACGUGGAGAAUAGGAAUUACGUGGCAGUAAUGGGCUUUUGAUAGGGUAAAUCGAGUAUUCGGCUUGGUAUGGGCUAGAUUGGGCUGAGUUUGGGCUAAAAUUCUUUUUCUUUGUUAAUAAAAAACGUUUCUUAAGGAUGUAAUAAAAAAAGUUUUAAAAAAGAAUUUUUAUAGACAAUUGAAAUUUGGUGUUAAUAAGCAUAGCAAAAUUUUUUGAAAAUUAAGUAAUUAAAUGGAAUUGAAAUUUGAAAAUUAUUAAUAUAUUUUUAUGGUAUAAAAAUUAAUUAUUAUUUUAUUUUAUUCCCUUUAUAAAUUUUAUGACUUAUAAUUAUGAUGAUUUAGUAGAUGUCUGAUAAAUUAUUUCUUAAUCUAUUAAAUAGGAAAAUUUUUUUAUCAUUUCCCUUCGUCUCAUUAUCUUUGUUCUUUAUUGAUUUUUUUGUUAAAUAAACUCUGACUUUGAUCAUUAUUUUUAAAAACAUUGUAAAGUUAUAAAAUUUUGAAUUUUAAACAUUUAAAAUUUUUUUUUGAAUUUUUAAUUUUAUAUAGUAGUCGUUUAAUAUGGUAAGAAAAGUACAACAUGGUAAGAAAAGAAAUUAAAUUGAACUUAAUAAUUCUAAGUGCAUGCAGAAAUGGUCCAAUCCCUUUUUAUAAUUUUUAUUGUAAGCAUUACUUGGUAAAAUUUUCUUCUAUCAAUGAGUAAUUACUUCAUUUUAAAUGCUUUUUGCGAACUUGUUGCCUGGACUUUACUACCAUGGCCAGAUCUUAUAGGUUGGAGUACUAAUCAAACUCUCAAUAUUUCAAUAAAUCACUUAAAACCUUCAUAAAAUAAAAAUCUACUUGGCUUGUAUAGGGAAAUUAAAGUUUAAUUUCUGACGCAGGAGCGUCAAUGAUUGUAUUUUAUUAAAUUUAGUUUUUGCUAAUUUAGUUGAUUUAUGAUUUAUUUUCUUUAUUUUAUUUAAAUUAGGAUUCUUUUCUUAUUUUUAUUUUAAUACUUUUAAGAAUUAGUAUUUGAUUAGGAUAGUUAUGUUCUAUUUAGGAAUAGAACACCUAUUUUAUUUAAAUCUCUUAUUAAUUAUUCUAAUUGUAUUAGAUAACUAGGAGUAGAGUUUUAUUAGGAUUUGGGCCUAUAAUACUAUAAAUAGGACCCUUAGGCUUAGUUACGAGACAUUCAGAAUUGAGAGUUAAUAAAUAAUAUUUUCUUAAGCAGGAGUGCUUAUUUCUCUAGACUCUUUUAAAGGGUAAGAGGUUUUAAUAUCUUUGGCCUAGCCAACCAAAGUGGGAUUUUGGCUAUUUUUCACCUUAGUGGGGUUUUCAACCUUGCCAAGAUUGGUGAUUCACCUUAGUGGGGUUUUCAACCUCGCCACGAUUGGUGUUUUUCAUAACGCCUAGGUGUCUUUACAACGCCCCGGCGUCAAUUUCCCAUGUCUUGAUUUAAAAUAUAGAAAUAAGGAUAAGAAAUAGAAGAAUUUUAAGCUUAUUCUUCUACUAAUUGUGGAUGCAGUGAGAAACAUAACAUUGAUUAGGUAAAUUACUGAAAGCAAGUGAUCCCUUUGCUUGACAACUCUGUGAAGCCAACAUCUUGAUCAACCCAAAGCACAAUAAUUUCAACUACCUGUUUUUUUUUUUUUUUUGUUUAUGUAAAUAAUAAAGAUUAGCACAAGUAAACUACUAAAACUUGAUUAGGACUAGGCAAACAAGUGAGAGAAAUGAAAAUGGAAAGUAGCCUUUGAUCUACCUGUGUUUAGUUAAUGGCUCCAACAUACUCAUUGAUGUUUAAACAUGCCUUUGCAACUUCCCCUGCAAUCAUCUCAUAGUUCUUCCUUGUAAGGUGGUAGCUCACAAAGGCUCUUGCUCCGUCGAAUGGUCUUGGCGUCUUGCUUAACUGGUUGCGGUGUCUUUUUUAAACAAUUGAAACAAGGGAAUGUAAAACAAAAGUAUUAAUGUUACAUGUUAUGAGGGUAAAAGAAAAAAUAGACAUAUUAUAAUUUAUAAGCAUUUUAGGCCACAAAUUCAUUAAAAGUAAUGGAAUCAUUCACUAAAAGUGAUAUUCUAGAUCAAUCUUUUGGUUGCAGUGUACUACUCAAUCAUUUAAGUAAUUUUAGUAAAGACUUUGAAAAAUUAUGUAGUAUAAUAUUAUUAAAGACUAUAAUUGCCUUUGCACAUACUAAAUAAAAUCUUAAACUUAAUUCACAAAUCAACAAUAAAAACUCUUAAUCAUCAAUAACGAUUAUGUUGGGAGGAUAAGGAGAAUGAAUAAGGUAUUUUUAGUUUUUGUGAAUAAUAUUCUUGCAAAAGUCCAUGAAGAUGGCUUCAAAGGAUUUGGGAUCAAUUUGGAAAGGUUGUCAAUACAUUGUAGGGAGAAAUAAAAGCAAAUACAGCUAGAGGUAUCCUUUUAUCAUAUUUGGAUAUUUUAAUAAGGAUAGAAGAGCAGUCCAAAAUUUAAAUGGAGUCUGGCUUCUUAACCAAAGGCUAGAGGUCAAUAUAGCCAGCUAAGGAAGCCAUGAUUCAUUUUGAAGAAGGAAGCAAAAAGGAAGCUUCUGAUGCACCUAGUGUUAACCACAUUAGGAACGGAACCUGCAGUGGGAUUUUGAGACAACUUGGUUUUAUUCAUUAAGCCAUCUUAUGCUCUGUUAUUGAAAGGUGCUUUUGAAAGAGGUGGAGCUUCAAAUGAAGAGAGAGGAGAUGAUUUUCAAUGUCUGAAAAGCAUGGAAAACAUGCUUUGGUUGAAGAUAAGUGCUGUGGUAACAACGUAAUGUAAUUCAGAUCUAGCAAAUUUAAUGGAAUUAUUUAAAAUAGAGGGCAUUUCAGGGCUGCUUAUGAGGAGUUUGUCUCUCAAAGAAUUUCUGCUAACCUUUGAGGAUAAGGAGCUGUUGGAAGAGCUCAAGGAUAAAGGUUGGGAUUGGCUUAACAAAUGGUUUGCUAAGGUGGAAACAUAGUUAGAGAAUUUUUCAUCAAAACUCCUUAACAAGUGGGUGACUGCACAGGAUAUCCUUUUGAUGUGUGAAAUAGGCAUAUUAUAAAUUAUAAGCAUUUUAGGCCAAAUUCAUUAAAAGUGAUAUUCUAGACUAAGUUUUGGUUGUAGUGUCAUUCUCAAUCAUUUAAGUAAUUUAAAGACUUUGAAGAUCAUGCCUUAAAAUAGACAAGACUAAAGUUUUCAGGGUGUAUACCUCUGUUUUGGCGUGCACAUAUUCCUUUGUAUCUAUGAAGAAACCUGUAGUCAUCUUGGGACAUCCUUCUACUCUCAAAUCAUCCAAAGCUGAUAAUACAAAGUGAUAUCCCCUUGGGCAGAAGUCAACGAGGCUUGGCAGUUCUUCAAGUGAUAAACUGUAUAGUUGAUCAAACUUUAUCUCCUUUUCAGUUGUUGCUUCUGCUUCAUCUUCAAGUUCAAAUACUUGCUCCAAUUUAGAGUUCCCUUUAACCCAUAACGUAACAAGAUUUGGAAGACAACGAGCAGAUCCAAGAGGAAAGAGUCGUUUCAACUUUUUGCAAUAUAGAACAAAAAUUUUGGUCAAAUUAGGAAAGCUUAUAGGUUGGAGAUCACCAUCUGAUGAUGAACAAACUUGAUCCUCAGCAAUGAUUUGGUCCAAUUCAUCACAAUUUUGUAUUUCUAGAUUGACCAACCGUGAUAAACUUUGAGCAGUUGUAGGUGAAAAUAUGUAUCUUAGCCUCUUACAAUCAAUCACCUUCAAAAUUGUAAGGUUCUCAAGAGUUACAACCUGAGCGACAUCCUUCCAUAUAAUCCACUUUUCAGAUAAAUCCUCCAGGAGGAGUUUCUUUAUACGCCCAUGAACUUGGAAUACUUCUUCAUGACUCCCAACUGCUAUAUAUUCUUGAUUGCAGUUGGCUGAAAUACGCAAUUGAAAGCUAUUCACCAACAUAGAGAGAUAUAAUUCCUGCAAAUACAGACACCACUAAAUGUCACUGAAUAAGUUCCUUUUCUAUUAGAUUGGGAAUAGAUGAGCAAAUAUUACUCAUAAUUUUUUAGAUGCCGAUUCACAAAAAAUCCCUACAUUUUUAAUGAUAGGACAUUUAUAUGUUUCAAAAUUUAAAUCCAAAAUUUUCAUGAAAUGCUCUGAAAGUGGAAUCCAAAAACAUCUACCCUCUUUCAAGUUUUCUCUGUUAAUUUUUAAAAUAAAACCAUUUAUGGUUUUCCUUGUCUUGUGUUUUUUUCUUUGUCAUUUUUUCUUUAAGCAUGUUGUUUUGAAAAGUAUAGAUAAAGUGGUAAAGUGUUAAUUUUUUUUAAUUUACCUAAAUUACAUAAAAAAAACAUAAAAGAAACGAACCCCCCGGAAAGCCUAACUUUCUCAAUCUGUUUCUCUUGUCUGCAACAGAAAGUAGAAACACUUUGAAUAAAAAAAAAGGGAACUCAUGGCCAAGAAGAAAAAGAAAACUUAAAUUGAAGAAGAAAGAGAAAAUUCGAAUCAAAGAAAGCAAGAGAAACUAGAAUCGAAGAAGAAAAAGGAAGCUUGAACAAGAAAAAAAGCAAGAUUUGUCGUCGUGAAGAAAAAAUAUGAUGAACCUCAAUUCAGAAACAAGGACAAGGAAACCCCAAAGAUCCCCACAAACAAAUUAAAAUUUGUUUUUCAAAAUAAAUAGUAUAAAAUUUUUGUGCUGCAAUUUUAAAAUAUAAUUGGAUUAGUUUGUGAGUGUUGAAAAAAAGAUUUAGCUCAAAGGCAAAAUCCAAAACCAUAAUUGAAGGAAAAGUGUAUAAAGAAAUACCUCUAGCUGAAUUUGCUCAUUAACUUCUUUUUGAAUAGUGAAAUUUCUCAAUUUAGGACAGUUGCAAACUUUCAACUUCUCCAAGGAUGGUGAUGAGAUGAGAAAGUUUUCCGAACUCAAAUUUAUCAAGUUUACAAGUUGAAAAUCUUGUAGGCAAGGGAGUCCAAUGGCACGAUGAGUUGGCCUUUUCCAUAUGCUCUUCAAUGUUGGUAAUGACUGUAGCUCCAACCUUCUUAAAUUUGAGAGUGGUACUGCCUGAUUUACCUCACAUAAAAAAAAUAUAAAAUUUAUUAAUUAAUAAAUAAUGAAAAUGAAUUGUUUAUACUUGAUCUUAAUUACUGAGAAGAAAUACAUUUUGUUAAAAAAAAGUAGAAAGAAGUAUUAAAAGUUAAUAAUUUAGAAAGAUUAGAUAGUAAUUAUUUAUAUAUUUGAUAAUUCAAAAAAAAUCAUUAGAAAAACAAUAUACGAGACCAUUAUUAAAGGAAAAAUGAAGAGAUAAGAGGUACCUCUAGCUCAGCCAUCUCUUUGUCAAAAGCAAAGACUUGCUUUAAUUUUUUGCAUUAAGAUAUCUCAAGUGUUUCUAGAUGCAACAGACUUUGAACAAGGUAAGGUGAGAAGAUAGAUUUUAGUUUAUCACAACCAUCAAUUGUUACUUCCUUCAGACUUUGUAGCCUUACAUGAUGAGUUGGCCCUUUCCAUAUGCUCUCCAAUGCUGGUAAUGACUGCAAUUCCAACCUUCUUAAAUUUGAGAGUGGUACUGCCUGUUUUACCUCAUAUAAAGAAAAAUAUAAAAUUUAUUAAUUAAUAAAUAAUGAAAAUGAGUUCUUUAUACUUGAUCUUAAUUACUGAGAAGAAAUACAUUUUGUUAAAAAAAAGUAUUAAAAGUUAAUAAUUUAGAAAGAUUAGAUAGUAAUUAUUUAUAUAUUUGAUAAUUCAAAAAAAUCAUUAGAAAAACAAUAUACGAGAGCAUUAUUAAAAGAAAAAUGGAGAGAUAAGAGGUACCUCUAGCUCAGCCAUUUCUUUGUCAAAAGCAAAGACUUGCUCUAAUUUUUCGCAUUUAGAUAUCUCAAGUGUUUCUAGAUGCAACAGACUUUGAACAAGGUAAGGUGAGAAGAUAGAUUUCAGUUUAUCACAACCAUCAAUUGUUACUUCCUUCAGACUUUGUAGCCUUACAUGAUGAGUUGGCCCUUUCCAUAUGCUCUCCAAUGCUGGUAAUGACUGUAGUUUCAACCUUCUUAAAUUUGAGAGUGGUACUACCUGUUUUACCUCAUAUAAAGAAAAAUAUAAAAUUUAUUAAUUAAUAAAUAAUGAAAAUGAGUUCUUUAUACUUGAUCUUAAUUACUGAGUAGAAAUGCAUUUUGUUAAAAAAAAGUAAAAAGAAGUAUUAAAAGUUAAUAAUUUAGAAAGAUUAGAUAUUAAUUAUUUAUAUAUUUGAUAAUUCAAAAAAAUCAUUAGAAAAACAAUAUACGAGAGCAUUAUUAAAAGAAAAAUGGAGAGAUAAGAGGUACCUCUGGGUCAGCCAUUUCUUUGUCAAAAGCAAAGACUUGCUCUAAUUUUUCGCAUUUAGAUAUCUCGAGUGUUUCUAGAUGCAACAGACUUUGAACAAGGUAAGGUGAGAAGACAGAUUUUAGUUUAUCACAACUAUCAAUUGUUACUUCCUUCAGACUUUGUAACCUUAUAUGAUGAGUUGGCUCUUUCCAUAUAUUCUCUAAUGCUGGCAACGACAUCAACUUCAAACUUCUUAAAUUGGAGAUUGUGCGCGUCAGACUUUCUUCCUUUCCAAAAAGCCAAUUCAUUUGAAACACUGAUUGCAACUGCUUACAAUCGACAAUGCUCAAUGUUUCUAACUUUUCUAAGAAGCUAGUCGGUGAUUGACCAUGGCACAACUCUUUCAAAGAAGUCAUGAAUCUAAUGUGUAAGUUCACCAAAUUAGAGAAUGCAGUGGUUGGACUUUGUUCUCGUGUUGUAUCGAUCAAGCAUUCCAGAUGAGUGCAAAAUGAAAGCUCAAGAGAAGUUAAUUCCUUUAGUCCACGCUGAUCUACAUUUGGGACAAUAUUUUUGUAUUCCAUUGGGACUUGGGACAGAGUAAGAUCUUCAACAUUGCAAAACAGCUCCUUAAAUGCAUUUAAUGAGGAUGAGAAAUGCUUAAUUCUCAAGGUUCUCAAGCGCAGCCCCGCCAAAUCUUGAAUAUAGUCAUUUACAGCUAUAUUGUAGCUUUGUAGUUUAGGGAACACAAAGUUUUCCUGAGAACAUUGAUGAGUAGAAACUUUAAGUGUUAAUGCAGUCAAACCAAACAAAGAAUUCAGCUCCAAUAAGUUAGCAUUGUUUCUACUUGUCACGUGUAGCUCUUGGAGUGAGGCCAACCUGUUACAAAAAAAUACAAAAUGUUAUUAAUGCAAUAAUAGCACUUUCAACCGAAUGAUAAAAAUAGCAAGGUAAUGAAAUGAAUAAGAUAACAUUAACUUUUUUAUUUCUUCAUUCUUAAAGCUACUUUUGUACUACAGGUUGCAAUGUUUCAUAAUAAUAGGAGUGACUAAAAGCUCAUGCUAGAUAUAUAUAUAUGUUUGUGAUAGUCAAAAUCAAAUAAAGUAAAUAAUAAAAAAUAAAUAAUUUAAAAAUUAAAUACUUAAUUGAAAACAAUAAACUAAACAAUUUUACCUUGAUAGCAAGUUAAGGGGGAAAUAGCUUAACGACACUCCACUGUAAGAAAUAUAUAGUGAUUUUAGUUUAUGCAAUCCCACUAUUUCUUUUGGUGGCCCAUAAAUAUUAGUCUUUAGCAAUGCCAAAAUCUCAAGGUUUUCCACAUUCUUCAAUGAUGAGAUGUUCUCAAGCUCGCAAUUUAUAAUGCACAGAGUUCGAAGAUUUGUCAAGAAUUUAAGUGCUUCCAGUGUGAGUACAACAUCUUGGAGAAGUAAAACUCGGAGGGUUGUCAUUCUUUCAAAAAAGGCACACGAAACUCUCAAUGAAUUCUUUCCUUUGAAAAACAAAGUCUUGAGUUUUGAAAAUUCCACUUUGUUAGGAAGAUGAUUGAUCUCAAUGUUCCACAAGGAGAUUGCCGUAUAACAUCCAAACCUUUCACUCAUAUGCCAUUCCGUCAACCCAUCUUUUACCAUGAAUAUAUUUUCCCCUCUCGAUGUUAUCCAAUGAGCAAAAUCACGAAUCACAUCAUGCAUUUUUACAUGGUCUUUAUCAUUAGCUUCCAAUAAUAAACCAGACUUUUGGAGUUUUGAUAGUGCCAGAUGAAUUUCCCUCCUUAAGUCUUCCAUUAAGUAAAUAUUAUUGAACAAUCCCUGACCAAUUCCGCAUAUAAUCAACAAUUCAAUACUAAUCUCAUAAUCUUCUGGAAAAAGGGAACACAACAAGAAACAUUGCUUGAUAUUAUCUUGAUCCAAAUAAUCAUAACUAAGCUUAAGACAUCUAUAGAUAUGUCCACAAACAUGUUCAUUAUCCAAAUGUCUUGAGCUCUUGAGUCUUUUAUUUGCUGCUAUCCACGCAUCUAGACUUUCGCCUUUUAGAGCCUUUGCCACAGUUACAAUUGCAAGAGGCAAACAGCCACAUUCACGAGCAACCUCCUUCGCUACAUUCAAGGUGGGAGAGUCAUCUUUCAGACCAGCUUUAUCUUUGAAUAAAACCCAUGCUUCAUGUUCAGAUAAAAUGUUCAGCUUAAAUUCCUCUUCACAAUCCAUUUUACAACAAACUUGUUGAUCACGUGUAGUUAAAAGAAUUUUGCAACCCUCGUGUUCACCACCGAAUGGAAUUCCUAUAAUUUGCAAUUCAAGUUCCUUCCAAACAUCAUCGAGAAUUAUGAGAAUCUUAUUCUCGCCUUUUAAUCUUCGCCAUAACUCUUCUGCUUUUCCUUUUUCUGUACUGGCUUCAAAUUUUAAACCAAAGAGUUCUGCAAUCCUUGCCCGAAUUUCGUUGAGGUUUGGAGUUUGGGAUACUGUAACACUCACAACCUUAUCAAAAAGCUUUUGUUCUGUAGCUUGCUUCAGCACUACAUCCGCCAAAGUUGUUUUACCCACUCCUGGCAUGCCGUACAAUCCAAUUAUUGUCACACCAUCACUUUUUAAAGCCUUCAUGAUUCCAUUGAAAGCUAACAUUGAAGAUUCAGAACGCAUGAAAUCCUUGGGUAGUAAGAGCUCUAUUCCUUGAAGAGGAGGACGAUGGCCAACUCGUGGAAAGUUACAAACCUCUAAAAGUUUAGAGAUAGAAAGUGUCUUCUUCGCUACUUUCUUGCUUAAGCAGUAUCGCCAGCCGCAACUAGGACACCAAUUGAAACACUUGUUACGUUCUAUUUCUUCUUCCAAACUCUGAGCUUCAUCCAAUUCUUUCUCUGCCUUUGUUAGCCACUCCUCAACGCCCUUCUUAAUUACCUCAGUUUGCCUUAAAGCCUCAUCGACAGCAUCUUUCACCUCAUCUCUUUUUGAUUUAAGUUCAUUUCGCCGGUUCUUGAAAUCUUCAACAAUUUUGCCAAAACGAAAAAAGUAGCCAACAUAAGGUGAUGCGUAUUCUGUUGCCAGGUUCCCAACGCAAUUGGCAAUAGCAGAGGUAACACAAUCAAGAGCCAUUCUUUGAUGAUCUGAGACUCAAACAAUUUGGAAAAGUAAAAAGUAUUGCAAAUAUCUCUCAAGCUGAUUAAGAUGAAAGAAUUACUUAAUUUGAAAACAGAAAACAAAUAAACCAAAGAAGAAAAAGAUGAAGAUUUACGUACCAAGGAAAUCUACAGAUGAACUUUCAGGAGCCAAGACGGAGCAGCUUCUAUUUUGAUCUAACCAAGCUCACCAACUCGGUGAAGGUUUUUUUUUUUUUUUUUAAAGUUCAAAGAAAACUGAAGCAGAAAUGAACUUUGCACUGCAACAAUCAGAAGAUCAAGGAAUUAAAAAAAAACAGACUUUCACUUAUCAUCUUUUUAGUUCUGCUUCUGUUACAAAUGAACAAAGGAAACCAGAAAAAGCAAAGUAAACAGAGCACUCUUAAGGCAAGAAUUUUUUUUUUUUAAAGUAUCGCCUUUCUUUCCCUAAAGCAAAGAGGUGAGCUUACAAAAAAGAAAUUAAUAGUGGAGAAGGUACUGAAAUCUUUUCUUGGAACUUACCUCUGUAUUCUCAACAAUUGAAUGUGAAAGGGUAAGAGACAAACACAAAGUUUCUAGCUCUCUUCUUCACACAAAUGCCAUGGGUGGAGUGUAACUGUAUAAGAUCAAAAGAGUUAAUUUGGACAUAGAAAAUAAUUAAGUGCCAAUUUUGCAGGUAAAGUUUGCAAAUGUAUACUCAAUUGCAAAAACCAAGACAAAAAUAAGCCAUGGAAGAAAAUGAUGCACAUGUAUACCAAUGAAAGAUGAAGUUUAAGGAGCCAAAGCCAAGCUUUUCUAUAUUGGUCGAAGAAAACUUAAGUAGAAAUUAAGUUUGUACUACAAUAACAAAAGGCCACUCGCAGAGGGAAUUAAGAAACAACAAACAUUUGUCAACCUAAGAUCAAAAGAACAACUUAAUUUGAAAACAGAAAAUAUGUGUCAAUGCAUCUAAACCUGCAAAUAUCUAUUCUCAAAUCUAAAACCACAGAAGAAAAGGAUGAACAUUUACAUACCAAAGGAAAUAUACAUGAACUUUGAGGUGGCAAGACGGAGCUUCUAUUUUGAUCCAGCCAAAAUAUAUCACAGACACUGACAAAGUCGGUGAAGUUUUUUUCCUUUUUUUUUUUUUUGAGUUCAAAGAAAACUGUAGUAGAUAUAAUAAACUUUUGCACUGCAAUGAUCAGAAGGCUAGGAAAUUAAAAAAACAAAAAGACUUUCACUUAUCUUCUUUAGAAUGCAUGCAGAUUAUAAUUCUGCUUCUGAUAAGAAAAGCAGUAGGUGAACAUAGAAAGUAGAAACUCUUAAGGCAAAGACUUGUUUUCUUUGGAAUCUCUUUUUCUUUUUAUUGUUACUAUUUUUUUCUUGUUCAAAUGCUAAGCGAAGACAAGUGCCCAACGUCUUUUGCCUUAUCAUUGACUAAUUCUCUCUCAGACGGAUUAGAAAAGAAAAAGAGAAAAGGACGGAGUCAUGGAGAUGCUCUGCUGGUUGGCUUUCCAGGAAGGGUUAUGGAAAGAGGAUGGGACUUGCGAGGAUGUUAGUGUAUAGAAUAUUUUUGAAUGAAAAACAUGAACUCAGUGUUAUUUAUGAUUAUUUUGUAAUUGAGCAUUACUUGGUAAAUUCUCUUUUUAUAAUGACUAAUGACCUACUUUUCAAAAGCUUAGCCUGCCCAAAUCUUUUAAGUUGGACGUAGCAAAUAAUUUAGUUUUAAUCUUGGGUGUAAAGUUUGCAGAUGUAUACUCAAAUGCAAAAACCAAGAGCCAUAGAAGAAAAUGAUGCACAUAUAUUUUGGAUGAAUUACAAUAAUCAAAGAAACAAGUGGAAAUCAAGUUUGCACUACAAUAAUCAGAAGCCCAAUGGCAGAGGUGAUUAAGCAACAACAGUUUAUUCUUCUUCGGCUAGCGAAAACACUUGAAUACAGGAGAGAAAAUUUUGAAUACAUGAUGUGAUCCUUCUAUUAUUGUCCUUUCUAUUUUUGUCAUUUUGCAAUCAUUUUUCCCUUGAGAUCCAUUUAUUUCUCACCGACUUGCUUCCUCUGUUUAAUGGCUUUCAUGGAAAAAUACUUUACCAUAUAUAGUACAAGGGAAGAGAGCUUCCCGGAGCUUUCAUAUAGAUUUUUGUCCCUUUUAUUUACUCCAAUUCCCCCUUUAAUGGUUACUUACUCCCUAUUGAUGAAAAGACGAGACAGACUCACGGCUUUUUCUCUGUCAUUGAUGCUUAGUUAGAAUGACUAAUGGAUGGCUUCCAAUUAUGUUGCCUAUUUUCGUAAUUUUCUGAUCUACCUGGUUGGUUUAAUGGAUUUCAUGUUAAAACACUUGCACUAUUUAUUUUAUUGUUGAGCUUAACUUUUGUGAUCAAAUUAUGCCCCCAAUGGAUUUAAAAAUAUUAUUUGAUGAAUGUACAAAAAUAGGUAGCGAUGAACAUAUAGCAUGUUACUAUUGACUACUGAGAUUGUAAUCAAUUAUUGUGAUAAAAUAUUAUAACUGAAAACGAACGGACAAUAAUCUGAAAAGCCAGUAGUUUCAACCGAAUGAUAAAAUAUUACAAACAAACAAAUAGCAAAAUAUUACAAACAAAUACAAAAUGUUAUUAAUGCAAUAAUAGCACUUUCAACCGAAUGAUAAAAGUAGCAAGGUAAUGAAAUGAAUAAGAUAACAUAAACUUUUUUAUUUCUUCAUUCUUAAAGCUACUUUUAUACUACGGGUUGCAAUGUUUCAUAAUAAUAGGAGUGACCAAAAGCUCAUGCUAGAUAUAUAUAUGUUUGUGAUAGUCAAAAUCAAAUAAAGUAAAUAAAAAGAAAAAAGAUAAAAUAAAUUAUUUAAAAAUUAAAUACUUAAUUGAAAACAAUAAAAUAAACAGUUUUACCUUGAUAGCAAGUUAAGGGGAAAUAGCUUAACCGCACUCUACUGUAAGAAAUAUAUAGUGAUUUUAGUUUAUGCAAUCCCACUAUUUCUUUUGGUGGCCCAUAAAUAUUAGUCUUCAGCAAUGCCAAAAUCUCAAGGUUUUCCACAUUCCUCAAUGAUGAGAUGUUCUCAAGCUCGCAAUUUAUAAUGCAUAGAGUUCAAAGAUUUGUCAAGAAUUGAAGUGCUUCCAGUGUGAGUACAACAUCUUGAAGAAGUAAAACUCGGAGGGUUGUCAUUCUUUCAAAAAAUCCACACGAAACUCUCAAUGAAAUCUUUAUUUUGAAAAACAAAGUCCUGAGUUUUGAAAAUUUCACUUUAUUAAGAAGAUGAUUGAUUUCAAUGUUCUAUAAGGAGAUUGCUGUAUAACAUCCAAACCUUUCACUCAUAGGCCAUUCCAUCAACCCAUCUUUUACCAUGAAUAUAUUUUCCCCUCUGGAUGUUAUCCAAUGAGCAAAAUCACGAAUCACAUCAUGCAUUUUUACAUGCUCUUUAUCAUUAGCUUCCAAUAAUAAACCAGACUUUUGGAGUUUUGAUAGUGCUAGAUGAAUUUCCCUCCUUAAGUCUUCCAUUAAGUAAUUAUUAUUGAACAAUUCCUGACCAAUUCCACAUAUAGUUAACAACUCAACACUAAUCUCAUAAUCUUCUGGAAAAAGGGAACACAACAAGAAACAUGACUGGAUAUUGUCUUCCUUCAAAUAAUCAUAACUAAGCUUAAGGCAGCUAUAGAUACCUCCGCAAACAUCUUGAUUAUCCAAAUGUCUUGAGCUUUUGAGUCGUCUAUUUGCUGCUAUCCAUCCAUCUAGAUUUUCACCUUUUAGAGCGUUUGCCACAGUUACAAUUGCAAGGGGCAAACCGCCACAUUCAUGAGCAACCUCUUGUGCUACAUUCAAGGUGGAAGAGUCAUCUUUUAGAGCAGCUUUAUCUUUGAAUAAAGCCCAUGCUUCAUCUUCAGAUAGAAUGCUCAGUUUAAAUUCCUUUUAACAAUCCAUUUGACUGCAGACUUGUUGAAGACGUGCAGUGAGAAGAAUUUUGCAACCUUCGUGUUCACCACCAAAUGGAAUUCCUAUAGUCUGCAAUUCAAGUUUUUUCCAAACAUCAUCGAGAAUUAUGAGAAUCUUCUUCUCGCCUUUUAAUCUCCGCCAUAACUCUUCUGCUUUUCCUUUUUCUGUUCUGGCUUCAAAUUUUAAAUCAAAGAGUUCUGCAAUCCUUUCUCUCUCGAAUUUCGUUGAAGUUUGGAGUUUGGGACACUGUAACACUCAAGUAGAAAUCAAGUUUGUACUGCAAUAACCAGAAGCCCACUAGAAGAGGGAAUUAAGAAACAACAAAUAUCUAUUCAAAUAUCCAAGAUGAAAAGAAUAACUUAAUUUGAAAAUAGAAAAUAUGUGUCAAAGCAUCUAAACUUUCAAAUAUCUAUUCAAAUGUAAAACCAAGACAAAUAAACCGCAGAAGAAGAGGAUGAACAUUUACAUAACGAAGGAAAUAUACAUGAACUUUGAGGAGUCAUGGAGAUGACUAAUCAUUGACUAGUUCUCUCUCAGACAGAUUAGAAAAGAAAAAAAGAGAAAAAAGAAAAGGAUGGAGUCAUGGAGAUGCGCUGCUAAGGACCCUGCUGUUUGGCUUUCCAGAAAGUGUUAUGAAAGAGGAUGGAAAUCUAUCUUCUUGGUUUAGUUUCUUUUAUCCUUUGCUUUCAUGAUCUUAUCUUUUACUAUUUUAUAAGCUUUUGAAUAUUAAAAGUUAUGAAUGAAAUAAUUUUUACAAAUAAUUCUAAAUUUGUUAUAAAUAAUUCUAAAUUUGUGGAGAGUAAUUGAUAGAAGUGGCCAUUUUUUAUGGAAUUCAAGGAAAGUGACUUCACAACUUCUAUCAUGACUUUGCAUUGACUUAUGCUAAUGAAGCAUAGUAUUCUCUAAACCAAAUUCACCAUCAUUUUAAAAGCAAGUUCACACCUUCAAUUCAAUUUUUUUUUUGGUCUUACGUCUCCUUUUCUUAAUCAGUAUUUUCCUGGUGUUAUGCAUUCUCGCUGUCAUUUCCUGUCUUCUUUUUGCUUACCCUUCUAUUUUGCUUCAAACAAAUUUUUUUUUUUCAAUUUGUCGUUAAUUAAGAGGAUAAAGAUUGCCAAUGGGACAUAGACAGCAUUGCUAUCAAAGCUUUUCAAUUAUUGAUCUGAUCUCUUUAUUAUUGUCUUUUAGAUUUUUGUCAUUUUGCAAUCAUUUUUCCCUUGGAGGUCCAUUUAUUUCUGAGUUUCUUGCUAGGUCGGUUUAAUGGCUUUCAUGGAAAAAUACUUGCACUUUAUAUUUUAUUUUUUGGACUAAAUUCUGUGUUUAAGGGAUUGAAGCUUUACACUUUGUUUAACACAAGAAAAAAUGCCGAAACACAUUAAAUGAUUCAUAUAGUGCAAGGAUCACGUUUUGCUUGGGGAGAAGUAGAGGUUCAAGGUACAUCUCUACUUUUUGAACAAUCAUUUACGGAUCGUUAGGAAUGUUUUCCUACAUGGCUGAUAAUCUAAUACAAGAAAGAAGAUCAUCUAAGACUAAUUUGUUCUAAUCAAAACUAUUUUGAGUUAAUUUCCACUAGAAAAAUUAAGAGCUUCAAGGAGAAACCUGACCCAUCAAACUUGAUUUGGAUUCAAAAAUGGUUUGGAAUUGAUCAGUGUAUUAAUAUAUUAUAAGCUGUUAUGAAAAUUGUGCAAAAAAUAAUAAAGAUAAAACUCAGAGAAAUCAAGCAAAUAGAAAAACAUAAGAAUUUAUGUGGUUUGCCUUCUUGCUUAUGUCCAUGGAGUAAAACCGUUCUUCUAUUAUUGAGAAAUUAAAGUACAAUAAAUUAACUUCUAUGGUUUCUCAAACCAACCCAAGAUCCCUUGCACACCAUUUUUCAAUAACUUCCUAAGAACACUCACCCAAACCACUUUAGCUCCACCUAGAACAAAAGACAGAGUUACAAGGUGUUUCCUCCCUAGAGCUCUUAAAGCACUACUCACUAUUUUAAAGCCUAGAAAUCCACCUUUAUAAUAUAGAAAUCAAAAGUAUAAUAGGAUUAGGACUCAAUGUGGAAUAAAAAGUUUAAAACCAUACAACUACUCAAUGUUGUACACAAAUAAAAAUCCUAAUCAAAUAAGAUUUAGAAUUCUAGGGAACCUAAAACUCAAAAAAUCUCCACCUUUGACUUGAAUUCAAACUCCUUAAGUCUCUUCCGCUAGUUGCACCCAAUUGUAACUUUCUAACUCCACCUACUUUCCAACACUUUGAACAACUCUCCAAGAACAAGACUUUCCAAACCACCAGCCUUCAAAAUUAUCACAACUACACAUACCAAAUCAAGCAUGGUCCAACACUCGAUUCUAUAGAACGACCAAUGCACCUAUGUAGUCGUCAAGUCAAUGACAGUAAUUGACUUCAGAAAGGAUCUCGACAACCCUUCUAAUUCACUAUUGACAAGAUUUUUCAUCCUUUCACCAUCGUCUACACCAUGGGAAACUUUCAUCACCUCCUCAGCAAAUGAAACUCAUUUUGGUAGCUACCAUCUUCUAUGCACUGUUCUCAUCCCUUCGAGGCCUCAUAUUCUAGACGAUGCAAACCAUUAUGUAAAUUCACCCUCAUCAGGACCAUGUCGUCUUGUGUCACUUUUACCAUCCCAUCAAAAGUAGAAUAUCCAUACCUUUAUGAGUGUAACAAGCUCAAUGAUAUUAGAUUCUUAAACAUCCUUGGGAUAUAGGCCACGCCAUCCAAUGAGUGCAUGACCCUAUCAAACAUUUUGAUAUUCACCACUCCAAGACAAAUGACCUUCACUAUUAACUUAUUGUCCAAAGUCAAAUUCCCAGCUACCCCUUCUUGAAGUAAAUCAAAAUAAUCCUUUUGAUAGCAGAUAUGAGUGCCUAAAGCAAAAUCUAAAUACCAAUAAAAAUUUGCAUCCAUAUUUCUUGAGAUUACAAGGACAUUACAAUCAUCACCUUCAACAACGAAAGCACACUCACCUUUGUUCUCGUCACUUUCAUCCCCUUUUGUAAGAAAAUCCCUUUUAAUAUGUCUAUACCCUUUACAUUGAAAGCACUGAACAUUGCUGGAUCUAGACUUGCCACCUUUAAAUCCCAUGCCAAUUGAUUUACUCCUAUGAACCUCAGUUACCAAUGCCAAGCCACUUGAAUCUCUAUCCCUUUUCUUAUUUUUUUUUCGAGCUUCACAAGACAUUAAUAUUGCUUGUGCUUGUUCUAUCGUUAUUGUAUCUAUCACACAUAUAAAAGAUUCCACAAAUACCUCAUAUGAGUCUGGGAUUGAUACUAGGGACAAUAGUGUGUUUUCCUCUUCCUCCACCUUCACAUUAACCUUAUUCAACUGAUUAAUGAUCCCAUCGAAUUCAUUCAUAUGCUUCAUGAGAUCUCUAUUCUCCUCCAUCUUUAAGCUAUACAACUUUUGCCUAAACUGCAACUUGUUGGAAAUACUUUUCACCAAGAAAAUCUUCUCCAACUUUGGCCACAAUCUUGGAGCAGAAUCCUCAUCAAUAAUAUGGCUAAACACAUUAUCUUCAAUGCAAAGUCGAAUAGUGCUCACACACUUUGCUCCAACUCUGCUUAUUCAACACCUUUCAUGUCAUCUAGUUACCCUUCCUCUUUUCCUAGAAAGGGGUGCAUCAAACCUUGCUGUAUAAGAAGAUCUUUCAUUUUUCUCUGCCACUGUGUGAAACUAGUCUUCCCAUCAAACUCGAUUGAAAAUUUACAGAACUAGUAACUUUUGACAUCCUUAUUGAAUCUUCAAUUUAUUGAACCCAAAGCUCUGAUACCAGUUUGUUAUAAAAAUUGCCCAAAAAAUGAUAAAGAUAAAACCUAGAGAAAUCGAGCAAAUAGAAAAACACAAAAAUUUACUUGGUUCGGCUUCUUGCUUAUGUCCAUGGAGUGAAACUGUUAUUCUAUUAUUGAGAAAUUAAAGUGCAAUCAAUAGACCACUAUGGUUUCCCAAACCAACCCAAGAUCCCUUGCACACUCUUUCUCAAUAACCUCCUAUGAACACUCAUCCAAACCUCUUUAACUCCACCAAAACAAAAGACAAAGUUAUAACGUGUUCCCUCCCUAGAGCUCUUAAAGCACUACUCACUAUUCUAAGGUAUAGAGACCUACUUUUAUAAUAUAAAAGUCCAAAGUAGAAUGAGAAUAUGACUCGAUGUGCAACAAGAAAUUUAAAACCAUACAACUAUUCAAUGAUGUACACAAACAAAAAUUCUAAUCAAAUAAAAUUUGAAAUUCUAGUCAACCUAAAACUCAACAUAAACAACUUUAAUAACCAAGGCUAAUGUGACAAAUUCUAUGCAAUAAUAAAGUUUACACAAUCUCUCCUUAGAAUUUUAUUCUUUUUCUUUAUCAAAAAAUAUGCCUCCUCCUGAUCCUUGUAUCUGUAACAUUAUUUGAUUGGGAGGGUAAAAGAAAAUGAAUCCCCAAUUUUCCCCUUCCUUCUUCUCUUCCCCGUAGAACAUGUGAUAGUGGUUCUACAUUCAGAAAAGCUAAGCUAAAAAUUUUUAAAAAACCAUUUGGAGAUAACACACUUUAUUAUGGAUAUCUCCAUUUUCACUUGUUUCUUUUGAGAAAAGAAAAUUUUUUAGUUGUAUUUAAGAGAGUCUUGUCAGUUGUUUUUCUCCUUGUCAAUUCUUUUGCUUUCAUCUUGAAAGAAUUGAAUCCAACACGAAAGCUCACUUUAACCAAAAAGGGAGAUAUCCGGAGCUUUUUCACAAAUUUUUGAAGAAGUAUUUUGAUUAAUUCUCUCCCGAAAAAAAAAAAGAAGGAAGAUUCUCUGUUAAAGGAAAUUUUAAUUAAUGCAAAAUUAGCUUCAUGUUUGUGAUCUUAAACAUAAUAACAUUUUUUCCAUAAAAUUUAUAAAUCAAUUGAAAACAAAAAAGAAGAAGAAAAGAUCAGCAAGCUUCCUUUGGAUUACUUUAACGAAGCAUAAAUUUCUUUGGGUUUGGGGUAGUUAUGACGUGCUAAAGGUUCUCUGAGAUUUCAUUUUUCUCUGUACAGCACAGAUCUUAGGUUAAGAGUAGAGAGCUUACUUUUGUUUCUUGCUCAGCUUAGGGAAGGAACUGCUACCAUUUUCGCCAGGCAGUUCUCUUGCUAUUUUGUACUUCCCUUAUGCACAAGCCUCUUUAUUAUGCCGACGAAAGUCUUUAGCAAAGUGUCGAAGACUUUGGAUGGUACGAAGACUUGCUGUUAAUAAAACCAUUUUUCAAGAAAAAAAACGAAACAUAAAUUUUCCUUAAACAAAAUUGAUCAUGAAAGAACAGACGUUGAAAAACAUAAUCAUGGGAUGAUCAUGAAUUCCAAAACUGAUGAUGAUUUGUAUUUUUUUUCCUUUCUCUUUUUUAUUAUUUUUAUUUUUUUCCAUCUUUUCCAUUUUUUUAAUUUUAAUUUAUAUAUAUUUUUUUUCUUAAUUUUUUUCUUUGUUUUUCUUUACACAAAAAAACAAAGUUUCUAUUAAAAAAACUUAACACAUCAUACAUCGAGAGACCACGUGAAACGUAAACUUACUCACAACAAGAAAAUCAUUCCUCUCUUUUGUAUAAUUUCUUGAUGCUAUGAACAUCUAAAUUUACCCUUUGUUUGAAUAAACGUGGAAGCCAUCGACACAACUCUGCAAAUCCAGGAGGAAAACACGUUCAUUAGAUUUUCUUAAAUUAAUUCAGGAUUGGGCGGAACACAAUGGAUCAAAAGAGAAUUGAAAAUAAGAGGAAAAAUAAGAAAAGAAAAACUGGAUAUGCAACGCAACACAAAUGAAGAGAAAAAUCAGAACAAAAAAUACUUAUGAAUGGAUGUGGAAACUCAUAAGUGAAAAGAAAGGAAAAUCAAAAUGCUCAGUUAAAUUGAAGUACCAGAAGAUUGGAGCAUUUUCGUCAAUGUUAGUGUUUGGUUAGUACAGUAAUAGUUUAUCCAAAAGGUUAAUCUUCACCUGUGAAAAGCGCAGUAAUUUUAAGCAACUGUUCUUUUUAUGGAAAUUAUUGGUUUUCUAAUAAUGAGCAAUGAUGUACCUCAUUGUUGCCUGGCUAAGUCAUAAUGGACAAACUCUAGUGAACAAAAAAUUCUUCCCGCGGCAGCUUUCUAGUUCAUACACAUGGUGCAGUGAUGGGUGUUGUUUCUUGGGCUGGAAAUGACUUUUAUGUAUGGGAUGAAUAGAAUAUAACACCUCCAACUUUCAUAUUCAAACACUGAACAAAUAAUGGAACAAAAUCAAAAUUCACAUUUUGCUUAAGAAAAAGAAAAAUAAAGGAAAGAAAGAGAAGUCAAUUUGGAUUUGGAUAACUUAUGGUUAUGAUGAUUUAGGGAGUGUCACUAACAAAUCUUUUCUCGAUCCGAUUGAUGGGCCAGAAGAAACCAAAAGAGAGAAAAGGAUGGAGUCAUGGAGAUGCUCUGUUAAGGUCCCUUGGUUGGCUUUCCAGGAAGUGUUAUGGCAAGAGGAUGGGACUUGCGAGGCUGUAAAUGUAUAGGAAAUUUUCCAACUAACCACAAUUGUUCAAAUUCUGCUUCAAAUCUUUUUUAUUUUUAUUAUUUUCUUUUUUGUGCUCCUACCAUUUGAGAAGAAAAUUGAUCCAUUAUUAUGAAGACUUCCUUGUUUAAUCUUGUCAUCACUUAACAAUUUAUUUAAUCUUUUUUAUUGAAGCAUAUUUAUAAUAUAUUGCCCUUGUUUAAAUUACAUAGACAUCAAUAACUUAAAUUAUUCUAGAUAUGAUUGUGUAAGAAAAUUCAUAAUUAAGGAAAGCUUGUAGGAACCUGUUGGAAUGCCUAAUUAAUGAAAUUCAUCAUCAAGUCCUAAAAAGCAUAACUAGCUUUUUGACCACGCUUGUCAUUGGAAAAAUAGGAAAGCCCAAGAAAUGAUGAGUGUACAAAUAAUGAAAUACACAUUUUAUUUAAAUAAAAAAAGAAGAAUCGAAGAAAGGAAGGUCGAUAGACCAAUUUGGAUUUGGAUGACUUAUAGUUAUGAUAACUUUUCUGCAUUGAGAAACACGGUUCAAUAAGUGAUUUAUACUUAUAGUUAUGAUUUGGAUUUGGAUAGGCCAAUAAGUGAGCAACACGGUUCAAUCUCCCUGGGCAUUGAGAAACUUUUCUGCAAUUCACCUUCUCCAUAUAAUCAACGCAAUCUUGGUAGAUAUUUCCUAAAGCACUAGAAAAUUUCUUCUCAUUUAGCUUUUUCACCACUGUUACGUUGUCUAACUCCACCUCUGUUAUUCCCAUAUUUUCUCUACAGAAUAUCAUUAAUGACCGAAGUAGGGACUAUAACUCUACAUCCUCAAUCUUACCACCAAAAUUAAACUUUGCUGUACCUGCCAAAAUCAUUUCACCAUAAGCAUCACGCAGGACAAAUCCUACUCCUAUCAUUGUAACGCCACUAUUGACAAAGAUCGCAACAUCAGUGUUUAAUUUAUUUCUUGCAGCUCUUCUCCAGUGAUCACAAGUUCCUGUUACCAUUUCUUCAUUAAUACCACCCGGCUUGUUGGCACUUCGAAAUUCCCUGCAAAUGUCACACCCCAUCUCCACAACAGUCAUGGGAUCCAAUUUCUACGGUUAGAAAUCCAGCAAAUUCCUAGCCUUUCAUAAAGCCCAUAAUACACAACUUAUUUCUUCUGCAUCCAGUAUUUCAACAAUCAAUACAAACCAAAUUAUCCAAUCAGCAGCCGAAUCAAAAUGGUCUUUGACACCCCGAAAUCCCCACUUAGAAUAAAGCCAAGCAGCUCUUGCAUAUUGACAAUAGCACAAGCAGUGAAAAUCUGUUUCUACUUUCUCCACACAGAAGGGACAUGAUGUUUCCGCAUUAAGAUAGGUGAAAUUCCUUUAAUAGCUUUCCAUGUAAAUAAAAUAUUUUUCCUAAGAAAGGUUCCAUAGCUUCUUCCAGACGGUCACGAAAUUUCCAUAGCUUCAUAGGUAAAAACACUUGAAUAUAGAAAUUUUUGAAUAAUUGAUGUGAUCCCUCAAUUAUUGUCCUUUUCUAUUUUUGUCAUUUUGCAAUCAUUUUCCCUUGAGAUCCAUUUAUUUCUCAGCUACUUGCUUGCUCUGUUUAAAGGCUUUCAUGGAAAAAUACUUUACCAUAUAUAGGACAAGGGAAGGGAGAUUUCCGGAGCUUUCGUAUAGAUUUUUUUCUCUUUUUACUAGUGGGACAUGGAAUCAGGAGCACUUCUUUUAUCAGUUUGUGAAGAAAAAUGAUAAAUUAAUAUGAAGACUAGCUUUGUUUAAUUUAGUCAUCACUUCACAAUUUGUUUAAACUUUUUUACUGAAGCAUAUUUACAGUACAUUGCCCCUGUUAAAUUACAUAACCAUCAGUAACUUAAAUUUUAAACAAAUUUUGCAAUCAUUUUUCCCUUGGAGGUCCACUUGUUUCUUAGCUUCUUGCUUGGUCGGUUUAAUGGCUUCCAUGGAAAAAUACUUGCGCUUUUUAUAUUAAUUUUUUGGAUUAAAUUCUGUGUUUAAGGGAUCGAAGCUUUACACUUUGUUUAACACAAGGAAAAAUGGCGAAACACGUCAAAUGAUUCAUAUAGUGCAAGGAUCAUGUUUUCCUUGGAGAGAAGUAGAGGGUCAAGGUACAUCUCUACUGUUUGAACUAUCAUUUACAGAUCCUUAGGUACGUUUUCCUCCAUGGUUGGUAAUCUAAUACAAGAAAGAAGAUCAUCUAAGCCUAAUUUGUUCUAAUCAAAACUAUUUUGAAUUAAUUUCCACUAAAAAAAGUAAGAGCUUCAAGGAAUAACCUGACCCAUCAAACUUGAUUUGGAUUAAAAAAUGAGACAGAAUUGAUCAGUGUAUUAAUAUAUUAUAAUCAACAUUAAAAACCAAGGCUAAUGUGACAAAUUCUAUGCAAUAAUAAAGUUCACACAAUCUCUCCUUAGAAUUUUACUCUUUUUCUUUAUCAGAAAAUCAUGUCUCCUCCUGGUCCCUGUAUCUAUCUCAUUAUUUGAUUGGGAGGGUAAAAGAAAAUGAAUCCCCAUUUCUCCCGUUCCUUCUCCUCUUCCCCAUAGAACAUGUGAUAGUUGGUCUACACUCUGAAAAAUUAUCUGUAAAUGUGGUUGGUUUUACCUUGUUCCCAAUCCCACCUGAAUUGCAGGGUAGUUAUAGGUAUUAGGACUAUUCUUGACUCUUGUCUUAAUCGAAAUGAGUCUAACGUAGAAAUCAACUUUACUAGAGUAAAAGGGAGAUUCUCCGAGCUUUCUCCGAGUUUUCUGAUUCCUUGAAUCGAACACAUUAUUACUGUCUCCAUUAAUGGAGAGUUUAAUGUCUUUGAAGAAGAAUUAUUGACUUAUUUUCUCUUGAAGAAAAAAAAAAGGGAGAUGCUUUGUUAAAGGAAAUUCUAACUAAUGUAAAAUUGAUUUUAUGUUUGUGACCCUAAAGAUAAUAAUAUCUUCUCUAUGAGAUUUUAAAAAAUCGAAUUACUUUAAUGAAGUAUAAAUUUUCCCUAAACAAAGUUUACCAUUAUUAAGAAGGCAAUUAAGUUUACGCCUUUAUCAAUUUUCUGGGUGCUCCUACACAAAUGAUUGUUAUUAUUAUUCUCACAAAGCAUAAAUGGGACAUAUAUGGAAUCAUUUAUGCACUCUUGAAUUAUUGAUCCCAUUAGAUGACCCAAUUUGUUUUAUCAUCUAUGUAUUUAUAAUAAUUAUAAGCUCCUUUUUAUAGAUAUUUAUGUUUCAAAUCCCUGUGACCAAUUGAAACUACAGAGAAAAAGUUCCAGCAAAAACUUCUUUCCUUUUUUUCUUAUUCAAGUUCAUAUCAUUAGUGGAGGACAAGGGCCCAAACAUCUUUUGCCUUAAGGAACUACUGGCCUCAUUUUUCCUUUCCUUUCUUUUUUGAAAUUGUAAACUUUGUGAUGCGCUGGACAUAUAUAAACACCACUUUCCCUCUGAGUUAAAGAUACUUUAGAACAAAGAAUUGAAUGACGAUGAAAAAAAAAAAUAAGGGUCCAAUCGGCGGUGGCGGAACCGGUGGAGUGCUGCUGCAUCUGACUGGGCGUAGGGACGGGUCGCGGAGCCCAAUCAGAAGGUGGAGGAACCGGCUGACCUAACUGUUGCUGUUGUUGUUGCAUCAUCAUCCACGGCUGCGACUGCGGUUGCUGCUGAUACUGCUGGGUUUGAGACUGAUCAGCUGCCAUGGACUGCGGCGGAGCUACACCUCCUGCUGGUGGUUGUUGCAUCAUACUCUAUAGAUAAGACAGCGGGUAGAGAAUCGAGAGAUCUCAGAGAGAAGGGGAAACCCUAGGUCGAAAUUGAAAUUCUAUAAAGGAAGCAAUUUUUUUUUACGGAGCAGAGGAUGCUUGUCGGGGUGACACGUGGAGAAGAGGAAUUGGGUGGGAGUAAUGGGCUUUUUGAUAUGGUAAAUCGGGUGUUGGUCUUGGAAUGGGCUUAGAUUAGGUUAAAAUUCUGCACUUUUGUUAAUAAAAAAAGUUUUAAAAAGGAAUUUUUAUAGACAAUUGAAAUUUGGUCUUAAUAACAAUAGGAAAAAUUUUAAAAAAUUAAAGUAAUUAAAUAGAAUUGAAAUUUUAAAAUUUAUUAAUAUAAUUUGAUGGUAUAAAAAUUAAUUAUAAUUUUGUUUUUUUUCUCUUAUAAAUUUGAUGACUUAUAAUUAUGAUGAUUUAAAGGAUGCCACUAAUAAAACUUUUCUUAAUCUAUUAGAUGGGAAAAUUUGUUUUAUCAUCCCCUUCUGUCUCAUUAUCUUUGUUCUUUAUUGAUUUUUUGGUUGAAGAAACUCAACUUUGAUCAUUCUUUUAAUAACAUCGUGAAGUUAUAAAUUUUUUUGAAAAUAAGAAUUGCAAAUUUUGAAUUUUAAACUUUUCCAAAAUUUUUUUUGAAUUUUUAAUUUUAUGUAAUAUUUUAAAAUAAUAAUCAAAUUGAGUUCAUUAAUUUGACUAAAAAAAUUAAAUAGAUAUAAACAAAAUGGGAUGGAGAUAGCAUGUAUUUGUAAAGUUCCCUUUUAUGAAUAUUUUUGCUUUUUAGUUUUUGCAAAAAAUGAAUAGAAAAAAAAGGCAAAAUAGAUAGAAAAUAAAAUAUAAAUAGCAAAACAAAAAAAAAAGAGACAAAGAUAAAAGCAUCAAGCUGGUAUGAAAUCUUAAAAAAUAAUCUUGUAAUGUGGAUAAUUAUCAAAAUGAAAUGUAUGAUACAGUUAGAAAUAAUUCUAAGUGCAUGUAGAAAUGAUCCAAUCCCUUCUAAUAAUUCUUAUUGUAAGCAUUAUCUAUUGAGCUUGUAUAUGGAAAUUAAAGUUUAAUUUUCCAUGUCUUAAUUUAAAAUACAAAAAUAAUGAUAAGAAAUAGAAGAAUUUUAGGCUUGUUUUUCUACUUAUUGUACAUAUGGAGAGUAACAUACUAUUGAUUGGAUAAAUGAUUGAAAGCAAGUGAUCCCUGCUCUUGAUAACUCUACAAAGCCAACAUCUAGACCAACAAAAAGCACAAGUGAUUAAUAAAAGUUAGCACAAGUGGACCUCCAAAACUUGAUUAAGACUAGGCGAACAAGCGAAAGAAAUGAAAUAGGAAAGUGGCCUUUGCUUUACCUGUGUUUAGUUGACGGUCCCAACGUACUCAUUGAUGUUUAAACAUGCCUUUGCAACUUCCCCUGCAAUCAUCUCAUAGUUCUUCCUUCCAAGGUGGUAGCACACCAUUAAUGUCCUUCCACCAGAAUAUGGUCCUAGUAUGGACUACAUUUUGAGCAAUGCCUAUCCCUUCAAUGGCGUCUUGCUCAACUAGUUGUGGUGUCUUUUUAAACAAUUGAAAGAGUGAAAUGUAAACCAAAAGUAUGAAUGUCUCAUGUUACGAAGGAAAAAGAAAAAAAAAAGACAUAUUAUAAUUAUAAACAUUUUAGGCCAAAAAUUCAUUAAAAGUAAUGGAAUCAUUCACUAAAAAUGAUAUUUUAGACCAAUCUUUUAGUUGCAGUGUACUACUCAAUUAUUUAAAUAAUUUAAGUAAAAACUUUUAAAAAUUAUGCAAUAUAAUAUUAUUAAAGAUUUCAGUUGUCUUUGCACAUACCAAAUAAAAGCUUGUACUUAAUUCAGUAAUGAAUAAUAAAAGCUCUUAAUCAUCAAUAAUGGUUAUGUUGGGGGGAUAAGGAGAAUGAAGAAGGUAGUUUUAGUUUUUGUGAAUGAUAUUCCUACAAGAGUCCAUGAAGAUGGCUUCAAAGGAUUUGGAUCAAUUUGGAAAGGUUGUCAAUACAUUUGUAGCGAGAAAUAGAAGCAAAUACAGUAAGAGGUAUCGUUUUAUCAUAUUUGAAUAUUUUAAUAAAGCUCGAGGAGCAGUCCAAAAUUUAAAUGGAGUCUGGCUUUUUAACCAAGAGCUAGAGGUCAAUAUAGCUAGCUAUGGAAGCCAUGAUUCAUUCUGAAGGAGGAAGCAAAAAGGAAGCUUCUUAUGCACCUAGUGUUAACCACAUUAGGAACAGAGCCUGUAGUGGGAUUUUGAGACAGAACUUUGCCUUAUUCACUAAGCCAUCUUAUGCUCUGUUAUUGAAAGGUGCUUUUGAAAGAGGUUGAGCUUCAAAUGAAGAGAGAGGAGAUGAUCUUCAAUGUCUUAACAAGCAUGAAAAAACAUGCUUUGGUUGAAGACAAGUGUUGUGGUAACAACAUAAUAUAAUUCAGAUUCAGCAAAUUUAAUGGACUUAUUUAAAAUGGAAGGCAUCUCAGGGCUGCUUAUGAGGAGUUUGUCUCUCAAAGAAUUUCUGCUAACCUUUGAGGAUAAGGAGCUGUUGGAAGAGCUCAAGGAUAAAGGUUGGGAUUGGCUUAACAAAUGGUUUACUAAGGUGGAAACAUAGUUACAGAAUUUUUCAUCAAAACUCCUUAACAAGUGGGUGAUUGCACAGGAUAUCCUUUUAAUGUGUGAAAUAUGCAUAUUAUAAAUUAUAAGCAUUUUAGGCCAAAUUCAUUAAAAGUGAUAUUCUAGACUAAGUUUUUGUUGUAGUGUCAUUCUCAAUCAUUUAAGUAAUUUAAAGACUUUGAAGAUUAUGCCCUAAAAUAGACAAGAUUAAAGUUUUCAGGGUGUAUACCUCUGUUUUGGCGUGCACAUAUUCCUUUGAAUCUAUGAAGAAACCUGUAGUCAUCUUGGGACAUUCUCUUACAUUCAAAUGCCCCAAAGUCGGUAACACAAAGUGAUAUCCCCUUGGGCAAAAGUCAACGAGGCUUGGCAGUUCUCCAAUUGAUAAAUGUUCUAAUUGAUCAAACUUUAUCUCCUUUUCAGUUGUCGCCUCUGCUUCAUCUUCAAGUUCAAAUACUUGCUCCAAUUUAGAGUUACUUCUAACUGUUAAUUGCUUAAGUUUUGGAAGACAACGAGCAGAUCCAAGAGGAAAGAGUCGUUUCAACUUUUUGCAAUAUUGAACAAAAUUUUGGUCAAAUUAGGAAAGCUUAUAGGUUGGAGAUCACCAUCUGAUGAUGAACAAACUUGAUCCUCAGCAAUGAUUUGGUCCAAUUCAUCACAUUUUUCUAUAUAUAGCUCGUCCAACUGUGAUAAACUUCGAACGGUCAUAGGUGAAAAUAUAUAUCUUAGCCUCUUGCAAUCAAUCACCUUCAGAAUUGUAAGGUUUUUAAGAGUUACAACUGAAGCGACAUCCUUCCAUAUAAUUUGCACUUCAAAUAAAUCCUCCAGGUGGAGUUUCUUUAUACGCCCAUGAAUCUGAAAUACCUCUUCAUGACUCCCAACUGCUAUAUAUUCUUGAUUGCAGUUGGCUGAAAUAAGCAAUUGAAAGCUAUUUACCAACUCAGAGAGAUAUAAUUCCUGCAAAUACAGACACCACUAAAUGUCACUAAAUACGUUCCUUUUCUAUUAGAUUGAAAACAGAUGAGCAAAUAUUACUCAUAAUUUUUUAGAUGCCAAUUCACAAAAAAUCCUUACAUUUUUAAUGACAGGACAUAUAUAUGUUUCAAAAUUUAAAUCCAAAAUUUUCAUGAAAUGGUCUGAAAGUGGAAUCCAAAGACAUCUAACCUUUUUUCAAGUUUUUCUCUGUUAAUUUUUAACAUAAAACCAUUUAUGGCUUUCCUUGUCUUGUGUUUUUUUCUUUGUCAUUUUUUCUUUAAGCAUGUUGAUUUGAAAAGUAUAGAUAAAGUGGUAAAGUGUUAAUUUUUUUUAAUUUACCUAAAUUACAUAAAAAAACAUAAAAGAAAUGAACCCCCCUGGAAAGCCUAACUUUCUCAAUCUGUUUCUCUUGUCUGCAACAGAAAGUAGAAACACUUUGAAUAAAAUAAAAAAAAGGGAACUCAUGGCCAAGAAGAAAAAGAAAACUUAAAUUGAAGAAGAAAGAGAAAAUUCGAAUCAGAGAAAGCAAGAGAAACUAGAAUCGAAGAAGAAAAAGGAAGCUCGAACAAGAAAAAAAGCAAGAUUUGUCGUCGUGAAGAAAAUAUAUGAUGAACCUCAAUUCAGAAACAAGGACAAGGAAAACCCAAAGAUCCCCACAAACAAAUUAAUUGUUUGUGAGUGUUGAAAAAAAGAUUUAGCUCAAAGGCAAAAUCCAAAACCAUAAUUGAAGGAAAAGUGUAGAAAGAAAUACCUCUAGCUGAAUUUGCUCAUUAACUUCUUUUUGAAUAGUGAAAUUUCUCAAUUUAGGACAGUUGCAAACUUCCAACUUCUCUAAGGAUGGUGAUGAGAUGAGAAAGUUUUCCGAACUCAAAUUUAUCAAGUUUACAAGUUGAAAAUCUUGUAGGCAAGGGAGUCUAAUGGCACGAUGAGUUGGCCCUUUCCAUAUGCUCUCCAAUGCUGGUAAUGACUGCAGCUUCAACCUUCUUAAAUUUGAGAGUGGUACUACCUAAUUUACCUCACAUAAAAAAAAUAUAAAAUUUAUCCAUUAAUAAAUAAUGAAAAUGAAUUCUUUAUACUUGAUCUUAAUUAUUGAGAAGAAAUACAUUUUUUUAAAAAAAAAGUAGAAAGAAGUAUUAAAAGUUAAUAAUUUAUAAAAAUUAGAUAGUAAUUAUUUAUAUAUUUGAUAAUUCAAAAAAAAAUCAUUAGAAAAACAAUAUACGAGAGCAUUAUUAAAGGAAAAAUGGAGAGAUAUGAGGUACCUUCAGGUCAGCCAUUUCUUUGUCAAAAGCAAAGACUUGCUCUAAUUUUUCGCAUUUAGAUAUCUCAAGUGUUUCUAAAUGCAACAGACUUUGAACAAGGUAAGGUGAGAAGAUAGAUUUCAGUUUAUCACAACCAUCAAUUGUUAAUUCCUUCAGACUUUGUAACCUUACAUGAUGAGUUGGCUCUUUCCAUAUAUUCUCUAAUGCUGGCAAUAACGUCAGCUUCAAACUUCUUAAAUUGGAAAUUGUGCACGUCGGACUUUCUUCCUUUCCAAAAAGCCAAUUCAUUUGAAACACUGAUUGCAACUGCUUACAAUCGACAAUGCUCAAUGUUUCUAACUUUUUUAAGAAGCUAAUCGGUGAUUGACCAUGGCACAACUCUUUCAAAGAAGUCAUGAAUCUAAUGUCUAACUUCACCAAAUUAGAGAAUGCAGUGGUUGGACUUUGUUCUCGUGUUGUAUCGAUCAAGCAUUCCAGAUUUUCACAAUAUAUAAGCUCAAGAGAAGUUAAUUCCUUUAGUCCCUGCUGAUCUACAUUUGGAACAAUAUUUUUGUGUUCCAUGGUGACCUCGGACAGAGUAAGCUUUUUCACAUUGCAAAACAGCUCCUUAAAUGCAUUUAAUGAGGAUGAGAAAUCACUAAUUCUCAAGGUUCUCAAGCUCAGCCCUGCCGAAUCUUCAAUAUCAUCAAAAUUUACAACUAUAUUGUAGUUUUGAAGUUUAGGGAACACAAAGUUUUCUUGAGAACAUUGAUCAGUAGAAACUGACAGUGUUAAUGCAGUCAAACCAGUCAAUGAAUUAAGCUCCAAUAAGUUAGCAUUGUUUCUACUUGUCACGUGUAGCUCUUGGAGUGAGGCCAACCUGUUACAAACAAAUACAAAAUGUUGUUAAUGCAAUAAUAGCACUUUCAACCGAAUGAUAAAAAUAGCAAGGUAAUGAAAUGAAUAAGAUAACAUAAACUUUUUUAUUUCUUCAUUCUUAAAGCUACUUCUGUACUACAGGUUGCAAAGUUUCAUAAUAAUAGGAACGACCAAAAGCUCAUGCUAUAUAUAUAUAUAUAUAUGUUUGUGAUAAUCAAAAUCAAAUAAAGUAAAUAAUAGGGAAAAAAGAUAAAAUAAAUGAUAUAAAAUUAAAUAACUGAAAAUAAUAAGAUAAACAGUUUUACCUUGGUAGCAAGUUGGAGGGGAAAUAGCUGUGUGGCACUCCAUCGUAAGAAAAAUAUAGUGAUUUUAGUUUAUACAAUCCCACUAGUUCUUCUGGUAGCUCAUAAAUAUUAGUCUUCAGCAAUGCAAAAAUCUCAAGGUUUUCAACAUUCCUCAAUGAUGAAAUGUUCUCGAGCUCGCAAUUUAUAAUGCACAGAGUUCGAAGAUUUGUCAAGAAUUGAAGUGCUUCCAGUGUGAGUACAACAUCUUGGAGAAGUAAAACUCGGAGGGUUGUCAUUCUUUCAAAAAAGGCACACGAAACUCUCAAUGAAUUCUUUCCUUUGAGAAACAAAGUCUUGAGUUUUGAAAAUUCCACUUUGUUAGGAAGAUGAUUGAUCUCAAUGUUCCACAAGGAGAUUGCCGUAUAACAUCCAAACCUUUCACUCAUAUGCCAUUCCGUCAACCCAUCUUUUACCAUGAAUAUAUUUUCCCCUCUCGAUGUUAUCCAAUGAGCAAAAUCACGAAUCACAUCAUGCAUUUUUACAUGCUCUUUAUCAUUAGCUUCCAAUAAUAAACCAGACUUUUGGAGUUUUGAUAGUGCCAGAUGAAUUUCCCUCCUUAAGUCUUCCAUUAAGUAAUUAUUAUUGAACAAUCCCUGACCAAUUCCGCAUAUAGUCAACAACUCAAUAGUAAUCUCAUAAUCUUCUGGAAAAAGGGAACAUAACAAGAAACAUUGCUUAAUAUUAUCUUGAUCCAAAUAAUCAUAACUAAGCUCAAGGCAUCUAUAGAUAUGUCCACAAACAUGUUGAUUAUCCAAAUGUCUUGAGCUCUUGAGUCGUUUAUUUGCUGCUAUCCACCCAUCUUCACUUUCACCUUUUAGAGCGUUUGCUACAGUUACGAUUGCAAGGGGCAAACCGCCACAUUCAUGAGCAACCUCCUUUGCCACAUUCAAGGUGGGAGAGUCAUCUUUUAGAGCAGCUUUAUCUUUGAAUAAAGCCCAUGCUUCGUCUUCAGACAGAAUGUUCAGUUUAAAUUCCUCUUGACAAUCCAUUUGACUGCAGACCUGUUGAAGACGUGUAGUGAGGAGAAUUUUGCAACCUUCGUGUUCACCGCCAAAUGGAAUUCCUAUAGUAUGCAAUUCAAGUUUUUCCCAAACAUCAUCGAGAAUUAUGAGAAUCUUCUUCUCGCCUUUUAAUCUCCGCCAUAACUCUUCUGCUUUCCCUUUUUCUGUACUGGCUUUAAAUUUUAAACCAAAGAGUUCUGCAAUCCUUUCUCGCAUUUCGUUGAAAUUUGGAGUUUGGGACAAUGUAACACUCACAACCUUAUCAAAAAGCUUUUGUUCUGUAGCUUGCUUCAGUACUACUUCCGCCAAAGUUGUUUUACCCACUCCUGGCAUUCCGUGCAAUCCAAUCAUGUUCACACCAUCGCCUUUCAAAGCCUUCAUGAUCCCGUUGAAAGCUAACGUUGAAGAUUUGGAACGCAUGAAAUCCUUGGGUAGUAGCAACUCUAUUCCUUGAAGAGGAGGACGCUGGCCGACUCCUUGAAAAUUACAAGCCUCUGCUAAAAGUUGAGAGAUAUAAAGUGUCUUCUUCGCUACUUUCUUACUUAAACAGUAUCGCCAGCCCCAACUAGGACACCAAUUGAAACAAUUGUUACGCUCUAUUUCUUCUUCCAAACCUUGAGCUUCUCCCAAUUCUUUCUCUGCCUUUGUUAGCCACUCCUCAACGUCCUUCUUAAUUACCUCAGUUUGCCUUAAAGCCUCAUCGACAUCACCUUGCACCUGAUCUUUUUUCGAUUGAAGUGCUUGUCGCUGCUUCUUGAAAUCUUCAACAACUUUGGCAAAACGGAAAAAGUAAGUGAGAUAAGGUGAUGCGUAUUCUGUUGCCAGAUUCCCUACGGUAUUGGCAGCAGCAGCAGCAGCAAAUUCAGCAGCCAUUCUUUGGUGAUCUGUGAUUGAAAAACAACUUUGAUGAGUAAAAGGUUUUACAAAGAGACACAACACUGCGGAAGGAGGAAAUAUAAAUAUAAAUCUAAACCUGCAAAUAUCUACUCAAAUAUAACACCAAACAAAUAAAUCAGAGAUGAAAAAGAUGAAGAUUUACAUACCAAGACGAUUUUCAGGAGCCGAAACCUGCAAAUAUCUUCUAUUUUGAUCCACGCAAACUCACAAAGUGGGUUAAGGGUUUUUUUUUUUUUUUUGAAGUUGAAACAAAACGGAAGUAGAAAUGAACUUUGCACUGCAAUGAUAAAAAAUAACAGACUUUCACUUGUAAAGAUAAUUCUGCUUCUGACAGAGCAAAACAUAUUAUGUAUUAAUAUGGAGAAUUUAAUAUGUAUUCUUGAAGCUUAGCUCACCUCGAAUGGAUCUUCUAAAGCUUUGUUUUUUUAGAUAGAAAGCAGAGAAACCAAAAAACUAGAGAUAGCAGCUUUGAUUUUUUUUUUUUUGGCUUUGUGGAGCAAGGAAAGGAAAAGUAGGGAUCAAAGAACAGUUUUUUGUUUUUUUUUUUUUGAGUUAAAAGAAAAUGAGGAUAAUAAGAUAUGAUCAUUGUCUUAAGAUUUUAUUUGAAGGAAAAGAAGCACUUUUUUGUAGUAAUGUAUUUUUCCAACAAUUACUAGUCAUAUUUCAAUAAUGAGAAAUUUUUUAUUAAAAUAUUUCUAUAAUAUAAUGCCCCUUUUUUUGUUAUGUUGACCUCAAUAAGUUAUAUUUUGAACUAAUUGAAGUAUAAAAAAUUAUCCAAUAAACUGUCAUGGAAUUUAAAAACUUCAUCAAUGGAAUUAGAAAGUUGUCACAUAUUCAUUAGGAUAUAUUUGAAAAAAUUAAUAAAUUAAUCUGAUAAAUGAAAGGAUAUUAAUUUGACAAUAUUUUAAUUUUACUAACAAAGUUAAAAUCUCACCGAGGAUGUAUACAAUAAUAGUCCUCAAAAGUCAAAAUAAUCCGUUUGUUUUUACAAUUGAAGGACAUUGAUCAUUACAUGCAUUAGUAGUGAAGAUUUGUUGCUUUUCCUUGAAAGAUCAUUACUUUUUGUGCUUAAUUACAUGCUUUUGUUCGGCUUAUAUAUAUAAAUAUAUAUAUAUAUGCUUUCAUUAGUGCUCGUUGAAUUAUGGCAAUAAAAUGUUUAAUAGAGGUGAUAUGAAUAAAGUGACUAUCCAGAGAUAUUGCAUUGUAUCUUUUCUGCUUAUUGGGUUCCACUGCUUGGAGCAUUUCUGCAGUUUCUGUAUACUUAUUUACUCCAAUGGUUACUUACUCCCCAUUGAUGAAAAGACGAGACAGACUCACAGCUUUUUCUCUGUCAUUGAUGCUUAGUUAGAAUGACUAAUCGAUGGCCUUCAAUUAUGUUGCCUAUUUUCGUAAUUUUCUGAUCUACCUGGUUGGUUUAAUGGAUUUCAUGUUAAAACACUUGCACUAUUUAUUUUAUUGUUGAGAUUAACUUUUGUGAUCAAAUUAUGCCCCCAAUGAAUUCAAAAAUAUUAUUUGAUGAAUGUACAAAAAUAGGUAGCAAUGAACAUAUAGCAUGUUAGUACUGACUAUUGAGAUUGUGAUAAAAUAUUAUGACAAAAACAAACGGACAAUAAUCUGAAAAGCCCGUAGGAACCUGCUGACAUGAUAACUAGCUUUUUGACCACGCUGGUCAUCUGAAAAAUGGGACAGCCCAAGCAAUAAUAUACCUAGUUUCUUCUUUUUCUCUUCCUUGGAGUUAAAAGAGAAGCAAAAAUGAAGAUAAAUACUUCUUGACUUGGAAGUUGCAUGUGAGAACAAUGCCAAAACUCAAAAAAGGAGAAGAAGGAAAUUAUGAAGGAAAGUGUGCACGCACUAUCAGGAAAUCAUGCCUCCCUCCUAGUCCCUGUAUCUAUCCCAUUAUUUCAUUUCAGAGGGUAAAAGAAAAUGAAUUCCCCUUUCUCCCCAAAGAACAUGUGAUAGUGGGUCCACACUCUGAAAAGUUCUGUAUGAAGGAAGAAAUAGUUAUGGUUAGUCGUGACCUGCUUGAUUGUCUGCGUUCCAAAGCUAACAAAGAAACGUCAAUGUGGAACUAAGAAAUUUCUCGACCCUUGUCUUGAGAGAAUUGAGUCGAACGUGGAAAUCAAAUUUAUCAAAGCAAAAGGAAGAUUCUCGGAACUUUCUUGAUAUUUUUGAUUCAUUGUGGAAUCAAACACAAUAUCAAUGCCACCAGUUAUGGAGAGUGUACUGUCAUUAAAGAAGUAUUAUUAACUAAUUCUCUCUCAAAGAAUAAAAAAAAGGAUGAAGAUGCUCUACUAAAGGAAAUUUUAACUAAUGCAAAAUUGGUUUCAUAUUUGUGAUCUUAAACAUAAUAAUAUCUUCUCCAUAAAAUUUAAAACAUUAAAUUAUUUUAAUAAAUAAAAUAUAAAUUCCACUAAACAAAAUUUUAAGCACAAUAUCCACCACCUUGAUCCUUGGAGGCCAAUCCCUGUGAGAACAACAACCAGAGCAGAGCGCGAGUAAGCACCCACCAAGAGAAUAAACAAAAUUGAUUACAUGAAGGACCCCUGUAACAAAAGACAAUGCAGUGUGAACAAUCAACAAACGAUGGCCCCCAGAAGCAAUCAAAAAACUUGUCAAGAGCAGCCGCUAAAGAAAUUAAGUUCACACUUUUAACUUUUUCCUUGUGCUCCUAUAUAUGCAAAUGGGCGGUGGAAUCAUUGAUUCACUUUUGAAUUAUUAAUGCUUUUUUUUUUGUCAUAUUUCCAUUACUUUUCAGUAUUUAUUUUUGACCUAUUUAGUUGAUUUACAUGAAAAACAAUUGACUCUUUUUAUAAGCAAAAAUUAUUAUUAUUAUUUUAUAAAUGUCGUUAAGAGUAAACAUUUGACUCUCUUUAUUUAUGAUUCUUUUGUAAUUAAGCAUUACUUGGUGAAUUCUCCUCUAAUAAUGAGUAAUGACCUACUUUUAAGUUGUUGCCUGCCUAAAUCAUUUAAGUUGGACGUGGAAAAAAAUUUAAUGCCAAUAUUGCAUGUAAAGUUUGCAGAUGCAUACUCAAAUGCAAAAACCAAGAGCCAUAGAAGAAAAUGAUGCACGCAUAUACCAAGGAAAGAUGGAGUUUGAGAAGCCAAGGGUAAGCUUCUAUUUUUAUCAAAGAAAACUGAAAUAGAAAUCAAGUUUGCGCUACAAUAAUCAGAAGCCCGCUAGCAGAGGGAAUUAAGAAGCAACAGUUAAGUCUUCUUCGGCUAGCAAGAACAGUUGAAUACAGGAGAGAAAAUUUUGAAAAGAUGAUGUGAUCCCUCUAAUGUUGUUCAUUCUAUUUUGAAGAAAUUGUGAGAAAAAAACCUCGUGAUAAGGUGAUUUUAGAAAUAACCACUCAUAUAAAAUUAUCUGUUUCUAGCAAAAAAUAUGCAUAAGUAGACGAAAAUGCCCUUAAAAACAUCGUUUCAAAUAAAUGCUUAGCUGUUUGAGCUAUCUGCCUCUAUCUGACUCCCACCAGAGAGAAAAUAAAAAAAAUAUAAAUAAAUGCGCUCAGCUGUUUGAGGUCGGUCAUCUUUCUCUCUCAACUCUGGCAAGUCUCUGUUGAGCACUAUCGUCAUCAGCUCUCUCAAAUCUCUGAACUGUAUUAGCUCUGUCAACUCUCUAUUGAGCACCAUCGUCAUCGGGUUGUGGUCUAUCUCUCGGCAUCUAGCCACAUUGUCAUAGAUUAACAGACCCUAUAGCAGAAAUUACAUCAAGGUACUUGUUAUUAGGUUUAUUUUUGCAACACACUUAAAUUUCUGAAACAUUUGGUGUAAAUUAGAAGAUGAAUUAGAAACAUUGCCCAGAGUUACGCGCCAUGCAUCUAUAACAUGUGUUAGCGUUAUUAUUUUAGCGUGUCAAGGUUGUUCCUAGCGUGUCACGGGUUAACUAGUUUUUUGGGUUUUGGGCGUGUCACAGCUGUUCUUGACCUAUCAUGGGUUAAUUGGUUUUUUGGUUUUCGGGCGUGUCACGGCUGUUCCUAGCGUGUCAUGAGUUAACUGGAUUUAUGGGUUUGGGGCGUGUCAUAGCUGUUCUUGGCAUGUCGUGGGUUAACUGAAUUUUAGGUUUUGGGCAUGUCAUGGCUAUUCCUGGCGUGUCGUGGGUAAAUUGGUUUUUUGAGUUUUUAUAGUGUCACGGCUGUUGGUGUAACGAGUCAGUAAUUACAAUGAUUAGCGCGUCACGACAGUGAUGCAUGGCGUGUCACGAUACUGAUGCAUGGCGUAUUACGACAUUUGACUUGAUAUGCAUGGCGUGUUACAAUAUUUAACGUUAUAUGCAUGACGUGUAACAACAUGACUGACAAAUUUUUGAUCACGGCAUGUAUUGUGUAAAAUUAUUGUCAAUAAUUUUGUUUUCAAAUUUUCAGUGGGUUCUAAUUGUGUGACUUGUGAUAAGACAUGGUGGUCAGUGGGUGGAUGGCAUUUACAAAGGUGGUGAGUCACGAAUAUAGGGGGUUAGGAGUGAUUUGUCAUUUGCGGGCUUGAUGAAGCUGGUUGAAGAUGUUGGGGUAAACUAAACAAUUGACGAGAUUGAGUUACAUGCAUUGAUCAGUACACCCGGAGAGCUAUCACGGCCAAUUAUCAAAGACGAUGAGGAUGUUGCAUUAAUUCUGCUAGAACAGAGGAAUGUUCCGGUUGUGUAUGUCAGCAUUAAGGGACGUCAACCAAAUGUUAUGUCACAUGAAAAAGUUAGACAAUAUGGUAAUCAGCUCAAUCAAAAUGAGAUUUAUAAUACUUCACAUAUACCACAGUAUUCGGUCCGUAACCCACAACAAUGGCAAUUGAGGUAUACACAAGAGUUUGUGCAGCUUGGUAGACAAACAACAUUCACAGAACAGUUGGCUGCACAAUUUCGAUCAGGAUGUGCAUCAAACCAAUUUCUUGCUUCUUUCGAACAAAUGCAACGAUCGGGUGAAACUGUAGAGUCUGUAAUACCAUUGUCGAAUGAGAAUACGACACUUGAGGACAAUAAUGUGAGGUUGGAGGGUGACACUGCGACGCUAGAGGAUAAUACUGCAUUUGAUGAGGGAAAUGAGGAUUUGUUAGCUGCCGGUGAAGAUAAAUUGGAUGACACUUCAGAUGAUGGGCUUGAACAAUUGCAAGAUGAUAGUUUAGACAAUGACUGCCUUUAUGACAGUGGCAUUCCAAUUUGGAAUAAUGUUGAAGGCGAAACGAAACCUGUUGGAGGUGUUGAUGUAGGGGAUGUUCAGUGUGAUGACCCCAUAUACAAUAACCCCAUUGCUGGUGUGUAAAACCCGACCCUAUAAACACAUGUCAUGACAUACAUGCAUUGAAUAACAUGUUAUUACGCUAAGAAAGCCCCUAAGAAUAGACGAAACCCAGUAUUGUACCUAACGGUACACUUGAGUUGAUUUAACCUCGAACUAGUUUAAAUAGAAAUCGUAGGAUGAAAUUUAAUAUUUUACAGUCCAAGAAUGACUAAAAAUGAUUAUUCGGAGUUCAAGGGUUCAUUUGGAAAAAUUGGAAAUUUUGAUGUUUAGGGGUAAAAUCGUUAUUUUGCCACCUAAGAUAAUAAUUUGAUCAUAGAGUGAAAUUUUUGACCAAGAUUAACUAUUUGGAGUAUAAUUUAAUGAUAGGAAGUGAAAAAUUUCAAUUCCGAUAAUUUUUGAAACAUAGGGAUAAAACGAUAAUUUUAUCGUCUCGGGGUAAAAUCAAAAUUUUUACCACCCAAAACUUGUCAAAAUCAUAGGAUUUAUUUAUCUUUGGUAUGAAUAACUAUGGUAUUUUAAGUGGUGAAAAAUUAAAGUUUAAAGGAUAAAAUUUUAAAAAUGGGCCAAUGGGAAAGUGACACAUGACACUUUUUAAUGAUGUAAUAUUAUUUUAAUGAAAAGUCAGCCCAUUUAAACCCCAUAUUAAGUGAUGGCCAACCAUAAGGAGAGAACAAGAGAGAAAAUAGAGAGGAAAGGAAGAAAAGGGAAAAACCAAAGGAAAACUAGAAAAUUCAAAGGGGAAAUCGCAUUUUUCAUCUGUUUACGAGUCUAACGGUAAGAUUUUUCGACUUUAGCUUGAUUUCUACCUUUCUUAUGCCUUUAUUUCCAUUUAGCAUGCUUGAGGAGAGAGAUUAAAAAGUGAAACCAAGGGCUGGCCGAAUUUCGAGGGGAGAGAUUUUGAAAUUUUUAGGUUUUGAUUCUUAGUUAAAUUAGUAGUUUUAGUUAGUUAAAUGUGUAUAGAAAUCAAAUUGGGCAAGAAAGCAUGAAAUUCUCACAAUACCCACCCUUGGCCGAAUAUGCAUUGAUGUNAAUGAUGAUGAUCUGAUUUUUUAUUCUAAGAGAAAUGAAGAGAAAAUGAUGAAAAAUAGUUAAAUGUGAUAGAAAAACAAAGUGAAAAAUUAAUCGAGUAAAUGUCCCAUUUUUGACCGAAUUUUUCAAGGAGGAAAGUGAGCUGAUUUUGGUGAUUUUAGAAGGUUAUUGGCUGAUAUUUAAUGGUUAGAAAUGUUGGAGAGAAAAUGGAACAAUUUAGAGCUAAAAUGGAGCGCGUUAGCAAUUUAACGGGUAAAGUGUCAAAAAUAGGUUAAUACCGUGUUUAAGCCGUUUUAGGCUAUUGCAUUUCAUACCAUGCAUUAGUAUAGGAUCUAAGUCAAUUAUAUAGUGAUUUAACAUCAAUGUGGUGAAUUGUGUAAUUUUUGCAAUGUGUCUAGGAGGAGAGCCUUCCGGUAAGGGCAAGAAAGUUGUACCCGACAAACAGUGAUCGGGGCACCUAAAAAGCAUUUAAUUUGUACAAACGGUGAGUAAACCUAUUAUUAUUGUAAAUUAUCUAGAGUUUAUUUUUAAAUGCUCAUUAUUUAUUUUAUGAAAUGAAAAUGAGAUUAAAAUGAGACUUUUGAUGUUUUAGAAACAAAUGUGCCAAAUAAAUAUAUUGUGUUGAUUAUCUGAAAUAAGAAACUUUUAAUCAUGAAAUUGAGUAAUUGGAGGCUGCCAAUUGUCUUGAAAAAUAUAUUUUCCUAUGAAUGGCUUAUGAUAUAUGAGUAUAUGUGGCUAUAUUUUAUAAUUGUAUUGAAAAUUUAUUUAAGCUGUCUUUUACUAUGCAGGCUGGGUAAAUAAAUAAAAGCUACAUUAUAUUGUCGAAAUUUUAUUAAAAUUGAUGGGUUUAGUCACUGCAAUGGCGGGUUUUCGUGGACUGCCUAUUAGAAGGGUAUGGUAAACUCGGUUAUAUAGUUACUCCAGAUGUAGAGGCGAGGAGGGUAACUCCCGGGGUAGUGUUAGAGCUCACUUCACGUCGAACCCCCAUGUGAAUAUGUAACUCAGUCAACCCCAAGGAACGGCUUGUUUUCAAAACUAACAUGUGUUUAACAUGUAAAUAUCUUAACAACCUUGGCGGACUCGGUUAGAUGCCUCGACCAAGGUAUCCUCGAUGAUUAGUUUUUGGCUUGAGCCCUAUUUUUAAUAAAAGUCAUAAGCUUUAACAACUGUUUUGGUAAAUUACAAAUAUUUUAUGGUUUAAAAAAUAAAUUGAAAACCGUAUGAAAUGGUUUGUGAUUUGUUGUUUAAAUUUACCUCCAUUUUACUCGCCUUUAGAUAUUUAUGAUAAUGUUUGUUUACUCAUUGGAAUUGUAAAAUCUCACCCACCUCCUUUCCAAAUAUUUCAAGCCUGUGGUAGCUUGUAGAUACCCGAUUUUGUCGAGGAUUCUAGUUGACCCCUCUAUCCCACAGACAGUAGGUUACUACCACCAACACUUGGUGUAUUUAUGGGCCAUUUGUUAUUGUAAUUAUUAUUAUACAUUAUAACUCUGUAAAUUAUUAUAUGUAUGAAUUUGUUUUACUUAUACGUGUUUCUAUAAAUAUUGUUUUAUAUAAAAAUGUUAUAUUUUAAUCAAUAUUUUAAAUAGUAAUAUUUGUCUAUAAAUCUUUUUAAAAUAAUUUUAUCUUUUGAUUUACUUGAGCCGAAAAUGAUUGGUAAUUGUUUAAAACAGAAUGUUUAACAACGAUUGCUCACAGGAAAGGCAAGAAACUGAUACGUAAGCCUUGAGGGGUUCCGAUUGGCAUUCCGGGUAAUGAGUGUAAAUCGAGACGUCGCGGUGGUUGUCAUGGGCCCAAGGGAGGUUUCGGAUCAUGACAUGGUGAGAACGAGGUUCGUUCCCUUAAUACAUUGGUCGUUGAUAGUGAUCAGGAAAAGGGAAAUGCAGGGAUAUCUCGUAUGUGGGUAAUUGCAGGUGCAGAAAAGUUCUCUUUCCAAACAAUUACCACGAGGAGUCGACAUGUGCCGAAGAUUGCUUAUACAAAGGAAGAAUGUUUUCGUCGAAGGCCGAGUUGAAACGAGCUUUGAACAUGUUAAUUGUAAAAGAGAAGUUUGCGAUAAGAGUAAAAAGGUCAUGUAAAGCUCGUUAUGAGGUUGGUUGCAAGGACAAGGCAUGCAAGUUCAGUGUGUGUGCAACGAAGUUACCUAAUAGAGGAGAAUAUUGGCAAGUUCGGACAUUUCACAAUGUACACACUUGUACCAUUGAUGGUUUGUAAGGGAAGUUUCCAACUACGAGUGCGAAGAUGAUUGGUGAACUUAUGUCACACAAGCUUCGGGCUAAUGGAGUAGCAUUGAGACCUAAGGACAUAAUUUGUGAGAUGAGGGUUAAGUGGGGAUUGGAAUGCUUGUAUGGUAAGGCUUGGCAAGCGAAGGAGUACGCGGAGAGGCUUGUUUUCGGUCCACCAGAGGCGUCAUUUCAACUACUACCCUCGUAUUUUUUUAUGUUGGAACAAGAAAAUCCUGGCACAGUGACUGCAGUGGCUACUGAUGAGACCGAAAGAUUCAAAUAUUGUUUCUAGUCAUACAAGGCUUGUAUUCAGGGGUUUACGGAUGUAAUGCGUCCUACGAUUGCAAUUGACGUGACACAUCUCAAAGGUAAGUUCAAGGGUGUUCUGUUUGUCGUUGUAUGCAAAGAUGUGAAUGAGUGCGUAUAUCCAGUUGCGUUUGGCAUCGGCCAUGUUGAGGACGAAGACUCAUGAACGUGGUUUCUUAGCAAGCUGCAUGAUGCGGUUGGUUGUCCUAAAAACACUAUGUUCAUUUUUUAUCAGCAUCUUGGCAUUAAGAAAGCAAUCCAAAAUGUAUACCCAGAAGCGCACCAUGGUUUAUGUGGUUGCAACUUGAAAAAAAAACUUUAAAAACAAGUUCAAGCGUGACGAUGUUUGUAUGCUUUUCACCCUUGCUCAAGAUUACUAUAAGGUGGCCGAUUUCAAUAGACAUAUGAACCAACUACAGUAGAUUCACCCGGGAGCCCACGUUGACCUUAUGAGAAUAGGGCCUGAGAGAUGGGCAUGUGCAUGUUCACCGACAAGGCGAUACCAAAUGAUGACAUCCAACAUUGCGAAAUAUGUUAACUCAUGCUUGAAGCAUGCAAGACAAAUACCGAUCACUGUUUUGAUCAAGUUCAUCAGAGACAUGUUCCAGUGUUGGUUCCAUGACCUGUACUAGGAGGCCGUCAAAGUGACAACACCCCUCAGCCCUUGGGUUGCUAGGUAGUUGAGCAAACGGUUCAAUGAUGCACAUCGCUUUGUAGUUAAGCCUAUCAAUCGAGCGAAGUUUGAAGUUAAAGACGGGAAGAUAAACGGACUUGUAAACCUGUUUAGGAAGACAUGUUCAUAUUGUGAGUUCCAAACAGAUUUGCUGCCAUGCAGCCAUGCCAUUGCAACAAAAAAGUUAGAAUAUCAUUAUUUCUUAUUUGAAUCGUAAUUGACAUAACAUUAACAUUGUGCUUGAAGAUUGAGUUUAUUGUAUUUUUUAGUCAAUGCAAUCGUGAAACCAUUGCAUUCUACGCUGACUACUACAAGACAACCGUUUUGGUGGAGGGUUAUUCAGGAUCCAUUAGGCAGGUAGGGCAUCUUAAUGAGUGGGACAUCCUCCCUUAUGUGACACAAAUUGUCGUCUUGCCCCCACUUUGGCGAGGCCAAGCGGGAAGACCUAGGAGGAGAAGGAUUCCAUCAACUGGUGAAAAUAGUCAAGCACAGAGAUGUUCGCAAUACAAAAGGUAUGGGCAUAACAAACAUAAUUGCCCAUCCCCAUUUACAAUUCCAUCCACAAAUCCGGCACCAUCUCUAAGUCAAUCGACUCCUCCACGAGUGCGCUGACCCAAAGCAUGUUCAAUUUGUAGACAAACCGAUCACACCCGCAAGACCUGUCCAAUACAGAGUACAAUGUCUGAAAAUGUAAGGUGUGUUAUGGAUGAAGACAACUUGUCUGCCUAACUCAAUGUGUAACCCAUGUGCAGUACCUUGCUCACAUACAUUCGAUCACAAUUUCCUGUGGUAUUAUCAUAGUCUUUGGCCCACUGAAAUGGGUUUAUCUUUUAAUAUUGGUAGCCAUUCCAUGCUUAUUGUUGCUUCAUAAGAUUUGUGUAGCCACUUGUACUUAAUGUUGUAAUUGUAGUUGAACUAGUUUUGCUUUACGAAUUUGUCUGCUUGGUCAUUUUAUGAGCCACUUUUAAUUAUGGACUUUGUUGCCAAACAUUUCAAGCAAAUAAGCUUGCCAAGGCCUCUAUCUGAUCAAGAUAGUGUUAAAGUACAUUUUUACAUUGCUUGUAAGAAUAUUUUCGAUUACAAUCUCCAUCAGAUAGAGGCCUUGACAAGCUUAUUUGCCUGAAAUGUUCGACAAUAAAUUUCGUAACUAAAAGUGGCUCAUAGAAUGACCGAGCAGACAAAUCCUUAAAGCAAAACCAGUUCAAUUACAAUUACAACAUUAAGUACAAGUGGCUACACAAAUCUUAUAAAGCAACAACAAGCAUGGAAUGGCUACCAAUAUUAAGAGAUAAACCCAUUAACUGUUACCCCAUUUGUCACAUUUUAUUACCACUUGUAUUAAACAAUUAAUGAUUUGAUUUAAUUCCUUUCUAUUUCAUUUGAUUUAACCAUUUAUGUUCUUAUAAUGAAAUUCCUUUCUAUUUCAUGAGUAAUUAAAUUUUGCCAAUAUCGGUUAGUCAACUAAGAGCAUUAUGCCUGCAAGUUUUGUGGUGACACGCUGACUUUUUACAGUCUUGGCUAGUGACAUGGCACGGGCCAAUUGUGGUGACACCCUGAGUGCAAGCAAACUUAUGGUGUGACACGCUGACUUGUUGCAGUCUUGACGGGUAACACUACACAAGCCAAUUGUGGUGACACGCUGAGUGCAAGUAAACUUAUGGCGUGACACAUUGACUUCUUGCAGUCUCGAAAGGUGACACGGCAGGGGCCAAUUGUGGUGACACGCUGAGUGCAUGCAGACUUGGCGUGACACGCCAAAUUGUUGCAGUCUUGUUGGUGACACGACACAAAAUGUUUAAAAUUAAGGAAAGUUUUAAAAAAGUAACACCUAUUAUAAGAAAAAUCAACUAACCUGAUAUUUUAAUUGUUAUUUGGGGGAUUUCGGCUCUUAGAUGCUUAUCCACACUCAAUAUUAAAACCCACUAUAAGUGGUCGCAGCUGCAUUACAUCACAAAGACUCUUGAAGAGAUUAAGGAGUUCAAUGCACUGAAGCCUACGUGCUUUGAGAUGCUACUGGAUGUCAAUCCACAAGCUUCGUCUACCAAACUUUGGUGCUCCUGUCUUUCCAAAAUCAACAGCCAUAUAAUGAAGAGUUGCCAAUUCUAGGUCCAUCAUUCGAGGUAUCGAUCCAGCCUAGAAUUGGCAACUCUUCACUCUAUAGUUGUUGAUUUUGUAAAGACAGGAGCACCAAAGUUUGAUAGACGAAGCUUGUGGAUAGACCUCUAGGAGCAUCCCAAACACGUACGCUUCACUGCAUGAAAUCCCCCAUCUCUUGGAGAGGCAAAAUGUCAAGAUCCUUAUACCGUCUACGUUGGAUCUGCAAAACAUGGCACACAUGCACCAGUGAGUUAAGCCAUAAUGUCAAACAAGGUAUACUGAAGAAAUAAAUAAAGAAUAAAUGUUGUGACACACCAUUCAUAACAAGCUAAAUGUUCUGACACGCCAUGCAUAACAAGUAAAUCAUUUGUGACACGCCAUACAUAACAACUAAAAUGUUAUGACACGCCAUGCAUAUCAAGUAAAACGUUGUGACACGCCAUGCAUAUCAAGUCAAAUGUUGUCACACGCCAUGCAUAUCGAGUCAAAUGUUGUCACACACCAUGCAUAACAAGUAAAUCAUUUGUGACACGCCAUAGUAAACAAGCAAAAUGUUGUGACACACCAUGCAUAUUAAGUAAAACGUUGUGACACGCCAUGCAUAUCAAGCAAAAUGUUGUGACACACCAUGCAUAUCAAGUCAUUUGUUGUCACACGCCUUGCAUAUCGAGUCAAAUGUUGUGACACACCAUGCAUGUCGAGUCAAAUGUUUUCACACAAGAAAACCAAUAAAACCACAAUGACUUAACCUCAAAAACCAUCCAUCGAACCAGCGAGAAAACCCAGUCUAAAAUCUAAACAUUUGCAAAACAAAACAUACAAAAAACACGAACAUAUCAAACAAACCCAGCGAAAAAGUAAAAAAUUAACAUAAGAAUGUUUUCUCUUGAGACUCACUUACCUCUUCACUCAUAGCCGACAUUGUCGCUAUUGCUGUGGUGUCGUUACGCUUGCAAAGAGCCUUCUCGAACACUCCGGUAUCAACAGGAAUGAGAAAUGAAUCAAACAGACGUUAGGAAUUCUGACAAAUAAAUGUUUAAAAUGAAAAAUGGCUUUAGAAUAUUCUCAUUUAUUCGUUUCAUUUAUAAAUUACUUCAGUGGAAGUCCAAACGGUUACUACGUUAACUGCCGAUUUUAAUUUUUUUAAAAAAAUUUAAUGGAAGUCCAAACGUUUACCAUAGCGGGUCAGUUGUUCAAACAAUGGCGUGUCACAGUAGUUUCACGUAUUCUAACCGUGGCAUGUCAUAAAUUUUGAACCCGACCAUUUCACAGUCGUGACACGCUGAGUGCAAGCAGAUUUAUGGCGUCAUACUGCUAACUUGGUGCAAUAUCGUGGGGUCACACGCGACGGCUCAAUUGUUAUGACACGCCGAGUGGAAGUAAAUUUUUGGCAUCACACGCUGAGUAUCUGCAAAUUUAUGGCGUGACACGGCACGGCCUAACUGUUCUGGCACGCUGAGUGGAAGCAGAUUUAUGGGCUGACACAUUGAGUGUUAGUGGAUUUACGGCGUGACACGUUGACUUCUUGCAGAUUUAUGGGGUGACACGCUAAGUGCAAAUAGAUGUUUGUGGGGACACGCUGACUAGUAGCAGCUUUAUGGCGUCACACGCUGACUACCUGCGACUAUGUAUCAAAUUAAAUAUAUUGUGUAUACAAAGGAAAACAAAUUCUUAGUAUAAAAUGAAUUGUGUAUAUGCAAAAAAAUUAAUUGUGUAUAAAUUUAAUUAUAUAAAAUAUAUUCCCAAUACAAAAAGAAUUAAUUAUAUAUACAAUAAAUUGUAUAAAAUAAAUUGUGCAUACAAAAAAAUUGUGUACAAAAUUAAUUGUAUAAAAAUAAUUCUAUAUACAAAAAAAUGUACAGACAAAGGCCGAUAUGUUCAGGGUUCGCUCUCACAACUGUUGGAAAAAAUUUCUAGAGCAUAUUGCAGACGCAUUUUUGCAAUCAUAUUCUACUUGACUUUGAUAUUUUUCGAUUGGAAAAUAUCAUCCAUGUACCCUAUCAUGAACAUACUGCAGCUGACACUAUCAUUCUGUCGAUGUACUUUAGCUUUUGGCAAAUGAAUAUCCAAUGGCAUCGGCGUCAAAUCCUGUCUCUUUCAACGUGUGUUGUUGAAAUAACCGGCUUUGUGGCAGAUGAUCAGCAUCAUUGUCGUCAAGGGUGUCAUUUGAGCCACACGAACUCCGUUAUCCUUAGCAUUCGAAGUUCUUGUGGAGUCAAACACCUUGAUCUUUGCAACCACCCAAUUCCCACCAACGUUGCAAGGCGCGAGGAUGAAAUCCACAUUUUUCCAUUUUUUACCGUAUAUCGGCUUUUCACCCUUCACGUACCCCCAUAACUCAUCUAGAAUUUGCAUUAUGACCUGGGCAUCUUCUGUUGGGAAUUCCGUGUGUAUCAUACGGAUGACGUCCUAUGAAACAUGUAAACAUUAGCUUACACUUCAUGCGAUCAAAAACUUAGUAUUUAUAGAAUUGAACAAUUUCAAAUAAACUUACAAAGAAUGUCGUGUCAACCACGCAUGCACGGGUAGUGUACAGCUUCAACUUCGACACUGUCAUACGCUUGCAGAAUACGCUGAGGCAUGCGUCGAUAUGUUCACUUGUCAUUUCCUCAUUGGGAUCCUCUAAGGUUAUGAAAAAGUUAGCCCCUUGAUCCCCUAAGAUGCCGACGUCACGCCUGCAUAUGUAACAUAAUGAAUUUCAUAAGUCUUGGUGGCUUAAUGUUUCAUUAAAAAAUAAUAUUUGCAAUGUUAUUUAUGAGCUUACCUCGCAAACUCAUCAUUCUUGAAAGCUUCGUAGGCUUCUACGAUUGUAUCCUUCGUCUCUCGAUGGCUAACUAAGGGGUCGACAUAUGAGCUUGCCAGGUAUUGCUCGCCAGUUUCAACCGUGCCCGUUCAGUUUGGUCUGAAAUUUUUGCUACACUGUGAUGGACAGCACAUUACUCUGGUGAUGCUGAUUGUGUCUCAACUGCAUCAGGAGUGCUUUGAUAAAGCACCAUAGCUCCUGCUGCUGCCUCGACGAAUGCAUCGGCUGGAGGAAGAUGCUCUCUUUCAGCCACGACUAAGUCAAGGUCCCCCUCCCCUCCAGUAGAUGCAUCGAUAAUGGACUCAAGCAGAGGAACAUGCUCUUCUUCAGUAUCAUCUGAUUCAAGGGUGACAUCCCCUGCCACAGCUUCAUCAAUGACGUCAUCGACAUGAGUUACGUACUCUCCGUCAGCACCAAGAACGUCAUCGUGAAUGUGAACACCAAGUUCAUGAUGCUACCCAUCAUCAGCAUCAUCGUGCUCCAGACCAGCACCGUGAGAUGAAAGAUCGCCCUACAAAAUGGAAAAAAACUGUUAGUUAGCUCAUAAAAUACCACAAACCAUAACAAGUAAAAAGUUGUGACACGCCAUGCAUAACAAGUAAAACGUUGUGACAUGCCAUUCAUAAAGAGUAAAAUGUUGUGACACGCCAUGUAUAACAAGCAUAAUGUUCUGACACGUCAUGCAUAACAAGUGAAAUGUUGUGACACGCCAUGCAUAACAAGUAAAAUGUUGUCACACAUUAACGCUGACACGUCGAUACCUUACUAAAAUACAAAUGUCCUGACCCACUAAUCUGAAUUGAACCAAUUAAACCACUACCACUUAACCCCACAAACCAUCAAACCAAUAAGAAAACGCAGUCUAAACAUUUGCUAAACGUAAACCACAAAAAUACAAGUGAAGAUAGAAUAACGUACUUGUGAUUUAAGGCCGUCAAGAAUCCGAGCAACGAUACGAUCCUCAAGCGUCUGCAUUGCUAGAGUCAAUGACUGAAUUGAAGCCUUCAGCUCCAACAUCUCUUUGACAUGCUUGCGCAUGAUCCCUCGAAAGCUGGCGAGUAGUGACUGCUCCGUCAUUGACUCUUCUUGACUAGGUUAACUGCAAUAACAUAUAUCACUGUGUUAUUCAAUAAUCAUAUAUGGAAUUGUUGAACAUUAACCGUUACAACUUUAAUAUCCUUACCGGUGACUCGUAAGCAAUUUAUGGUGGAGCUGGACCCAUCGGUGCUUGACGACCUGUUGUCACCUCCAUAAACUGCAAUAACAGAAACUACUGUGUUACUCGAUAAACAUAUGUGAAAAUGUUGAACACAAAUUGUUAGAACCCAUUUUACCUACGAGUCGUUUCCACUGUGCAUUUGAGGAGGACCGGUGGGUGGUUCUGAAGCUACCGAUGCAUGGACCAACUGUAAACACAGAUAUGUUAUUCGAUAAUCAUAUAUGGAAUUGGAGAACACAAAACCGUUAAACUGUCUUUACCGGCUGUUCACUGCCUUGAUCAUGGUCGUCCCGUUCGUCCAUCAACUCAGGGCCCAACAUCUCAUCAUUAAAACCAACGGUGGUGCGCGUCCGCUUCGUGCCACCAGAGGCUCUUUUCUCUUUCAAGCUUCUCUUUUUUUGCCUCGCACCUAAGCCCCAAUCCGACCGAUCCUCUAUGUGCCCUAUUAGCACGUACUCAUGGCCCUCCGAUAACGGGACAUCAAGGUCCAUAAAAUACUCCCAAUUGGCCUCAUCCGCGAAGAGUUUUAACUUCUCUAGUGCCCACAACUGCAAAUAAACAAAUAAAAUAUUGUGAUUAUCGAAUACGAAAAAUUAUUAUACAAAUAUAAGGCAAAAAUUAGUAGUUGUUCACUCACAUGGUCAAAUGACUUUAACUUCUGAAAUUCCAUGUAGAUGUCUUUUGGCUUCUGAUUGUAAUCCUAUUUGCACAUUUGUGGGUAAACGUUGUCCUUCAAACCAAAGGGGGCAAUUAUUUUUUACAGGGCCGAAAUUACCUCCAUUGCCUAGAACUGCAAGUCAAAUGUAACCAUUAUCAGACCGUAAAUCAUAAACGAGUGCAACUAUAAAUUAUUAAAGUAAAAAGGAAACUGGAAAAUGUUUCGUGAUAGUACCUAUAUCACCCAUGCGAAUCCGUAAAUGUUGUAGCGUAACCGAGUUUCCUUUGUCAUGCUUGAGUCAGGCACUUCGAACCCUUUCAAAAGGUAGUCCAAGGUCAGCUUCCAAACAUAGUGCCCCAAUGGGAAGACAUUCCAAGCGUCAAUGUCCUCCACCAAUGACAGCAACCAAGGCAUCACCCAUCUACGGUAGCCUUGACCAAAUAAAAUGUUAUUCGUGAUUAAGAAGAGUGCCAUCUUAGUCGCGUCUCCUGGUUGCUGGAAGUUGCCCUCACAGAACGUAUCAAGCAAAGCCUGCAGCUUAACGCUCUCUUGCCUGUUCCAGUAUCUGGCAUGAAUUCCGUCCGUAGCAACCUCGUACGAUCGUCUAAACACAUAGGGCAUUGGACCAAACUUCAUCUCGGUGAUGAGGCAAGACUCUUGAUUUGAUAGUCACGCCUUGCUCUUGCCAAUGGCAAACCAUAGCUCGUGGUCCAUUGACUGGCUCUCAUUGAUCCGACAAAGCAUGAUGCUGUGUAGGAGACCAACGCAAAAGUACCUUUGUGGAUAGACGUCCAAGAUCCUUCCGAAGCAUGUACGCUUCACUGCAUCGUAUUCCCCCUUCUGUUGGAGAGUCUUUGUGAUGUAAUGCAGCUGCGACCACUUACAGUGGGUGUUAAUUGCGAUGUUGAACGCCCACUUCUACCUCGGCAUGAUCAGUAAACUGUCAAGAUCCUCAUACUGUCUGCGCUGGAUCUGUAAAACAUGGCACACAUGCACCAGUGAGUUAAGCCGUAAUGUACAACAAGGUAUACUGAAGACAUAAAUAAGGAAUAAAUGUUGUGAAACAUCAUUCAUAACAAGCAAAAUGUUGUGACACGCCAUGCAUAGCAUUCAAAAUGUUGUGACACACCAUACAUAACAAGUAAAAUGUUGUGACACGCCAUGCAUAUUAAGUAUAAUGUUGUGACACGCCAUGCAUAUCAAGUCAAAUGUUGUCACAUGCCAUCUACAUCGAGUCAAAUGUUUUCACACGCCAUGCAUAUCGAGUCAAAUAUUGUCACAUGUUAACACUGACUAUAAUAACAAUGUCGUGACACGACAAACACCAAAACCCCUAAAACCACUACGACUUAACCCCAAAAACCAUCAAACCAACAAGAAAACACAGUGUACACAUUUGCAAAACAAAACAAAAAACACGAAAAUAUCAAACAAACCCAGAAAAAAAUUAACAAACACAAGAAUGUUUUAAUUUGAGACUCACUGACCUCUUCACUCAUAGCCGACAUUGUUGUUGGUGUUGUGCUGUCGUUACACUUGCAAAGUGCCUUCUCGAACACUCCGGUACCGGCGAGAAUGAGAAUUGAAUCACACAAACUUUAGGAAUUCUGAAAAUAACUAUUUAAAAUGAGUUAUUUUUUUUAUUUCACUAAAGGGAAUUAAUUGAGUGGAAGUUCAAACGAUUACCACGUUAACUCUCUGCUUUUUUUUUUCCUUUCUCUAUUUCAAACCAUGACGUGUCAGCUAUUCAAGCAAUACCGUGUCACACACUUUAAACCAUGGCGUGUCAGCUUUUCAAGCAAUGCCGUGUCACACACUCUAAACCAUGCCGUGUCAGCUUAAUAAGCAAUGCCAUGUCACACACUCUAAACAUGGUGUGUCACCAACUCUGAACUCUGACUUGUCACAAUUUCCCUCCAUGGCGUGUCACCAACUCUGAACUUUGGCAUGUCACAGAUUCCCUCCAUGGCGUCUCACCAACUUUGAACGCUGGCAUGUCACAGGUUCCCUCCAUGUUCUGUCACCAACUCUGAACUCUAACGUGUCACAGAUUCCCUCAAUGGCGUCUCACCAACUCUGAACGUUGACGUGUUAUAGAUUUCCACCAUGGCGUGUCACCAACUCUUAACUCUGGCGUGUCACAGAUUCCCUCCAUAGCGUCUCACCAACUCUAAACGCUGACGUGUCACACAUUCCCAACAUGACGUUUCACGUACUCUAAAUCCUGCCCUGCCACAACUGUCUCACAUAUGGCCUGCUAUAACAGGACCAUUUCCUGCUUUGGAUUCACAUCUUUCUCCUUUCAAUUCACCACCGUAUCAAGGAUUUCUAGUUUCACAUCAUUAGCCAAGCUUUCCAUUCAUCAUGACCGAGUCUUCGUUUGGUUUAAUAUCACUAUUUUCCUAUUAUCUGAAUGCCAUGACCCAAAUCUCUAAAAAACUAUCUCAUGCAAUAUUAUUUUGUUUUGUACAACCUUCGCAAAAAAAAAGGAUGUUUUGUACAAAAUUAGAUGUUCGCAAAAUUCUUUGCAUAUUUAUUUUUUUUUCCAUUUUUCGCCUGUUUGAGAGCGCACACUAAAGAAGAUGGCACAUUAAGGGCUUUUUUGUCUCAAAAUCUAUUCUGGUGGCUAAAAAUAGUUAAAUUUAUCCCGAUGGUUAUUUACAAAAAACGUUAUUUUUAAAGGCUAAAAAAAAAUUCCCCUUCUAUUUUUGUCAUUUUACAAUAAUUUUUUCCUUAAGAUCCAUUUAUUUCUCACCUACUUGCUUAAUGGCUUUCAUGGAAAAAUACUUUACCAUAUACAGUACAAGGGAAGGGAGAUUUCCGGAGCUUUCGUAUAGAUAUUUAUCUCUUUUUACUAGUGGGACAUGGAAUCAUGAGCAUUUGUUGUAUCAGUUUGAGAAGAAAACUGAUACACUGUUAUGAAGACUUGCUUGUUUAAACUCUUUGACUAAAGCAUGUUUAUAGUAUAUUGCCUCUGUUUAAAUUACAUAAACAUCAGUAACUUAAAUUUUAAACAAAUUAAAUUAGUCUAAAUAUACUUGUGUAUGAAUUUGUAUAAUUUAUGAAAGAGCCUUUUUUUCCCAGAACAUCCUUUUUUUUUGUUUUUUAAACUCAUUCAUUACUUGGUGAUAAGCUUUUUCUCUGUCAUUCUUGCCUUAUUUUUGCUGAGCCUUUUACUUUGCUUCAAACAGUUUUUAUUUACUCAUUAAGAAGGUGGAUUUCAUCAUCUUAUUAUUCCACUUCCCCCUUUAAUAAUUACUUACUCACUAUUGAUGACUUCACAACUUCUAUAUUGACUUUGCAUUGAGUUAUGCUAAUGAAGCAUAGUUUUCUCUAAACCAAAUUUGGCAUGAUUUCAAAAGCAAGUUCACACCUUCAAUUCACUUUUUCUUUUUGGUCUCACGUAUUUGAGAAGAAAAAUCUAUCAGGAUUCGUCUCUUUCUCUUUAUCAGUAUUUUCUUGGUGAUAUGCUUUUUCACUGUCAUUUCCCGUCUUCUUUUUGCUCACCCCUUCUAUUUUGCUUCCAACAUAUUUUUUUUUUUAAUUUUCUCAAUAAUUAACGAGACAAAGAUUACCAAUGGGACAUAGGCAUCAUUGCUAUCAAAGCUUUUGAAUUAUUGACCUGAUCCCUUUAUUGUUCUCUUUCAUAUUUUUGACAUUUUGCAAUCAUUUCAAAAUGGAAAUUAAGAUCACACUUUUCAUUUUCUCUUUGUACUGUUACGUAAAUAAGACCUAGAAUCAUUGACGUACUUUUGAAUUAUUGAUUUUUUUAUUAUUUUAUUUUAUUUUUAAUUAUUAUUCAAUAUUUUUUUCUUUUCCCCUCUGAGUUUAAAACAACUUAAAAUAUAAGAAAACGAAUGUUUACUGAGGUAUUGCUCCUUUUUAAUUUCUUCUUCUUCUCACGUUCUUGGGUUUUAGCUGAAAGUGGAAGACCCUUGGCCUCAAAUGCCUCUGGUAUUCCACAUCUUUUGAUAAUGGACAUGGAAUCAUUGUUAUUUUAGUUUCUUAUUCAACAAAAGUUGCAGCAUGGACUUGGUUUUCUUCUUAGUCUCUUUUUUUUUUAUUGUUAUUUUCUUUUAUUUAAACAACAAUGGGUUCAAACAUCUUUUGAUUUAUCGAAUUAUUGCCCUCACUUUUUCUUUUCUUUUUUUAUUAAAAAAUUAUUUAACAACUAAUAAUAUCUCACUCCAAAAUCUUAACUUAUGAAAACAUGCUAUAUGUGUUGAUCAUUAGAUUAUUAAUUUUAGCUACUAAAAAAGGUGAUUAUUAAAGAUAGAUAGAUCUUUAAAAAAAAAAGUAGAUAGAUAAAGAAAUCCAUCAUCUCUAGGAGAAAUUUCAAUUAAAAAAAAAUGAUCAGCAGUGAGGAAAGUUAAGCUAAAAAAUGUUUAAGAAAGUUUCAUCAAUUGUUUUUCUCCUUGCGAUGGGGAAAACUUUGGUCAUUCAUUUCCUAAUUGACUAUCUUUGCUUCAAAGUUAACAAAGAAAUAUCAAUGUGGAAUUAGGAUUCUUCUUAAUUCUUAUCUUAAUAGAAUUAAGUCUAACUUGAAAACCAACUUUUGAAUUAUUGAUCCCGUUAGAUGGAUCAAUUUGUUUUAUCAUCUAUGUAUUUUUAAUAAUUUUAAGCUCCUUUUUACACAUACGUUUAUUUCAAAUCUACUUCAAAUCCAGAUUACUGUUAGGAUAGUCUUGAAUUAUAUUAUGAUUAGAAUUGUUUAAUUUUAAUUAAACUAAUAUACCUUCUUUGAGAUAGUCUUUAAAUUUAGUUAGACUAUAAUAACAUAUAUUAAUUAUAUUAGGAUAAGAUUAUUGUACUUGACCCCUAUAAAAGGAUUUUAUGGGGUUAAAGAAAUCUAAUCAUUUAGAUUUAGAGAUAGUAAUUUGGGUGUACGUGAGAUAAGAGUUUUGAGUUUGAGACUGUUUUUGUAAUCUUUUGAUUUUUCUCUUAGUGAAUCUUUCCCCAUUGCUGUAUCCGUUGACGUAAGUCAUCUAAAGACUAAACCACGUAAAUUUUUGUGUUCUUGUGAAUGUGCUUGAUUUUCUUCUUUCUUUAUUCAAUUGAUUGAGUAAGAUCUAGAGUAACUGUUUAGAGAUAAUUUCAUAAUUUUCACAAUAAAUUGGUAUUAGAGCUUCAAGGUCUUAAGUCAAUAUGAAUAAUCGAUGUAAUCCUUCUAUUAUUGUCCGUUAAUUUUUGUUAUUUUGGAAUAUUUUUUCCAUUGAGAUCCAUUUAUUCUCACCUACUUGCUUGCUCUGUUUAAUGACUUUCAUGGAAAAAUACUUUAUCAUAUAUAAUUACGAGGGAGAUUCUCGAAAUUUUCGUGGUUUAGAAAUUAAUAUGAUAAAUAAAAGAAUAUGGGACAAUAUUUUAACUAGUUUGUGGUUUAGAAACUAAACUGAAAAUGUAUAAAAUAAUAUUCUCAAAAUUAUUCUGAAAAUGCACUCUGUAGGUCAAGGUAUCAUUACAGAUCGUGUUUUUAUGUCCCCACAUUUGAUUCCUUGUUCUUUAUCAGAAAAUCAUGCCUGCACCUGGUCUCUGUAUCUAUCUCAUUAUUUCAUUAGGAGGGUAAAAGAAAAUGAAUUCCCCUUUCUCCUUAAAGAACAUGUGAUAGUGGGUCCACACGCUGCAAAAUUGUCUGUAAAUGAAGGAAGAAAUAGUUGCGGUUAGUCGUCGCCGAAUUGAUUAUCUCUGUUCCAAAGUUAACAAACAAAUGCUAAUGUGAAAUUAAGAAAUUGCUCAACUCUUGCCUUGAGAGAAUUGAGUCUAAUGCGGAAACCGAAUUUACCAAAGUAAAAGAGAGAUUCUAGGAACUUUCUUGAUAUUUUUAGUUCAUUGUGAAAUCAAACACAAGAUUAAUGCCACCAUUUAUUGAGAGUGUAUUGUCAUUAAAUAAGUAUUAUUGACUAAUCCUCUCUUAAAGAAAAAAAAAUGAAGAUGCUUUGUUAAAGGAAAUUCUAAUUAAUGUAAAAUUGACUUCAUGUUUGUGAUCCUAAACAUAAUAAUGUCUUCUCCAUAAAAUUUAAAAAAUUAAAUUAUUUCAAUAAAUAAAGUAUAAAUUUCCACUAAACAAAAUUUUGUCAUUAUUAAAAAAGCAAUUAAAUUCAGAACCAGUAACAGGGGUUAACCGUUAACCCCUUGCUAUACAAGAGCUGGUGGUGUCCCCAAAAAACUGUAGCCAAAACCCAAACUCAAAGGAGUCCCAGGAAUCAUAAUUACAUAAAUGGUGGUACGCACAGCCUCCACUACCUUUAUCCUUGGAGGCCAAUCCCUGUCAGAACAAGAACCAGAGCAGAGAGCGAGUAAGCACCCACUAAGAGAAUAAACAAAAUUAAUUACAUGAAAGACCCCUGUAACAAAAGACAAAUUCAGUGUGAAAAAUCAACAAAACAUGGCCCCCAGAAGCAAUCGAAAAACUUCUCAAGAGCAGCUGAAAAAGAAAUUAAGUUUACACUUUUAAUUCUUUCAUUGUGCUUCUAUGCAAAUGGACGUUGGAAUCAUCGAUACACUUUUAAAUUAUUAAUUAUUUUUUAUCAUUUUUAAUUACUUUUUAAUAUUUAUUUUUUAUCUAUUUAGUUAGUUUAUAUGAAAAACACUUUAUUCUCUUUGUAAGUAGAAACUACUAUCAUUAUUUCGUAAAUAUCAUCAAGAGUAAACACUAAACUUGAUUAUCUUUAUUUAUGAUUUUUUUGUAAUUAAGCAUUACUUGGUGAAUUCUUUUCUAAUAAUGAGCAAUGGCCUACUUUUACAAGCCUUUUGUGAACUUGUUGCCUGCCUAAAUCAUUUAAGUUGGACAUGGAAAAAAAUUUAGUGUCAAUUUUGCUUGUAAAGUUUGCGGAUGUAUGCUCAAAUGCAAAAACCAAGAGCAAUAGAAGAAAAUGCUGCAGGUAUACACCAAGGAAAAACGGAAGUUGCAGGUAAGCUUCUAUUUUUAUCAAAGAAAACUGAAAUAGAAAUCAAAGAAAACUCAAAAUAUAUAAAAUAAUAUUCUUAAAUUAUUCAGAAAAUCUACUUUAUAGGUCAAGGUACAUGUAUACUUUUUGAAACAUCAUUUAGAGAUCAUGUUUUUUUCCCCGCAUUUGAUUCCUUGUUCUUUAUCAGAAAAUCAUGCCUCCUCCUAGACCCUGUAUCUGUCUCAUUAUUUCAUUGGGAGGGUAAAAGAAAAUGAAUCCACUUUCUCCCCAAAGAACAUGUGAUAAUGGGUCCACACUUUGAAAAAUUGUCUGUAAAUGAAGGAAGAAAUUGUUUUGGUUAGUCGUCGCCUAAUUGAUUAUCUCUGUUCCAAAGUUAACAAAGAAACGUCAAUGUGGAAUUAAGAAAUUGCUGGACUCUUGUCUUGAGAGAAUUAAGUCUAACGCGGAAAUCGAAUUAUCAAAAUAAAAGAGAGAUUCUUGAAACUUUCUUGAUAUUUUGGGUUCAUUGUGGAAUCAAAUACAAUAUUAAGGCCACCAUUUAUGGAAAGUGUAUUGCCAUUAAAGAAGUGUUAUUCAUUCAUUCUCUUUCAAAGAACAAAAAAAGAAUGGAGAUGCUCUGUUAAAGGAAAUUUUAAUUAAUGUAAAAUUGGUUUCAUAUUUGUGAUCUUAAACAUAAUAAUGUCUUCUCCAUAAGAUUUAAAAACUUAAAUUAUUUUAAUAAAUGAAGUAUAAAUUUCCACUAAACAAAAUUUUAUGAUUAUUCAAAAGACAAUUAAAUUCACAAUGGUUUUCUUUUGAAAAGCUGCAAUUUUAUUCCCUAUUCAGAACCAGUAGCAGUGGUUAACCCCUUGCUAUACAAGAGCUGCUGGUGUCCCCAAAAAACGGUAGCCAAAACCCAAACUCAAAGCAGUCCCAGGAAUCAUAAAUACAUCGACGGAGGUAAGCACAGCCUCCACUACCUUUAUCCUUGGAGGCCAAUCCCUGUAAGAACAACAACCAGAGCAGAGCGCGAGUAAGCACCCACUACGAGAAUAAACAAAAUUAAUUACAUGAAGGACCCCUGCAACAAAAGACAAAUUCAGUGUGAACAAUCAACAAAAGAUGGCCCCCAGAAGCAAUCAAAAAACUUGUCAAGAGCAGCUGCUAAAGAAAUUAAGUUCACACUUUCAAUUUUUUCUUUGUGCUCCUAUAUAUGCAAAUGGGCGGUGGGAUCAUCUAUUCACUUUUGAAUUAUUAAUGCUUUUUUUUGGUCGUUUUUCAGUUACUUUUAAGUAUUUAUUUUUAAUCUACUUGGUUGGUUUACAUGGAAAAUAAUUGACUCUCUUUGUAAGCAAAAACUACAAUUAUUAUUUCGUAAAUGUCUUUAAGAGUAAACAUUUGAUUAUAUCUAUUUAUGAUUCUUUUAUAAUUAGGCAUUACUUGGUGAAUUCUCCUCUAAUAAUGAGAAAUGACCUACUUUUAAAAGCUUUUUGUGAACUUGUUGCCUGCGUAAAUCAUUUAAGUUGGACAUGGAAAAAAAAUUUAGUGCCAAUUUCGCAUGUAAAGUUUGCAGAUGAAUUCUCAAAUGCAAAAACCAAGAGCCAUAGAAGAAAAUGAUGCACAAUAAUCAGAAAUCAAGGCUAAGCUUCUAUUUUGAUCAAAGUACUGAAAUAGAAAUCAAGUUUGCGCUACAAUAAUCAGAAGCCCACAAGCAGAGGGAAUUAAGAAACAACAGUUGAUUCUUCUUCGGGUAGCAAAAACACUUGAAUACAGGAGAGAAAAUUUCGAAUAAUUGAUGUGAUCUCUCUAUUAUUGUCCUUUAUAUUUUUGUCAUUUUUUCAAUUUCUGAGAUGAAUAGAAUAUUACAUCUCCAAUUUUCGCUUUCAAACACUGUACAAAUAAUGGAACAAAGUCAACAUCCACAUUUUGCUUAAGGAAAAAGAAAAAUCAAGGAAAGGAAGACAGAUAGGCCAAUUUGGAUUUGGAUAACUUAUAGUUAUGAUGAUUUUGGGGGUGCCACUAACAAAUCUUUUCUGGAUCCAAUUGAUGGGCCAGAAGAAACCAAAAAGAGAAAAGGAUGGAGUCAUGAAGAUGCUCUGUUAAGGUCCCUUGGUUGGCUUUCUAGGAAGUGUUAUGGCAAAAGCAUGGGACUUGCGAGGAUGUAAAUGAUAGAAAAUUUUCCAGCCAACCACAAUUGCUCAAGUUCAGCUUCAAAUCUUUUUAUUUUUAUUGUUUUCUUUUUUGUGCUCCUACCAUUUGAGAAGAAAAUCGAUCCAUUAUUAUGAAGACUUCCUUGUUUAAUCUUGUCAUCAGUUAACAAUUUAUUUAAUCUUUUUUAUUGAAGCAUAUUUAUAGUUUAUUGCCCCUGUUUAAAUUACAUAGACAUCAAUAACUUGAAUUUUAAAUAAAUUAAAUUAUUCUAGAUAUGAUUGUGUAAGAAAAAUCAUAAUUAAGAAAAGCUUGUAGGAACCUGAUGAAAUGCAUAAUUAACAAAAUUCAUCACCAAGUCCUUAAAAGCAUAACUAGCUUUUUGACCAUGCUUGUCAUUGGAAAAAUAGGAAAGCCCAAGCAAUGAUGAGUGAUGUUUCUUGGGCUGGAAAUGACUUUAUUUACGGAUAUGAAUAGACAAUAACACCUUCAACUUUUCUAUUCAAACACUGUAUAAUUAAUGAAAUACGCCUUUUAUUUAAAUAAAAAAAAGAAGAAUCGAAGAAAGGAAGGUAGAUAGACCAAUUUGGAUUUGGAUGACCUAUAAUUAUGAUGACUUUCGUAUUCAUAUUCACUUUUGUUAAUAAAAACAGUUUUUUUUUAAAACAAUUUAUACUGUAGAAAUUUGGUGUUAAUAAGCAUAGGAAAAAUAAACAAAAAUAAGUAACUAAUAGAAUCGAAAUUUAGAAAUUAUUAAUAUAUUUUCAUGGCACUGCACAAUAUAUAUAUUCAUGGUAUAAAAAUUAAUUAUAAUUUUAUUUUAUUUUGUUAUAAAUUUUAUGACUUAUAACUAUGAUGAUUUAAGAUAUGUCACUGUUAAAUUUUUUCUUAAUCUAUUAGAUAGGACAAUUUGUUUUAUCAUAUCCCUCCAUUCGCUUAUCUUUGUUCUUUAUUUAUUUAUUUAUUUUUUGUUAAAUAAACUUGAUUCUGAUCAUUAAUUUUUUUUUGAAAAUAUGGUGCAUUUAAUUAAUCAUCAAUCACAUAUUACAAUGUGAGUUAUUAACAAAAUUUAAUGAACAUUAAACCGCUAUAUCCCACUUUCAUUCCCUGUGCAUAGAAAGUAAGUCUUGUUGAAAACCUUCCCUUGGAAAAACCCAUUUGGAUAAAACCAAGGGUAAAGAAAAAUAGUACUUCUUUAACCAUACAAAUCCCUAGGAUCUUUCUGAACACCCUUCCCCGUUUGUAACGUACGAAGCUUCCUUGUCUUUUAGUAGGCACUCUUUGAUUUUGCAAAUCGUCAAUCCUGAAAUACCCUUACUCUCCUUAGCCAUUGAUAACAUUCCCGAUAAUGCUUCGGUGAUAAUCACAAACAAGAAAGUAUUACUUGAAAUUGCUACAAAAUCUUAAAAAAUAGUCUUGUAAUAUGGAUAAUUAUUGAAACAAAAUGUAUGAUAUUGUAAGAAAAGGAAAUUAAAUUGAAUUUGCUAAUUCUAAGUGCAUGUAGAAAUGAUCCAAUCCCUUCAUAUAAUUCUUAUUGUAAGCAUUACUUGGUAAAAUUUUCUUCUAUCAACGAGUAAUUACUUCAUUUUAAAUGCUUUUUGUGAACUUGUUGCCUGGCUAUACUACCAUGGCCAAAUGUUUUAUACGUUGGAGUAACAAUCAAACUCUCAAUAUUUCAAUAAAUCACUUUAAAAUAAAAAAUUAAAGUUUAAUUUCCCUGUCUUGAUUGCUGCAUAACAUAUUUGUACAACUUAUUGACUAAAGACAUAAAAUACAAAAAUAAGGACAAGAAACAGAAGAAUUUUAGGCUUGUUCUUUUGACUUAUUGUAGAUAUAGAGAGCAACAUAACAUUGAUUAGGUAAAAGCAAGUGAUCCCUUCACUUGACAACUCUACGAAGCCAACAUCUCGACCAACGAAAAGUACAAUAAUUUCAACUAACUGUUUUUCUGGUUUUUUUUAUGUAAAUAAUAAAAGUUAGUACAAGUAAACCAUCCAAAACUUGAUUAGGACCAGGCACACAAGUGAAAGAAAAGAAAAUGGAAAGCAGCUUUGCUUUUCCUGUGUUUAGUUGACAGCCUCAACCACUAUAUUUAUGUUUAAACAUGCCUUUGCAACUUCCCCUGCAAUCACCUCAUCAUUCUUCCAUGUAAGGUGGUAGCUGAUCAACCCGACGUGGCUGCCACCUGUUCCAAGCUAUGGUCUUGGUGUGGACUACAUUUUGAGCAGUGACAGACCCUUCAGUGUCAUCUUGCUCAACCAGUCGUGGUAUCUUUUUAAACCAUUGAAGCAGCAAAAUGUAAAACAAAGUAUUAAUGUCUCAUGUUAUAAAGGAAAAAGAAAAAAUAGACAUAUUAUAAUAUAUAAGUAUUUUAUGUCAAAAAUUUAUUAAAAGUAAUGGAAUCAUUCACUAAAAGUGAUAUUCUAGACAUAGACUAAUCUUUUUGUUGCAGCAUACUACUUAGUCAUUUAAGUAAUUUAAGUAAAGACUUUGAAAAAUUAUGUAGUAUAAUAUUAUUAAAGACUCUAAUUGCCUUUGCACAUAACAAAUAAAAGCUUGUACUUAAUUUACUAAUCAAUAAUAAAAGCUCUUAAUAAUUAAUAAUGAUUGUUUUGGGAGGAUAAGGAGAAUGAAGAAGGUAUUUUCAUUUUUUUUUAAUAAUAUUCCGGCAAGAGUACAUGAAGAUGGCUUCAAAGGAUUUUUGAUCAAUUUGGAAAGGUUGUCAAUACAUUUAUAGAGAGAAAUAGAUGCAAAUAUAGUAAGAGGUAUCGCUUGAUCAUAUUUGAAUAUUUUAAUAAAGCUAGAAGAGCACUCCAGAAUUUAAAUGGAGUCUGGCUUCUUAAUCAAAGGCUAGUGGUCAACAUAGCUAGCUAUGGAAGCCAUGAUUCAUUCUAAAGGAGGAACCAAAAAGGAAGCUUCUUAUGCACCUGGUGUUAACCACAUUAGGAAUGGAACCUGCAGUGGGAUUUUAAGACACAACUCGACCUUAUUUACUAAGCCAUCUUAUGCUCUGGAAUUGAAUGGCACUUUUGAAAGAGGUGGAGUUUCAAAUAAAGAUAGAGAAGAUGAUCUUCAAUGUCUCAAAAAGCAUGGAAAACAUGCUUUGGUUGAAGAGAAGUGUUGUGGUAACAACAUAAUGUAAUUCAGAUUCAGCAAAGUGGAUGGAAUUAUUUAAAAUGUGAGGCAUUUCGGGGCUGCUUAUGAGGAGUUUGUCUCCCAAAGAAUUUCUGCUAACCUUUGAGGAUAAGAAGCUAUUUGAAGAACUCAAAGAUAAAGGUUGGGAUUGGCUUAACAAAUGGUUUACUAAGGUGGAAACAUGGCUAGAGAAUUUUUCAUCAAAACUCCUUAGCAAGUGGGUGAUUGUCAAAUUGAUUGUACAGGGUAUCCUUUAGAUGUGUGAAAUAGGCAUAUUAUAAUUUAUAAGCAUUUUAGGCCAAAUUCAUUAAAAGUGAUAUUCUAAACUAAGUUUUGGUUGUAGAGACUUACUCAAUCAUUUAAGUAAUUUAAGUAAAGAUUUUGAAGAUUAUGCCUUAAAAUAGACAAGAUUAAAGUUUUCAAGGUGUAUACCUCUGUUUUGGCGUGCACAUAUUUCUUUGAAUCUAUGAAGAAACCUGUAGUCAUCUUGGGACAUCCUUCUACUCUUAAAGAUGACAAAGCCGGUAGUACAAAGUGAUAUCCCCUUGGACAGAAGUCAACGAGGCUUCGCACUUUUACAAGUGAUAAUACUUUUAAUUGAUCAAACUUUAUCUCCUUUUCAGCUAUUGCUUCUGCUUCAAAUACUUGCUCCAAUUUAGAGUUCCCUUUGACCCAUAAUUUUUCAAGUUUUUGAAGACAACAAGCAAAUCCAAGAGGAAAGAGACAUCUUAGCCUCUUGCAAUCUAUCACCUUUAGAACUGUAAGGUUUUCAAGAGUUGCAACUUGAGCCACAUCCUUCCAUAUCAUCUGCACUUCAGAUAAAUCCUCCAGAUGGAGUUCCUUUAUACGCCCAUGAAUCUGAAAUACCCCCUUCGUGACUCCCAACUGGUUUAUUUUCUUGAUUGUAAUUGGCUAAAAUAUGCAACUGAAAGCUAUUCCCAACUUAGAGAGAGAUAAUUCCUGCAAAUACAGACACCACUAAAUGUCACUAAAUACAUUCAUUUUCUACUAGAUUGGGAAGAGUUAAGCAAAUGUUACUCAUAAUUCUUCAUAUUUUUAGAUGCCAAUUCACAAAAAAUCCUUACAUUUCAAAGAUAGCACAUAUAUAUGUUUCAAAAUUUAAAUCCAAAAUUUUCAUGAAAUUGUUUGAAAGUGGAACCCAAAAACACCAAACCUUUUUAGGUUUUUCUUUGUUAAAUUUGAACAUAAAACCUUUUGUGAUUUUCCUUUUCUUUUGUUUUUUUCUUUGUCAUUUUUAUGCUGCAAUUUUAAAAUAUAGUUGGAUAAGUUUGUGAGUGUUGAAAAGAUUUGGCUCGAAGGCAAAAUCCAAAACCAUAAUUGAAGAAAAAGUAUAUAAAAGAAAUACCUUUAGUUGAACUUGCUCCUUAGCUUCUUUUUGAAUGGUAAAAUUUAUCAAUUUAGGACAGUUGUAAAUGUCCAACUUCUUCAAAGACGGUGAUGAGAUGAGAAAGUUUUCCGACCAAAAGCAACCCAAAUUUGUCAAGUUUACAAGUCCUAAAUGUUGUAGGGAAGGGAGUGCAAUGGCACAAUCAACUCCAAUCUUUUCUUUUGCCACACGGAAGACUUGCUGUAACUGAGGCGAAUCGGUUAUCCAAAAUGAUUUCAAUCGUGGAAGAACUUGAGCCAGAGCAAUUUGAAAAACAUAUUCCAAUCUUGGACAAUCAGUUAUUUCUAAAGUUUCCAACUUUGGCAAGAACGGAGAAAAGGCAUUUGGUUCCAUUUCAUCAUCACAGACCAACUCGGUGAUAAUGUGUUGCAGUCCAUCACAGUGAUCUAUCGUGAGUUCUUCUAGUAGCACCAAGCUUUGAGCAAGGGAUGGUGAGAAGAGAUGUUUCAAUCUAUUGCAGUAACUAAUUUCUACAAACUUCAAGCUUUGGAGGCUGACAAAACGGGUGGAUCCUUUCCAUAUCCAAUUCAAUUCAGGUAAUGAGUUUAGCUCCAUUAGUGUUAAAUUUGACAACAGCAAUCCUUGAUUUUCUUUUGUAUCAUGAAGAAGCUCAUCUAUUUGAAAUACUUCUUGCAACUGGCCACAAUUAAUAACUUUCACUUCCUUUUUGUCGCGCAGGAGAUAAAGAGACCAUUUCCAUGCAAUUCCUUGUUGUCAACUUCUCUAGUUUCUGUAGAAAGCCCUUUGGAAACUGACCUUUGCACAACAUUUUGAAACCAGUCAUUUCUUUUAUGACUAAUUCCACUAAAUUGAGCAAGGCAUUGGUUGAGACAUGGCCUUCUGUCGUAUCAAUCAAGCAUUCAAGCUCCUUGCCACCUUUAAGUGCAAGAAAAGUUAAUUCAUUAAGCCACUUUGGAUCUACAUUUGGAAUGAGAUUUUUUUGAUACAUGACACUAUCCAGGGUUAGACUUUUGGCAUUGUAUAAUACUUCCUUCAAUGCAUGCAAUUGAACAUCCUGAUAAAUCACAACAAAAUGAAAGAUAUUAGAAAAAUAGAAAGGUAGAUAAUACUCUUUAAAUCAGAAUUGAAUUUCUUUCUAUGCAUAAAAUUUAAAACAUACCAAAGCUCAUUAAAGUUGAAAAACAUACCAAAGCUCAUUAAAGUUGAAAAACAUACCAAAGCUGUACAUGCUGAAAUUUAUCAGACACAUGGAAAUAUGAUUUAGCAAUAAAGUACAUGUGGGAUGCACGCAAGGAAGGAAAAGAAAUAAAAUUUUGUUAUUGCCACGUGCUUGUUUGCUUUUUUUAUUAAAUUCAUUAAAUUUUUUAUUUUAUCAUGCCACGUACAUGUCUUCUAUUGCCACAUCAUGUUUUCACAUGUCCUAUAAAUGCUAGCGUGGCUUGGAGUUAAAACAUCCAUGGAUUCUAUCCAAAUAAGGGUGCUUGGAUAAUGAAAAUAACACUUUAAGAGCUUAAUUAGAUGCAAUUAUAUGCAAAAUAAUCAUGCAGCACUCUCAUUCUUAUAAUAUGAAUGGGUUCUUUUUUUAUUAUUAUUAAAUGACGAGUACUUUGAGUAAUUAUUGAAGGAAUUGAAGACAAAGUUGCUGAUGAUCAAUGAGAGUUUGAAUUUCUCCAGGAUACAAGUGUGACUUUCCCUAAUUUUUAUAAUGUAAAACCCCGUAAAAACCUUUCUUGAAGAAAAGUUUUCAUCUUUUUCCUAUUUUGUUGUUCAAAUCUUUUUCCCAUUCCAAGAAAGAAUCAGAAUCACCUAGCUAAUUAUUGUAUGAAUAUGCCGUUCUUUCUUUUUAAUUUAUGAGUAUUGGCCUUUUAUAUCGGUCAAAAUAAAGAGUCUAAAAUUUUUGAACAACAAUUUUAAAAUACAGUUGGAUUAGUUUAUGAGUGUUGAAAAGAUUUGGUUCGAAGGCAAAAUCCAAAAUUGUAAUUGAAGGAAAAGUAUGUAAAAGAAAUACCUUUAGUUGAACUCGCUUCUUAACUUCUUUUUGAAUGGUAAAAUUUAUCAAUUUAGGACAGUUUUAAACUUCCAACUCCUCCAAAGAUGAUGAUGAGAUGAGAAAGUUUUCCGAGCAAAACCAACCCAAAUUUGUCAAGUUUACAAGUCGUAAAUCUUGUAGGCAAGGGAGUUCAAUGGCACAAUAAACUCCAUUAUUUUCUUUUGCCACAAUGAAGACUUGUUGUAGCUGAGGAGAAUCAGUUAUCCAAAAUGAUUUUAACCGUGGAAGAACUUGAGCCAGAGGGAUUUGAAAAACAUAUUCCAGUCUUGGACAAUAACUUAUUCUUAGAGUUUCCAAUUUUGGCAAGAACGGAGAAAAGGCAUUUGGUUUUAUCUCAUCAGCACGGCCCAACUCAGUGAUAAUGUGUUGCAGUCCAUCACAGUGAUCUAUCAUGAGUUGUUGUAGCAGCACCAAGCUUUGAGCAAGGGAUGGUGAGAAGAGAUGUUUCAAUCUAUGGCAGUAACUAAUUUCUACAAACUUCAAACUUUGUGGCGUGGGAGAUAAAGAGACAAUUUCCAUGCAAUUCCUUGCUGUCAACUUCUCUAGUUUUUGUAGAAAUCCCUUUGGAAUCAGACCGUUGCACAACAUUUUCAAACCAGUCAUUUCUUCUAUGACUAAUUCCACCAAAUUGAUCAAGGCAUCGUUUGAGACGUGGCCUUCUGUUGCAUCAAUCAAGCAUUCCAGCUCCUUGCCAUUUUUAAGUGCAAGAAAAGUUAAUUCAUUAAGCCCCUUUGGAUCUACAUUUGGAAUGAGAUUUUUCUGAUACAUGACUCUUUCUAGGGUAACAUUUUUGGCAUUGUAUAAGAACUCCUUCACUCCAUGCAAUCCAACAUCCUAAUAAAUUCACAACAAAAAUGGAAAACACUAGAAAAAUUAGAAUGCUAAAUAACACGUCUUAAAUCAAAAUUGAAAUUAUUUUUUAUGCAUAAAAUUUAAAGAUUUGAGCCAAAAGAAAAGCAAACCAAUGCUUGAAGUACAAAUAUUGUACAGUAUACUUAUUGGUAGAUGUGAAUGUACUAAAAUGCGCUUAUAUAAACCCCAAAACAUAGUAAAUUAUUUUCCAGAUUCAUCAAUCAUUUCUUACAUAAGUAUUCUUUCCUUUUCAUUUUUUCUCGAUUUAAUUUAAUUUCUUUCCUUGAUGUACCAAAGUUAGUGCAAGGGUAGGUGAAAAGAGAUAUACCAGUUUAGAACACAAUCCAAUUCUCAUAGUCUUAAGACUCUGGAGAUUAAAAAAAUGGGUGGAUCCUCUCCAUAUGCAGCUUAAUUCUGGUAAUGACGUAAGCUCCAAACAAGUUAAAUUUGACAAUGGUUGUACCUGAUUUUCCUGACAUAAAGAAAAAUAUAUAAAUUUUUAAUUAAUAAAUAUUGAAAUAUGAAUUCGUUAUACUUAAAUAUAGAGAAGGCAUAUAUUUUUUAGACAAAUGUAGAAGGAAGGGUUGAAAGCCAAUAAUUUAGAAAGAUUAGAUAGUAAUUAUUUAUAAUUCAAUAAUUCAAAGAAAGGUAAUUAGAAAAAGAAUAUAUGAGAGCAUUAUUAAAGGAAAAAUGAAGAGAUAAGAGGUACCUCUAGCUCAACCAUUUCUUUGUCAAAAGCAAAGACUUGCUCUAAUUUUUUGCAUUCAGAUAUCUCAAGUUUCUCUAGAUGCAACAGACUUUGAGCAAGGCAAGGUGAGAAGAUAGAUUUCAAUUUAUGACAACGACAAAUUAUUACUUCCUUCAGACUUUGUAGGCUUACAUGAUGAGUUGGCUCUUUCCAUAGACUCUCCAACGUUGGUAAUGACCGUAGCUCCAAGUUUCUUAAAUUUGAGAUCGAUUGCAUUUGACUUUCUUUCCCAUUCAUUUGAAACACUGAUUGCAACUCCUUACAAUCCGAAAUACUCAAUGUUUCUAACUUUUGUAAGAAGCUAAUCGGGGAUUGACCACGACAUAACUUUUUCAAAGAAGUCAUUCCUUUCAUCUUUAAGUUCACCAGAGUAGAGAAUGCAGUGGUUGAACUUUGUUCUCGUUUUGUAUCGAUCAAGCUUUCCAUGGUGAUAUUGUGCAGAGUAAGGUUUUCCACGUUGCAAAACAGCUCCUUAAAUGCAUUUAAUGAGGAUGAGAAAUCUCUAAUUGUCAAGGUUCUCAAGUGCAUCCCCAUCAAAUCUUCAGUAUCUUCAUUUACAGCUAUAUCGUACCUUUGUAGUUUAGGGAACACAAAGUUUUCUUGAGAACAUUGAUCAGUAGAAACUCUCAAUCUUAAUGCACUCAAACGAGACAUGAAUUAAGCUCCAAUAAGUUCGCAUUGUUUUCUGUGUCCACGUGUAGCUCCUGGAGUGACGCUAACCUGUUGAACACAAAUACAAAAUAUUGUUAACACAAUAAUAGCGUUUUCAUUUGAAUGAUACAAAUAGCUAGGUAAUGAAAUGAAUAAUAUAACAUAAUUUUUUAAAAAUUUUUUCAUGCGUAGAGAAAAUAUAUGUGUGUACUUAAAUACUUAACUGAAAACAAUAAAUUAAACAAUUUUAAUCACAUCUUAAUACUACCUUGAUAGCAAGUUAGGGGGGAAAUAGCAGCAAUGUUCCUCUCCAUGGAAAUAUAGGGAUUUUAGUCUUCGCAAUUCCACUAAUUCCUCCGUUAGCUCUUCAAUAUUAGUAACAAACAAUGUCAAAAUCUCAAGGUUUUCCAUGUUUCCCAAUGAUGAGAUGUUUCUGAGCUUGCAAUCCACAAAGCACAGAGUUCGAAGAUUUGUCAAGAAUUGAAGUGCUUUUAGUGAGAGUACAACAUUUUUGAGAAGUAAAACUCGGAGGGUUUUCAUUCCUUCAAAAAACAUACUCGAAAUUUCCAAUGAAGUAUCUCCCACUAAAAAAAAAGUCUUAAGUUUUGAAAAUUCCAAAUUGUCAGGAAAGUUAUUUAUCUCAACGUCCCAUAAGGAGAUUGCCGUAUAAUAUCCAAAACUUUCACUUAUAGACCAUUCCGUCAACCCAUCUUUUACCAUGAAUUUAUUUUCCCCUCUCAAUGUUACCCAAUGAGCAAAAUCGCGAACCACAUCAUGCAUUUUUAUAGUUUCUUCAUCGUCAGUUUCCAAUAGCAAACCAGAUUGUUGGAGUUUAGUUAAUGCUUCAUAAAUUUCCCUCCGUAAGACUUCAAAUGAGUUAAUGUUACAGAACAAUCCUUGACCAAUUCCACACAUAACCAAAAUCUCAAUCGGUAUUUCAAAAUCUUCUGGAAAAAGGGAACACAACAAGAAACAUGACUUGACAUUAUCAUCCUCCAAAUAAUCAUAACUAAGCUCAAGACGGCUAUAGAUACCUCCAUAAACAUCUUGAUUAUCUAAAGGUCUUGAGUCUCUAAGUCGUUGAUUUGCUACCAUCCAUCCAUUUAGACUUUUACCUUUCAGAGCUUUUGCCACAGUUACAAUUGCAAGAGGCAAACCAUUGCAUUCACGAGCAACCUCCUUGGCUACAAUCAAGGUGGGGGAGUCAUCUUCUACACCAGCUUUAUCUUUGAAUAAAGCCCACGCUUCAUUUUCAGAUAAGAUAUUGAGGUGAACUUCCUUUUGACUAUUCAUACGAGUGCAAACUUGUUGAAGACGCGUGGUUAAAAAAAUUUUGCAGCCCUUGUGAUCAUCACCAAAUGGAAUUCCUAUAACCUUCAAGUCAAGUUCUUCCCAAACAUCAUCAAGGAUUAUAAGGAUGCUCUUCUCGUCUUUGAUUCUCAACCACAAUUGUUCUGCUCUUCCUUCUGGUGUCUUCUUUUGAAAAUCUAAAUCUAGAAAGUCUGCAAUUUUAUCUUGAAUAUUGUUGAUGUUUGGAUUUUGGGACACGGUUACAACCACAACUUUAUCGAAGAGUUGUUUGGCUUGGUUUCCCACUUCUUUUGCCAAAGUGGUUUUACCCACUCCUCCCAUCCCAUAUAGUCCAAUCAUGUUCACAUCACCAUUAUUCAGAGCCUCCAUGAUCCCUUUGAAAGCAGAAUUCGAAGAUUCAGAAGACAUGAAAUCCUUAGAUGGAAUGAACUCUAAUCCUGGAAGAGUAGAUCGGUAACCUACUCGUUCAAAAUUAGAAUUCUCUAAAAGUUGAGAGAUACAAAGUGUCUUCUUCGCUACUUUGAUACUUAAGCAGUAUCGCCAGCCCCAACUAAGACGCCAAUUGAAACACUUGUUACGUUCAAUUUCAUCUUCCAAACUCUGAGCUUCUCCCAAUUCUUUGUCUGCCCUUGUUAGACACAAAUUACCUCCACCACAGAAUGUCAUAAAAUGGGAAAUCCUCCCACCCAUAAACGAAUGAAGCAUCAGCCUAAGCAUCUCUCGCAACAUGACAGCAUUUCCAAAGAUUUUCCCCACCAGUUUUUGUUGAUAAUCAGCAGCAUCCAAUAAGCCCUCGAAGUAUCAACCCCGUGGGCAGCUCAAAACCAGGCCCCAAGUGUCUCCUGCUUGAAAUUCCUGUUUUAGCCCAACGGUCAGCGCACUCGUUGGCUUCCCAUGUGUAUGUUUGACACUUGCACCGAGCCUACCAGCCCAAUCAGCUCAUCAAGCUUUUUCUUGGAAAGUGGAUUUUUAUUAACCACGCAACCGAUAUGCCAUUGUUAGUCUAAAGCUGAAGCUACCAGAGACUCAUUAGAAUGAAUACUAGCCUGCCCAAAAAAAAAAAAAAGGAAAGAAAAGCUGUACAAUAAAAGAGCACAACUGCUCACAUAGAUUAGCAGUAGUCCCACAACAUUCAGCAACCAACAACAAGAGAAGCUCAAAGCUGCCUAUACACAAAAACUGGCGGCUGGAAACAGGAAAGCUAUCAAACUAAGACUAUCCUCGUAAGAGUAUCUAGAACGAAGCAACAAAAGCAAAAGCCGAAGGCAUCAAACCAAGUGUGCUCCAAAAUAAAGGCAAGGGACUCAAGAUCCCUUGAAAUCCUUUGGUCAUCCUAGCCCUUGGAAAUCCCUCCGCUAUCUCCAUGGCCGCACCUGCACAUUCACAGACCAAGAAGCAGUGUUUGGUUAGCACAGGAACAGUUUAUCCGAAAGAUAAAUCUUAACCUGUGAAAAGCGCAGUAAUUUUAAGCACAUGUUCCUUUUUAUGUAAAUAACAAAGGUUAGCAGUGAACCACCCAAACUUGAUUAGGACUAUGCAAAGACAAGAAAGAAAUGAAAACGGAAUGCAGCCUUUUUUUUUUUACCUGCGUUUAGUUGAUAGCCUCAACCUACUCAUUUAUGUUUAAACGUGUCUCUGCGAGUUCCUCUGAAAUUAUCUCAUAAUUCUUCCAUGUAAGGUGGUAGCACACAUUUCAUCCACGGCUGCCAAUCUAUGGUCUUGGUGUGAAUUGCAUUUUGAGCAGUGGCAGAUCCUCCAGGGGCGUCUUGCUUAACCAAUCGUGGUGUCUUUUAAACAAUUGAAGCAGUGAAAUGUAAAACAAAAUAGACAUGUCAUGUUAUGAGGACAAAAGAAGAAAUAAGCAUAUUAUAAAUUAUAAUCAAUUUAGGCCAAAUUCAUUAAAGGUGAUGGAAACAUUCAGUAAUGGUGAUCUUCUAGACCAACAUUUUUGUAGCAAUGUAUUAGUCAAUCAUUUUAGUAAUUUAAGUAAAAAUUUUGAAGAUUAUGCCUAAUAAUUAAUAUUAUUAAAAGACUCCAUAGAGCUAUAUAGGAUUAAAGUUUUUUGGACGUAUACCUCUUCUUUGGCAUGCACAAAACUCUCAGAAUCAAUGAAGAAACCUGUAGUCAUCUUGGGACAAUUUUUUACGAUCAAAUAACUCAAAGUCGAUAAUACAAAAUGAUAUCCUCUUGGGCAGAAGUCAAUGAGGCAUGGCAAUUCUUCAAGUGAUAAUAUUUUUAAUUGAUCAAACUCUAUCUCCUUUUCAGUUGUCCCUUCUACUUCAUCAUCUACCUCAAAUACUUGCUCCAGUUUAGAGUUCCCUUCAACUACUAAAUAUUCAAGUUUUGGAAUACAACGAGCAAAUCCAAGAGGAAAGAGACUUCUCAACUUUUUGCAAUAUUUAACAGAAAUUGUGAUCAAAUUAGGAAAGCAUAUCGAUUGGGAAUCACCAUUUGAUGAUGAACAAACUUGAUCCUUUGCAAUGAUUUGGUCUAAUUCCUCACAUUUUCGAAUAUCUAGAUGGACCAAUUGUGAUAAACUUCGAGCAAUUGUUGUGGGUGAAAAUAUAUAGCUUAGCCUCCUGCAAUCGGUCACCUCCAGAAUUGUAAGGUUUUCAAAGAUUACAUUCUGAGUAGCAUCCUUCCAUAUAUUCCGCAUUUCAGAUAAAUGCUUCAGGCGCAGUACAUUUAAACUAGAGAAUGAAUACCGACCAUGAACCUGAAAUACCUCUUCAUGAUUCCCAACAACUAAAUAGUCUUGAUUCAAUAGGGGGACAACAGUGUUACACAAUUGGCUGCUAUUUCCCAAGUUAGAAAGAUAUAAUUCCUGCAAAUACAGACAUCACUAAAUAUCAUUAAAUACAUUCCUUUUCUAUAAGAUGGGAAUUACCUGAUCAAAUUUUACUCUUAGGUCUUCAUACUUAUAGAUGUCAAUUCACAGAAAAUCCUACAAUUCUAACAGUAUCACAUAUGUUUCAAAAUUUAAACCCAAAACUUUUUGAAACUGGAAAACAAAGACACCUAACCCCAUUCAGGGUUUUUUUUUUUGGUGGUAAGUUUGAAGCUAAAAUUGUUUCUCAUUUUCCAUUUCUUUGUUUUUCCACGCAUCCUUGACCCGUUCCCCAAACUCUCUCCUCGGCUAAUUUAAGAACUUUCUUAAAUACAAUAAAAGAAAAGGGGUUUAUUUAAUUUUAUUUUGAAAUAAUAUAUAAGCUUUUUUUUACCCUUUCAAGAUACAUAACUAUCACUCUCAUGCUUAUAAGAUCGAUUCUAAAUCGAACUAAUUUUUUUUUUCAAAUGACAAGUACUAAUAAGAAAUAAUUGAAUGAGUUGAACAUUGAGUUGCUGAAGAUGAGAGUUUGAAUUUCUCUAAGGAUACAAGUGUGACUUGCUCUAAUUUUUACAAUAUAAAACUCUAUAAGAUUUCUUGAAGAAGAGUUUUCAUUUUUUUACUAGUUUUAUUGAAAUCUUUUUCUUAUUUCAAGAAAGAAUCAGAAUCAACUUGCUAAAUUUCAAAAAGAAAAAAAAAACCUUGCUAAUUAUUGUAUGAAUGUGCCAUUCUUUUUUUAUUUGUUAAUUCAUGAGUAUUGGCUUUUAUAUCCACCAAAAAUAAGUAGAAUAAAAUUUUUGAACAGCAUUAAGAUACAAUUGGGUUAGUAUAUGAGUGUUGAAAUGAUUUAGUUCAAAGGCAAAAUCUGGAACAAAAAUUGAGAGAAGAGUAUAAAAGAAGUACCUUUAGUUGAACCUGCUCGUUAGCAUAUUUUUGAAUGGUGAAAUUUGUAAAUCUAGGACAGUUGCAAACUUCUAACUUCUCCAAAAAUGGCAAUGCCACGAGAAAGUUUUUCGAGUGAAACCAACUCAAAUUUGUCAAGUUUACAAGUCGUAAAUCUUGUAGGCAAGGAAGUGCAAUGGCAUGAUCAACUCCAUUCGUUUCUUUUACCACAUUGAAGACUUGUUGUAACUGAGGUGAAUCAAAAAUCCAAAAUGAUUUCAAUCGUGGAAGAACAUUGGCCAAAUGACUUUCAAAAACAUAUUCCAGUCUUGGACAAUGAUAUAUUGUUAGAGUUUCCAAUUUUGGCAAGAGUGGAGAACGGAGAGGGACGUCUGAUUCUAUUUCAUCAUCAGGUUCCAACUUUGUGAUAAGUUGUUGUAGUCCAUCGCAAUGAUCUACUUUGAGUUGUUCUAGCAUCUCCAAGCUCUGAGCAAGGGAUGGUGAGAAGAGAUAUCUCAAUCUAUUGCAAUAACUAAUUUCUACAAACUUCAAGCUUUGGAGGUUGACAAAAUGGGUGGACUGUUUCCAUAUCCACUUCAGUUCUGGUAAUGAGACUAGCUUCAUAAGUGUUAAAUUUGACAACGAUGGUCCUUGAUUUUCUUUCGAAUCAUGAAGAAGCUUAUCUAUUUGAAAUACUUCUUGCAACUGGCCACAAUUAAUAACUUUCACUUCCUUUAGAUUCUGUAGCGCAGGAGAUAAAGAAAACAGGCUAGAGCUUUGAUAACUAGCUAUCUCAAGAGGGUAGUGAUCUAUGUUUGAAAGUAUUUCAUCGCCAUUUUCCACUUCUGCUAUUACAUGUAUUAGAGAGCCACAGUCGUGUAUAUGGAGUUCUUCUAGAUGCACCAAAGUUGGAAUAAGGGUAGGUGAAAAGAGAUAUGCCAGUUUAAAACACUCUGAAAUUUUCAUUGUUUUAAGAUUCUGGAGAUUAACAAGAUGGGUGGGUCCUCUCCAUAUGUAGCUCAAUUCUGGUAGUAACUCUAGUUCCAAACAUGUUAAAUUUGAGAGCGGUGCUGCCUGAUUUUCCUCACAUAAAGAAAAAAAUAAAUUUUAGUAGUUAGUAAAUACUAAAAUAUGAAUUCAUUAUACCAGAUAAAAAAUUUAAUUAAUUAUUGAAUAGGCAUACAUUUAAAAAAAAUUAUGAAAGGAAGUGUUAAAAGUCAAUAAUUUAGAAACAUUAGAGAGUAAUUUUUUAUAAAUUUGAUAAUUUAACAAAAAAAAGAUAAUUAUAUAAAGAACAGAUGAGUGCAUUAUUAAAAGAAAAAAGGAGAGUGAAGAGGUACCUCUAGCUCAAGCAUUUCUCUGACAAAAGUAAAAACUUGCUCCAAAUUUUCGCAUACAGAUAUGACGAGUUGUUCUAGAUGCAGUAGACUUUGAGCAAGGUAAGGUGAGAAGAUGUAUUUUAGUUCACGGCAAUCCAAAACUACUAGUUUCCUCAGACUUUGUAGGCUUGCAUGAUGAGUUGGCUCUUUCCAUAUAAUCUGCAAUGAUGGUAAUGAGAUUAGAUUCAAGCUUGUUAAAUUUGAGAGUGGCUGUGUCCGUCUUGCUUCCUCUUCAAGAAACCCAUUCAUCUGAAACACUGAUUGCAACCGCACACAAUUCCAAAUAAUCAAUGUUUCUAACUUUUGUAAGAACUUAAUCGGUGAUUGACCAUGGCACAACUCUUUCAAACAAGUCAUUCGACUCAUGUCUAAUUUCACCAAAUUAGAGAAUGCUGUGGUUGGUCUUUGUUCUCGUGUUGUAUCGAUCAAGCAUUCGACAUCCUUGCAAUAUCUAAGCUCAAGAGAAGUUAAAUCAUUUAGUCCCCACUGAUCUACCGUUGGGAUAAUAUUUUUGUGUUCCAUGAUAUUGUACAGAGUAAGCUUUUCCACAUUGCAAAAUAGCUCCUUAAAUGCGUGUAAUGAGGAAGAGAAAUCACUAAUUCUCAAGGUUCUCAAGCUUAGGCCAUUCAGAUAUUCAAGAUCUUUAUCUGAAAACGCUAUAUUAUACCUUUGUAGUUUAGGGAACACAAAGUUUUCUUGAAAAUGAUCUUUAUUUACUCUCAGUGUUAAUGCAGUCAAACGAGAAAAUGAAUUCAGCUCCCAUAAGUUGACAUUGUUUUUACUUGUCACGUGAAGCUCUUGGAGUAACGUUAACCUGUUACGCACAAAUACAGAGUAAUAUUAGCUCAAUAAUAGCACUUUCAAGGGAAUGACAAAAAUAGCUAAGUAAUGAAAUGAGUAAGAUAACAUAAACCUUCUUUUAUUUUAUUUUUUUACUUUUUCAUGCAUAUUGAAAAUGUGUACAAUCCAAUGGUAUUUUUCUCUCAAGAAAGCAAUAUUCUUAAGCUACCUUCGUACUACAGGUUGCAAUGUUUAUUGAAAAUGUGUGUGUGUUUGUGAUAGUCAAAAUAAAAAUAACAUAAGUAAUUGGAAAAAAAAUUAAUAACAUAAAAUUAAAUAUUUAAUUAAAAACAAUAAGAUAAACAAUUUUAAGCAUAUUUUAGUACUACCUUGAUAGCAAGUUAGGGGGGACAUUGCUGUCUCCAUAGCAAGAAAAAUAUAGUGAUUUUAGUCUAUGCAAUUCCACUAAUUCUCCUGGUAGCUCAUGAAUAUUAGUAUUAAGCAACACAAAAACCUCAAGGUUUUUCAUAUUUCUCAAUGAUGAAAUGUUUUGGAGCUCGCAAUCUACAAAGCAUAGAGUUCGAAGAUUUGUUAGGAAUUGAAGUGCUUCCAAUGAGAAUACAACAUUUCCGAGAAAUAAAACUCGAAGGCUUUUCAUUCCUUCAAAGAACAUACUUGAAACUCUAAGUGAACUCUUUCCUGUCAAAAACAAAAUCUUGAGUUCUGAAAAUUCCAUUUUUUCAGGAAGAUUGUUUAUCUUACUGUUCCAUAAGGAGAUUCCCAUAUAACAUCCAAAACUUUCACUCAUAGGCCAUUCCGUCAAUCCAUCUUUCACAAUGAAUAUAUUUUCGCCUCUUAAUGUUAUCCAGUGAGCAAAAUCGCGAACCACAUCAUGCAUUUUUACAAAUCCUUCAUCAUCAAUUUCCAAUAACAAACCAGACAUUUUGAGUUUUGAGAGUGCUAGACGAAUUUCCCUCCUUAAGUCUUCAAUUAAGUUAAUAUGACAAAACAAUCCCCAACCAAUUCCACAUAUAGUCAACAACUCGAUAUUAAUCUCAUAAUCUUCAGGGAAAAGAGAACACAACAAGAAACAUGAUUGGAUAUUGUCUUCCUUCAAAUAAUCAUAACUAAGCUUAAGGCAGUUAUAAAUACCUCCGCAAAUAUCUUGAUUAUCCAAAUGUCUUGAGCUUUUGAGUCGUUCAUUUGCUGCUAUCCACCCAUCUAGACUUUCACCUUUUAGAGCUUUUGCCAUAGUUACAAUUGCAAGAGGCAAACCCUUGCAUUCACGAGCAACCUGCUUGGCUACAUCAUUCAAGGUGGGAGAGACAUCUUUUAGAUCAGCGUUAUCUUUGAAUAAAGCCCACGCUUCACCAUCAGAUAAGAUUUUCAGUUCAAAUUUCUCUUGACAAUUCAUUUGAAUACAGACUUGUUGAAGACGUGUAGUUAGAAGAAUUUUGCAACCCUUGUGUUCACCACCAAAUGGAAUUCCUAUAGUUUGUAAUUUAAAUUCUUUCCAAACGUCAUCAACAAUUAUGAGCAUCUUCUUCUGGUCUUUUAACCUCCUCCAUAACUCUUCUGCUUUUCCUUCUUCUGUAUUUGUCUCAUAUUUUAAACCAAGAAUUUCUGCAAUUUUAUCUUGAAUUUUGUUGAUGUUUGGAGUUUGGGACACUGUAACAAUCACAACCUUAUCAAAGAGCUUUUGUUCCCUAGCUUGCUUCCCCACUACUUCCGCCAAAGUUGUUUUACCCACACCUGGCAUUCCAUACAAUCCAAUCAUGUUCACGCCAUAGCUAUUUAAAACCUUCAUGAUCCCAUUGAAAGUUGAUUUAGAAGAUUCGGAAUGCAUGAAAUCCUUGGGUAGUAGGAAUUCUAUUCCUUGAAGAGGAGCACGCUGGCCGACUCGUGGAAAGUUACAAGUCUCUAAAAGUUUAGAGAUAUAAAGUGUCUUCCUCGCUGCCUUCUUACUUAAGCAGUAUCGCCAGCCCCAACUAGGACACCAUUUGAAACACUUAUUACGUUCUAUUUCAUCUUCCAAACUCUGAGCUUCUCCCAAUUCUCUCUCUGCCCUUGUUAGCCACUCCUCAACGUCCUUCUCAAUUACUUCAGUUUGCCUUAUAGCCUCAUUGACAUCAUUUUUCACCCGAUCUUUUUUCAGUGCAAGUUCGUCUCGCUGAUUCUUGAACUCCUCAACAAUUCUGCCGAAAUGGAAAAAGUAGCUAACAUAACGUGAUGUGUAUUCUGUUGUCAGGUUUCCCACGGUAUUGGCAGCAGCAUUGGCAAAAAAUCCAGCAUCCAUUCUUUGAUGAUACGAGGCUGAAAAACAACUUCGAUGAGUAAAAAGGUUUUAUAGAGAGACAAAUUACAGCAGUAUUGGAUGUUUCGCAAAGCAUAGUAUAUUUAUUCAUCCCUUUAUGAAAAUUUUUUUGCUCAGCGAUACCUUUAUGAAAAUGUAAAGCAAAGGAGAACAAAUUGUUGAUUAAUCUACUUGAAAAUUGACACUGCUGCAGAUGGCAGAAAUUCUUCAGUCUUAAUGUGUAUAUUAAGAAUAUAUCUUACAUGUUAGAGAAAAAGUAUGUUAUAUUUAUUAAUUUUCCUUUCAAUCAGUUUUCUAGAAAAUAAAAAAUAACUACUAAUUAUUAAGAUAUUGCUUUCCCUAAAUCAAAGAGAUGAGCUAACAAAAAAGAAAUUAAUACCGGAAAAGGUACGGAAAUCCUUUCUUGAAACUUACCUCUCUAUUCUCGCCACUUGAAUGUGAAAGGAUAAGAGACAAAUACAAGUUUUUUAGCUUUCUGCUUCACACAAAUGCCAUGUGGAGUGUCACUGUAGAAGAUCAAAACAGUUAAUUUUGACAUAGAAAAUAAUUUAGAGCUAAUUUUGCAUGUGAAGUUUGCAGUUGCACACUCAAAUGAAAAAAACAAGACAAAUAAGCCAUGGAAGAAACAGAUGUACAUAUAUACCAAGGAAAGAUGAACUUUCAGGAGCCAAGGCAAAGCUUCUAUAUUGAUCCAGGCCAAAGAUAUUAGACAAUGAGAAAGUUUGUGAGGAGAGUUUUUUUUUUCUUUUUUUUUUUUUUGAGUUAAAAGAAAAUAUGCAUCAACUAUUAAGUCAAAUGUUCGUUUGCUACCUCUUGUAUAUGUUGUAAUCUAUGAUAAUUGUCUGUGUCUAAUUCUAUGAUAGUAAUAUACAUGUUUUUUCUUAAUCAGUAUUUUUUUGGUGAUAAGCUUUUUGUGGUUGCUAUAUAUUCCACCCAAAGCAAGUAUGCCAACCCAAAGUCUUAAACUAUGUAAGUCAAAGACUUUAUAGCACGUUUGGGACAAGGAAUAGCUCUAUUCCCAAGGGAAUAGCUUACCUCCAUUUGGUAUAGCAAUAUCACAAAGAAUAGCUAUUACCUAGUAAUAGCUAUUCUCUCAAAAGGGGUAAAACUCAUGCAUAGCUAAACCCGAGCUCCCCCAUGGUUUUUGCUAUUCCGUGACUGAGGGAAUAACUCUGAAUUAUGAUAAGACUAAAACACCCCUUAUCACUUAAAAAUAUUACAACCUUAGACCUAUAUAUAUAUUUUUUCUUCUCAUUUUCCCUUCUUCUUUCUCUCUCUUCUCAUGUUCUUUCCUCUCUCAUUCUCUCUCUAAGUGGCACCAACGUUGGAGAUGAUGUUGCGACGGCGACAACGGUGGCGGAAACGACGGCGACGGCGACGACGAUGGAAGCUGCUGCGACGGAGGUUUUAUGACCGAAUAUGGUCGGACAAGAUUCAAACGGAGAUUCAACCAGAUCUGGCACUCAACAGCUAGAUCUGGUGCUUCCCGACCAGAUCCCACGAUUGGAUCUGGCACUCCACGACCAGAUCCAGCCGCGGGGAAGCGCCGAUCUGGCACUAUAAUGGCUAGAUCCGGCCACAUGGUGCUCCAGAUUGGUGUUUUGUUACACCGAUCGCCUUUCCAGCGACCAGCUCAUGAAAAAAAAAAAAGAAGAAGAGAAAAAAUAGAAUAAAAAGAAUAAAUUAUUUAUAAAAUUUAAAAUAUUAAUAUUUUAUAUAAAAUUUAAAUAUUAUUAAUAGUAAUAUGAUUAAAAUAUUAAAUAUUAAUAUUUUAAACUAUUAAUGUUUUAUUUAUUAAAUUAUUAAUUUAUUAACUUUUUAAUGAAUAUAAAAAAUAAAAAUUAUUAAUAUUUUAAUCAUAAUAAUAUUAAAUUAUAAAUAAAAUAUUAUUAAUUAAAAUAUUAGUAAUUAAAUUAUAUUAAAAUAUUGAUAUUUAAAUUAUAAAUUAUUAAUNAUUAAUUAAUUAUUAUUUAUUAAAUUUUUAAUGAAUAUAAAAAUAAAAUUAUUAAUAUUUAAUCAUAAUAUAUUAAAUUAUAAAUAAAAUAUUAUUAAUUAAAAUAUUAGUAAUUAAAUUAUAUUAAAAUAUUGAUAUUUAAAUUAUAAUAAUUAAUAUUUUAAUUUAAUUAUAAAUUAUUAAUAUUUAAAAAAUAAAAAUAAAAAAUAAUAUAUAUAUAAAAUAUAUUUUUGUCUUUUUAUUUUCUAUUACUUUCUUAUUCCAAAAUUAUUGUUACCAACCAAACACUAUAAUAAGUCAUAAUAAUUAUUUUUACUCUAUUUUAUUCAUCAUACCAAACUACGUAAUACUUAUUCUAUUAUAUUCCCACCUCAUUCUAUUCCCACGUAAUAACUAUUCUAUUCUAUUUCUGUCUAUUCCGCGAAUCAAACGUGCCCUUAGUAGCAUAAGAACUCAAGCAUUGGCAGUAAGAGUGUAGCGAAUUUAGCUUCAAAUAUUUUUUUUUAUUUUCUCAUUAAUUAAGAAGAUAAAGAUUGCAAAUAUUUUCACAACUUUUGCCAGUAGGACACGGCAUCAUUGAUAUGUACAAAUAUGAAUAAGUGAUGCACUUUUGAAUAAUUGCUGUGGUCCCUCUAUUAUUGUCCUUCAUUUUUUUGUCAUUUUGCAAUCAUUUUUCUAUUAAGGUAUAUUUAUUUCUGACCUACAUGCUUGGUCGGUUUCAUGACGUUCAUCUUUGCCUUAUGGAACUAGCCUCACCUUUUCUAUCCUUUCUUCUUUGAAAUUUUAACCUUUUUUAUGUUCUGGACAUAUAUUAACACCAGCUUCCUGAAACCUACCUAAUUUGGAGUCUACUUUCCCUCGGAGUUAAAGAAACUCUAGAACAAAAAGAUUAGUGUUUACUGGAGUAUUGCUCCAUUUUCUUCUUAUUUUCAAGACUCUGUUACAAAGAAAUGAACGAGGAUGAAUAGAACAGAACACUUUCAAUUUUCAUAUUCAAACUCUGUACAAUUAAUGGAACAAAGUUAAAAUAUGCGUUUUGUUUAAGACAGAGAAGAAUAAAAGCCGAAAUCAAAUAAAGUCUUUGAGGUAGUGUAGCUCGCAGAUGUGGAGACGAUACAAGAAGAUGAUUCAAUAGAAACCGUAUGACGACAAAGUAAUAAGAGUAGGUAUGGGAAAUUUGGAACACUAAUACUCAAAUUACAAACAAUGGAAAACUAGGUGAUUAUUAAUAAGACUAGGUAUAGGAAAAUUGGAAAAAUAUUGGCAACGAGGGUCAAAGUCGUCCCAUCCUCCCAUGUGAGUUUCCCCACCAAUUAAUAAACAAAAUUAUGAUUUCUCUUUUCUUUGAUAAUGCAGCUACAAUAAUAAGAGUAGGUAUGGGAUAAUAUUUGAAUUAGGAACAAUGGAAAUGUAUUGGCAACUUGGCUGAAAGUCAUCCCAUAUACUCCCAUGUGAGUUUCCCUCUUAUCAAUAAACAAAUAUGAUUCUCUUUUCUUUGAUAAUCCUAACGAAACCUUAUGUAUAAACAAUUUAUAUUUAAUCUGAAAAUUUCAUAAUCGAAUUUAAAAAUACAAAGCGUACCUAAUUUCUUAUUCAUGGUUUGACAGCAAAAAUGGUAUUGAUCAGAUUAACUGCUAGUACUUUUUUUAAAAGAAGAUUAAUUGCUGGUACUUAGUGCACUAAGACGUUCCUUUCAUUUUUUUUUUAUGAUUAUCUUCUCUGCAUCUUCACAUUUUUGCAGCUUGUGAUUAUAAUCCAUUGGUGUAGCAACAGGUUUAGCUCUCAAUAAUCUGUGUUCCUCCAGCAAUUUUAAUGUAUAUUUUCUCUUACAUACAGAGAUUCCUCCAGAGGAUCUGGCUAUCUCCAACCCCAAGAAGUACUUUACUGUACCAAGGUCUUUUAAUUUGAACUAUGUGCUCAAAAAUUCCUUGACAUUGUUUGCUGCUUCGAUUGAUGUGCUUUCAAUCAAAAUAUCAUCCACAUACAACAACAAAGCAAUAAAUUCUCCCUUUUUUGUCUGCAUAGUGAAUAACGAAUAAUCUACAAUUGACUGCUUGGAUCCAUAUUACUGAAUAGAGGCAGUAAACUUGGCAUUCCACUGUCUGAAAGCCUGUUUAAGUCCAUAAAGUGAUUUGUUUAACUUGCAUACUAGUUUGUCUCUGUAGGAUACUCCCCCUUAGUGGUAUACCCUUCUAGUAACUCCAUAUAUAUAGUUUCUUGUAGAUCCCUAUGUAGAAAAGCAUUGUUCACAUCUAUUUGUGAAAGUGUCCAAUUAAAUGCUGCUGCCAAUGCAAAGAACAGUACUCUGACUGUGGUUUGCUUUGCCACUGGACUAAAUGUCUUCUGGUAAUCAAAACCAAGUACUUGAUUAUAGCCUUUUGGCCACUAACCUCGCCUUGUAACUUUCAACCUGUCCAUUAGCAUUAAGUUUCACUUUGUAAACCCAUCUGCAGCCUAUUACAUGUGCAUUAGAAAGUUUAGGUACUAAACUCCAUGUAACAUUAUCUUCCAUAGCUUUCAGUUCAAGAGUAAUUGCCUUUUUCCAAUGUGAAUGAUUAAUGGCCUCAUAGUAAGACUUUGGUUCUUGUAUUUGUGAAACUGAAAUGGUAAAAUUUUUAUGAGCAAGUGAUAGGUAUUGAGAUGACAAUGCAUUGAAAUAGGAUGGGUAGUAACCGUAUAUGUCAUAAAGGGCAAGUCUGUAUGAUAUGCAUCAAGGUAUUUGGGGACUUGUUUGAUUCUGGUACUCUUUCUAACAAGUAAGUUGGUCAAUGCUUCUGCCAAUUCAAUGUUGUUUUGGUGAUAGUUACUACUUUAACAGUCUGCACACUGUCGGCUACAGUAGUCAUGCUGAGAGUGUUGGGUGAAUUUAAUGACAAAUCAUUAGAAUUUUGAGUUUGUAAAGGUGAAAUAAGUUCAGGAAAACUUGACUCGGCUGAUGUGUUGUCAAGAAAGAAAAACUAGGUUGAUAAGAGUCAGAAAUGUCUAUGUGACUGGCAUGCACAUCAGGUGUUUGACAGAAUGUAGAUGACUGUGCAUUUUGCUUAGAACAUUGAAAUGGGAAUACUUUCUCAAAAAAAAAAGACUUUUCUAGAUAUAAGAACCUUGCAUCAAGAUCAUAUACCUUAUAACCUUUAACAUUGCUUUAAUAACCUAAUAAUACACAUUUACUUGCCCUCUUAUCUAAUUUCUUUCUGUUAUGUGGGAGUGUAGACACAAAACACAAUGAUCCAAACACUUUGAAAUGCUUAUAGGUAGGUGGUUUGUUGUACAGCAUCUCAUAUGCGGACUUGUUUUUGAGAAUUUUGGUUGGAAUCUUGUUAAUUAUAUGAACUACCGUUAGCACGGCAUCACCUUAAAAAUGAAUUGGAAGACUGGAUUGAUGCAUGAGAGCUCUUGCCACCUCCAAAAUAUGUUGGUGCUUCAUUUCAACAACACCAUUCUGUUGUGGUGUCUCUACUCGGGACAUUUGAUGAGCAACUAUUGUUUUUGGAUAGAAAUCACUAAGUUUAAAUUCCUAACCAUUGUCAAACCUUAAAAACUUGAUUGAUGAAUUAAAAUGCCUUUGUACAUACUUAUCAAAGGAAGGAAUAAUGGUUAAAACAUCUGAUUUGCUUCUCAUCAAAAACACCCAAGUAAACCAACUGUAGUCAUCUACCAAAGUGAGAAAAAACCAUUGUCCUGACAAUGUUGGUGUCUCAUAUGGACCCCAUAUGUCAGUAUGCACAAGUUCAAAAAGUUUCUCAGAACCUUGAACAUGAACUGGGAAAGCAAGUUUUCUUUGUUUAGCCAUGGGGAAAACUUCACAAAGCAAGUUAUUUGUACAUUUCACAUGAGGAAAUCUCUGAUUGAUUACAUUAAUUCUUUCAAUAGGGAUAUGGCCUAACCUAAAAUGCCAUAGAACAAAAGAGUUUUACUCUGUCUUGGAAACAUUAACAGAUAAAACUUUUGGAGUCUUUACAAAAUUUUCAAAACAAAUUUUUGAUAAAUCUUACUCAUCUUGAUUCUCUUUCAUCAAUAAAGUCCUGAGUAGGCUCUACUAACCUUAAUCACCUACCAUGAAGGAAUGCCCUGGACAAUACAGUGUUUGUCAGUGAAUAGCAUACAAGCUUUCUUGCCAUUUGUAAUCUGACCUACUGACAUUAGAUUAAAUUUGAAACUUGGAACAUGUAAAACAUUAUGCAAAAUCAAUGAAGAACUCAACUUGACAGUUCCAAUAUGAGACACAGGAAUUUUCUGUUGUUUGGUAACUCAACAAAACAAUUCUUUACUAGUUUGGCAUGACUAAAAUUGCUUAAGGAAUAGGAUGUAUGAUCUGAUGCUCCUGAGUUUACUAUCCAUUGGUUUUUCUUUAUCAAGCUAGUAUUCACAUUCCCAUAUUCAUAUGACAAAUUAUUCAUAAUAGUAAAACAUAAGUGUCUUGAAACAAUACUUGCAAAGGAUGAAUUGGCUAGUGAGUGUUUGGUUUUGUAGGGUACUGUUGAGUUCUUACCAUCUCUUCCAUUCAUAUCAUUCACAUUCAAGAGGUCCAUGAUCUUGUUAACAUGCUGUUGUAGGAUUGAUAGUUGAGACAUGAAGCCUAUUCCACCCAAUUCGUCUUCUUGCUCUGUUUAAGACACAUUGUUUACUGCAGCCUUUCCUUUCUUGUUGUUUCCUUUCCCUUUUGUGAAUUUAAAAUCCUCUAGAAAGCCAGUGAUUCUGAAACACUUAUCUUUGGUGUGUCCUUUCUUCCCAAAAUGGUUACAUACUAUGUCUUUUUUCCACUUUUUCUUGUAUUCUACACUGACCAUCAUAGCAAACGAUUCUAUUAUUGCUUGACGUUGCAGCACAGCAUUUCUUUGGGAUUCUUCUGUCAAGAUCAAACUGUAAACUUUAUCUAGAGCAGGGAUAAGAUCCAUGAGAAUAAUUUGGGAUCUAAUUGCUGCAAAUGAUUCAUUCAACCCAUUCAAGAACUUGAAUACCAUGUCUUCUUGAUAAAGGUCAGAAUAUUUCUUGAAACAAGCAGGAUUGUAGCUCCCACAUUCGCAAUGUGGUAAUGGUCUAUAAUGCCUCAUUUCUUCCCAUAGUCCCUUCAACUCAAUAAAAUAUGUAUCAACUGUCCUAGUCCUUUGAGUUACAUUCCCUAGAACAUACUAUAAGUUACAAAGGUAUCGUCAGGUUAAGCAAAGUUUUGUUUGAGUGUAUUCCACGUCAUAAGCAGAAUCCAUAUAAAAUAUGGUUGAAGCAACUGGUUGAGUAAUUGAUUCCAGUAACCAUCCCACAAUAAGAUUAUUGCAGUGGAUCCGUGACUGGAAAAGGGGAUCUGUGAUCUUUGGCUUAGGUAUGGUUCCAUUGACAAACCCGAUCUUGUUUCUAAUCGAGAGUGCAAGUAGAAAAGACCUACUCUAGGUGAUGUAAUUACUGGUAGUGAGUUUGGGGUAGAUAACUACUGAACCAAGGUGGUCAGUAUGAUGAAAGUAAUAUGGUGACUGGGGAUCAGCAAUAGGAGGGAUUUGAAUGGUCCAUGUGCUGGUUUGGGUUGUGGUUUGUGAUGGUCUUAAUUCAUCAUAUUCGGACAUUAUUCUAUUGCUUUAAUCAAGCUCAAUGAUGAGUACAAAAAUAAAUAAGCAACCCAAAAAAGUUGCCUAGAGGCAAACUUACUAAUUCUGUGAAUGAUGACAGAUUCCUUCAAGGAUCAAAUUCCCGCUUUGAUACCAUGAAAGAAAUAGUGAUGCAGAGAAAGGACAGCAUAGUAAAUGAGGGAAUGUUUCUGAUCAUUCCAUUUCAUAAAGGAAAUCUGUACAAAAGUAGUAUUUAUAGUCUGUACAAAAGCGUAACCUGAUGAAAGAGAAAACUAUAACUAAUCCUAAGAUUAAUUACUUCAACUAACUAAACUAAUUUUUGAAAAAUACACUUUAUUAAUUAAACACUGCAUUUGAUGCCUUUCACUGGUUCCUUCUUUAUUUUAAAUGAAACGGUGCGUCUUGAGUUUUCCUUGUCGUACUUAUGGCUUCCUCUUUCUCAUAGUCUCGAUCUCUCUUCUUCCUUCUCUUCUUGUUUCUAGUUCAGCCUUCAUCAGGGAUUCAACCAUUUAUGAUGUUCUUGGACUUAUUUUGCAGCUCACUUUAGAUAUGCCAUUUCAAGUCUCUAACCUGAUAAGCCAAAGACUUCCAUGGCAUUAAAACCCCGGUAUGGGAGUAAAGCGGUCAAUUUGAUUAUACAAAGUGAGUCAACCAAUAAAAAACAGAUGCUCGAAAACAACAUAUACAACAAGCCCUGUGACCAAGAGAAGGGUAUCAUAAAGGCCAGAGCAUCCAAAAAACAGAGGCCAAAACCUAUACAUUUACCAACCCUCAGCUGUGAUUGCAGCAAACAAAAAAUAAAGAAAGGACACAGCUCUAAUUUGCAAUUGGAAUUCCAAAGCGAUAAGGGACUGUAAAAAAGUAUGAAUGAAGCAAAAGCACACUGAAUGGCACCAUCACAAACAUCCCGGGCCAUCAGAAACCAUGAAAUCAGGGGCUCACUAGCGGAAAACACAAAAAAAAACCAUUAUCACCAAUCAACAAAGCCACGAGAUGUAGAUGACAAACCAGAGCCAGCAUCUUAACAUGAAAAGUAAACAAGAGAUCCAUCGCUCCAUCAGACCGUUCCACCAGCUUAAAAACUCAUUGGUUCACAGUGCACAAAUGCCAGCAUCAAAAUCUUUAGCAAAGGAAAAGAAAACAUCCCCGCAUCUAGAUAAGAAACAGAGGAAUUUCACUAUUGUUCUUCUACUUAUUGUACAUACAGAGAGCAACGUAACAUUGAUUGGGUAAAUUAUUGAGAGCAAAAGAUCACUUAAAAUACAAAAAUAAGGAUAAGAAAAAGGGGAAUUUCACUCUUCUUCUUCUACUUAUUGUUUGUAGAGAGAGCAACAUAACAUUGAUUGGGUAAAUUAUUGAAAACAAGGGAUCCCUUCGCUUGACAACUCCAUGAAGCAAAGUAAUUUCAACACCUUGUUUUUUUUAUAUAUAAAUAUAAUAAAGUUUAACGCAAGUGAACCACCCAAACUUGAUUAGGAAUAGGCAAACAAAAGAAAGAAAUAGAAAGCAAAAGCAGCCUUUGUUUUACCCGUGUUUUGUUGACAGCCUCAACUACUCAUUUAUUUUGCAACUUCCCCUGAAUCAUUCUUUCAUGUAAGGUGUUAGCUGAUCCCCUGUGCUUCGGGACCAAAAUAUGUUCUCGAAGUGAACUGCAUUUUGAGUAGUGGUAGAUCCUUCGGUGACGUCUUGCUCAACUUGUCGUGGUAUCCUUCAGAAAAAUUGAAAUACUGAAAUGAAAAGCAAAAGUAUUAAUUUCUUAUGAUACAAAGGCAAAAGAAGAAUUAGCUAUGUUAUAUUUUAUAAGCAUUUUAGGUCAAGUUCAUAAACGAUAUUACUCAAUCAUGGAGAUAUGCUUAGUGGAGUCCAUUUGUCGAAAUAUGUUUAAUUUACAAACUAAAAUGAUAAAAUUACCUGAAUUUGAUUACAUAUAAUAGUUGGAUUAGGAAAAUACUUUUCCUUUUUUGGUUUUUGAAGACUGAAGAAAGAGAGGUUUAGAAAUUUUAAAUAUUUGUGGAUUUUGAAAAGAUAAUGUUUAAAAAAAAGUGUGUGAAAUUAAUGUGGUAGUGCAAUUCUCUAUGUUCCAAUUGGCUUUUGCACUUGUUUAAGAUAACAUACGGUUGUUGUCAAAAUAAUUGUUUUAUGACGAAGCAAUAGAAAAAUAUUAAGAAAUUGACUUUGUUCUUUUCAUCAAUUUGUCAGCCUAGUCGACCAAGUCUAAAACCAAAGCAACAAGGCUGCACAACCAGAGGACGGGGAAUGGACAGUAUGGAUCUCGAGGAGAGUUGCAUUCAUUGAAAUGCAUAGAAAAUUUUGUAAGAUUUGUAAGAGUAAGUAAACUGUUAUAAGUGAAAACUUAAACUCAGGUCCUCACUCCAAUUGCUAGAAAGAUUUCAAAUUUUUUAUGGUCAGUUUGGUAUUAGAAACAUUUCUUCUUCUGUUCAAGGUCAGAUAGAGAGAAUUUAUUGUUUCUCAUUUCUUUAGCGUUUUUUAGGGUUUGAUUUCUAGUAAUUGAAUUUUUUUUUUUUUAGUGAUUGUUUGCUUUCUUUACGGAUUAAAUCAGUACACUCUUUUAUUUUUUUUACCAUGUCAUGUAUCAAUUUUUCUUUUUUUGAAAAGUAAUUUCAUUGCAUAAGAACAGGGGAACCGACAAACUUUACAAAAGAUGGAUUGUAUUUUCCACUUGUCCUAUAAAUGCCAACAUUGUCACAUAAUAUUGCUCUUGUAUCCUACAAAUGCCAACAUGACAAGAGAUUAACACGCCCAUGGAUUCUAUCCAAAUAAGGGAGAGAGUUUGGAUAGUGAAAAAUAAUAUUUUAAGAGUUUAAUUAAAUAUAAUAAAAGAAUAGAUGAUUAUUUAAUUUUUUUUUGAAAUAAUACAUGUACUUUUCUAUCAUUUUAGUUAAAUACACGCCACUCGUAUUCUUAUAAGAUCAGAUUUUAAAUCAAAUGAAACUAUUAUGAAAAGAAAAGUACGUUUAAGUGAUAAUUGAAUGAGUUCAAGAUAGAGUUACUGAAUAUGAAAGUUUGAAUUUCUUUAAGUGUGGAUCAGUUUAUGAGUGUUGAAAAUAUUUGGCUCAAAGACAAAAUCCAAAAUCAUAAUUGAAGGAAAAGUGUAUAAAAGAAAUACCUUUAGUUGAACCAGCUCGUUAAUUUCUUUUUGAAUGAUGAAAUUUGUCAAUUUAGGGUAAUUCCAAACUUUCAACUUCUCCAAAGAUGGUGAUGACAUGAGAGAGUUUUCCAAGCAAAUGCAACUCAAAUUUAUCAAGUUUACAAGUUGUAAAUCUUGUAGGCAAGGGAGUGCAAUGGCACAAUCAACUCCAUUCUUUUCUUUUGCCAAUUGGAAGACUUGUUGCAAUCGAGGAGAAUCAGUUACCCAGAAUGAUUUCAACUGUGGAAGAGCUUGAGCCAAAGGAAUUUGAAAAAUAUCUUCUAAUAUUGGACAAUGACUUAUUCUUAGAUUUUCCAAUUUCAGCAAGAACGAAGAAUAGUAUUUUGUUUCUAUUUCAGCAUCACAGACCAACUUGGUAAUAAUGUGUUGCAGUCCAUCACACUGAUCUAUCUUGAGUUGUUCAAGGAGAACCAAGCUUUGAGCAAGGGAUGGUGAGUAGAGAUAGUUCAAUCUAUUGCAGUAACUAAUUUCUACAAACUUCAAGCUUUGGAGGCUGACAAAACGGGUGGACCCUUUCCAUCUCCAAUUCAAUUAUGGUAAUGAAUUUAGCUUCAUAAGUGUUAAAUUUGACAACAGCAGUCCUUGAUUUUCUUUUGUAUCAUGAAGAAACUCAUCUAUUUGAAAUACUUCUUGCAACUGGCCACAAUUAAAACACUUUCACUUCCUUUAGAUUUUGUAGCGUAGAAGAUAAAGAGACCAUUUCCAUGCAAUUCCUAAUUGUCAACUUCUCUAGUUUUUGUAGAAAGCCCUUUGGAAACUGACCGUUGCACAACAUUUUCAAACCAGUCAUUUUAUGCAUGUAUAAUUCCACCAAAUUGAACAAGGAAUUGGUUGAGACAUGCCCUUCUGUUGUAUCAAUCAAGCAUUCAAGCUCCUCGCCAUCGUAAAGUGCAAGAAAAGUUAAUUCAUUAAGCCACUUUGAAUCUACAUUUGGAAUGAGAUUUUUCUGAUACAUGACUCCUUUCAGGGUAAGAUUUUUGACAUUGUGUAAUAACUCCUUCAAUGCAUGCAAUUGAACGUCGUGAUCAUAAAUUCACAACAAAAUGAAACACAUUAGAAAAAUAGAAAGGUAGAUAAUGCUCUUUAAAUCAGAAUUGAAUUUUUUUUCUAUGCAUAAAAUUUAAAACAUUCCAAAGCUUAUUAACGUUUGAAAAACAUACCAAAGCCUGGAAUAUAAAUAGUGUACACGCUGAAAUUUAUUGGACACAUGGAAAUAUGAUUUAGCAAUAAAGUACACGUGGCAUGCAUGUAAGGAAGGAAAAUAAAAUAAAAUUUUUUUAUUGCCAUGUGCUUGUUUUUUUUUUUAUUAAAUUCAUUAAAUAUUUUAUUCUAUCAUGCAACGUACCUGUCUGCUAUUGUCAAGUCAUGCUUUCACAUGUCCUAUAAAUGCUAGCUUGGCUAGGAGUUAAAAUACCCAUGGACUCUAUCCAAAUGAGGGUGCUUGGAUAAUGAAAAUAACAUUGUGAGAGCUUAAUAAAAGAAAUACCUUUAGUUGAAUUUGUUCUUUAACUUCUUUUUGAAUGGUAAAAUUUAUUAAUUUAGGACAGUUGUAAAUUUUCAACUUCUCUAAGUUGAUGAGAUGGUGAUGAGAUGAGAAAGUUUUCCAAACAAAAGCAACUCAAAUUUAUCAUGUUUACUACUCGUAAAUCUUGUCGGCAGGGGAGUGCAAUGGCACGAUUAUCUCCAAUCUUUUCUUUUGUCAUAGUCUUGAGACUCUAGAGAUUAAGAAAAUGGGUGAAUCCUCUCCAUAUGCAGCUCAAUUCUAGUAAUGACUUAAGCUUCAAACAAGUUAAAUUUGACAAUGGUUGUACCUGAUUUUCAUGGUAUAAAAAAAAUAUAUAAUUUUUUAAUUAAUAAAUAUUGAAAUAUGAAUUCAUUGUACUUAAAUAUUGAGAAGACAUAUAUUUUUGAAAAAAUAUAAAAGGAAGUGUUAAAAGCCAAUAAUUUAGAAAGGUUAGAUAGUAAUUAUUUAUAUAUUUGAUUAUUCAAUAAAAGAAAGGUCAUUAGAAAAAGAAUAUACGAGAGCAUUAUUAAAGGAAAAAUGGAGAGAUAAGAGGUACCUCUAGCUUACCAUUUCUUUGUCAAAAGUAAGUGCUUGCUCCAAUUUUUCGCAUUCAGAUAUGGAGUUUCUCUAUAUGCAACAAACUUUGAGUAAGGUAAGGUGAGAAGAUAGAUUUCAGUUUAUCACAACCUUGAAUUAUUACAUCCUUCAGACUUUGUGGGCCUACGUGAUGAGUUGGCUCUUUCCAUAUACUCUCCAAUGCUGGUGAUAGCUGCAGCUCCAACUUUCUUAAAUUUGAAAUCGUCCGCAUCUGACUUUCUUCCUUUCCAAGAAGCCCAUCCAUUUGAAACAGUGAUUGCAAUUGCUCACGAUAGGAAAUGCUCAAUGUUUCUAACUUCUUUAAGAUGCUAGGUGAUUGACCAUGACACAACUCUUUCAAAGAAGUCAUUUGACCAAUGUAUAAUUUCACCAAAUUAGAGAAUGCAGUGGUUGGACUUUGUUCUCGUGUUGUAUCGAUCAAGCAUUCCAGCUGCUUGCAAAAUGAAAGCUCAAGAGAAGUUAAUUCCUUUAGUUCGCACUGAUCUACAUUUGAGACAAUAUUUUUGUGUUCCAUGGUGACACCGAACAGAGUAAGCUUUUCCACAUUGCAAAACAGGUCCUUAAAUUCAUUUAAUGAAGAUGAGAAACAACGAAUUAUCAAGGUUCUCGAGCUUAGCCCCGCCAAAUCUUCAAGAUAUCCAUUUACAGUUAUGUUGUAGCUUUGAAGUUUAGGGAACACAAAGUUUUCUUGAGAACAUUGAUGAAUAGAAACUCUCAGUGUUAAUGCAGUCAAACCAGACAAAGAAUUCAGCUCCAAUAAGUUGACAUUGUUUGUACCUGUCACGUGUAGCUCUUGGAGUGACGGUAACUUGUUACACACAAAUACAAAAUGUUCUUAAUGCAAUAAUAUAUAGCACUUUUAACCGAAUGAUAAAAAUAGCAAGAUAAUGAAAUGAAUAAGAUAACAUUAACUUUUUUAUUUCGUCAUUCUUAAAGAUACUUUUGUACUACAGGUUGCAAUGUUUCAUAAUAAUAGCAGUGACCAAAAGCUCAUGCUAGAUGUAUAUUUGUUUGUGGGGAAAAUUACUUUGUUGCAUUCCAAAGUGAGAAAAAUAUAGUGAUUUUAAUCUACGUAAUUCCACUAAUUCUUCUGGAAGCUCAUGAAUAUUAGUUUGAAGCAAUGCCAAAACCUCGAGGUUUUCCACAUUCCACAAUGAUGAGAUGUUCUCAAGCUCACAAUUUGUAACACACAAAGUUCUAAGAUUUAUCAAGAAUUGAAGUGCUUCUAGUUUGAGUACAACAUCUUGGAGAAGUAAAAUUCAAAAGGUUCUCAUUCUUCCAAAAAAAAUUACACAAAACUCUCAAUGAAUUCUUUCCUUUUAGAAACAAAAUCAAGAGUUUUGAAAAUAACUUUGUUAGGAAGAUGAUUAAUCUCAAUGCUUCAAAAGAAAAUUACCGUACAACAUUCAAAACUUUCACUCAGACCAUUUCAUCAAUCCAUCUUUUACCAUGAAUUUAUUUUCCCCUCUCGAUGUUAUCAAAUGAGCCAAAUCACGAAUCACAUCAAACAUUUUUACAGAUUCUUCAUCGUAAGUUUUCAAUAACAAACUAGACUAUUGGAGUGUAAUUAGAGCUUCAUGAAUUUUCCUCCUUAAGACUCCAGUUGAGUCAACAUUACCAAACAAUCCUUGACCAAUUCCACAUAUAGUCAACAUCUCAAUUGAUAUUUCAAAAUCUUGUGGAAAAAGGGAACACAGCAACAAACAUGACUUGACAUUAUCAUCUUCCAAAUAAUCAUAACUAAGCUCAGACGGCUAUAGAUACCUCCACAAACAUAUUGAUUAUCCAAAUGUCUCGAGUCUUUGAGUCGUUGAUUUGCUAUUAUCCACCCAUUUAAACUUUUACCUUUUAGAGAGUUUGCCACAGUUACAAUUACAAGAGGCAAACCAUUGCAUUUACGAGCAACCUACUUGGCUACCUUCAAGGUGGGAGAGUCAUCUUCUACACCAGCUUUACCUUUGACUAAAGCCCAUGCUUCAUCUUCAGAUAAGAUUAUUUAGCUGAGCUUUCUUUUGACAAUUCAUUCGAGUGCACACUUGUUGAAGAAGCGUGGUUAAAAAUUUUUUUCAACCCUUGUGAUCAUCACCCAAACAUCAUCAAGGAUUAUAAGGAUGUUCUUCAUGUCCUUUAUUCUCAGCCACAAUUGUUCUGCUCUUCCUUCUCUAGUCGUCAUUUGAAGUUUUAAAUGUAGGAAGUCUGCAAAUUUAUCUUGAAUAUUGUUGAUGUUUGGAGUUUGGGACACGGAUACAAUCACAACUUCAUCAAAGAGUUGCUUGGCUUGCCUUCCCACUUGUUUUGCCAAAGUGGGUUUACCCACUCCUCCCAUCCCAUAUAGUCCAAUCAUGUUCACAUCAUCCUUUCUCAAAGCCUCCAUGAUCUCUUUGAAAGCAGAACUCGAGGAUUCAGAAGGCAUGAAAUCUUUAGAUGGAAUGAACUCUAUCCCUUGAAGAGGAAGACGCUGACUGACUCGUUGAAAAUUACAGGUCUCUGCUUAAAGUUGAGAGAUAUAAAGCGUCUUCUUUGCUACUUUGAUACUUAAGCAGUAUCGCCAGCCCCAACUAGGACACCAAUUGAAACACUUGUUACACUCUAUUUCUUCUUCCAAACUCUGAGCUUCUCCCAAUUCUAUCUCUGCCUUUGUUAGCCACUCCUUAACGUCCUUCUUAAUUACCUCAGUUUGCCUUACAGCCUCAUCGACAUCAUCUUGCACCUGAUCUUUUUUCAAUUGAAAAGCUUUUCGCUGCUUCUUGAAAUCUUCAACAAUUUUGGCAAAACGGAAAAAGUAAGUGAGAUAAGGUCAUGCCUAUUCUGCUGCCAGAUUCCCUACAGUAUGUAAGACUGUGAAUGGCAAUUGUAUUCAGCCUGCAACAACAUUGCCCAUAGACUAGAAAACUCAAUAUCACAGAGAGGAGAGGAAAGAUAUGGGAUGAAACAAGAAAGGGAAGCAAAAUAAAAAAACAAAAAAGAGAUGAAGGAACAUGACCCUCUCAAAGAAAUAAAAACCACAACAUUGUACACCAGCCAAUGAAAACCCACAACCUUAAAACAUGUCGGAUCAAAGCAACACCUUAAGUGCCCUUGAUGAGUGGACCAGUUUCGAGCCACAGUAGAGCAACCACACCUCACUGCAAAAUACAAUAAAAAUAAAACACAUUAAGCACAAUGAAUUAAUGUCAGAAAAUGAUAAUGGCAGAUGUAGUGAGCAUAGACAAACUAGUCAUUUCAUUUGUUUUUUAUUAACCUUCCAUGCAAUUAAAGUAAAAAAGGGUGGUCAAACAGAUUCAGCAUGCUUGCAUUCUUUCUGCUUUUGCUAAGUGCCAGGAAUAAUUAUGAAAAUAUGUAUAAUUCAUAAAAUCAUGUUUACCUGCUGUGGUUGUUGGUAAGCUCCUGGUUGCUGGUAAUUCCCGUAUCCAAGAUAGCCCCCACAGUACAUGUUAGGAUCUUGGGGAGGAGGUGCAUAUCCAUAUGCUUCAAAUCCUUGAGCAUAUCCAUAACAUCCACCAUUCCACUGGGCCUGAUCUGGUUGAGCCUGAAACUCCAACAGAUUUCCCUCCUAGUUUGCAGAAAUAUAUAUAGCAAGGUUUUAAUUACAAAAUACCAUGAUUUUAAAUACAAAACCUGAUUGCUUGAAGGACUACAUCCCCAUGAAAGUCAAAUGUUUCUUCCUCCUAAUACGAUGCCAUUCAAAACUGAUAAAGCUUGCUCCGCGUUAGUCCUGAAGUAUAUCAAAUUGCAGAAUAAAUUAAUAUAAUAUAAUAAUAUUUCACGCACUUAAAUAUUCGGAAGAAUUUACAGCUUACCUGUUAGCAUAUUGAACAAAACCACAACGCUUGUUAGCAGGAAUUUUUACAUGAACUACCUCACCCAGCUGGCUAAAUAUUUGUUUUAAUUGGUCUUCAGAAACACUAGGAUCCAAACCACCAACAAAUAUCUGCAUUUAAGCAUCUAAGAUUUCAGUUGACCACACCAUGAAAUAAGUAUAUUAAUAUAUAUAAAAAGGCUACCCACUGUGGUAUUAUUUGGAUCAUUCUCGCCAGGAUUUCCUUGAGUAUUCUGGUAAGAAGCUGCAAAUGAUAAAUACUUGUAAACUACCAUAGAAUGAGAUGAUAAAAAAGCUCAUUACUUCUCAAAACUCAAUUUAAACAUUGUUGAAAAAACCAAAGCAUUAAGAUAAUACACUUAAAAAUACUAAAAAAGUUCAAAAAAAUUCCCUCCGUGGCAUGCAAAAGAACAAAAAUGUAAAACCACCAGCUAUACAUCACUCAAAAGUUACAAUUAAAACCAUAAACCUCCUUUGGGUUACAUCAAGGCUUACCAUUACCAGGGAAAGUAAAAAGUAUCAGAUUAAAUGGAUUUCAAUAGUAGCCCAAAAAGAAAUCAUUAAUUACAUUACACUCAGGGAAUCAGUAAAGGUCCUAUUCUUUCAUUAACCUUUUACAAUAGCAUGAAAAGGAGAAAAAGGAAAAUUGAAAUCAGAGACUUAACUUUUCUCUGCACUUGACAAGAAAUAUUUCCUUUUUCUCCUUUCUUUCACACAUUUUUUGUAAGGGGGGGGGGGAGGGAGGGAGGAAGUUGUCGAGGCUUAAAUAGAAUGAUUCACAACUUCAACUUCAAAGAUUAUGUUUUAGUAGAAAGAACCUAUCUGCUAAACUAAUUUCAGAAAUGCUUUAACAUUCUCUGCGUAGACAGAAACCUAUAGAGAUUAUAUUAGUAGCCACAAAAUGAUAAGAUGAAGAACAUAUUUAGAAACUAAGGAAAUUCCUCUAAACUGAAGUGACGCAAAACCGCAAAUGACAAGUAGAAAAAGAAUGCCUUGAAAAUGCAAUAUUAAUACUGGUAGAUGCAUACACAGCUAGGCCUGCACUAUUUAGGUUUUCGAAAUAAAGCAUGGACGAGUGAUCCACUUCCAUUGAGGUUUAAUCCAUUAACUGAAAAUGCCUUUAACUACAAGUUCCAGGUUUCUUUCCUGACUCAAUUUGUCCUCAUUUGUAAAAGAACAAUAGAAUGAGGACAAAGAAGUUACUAUAACUUUUAAAAGAAGCACAGAUAUAAAAUGCAAUAGAACAAAAACUGCCCCAAGGUUCAUUAACAGAAUGGUGCAUGAUAACAUCCAUAGCAACUUUACCCAUGGCUGCUUCACCUAGUUUUGAGCAUUACAGGUUGAAUUUAAAGGAAACAAAGAGGAGUGUGUAAACAUAUGCAAGUAUCGAAAGGGAACUGAUCUAUGACAAAAUUAAAAAAAAAAAAAAAAGUUUCUAGACUGGUAAAAUAAUCUAAAGAAAGAUUUAAAGGAAACAUGUUGGGAAAACUGAAACAAAUUGUACUUGACUGGAAUACUUAAUAAGGAACUGGAAAAGUAAUUUACAAAUGUAGCACAAAUACUGCCACAAGAAAAUGAGGCUUACGACAUAAACAAAGUAACUGACCUAAAAUGAGGCCACGCAUUAAAGUGGAAUCAUUUCAGCUGAUACCAGUUCCAGGAUCCCCAAAGUGAAAGCCUCUUGGUGUCCUGCUUUAAGACAACAUGAGCUUUAUAUAAGGUUGUGAAUGUUUUAAUAUAAUUAAACGUGCCCAAGUUUACAAAGGCAAAUUGGAAGGAAAUGACUUUGCAUAAAUUCCGCUGCUCUUCAAGUGCAUAACUGAAAGAAUUCGAAUUUUGAGGAUACUGUAACAACUAACAAGUAACAACUUCAACUCAGAAAAUUAAAACCCAAAAACAAAAAUAGAAUAACCAACAAGCAUUCAACUUGUCAAGUCAAAGUACUCUAAGAUAAAUCAUGGCAAAUAAAAACUAUUUAAAAACCAUGCAACCUUCAUACGUAAAUCAAGAUAAAUAAUGACCUUAACAAAACCCAUAAGAUAGUACCUUUCGGAUACUGCUGACCAGUGACUGGCUUCUUAUUAGCAGCUGGACCAAUCCGCAUUGCCCUUGUUGAACAAUAAAUCCCGUUCAUUUCGGUCAUGGCACGAAGCUGCUCAGUUUCAUCACCAAACCUCACAAAGCCAUAACCUUUAGACCGUUCUGUAGUCCUAUCAGUGACAACUUUGGCACCCUUCACAGAUGGGUAAACAGCUUUAAAAGUCUCUUGCAACAUAUAAUCUGAAACAUCAGCAGCCAAAUCCCCAACAAAGAUUGUGUAAUCAGGACCCUCAUCUUGCCUCUUUUCCCCAUAUCCGAGUGCCGCCCAAUUCAACCUAAAAUUCUGCUCAGAAUUCGGCAUUGGCACCCCAUUAUACGACUGCAAAACCCUCUCAGCUGCCGCACGUGACACAAACUCGAUAAACCAUACCCCUCUGGUAGCCCCGUUUGCUUAUUCCUAAUCACCUUAAGCUGCAGCCACCUAAAAAACCCCAAAAAAUAUUAAACUUCCUUUAAUUACUUCUUACUGAUUUUUUUACUUAAGCAGUUAAGUUUAAAAGGAAAAGAAAUGAAAUUCAUUUAAAUAACAAAAGGGAAUAAUAUUUUGAUUUAUUAAAAUAUAAAUAAAACUGCGAAAUUUAUUCCACUAUAUUUGCUCCGUUUAAUUAAAUUUUAUUAUAUUUUUUUACUAUUUUACUAUUUACUUAGGCACUCUUAAAUCUUUUUUUUUUUUCUAAAAGCCCCUAAUUUUUUUUCUAAAAUAAUAUAAUUAACUAAUUAAUUACCUCUCCAGUGUGAGCGAAGAUGUUGAUGAGGUAAUUCUCAUCCAUCCACUGCUGAAGAUCACCGAUCCAGAGGGAUCGAAUCUCGCUGGAGCCGGCGGAGACUGAACCGGUGGAGUACUGCUCAAUCUGACCGGGCGGAGGAACGGGUUGCGGAGCCCAACCGGAAGGUGGAUGAACCGGCUGACCCGCCUGCUGCUGCUGUUGUUGUUGUUGCAUCAUCAUCCACGGCUGCGACUGCGGUUGCUGCUGUUACUGCUGGGUUUGAGACUGAUCGGCUGCCAUGGACUGCGGCGGAGCUACGCCUCCUGCUGGGGGUUGUUGCAUCAUACUCGAUAGAUAGAUAGGUAAGAGAAUCGGGAGAUCUCAGAGGAGAGGAAACCUUAGGGGUAAAUUGAAAUUUGGUGCUAAUAAGUAUAGAAAAAAAAUUUAAAAAUUAAGUAAUUAAAUGGAAUUGAAAUUUGAAAAUUAUUAAUAUAUUUUUAUGGUAUAAAAAUUAACUAUUAUUUUAUUUUAUUCCCUUUAUAAAUUUUAUGACUUUUAAUUAUGAUGAUUUAGGAGAUGUUUGAUAAAUUAUUUCUUAAUCUAUUAAAUAAGAAAUUUUUUUUUAUCAUUUCCCUUCGUCUCAUUAUCUUUGUUAUUUAUUGAUUUUUUUUUUGUUAAAUAAACUCUAACUUUGAUCAUUAUUUUUAAAAAAUUGCGAAGUUAUAAAAUUUUGAAUUUUAAAUUUUUUUAUUUUUUUUUGAAUUUUUAAUUUUAUAUAGUAGUCGUGUAAUAUGAUAAGAGAGGUACAACAUGGUAAGAAAAAGAAAUUAAAUUGAACUUAAUAAUUCUAAGUGCAUGUAGAAAUGGUCCAAACCCUUUUUAUAAUUCUUAGUGUAAGCAUUACUUAGUAAAAUUUUCUUCUAUCAAUGAGUAAUUACUUCAUUUUAAAUGCUUUUUGUGAACUUGUUGCCUGAACUGUACUACCAUGGCCAGAUCUUACAGGCUGGAGUACCAAUCAAACUCUCAAUGUUUCAAUAAACCACUUGGAACCUUCAUAAAAUAAAAAUCUACUUGGCUUGUAUAGGAAAAUUAAAGUUUAAUUUCCCAUGUCUUGAUUUAAAAUACAGAAAUAAAGAUAAGAAACAGAAAAAUUUUAAGCUUAUUCUUCUACUUAUUGUAGAUACAGAGAGAAAUAUAACAUUGAUUAGGUAAAUUAUUGAAAGCAAGUGAUCCCUUUGCUUGACAACUCUGUGAAGCCAACAUCUUGAUCAACCCAAAGCACAAUAAUUUCAACUACCUGUUUUUUUGUUUAUGUAAAUAAUAAAGAUUAGCACAAGUAAACCACUAAAAUUUGAUUAGGACUAGGCAAACAAGUGAGAGAAAUGAAAAUGGAAAGUAGCCUUUGAUUUACCUGUGUUUAGUUAAUGGCUCCAACGUACUCAUUGAUGUUUAAACAUGCCUUUGCAACUUCCCCUGCAAUCAUCUCAUAGUUCUUCCUUGUAAGGUGGUAGCCUGUAACAAAUGCUCUUGGACCGUAGAAUGGUCUUGGCGUCUUGCUUAACUGGUUGCGGUGUCUUUUUAAACAAUUGAAACAAGGAAAUGUAAAACAAAAGUAUUAAUGUUACAUGUUAUGAGAGUAAAAGAAAAAAUAGACAUAUUAUAAUUUAUAAGCAUUUUAGGCCAAAAAUUCAUUAAAAGUAAUGAAAUCAUUCACUAAAAGUGAUAUUCUAGACCAAUCUUUUUGUUGCAGUACUACUACUCAAUCAUUUAAGUAAUUUUAGUGAAGACUUUGAAAAAUUAUGCAGUAUAAUAUUAUUAAAGACUCUAAUUGCCUUUGCACAUACUAAAUAAAAGCGUAAACUUAAUUCACUAAUCAAUAAUAAAAACUCUUAAUCAUCAAUAACGAUUAUGUUGGGAGGAUAAGGAGAAUGAAUAAGGUAUUUUUAGUUUUAGUGAAUAAUAUUCUUGCAAAAGUCCAUGAAGAUGGCUUCAAAGGAUUUGGGAUCAAUUUGGAAAGGUUGUCAAUACAUUGUAGAGAGAAAUAAACGCAAAUACAGUUAGAGGUAUCCUUUUAUCAUAUUUGGAUAUUUUAAUAAGGAUAAAAAAGUAGUCCAAAAUUUAAAUGGAGUCUGGCUUCUUAACCAAAGGCUAGAGGUCAAUAUAGCCAGCUAAGGAAGCCAUGAUUCAUUCUGAAGGAGGAAGCAAAAAGGAAGCUUCUGAUGCGCCUAGUGUUAACCACAUUAGGAACGGAACCUGCAGUGGGAUUUUGAGACAACUUGGUUUUAUUCACUAAGCCAUCUUAUGCUCUGUUAUUGAAAGGUGCUUUUGAAAAAGGUGGAGCUUCAAAUGAAGAGAGAGAGAAGAUGAUCUUCAAUGUCUUAACAAGCAUGGAAAACAUGCUUUGGUUGAAGAGAAGUGAUGUGGUAACAACAUAAUGUAAUUCAGAUUUAGCAAAUUUAAUGGAAUUAUUUAAAAUGGAAGGCAUUUCAGGGCUGCUUAUGAGGAGUUUGUCUCUCAAAAGAAUUUGUGCUAACCUUUGAGGAUAAGGAGCUGUUGGAAGCGCUCAAGGAUAAAGGUUGGGAUUGGCUUAACAAAUGGUUUACUAAGGUGGAAACAUAGUUAGAGAAUUUUUCAUCAAAACUCCUUAACAAGUGGGUGAUUGCACAGGAUAUCCUUUUGAUGUGUGAAAUAGGCAUAUUAUAAAUUAUAAGCAUUUUAGGCCAAAUUCAUUAAAAGUGAUAUUCUAGACUAAGUUUUGGUUGUAGUGUCAUUCUCAAUCAUUUAAGUAAUUUAAAGACUUUGAAGAUUAUGCCUUAAAAUAGACAAGACUAAAGUUUUCAGGGUGUAUACCUCUGUUUUGGCAUGCACAUAUUCCUUUGAAUCUAUGAAGAAACCUGUAGUCAUCUUGGGACAUCCUUCUACUUUGAAAUAAUGCAAAGCCGACAAUACAAAGUGAUAUCCCCUUGGACAAAAGUCAACGAGGCUUGGUAGUUCUUCAAGUGAUAAAGUCAUUAAUUGAUCAAACUUUAUCUCUUUUUCGGUUGUCGCUUCUGCUUCAUCUUCAAGUUCAAAUACUUGCUCCAAUUUAGAGUUCCCUAUAACCCAUAACUUUUUAAGUUUUGGAAGACAAAGAGCAGAUCCAAGAGGAAGGAGACGUUUCAACUUUUUGCAAUAUUGAACAGAAAUCAUGGUCAAAUUAGGAAAGCUUAUAGGUUGGAGAUCACCAUCUGAUGAUGAACAAACUUGAUCCUCAGCAAUGAUUUGGUCCAAUUCAUCACAAUUUUGUAUUUCUAGAUUGACCAACCGUGAUAAACUUUGAGCAGUUGUAGGUGAAAAUAUGUAUCUUAGCCUCUUGCAAUCAAUCACCUUCAAAAUUGUAAGGUUUUCAAGAGUUACAACCUGAGAGACAUCCUUCCAUAUAAUCCACUUUUCAGAUAAAUCCUCCAGGUGGAGUUCCUUUAUACGUCCAUGAACCUGAAAUAGCUCUUCAUGACUCCCAACUGCUAUAUAUUCUUGAUUGCAAUUGGCUGAAAUACGCAAUUGAAAGCUAUUUCCCAACUUAGAGAGAUAUAAUUCCUGCAAAUACAUUUCUGUUGUAUUAGAUUGGGAACGGAUGAGCAAAUGUUACUCAUAAUUUUUUAGAUGCCAAUUCACAAGAAAUCCUUAUAUUUUUAAUGAUAGGACAUAAAUAUGUUUCAAAAUUACAUACAAAAAACAUAAAAGAAAUGAACCCCCCCGGAAAGCCUAACUUUCUCAAUCUGUUUCUCUUGUCUGAAACAGAAAGUAGAAACACUUUGAAUAAAGAAAAAAAGGGAACUCAAGGCCAAGAAGAAAAAGAGAACUUAAAUUGAAGAAGAAAGAGAAAAUUCGAAUCAAAGAAAGCAAGAGAAACUAGAAUCGAAGAAGAAAAAGGAAGCUCGAACAAGAAAAAAGGCAAGUUUUGUCGUCAUGAAGAAAAUAUAUGACGAACCUCAAUUCAGAAACAAGGACAAGGAAAACCCAAAAAUCCCCACAAACAAAUUAAAAUAUGUUUUUCAAAAUAAAUAGUAUAAAAUUUGUGUGCUGCAAUUUUAAAAAAUAAUUGGAUUAGUUUGUGAGUGUUGAAAAAAAGAUUUAGCUCAAAGGCAAAAUCCAAAACCAUAAUUGAAGGAAAAGUGUAUAGAGAAAUACCUCUAGCUGAAUUUGUUCAUUAACUUCUUUUUGAAUAGUGAAAUUUCUCAAUUUAGGACAGUUGCAAACUUUCAACUUUUCCAAGGAUAGUGAUGAGAUGAGAAAGUUUUCCGAACUCAAAUUUAUUAAGUUUACAAGUUGAAAAUCUUGUAGGCAAGGGAGUCCAAUGGCACGAUGAGUUGGCCAUUUCCAUAUGCUCUCCAAUGCUGGUAAUGACUGCAGCUCCAACCUUCUUAAAUUUGAGAGUGGUACUGUCUGAUUUACCUCACAUAAAGAAAAAUAUAAAAUUUAUUAAUUAAUAAAUAUUGAAAAUGAAUUCUUUAUACUUGAUCUUAAUUAUUCAAAAGAAAUACAUUUUGUUAAACAAAAGUAGAAAGAAGUAUUAAAAGUUAAUAAUUUAAAAGGAUUAGAUGAUAAUUAUUUAUAUAUUUGAUAAUUAAAAAAAAUCAUCAGAAAAACAAUAUACAAGAGCAUUAUUAAAGGAAAAAUGGAGAGAUAAGAGUUACCUCUAGCUCGGCCAUUUCUUUGUCCAAAGGAAAGACUUGCUCUAAAUUUUUGCAUAAAGAUAUCCGAAGUUUCUCUAGAUGCAAUAGACUUUGAGCAAGGUAAGAUGAGAAGAUAGAUUUCACUUUAUCACAACCUUGAAUUUUUAUUUUCUUUAGACUCUGUAGGCUUACAUGAUGAGUUGGCUCUUUCCAUAUACUCUCCAAUGCUGGUAAUGAUUGCAGCUCCAAACUUCUUAAAUUUGAUAAUGGUUGUACUUGAUUUUCCUGGCAUAAAGAAAAUAUAUAAUGUUUUAAUUAAUAAAUAUUGAAAUAUGAAGUCAUUGUAUUAAAUAUUGAGAAGGCAUAUAUUUUAAAAAAUGUAAAAGUAAGUGUUAAAAGUCAAUAAGUACGAAAGAUUAUAUAGCAAUUAUUUAUAUAUUAAAUAAUUCAAUAAAAUGAAAGAUAAUUAGAAAAAGAAUAUAUGAGAGCAUUAUUAAAGGAAAAAUGGAGAGAUAAGAGGUACCUCUAGGUUUGCCAUUUCUUUGUCAAAAGCAAAGACUUGCUCUAAUUUUUCGCAUUUAGAUAUCUUAAGUGUUUCUAGAUGCAACAGACUUUGAGCAAGGCAAGGUGAGAAGAUAGAUUUCAGUUUAUCACAACCAUGAAUUGUUACUUCCUUCAGACUUUGUAACCUUACAUGAUGAGUUGGCUCUUUCCAUAUAUUCUCUAAUGCUGGCAAUGACGUCAGCUCCAAACUUCUUAAAUUGGAGAUCGUCCACAUCUGACUUUCUUCAUUUAUAAGAAGUCCAUCCAUUUGAAACACUGAUUUUAACUGCUCACAAUUGAAAAUUCUCAAUUUUUCUAGCUUUUUUAAGAAGCUAUUCGGUGAUUCACCAUGGCACAACUCUUUCAAAGAAGUCAUAUCUUCAAUGUCUAAGUUCACCAAAUUAGAGAAUGCAGUGGCUGGACUCUGUUCUCGUGUUGUAUCAAUCAAGCAUUCCAAAUCAUCGCAAGAUGUAAGCUGAAGAGAAGUUAAUUCAUUUAGUCCCCACUGAUCUACCGUUGGGAUAAUAUUUUUGUGUUCCAUGAUAUUGUACAGAGUAAGCUUUUCCACAUUGCAAAAUAGCUCCUUGAAUGCAUUUAAUGAGGAUGAGAAAUCUCUAAUUCUCAAGGUUCUCCAGCUCAGCCCCUCCAAAUCUUCAAUAUAUGCAUUUACAGCUAUAUUGUAGCUUUGAAGUUUAGGGAACACAAAGUUUUCUUGAGAACAUUGAUGAGUAAAAACUCUCAGUGUUAAUGCAGUCAAACCAGACAAAGAAUUCAGCUCCAAUAAGUUAGCAUUGUUUCUACUUGUCACGUGCAGCUCUUGAAGUGAGGCCAACCUGUUACUAACAAAUACAAAAUGUUAUUAAUGCAAUAAUAGCACUUUCAACUGAAUGAUAAAAAUAUCAAGAUAAUGAAAUGAAUAAGAUAACAUAAACUUUUUUAUUUCUUCAUUCUUAAAGCUACUUUUGUACUACAGGUUGCAAUGUUUCAUAAUAAUAGCAAUGACCAAAAGCUCAUGCUAUAUAUAUAUAUAUAUAUAUAUAUAUAUGUUCGUGAUAGUCAAAUCAAAUAAAGUAAAUAAUAGAAAAAAAAGAUAAAAUAAAUGAUAUAAAAUUAAAUAAUUGAAAACAAUAAGAUAAACAGUUUUACCUUGAUAGCAAGUUAGAGGGGAAAUAGCAGUAUGGCCUUUCAUUGUAAGAAAAAUAUAGUGAUUUUAGUUUAUGCAAUCCCACUAAUUCUUCUGGUAGCUCAUAAAUAUUAGUCUCCAGCAAUGCAAAAAUCCCGAGGUUUUCCAGAUUCCUCAAUGAUGAGAUGUUUUCAAGCUCGCAAUUUAUAAUGCACAGAGUUUGAAGAUUUGUCAGGAAUUGAAGUGCUUUCAGUGUGAGUACCACAUCUUGAAGAAGUAAAACUCGGAGCAUUGUCAUUCUUUCAAAAAAUGCACACGAAACUCUCAAUGAAUUCUUUCCUUUGAGAAAUAAAAUCUUGAGUUUUGAAAAUUCCACUUUGUUAGGAAGAUGCUUGAUCUCAAUGUUUCAUAAGGAGAUUGCCGUAUAAUAUCCAAACCUUUCACUCAUAGGCCAUUCCAUCAACCCAUCUUUUACCAUGAAUAUAUUUUCCCCUGUCGAUGUUAUCCAAUGAGCAAAAUCACGAAUCACAUCAUGCAUUUUUACAUGCUCUUGAUCAUCAGCUUCCAAUAAUAAACCAGACUUUUGGAGUUUUGAUAGUGCUAGAUGAAUUUCCCUCCUUAAGUCUUCCAUUAAGUAAUUAUUAUUGAACAAUCCCUGACCAAUUCCACAUACAGUCAACAACUCAACGCUAAUCUCAUAAUCUUCUGGAAAAAGGGAGCACAACAAGAAACAUGACUGGAUAUUAUCUUCCUUCAAAUAAUCAUAACUAAGCUUAAGGCAGCCAUAGAUACCUCCGCAAACAUCUUGAUUAUCCAAAUGUCUUGAGCUUUUGAGUCGUCUAUUUGCUGCUAUCCAUCCAUCUAGAUUUUCACCUUUUAGAGCGUUUGCCACAGUUACAAUUGCAAGGGGCAAACCGCCACAUUCAUGAGCAACCUCUUGUGCUACAUUCGAGGUUGAAGAGUCAUCUUUUAGAGCAGCUUUAUCUUUGAAUAAAGCCCAUGCUUCAUCUUCAGAUAGAAUGUUCAGUUUAAAUUCCUUUUGACAAUCCAUUUGACUGCAGACUUGUUGAAGACGUGUAGUGAGAAGAAUUUUGCAACCUUCGUGCUUACCACCAAAUGGAAUUCCUAUAGUCUGCAAUUCAAGUUUUUUCCAAACAUCAUCGAGAAUUAUGAGAAUCUUCUUCUCUGCUUUUAAUUUUCGCCAUAACUCUUCUGCUUUUCCAUUUUCUGUUCUGGCUUCAAAUUUUAAACCAAAGAGUUCUGCAAUCCUUUCUCGAAUUUCGUUGAAGUUUGGAGUUUGGGACACCGUAACACUCACAACCUUAUCAAAAAGCUUUUGUUCUGUAGCUUGCUUCAGUACUACUUCCGCCAAAGUUGUUUUACCAACUCCUGGCAUUCCGUAUAACCCAAUCAUGUUCACACCAUCGCUUUUUAAAGCCUUCAUGAUCCCAUUGAAAGCUAACGUUGAAGAUUCGGAACGCAUGAAAUCCUUGGGUAGUAGCAACUCUAUUCCUUGAAGAGGAGGACGCUGGCCAACUCGUUGAAAAUUACAAGUCUCUACAAGUUUAGAGAUACAAAGUGUCUUCUUCGCUACUUUGAUACUUAAGCAGUAUCGCCAGCCCCAACUAGGACACCAAUUGAAACACUUGUUACGUUCUAUUUCUUCUUCCAAACUCUGAGCUUCAUCCAAUUCUUUCUCUGCCUUUGUUAGCCACUCCUCAACGCCCUUCUUAAUUACCUCAGUUUGCCUUAAAGCCUCAUCGACAGCAUCUUUCACCUCAUCUCUUUUUGAUUUAAGUUCAUUUCGCCGGUUCUUGAAAUCUUCAACAAUUUUGCCAAAACGGAAAAAGUAAGUGAGAUAAGGUGAUGUGUAUUCUGUUGCCAGGUUCCCCACGCAAUUGGCAAUAGCAGAGGCAACAAAAUCAAGAGCCAUUCUUUGAUGAUCUGAGACUGAAAAACAACUUGGAUGAGUAAAAAGUUUUACAAAUAUCUCUCAACCUAGGAUGAAAGGAUUACUUAACUUGAAAAUAGAAAACAAAUGUCGCUGCAUCUAAAUUCGCAAAUAUAUACUCAAAUGUAAAACCAACACAAAUAAACCAAAGAAGAAAGAGAUGAAGAUUUACGUACCAAGGAAAUCUAUAGAUGAACUUUUAGGAGCCAAGACGGACCAGCUUCUAUUUUGAUCUAAGCAAUCUCACAAACUCGGUGAAGGUCUUUUUUUUUUUUAAGUUCAAAGAAAACUGAAGCAGAAAUGAACUUUGCACUGCAACAAUCAGAAGAUCAAGGAAUUAAAAAAUAACAGACUUUCACUUAUCUUCUUUUUAAUUCUGCUUCUGAUGCAAAGGAACAGAGCAAACCAGAAAGAGCAAAGUAAACAGAGCAACUCUCAAGGCAAGAAGAUCUUUUUUUUAAAAGCAUCCCCUUUCUUUCCGUAAAGCAAAGAGGUGAGCUUACAAAAAAGAAAUUAAUUUAACUGAAAUCUUUUCUUGAAACUUACCUCUCUAUUCUCACCACUAGAAUGUGAAAGGGUAAGAGACAAACACAAAGUUUCUAGCUCUCUGCUUCACACAAAUGCCACGGGUGCAGUGUAACUGUAUAAGAUCAAAAGAGUUAAUUUGGACAUAGAAAAUAAUUCAGUGCCAAUUUUGCAGGUAAAGUUUGCAAAUGUAUACUCAAUUGCAAAAACCAAGACAAAAAUAAGCCAUGGAAGAAAAUGAUGCACAUAUAUACCAAUGAAAGAUGGAAGUUUCAGGAGCCAAGGCCAAGCUUUUGUAUAAUGAUCGAAGAAAACUCAAGUAGAAAUCAAGUUUGUACUACAGUAACCAAAAGUCCACUGGCAGAGGGAAUUAAGAAACAACAAACAUUUGUCAACCUAAGAUCAAAAGAACAACUUAAUUUGAAAAUAGAAAAUAUGCGUCAAAAUAUCUAUUUAUUUCAGUUUUUUCUCAAUAACUACAGCUUUUAUUUGACCAUGUUGUCGUCAAGGGCUGGGAAAGAAAUAUAGUGUAAAUUGAUUAAUUUUAUUUGCCAAAUGAAGAACUCGAGAAGUCAAAUGCAUUAGUAAUAAGAGAAAUUGAGCAUAGCAAAAGCUAUAUAUGGAGAAUAUAAUAUGUAUUCUGGAAGCUUACCUCACCUCGAAUGGAUCUUCUAAAGCUUUGUUUUUUAGAUAGAAAGCAGAAAAACCAAAAUAGUAGAGAUAGCAGCUUUGAUUUUUUUUUUUGGCUCUGUGGAGCUAAGGAAAGGAAAAGUAGGGAUCAAAGAACAGUUUUUGGUUUUUUUUUUUUUUUGUGAGUUAAAAGAAAAUGAGGAAAGUAGAAACCAAUGAAGAUAAAGCAACGGAGAUGCCUUCUUUUUUUGAGUUGAAAGAAAAGUGGAAAUAUCAAGGAAAAUGAAAUGGAAGAGUAAGGCAGAAAUCAAACUAAGUCUUUGGGGUGGUGUAGCUCGCAGAUGUGGAGAUGAUAGAAGAAGAAGCUUGAAUGGAAACUCGAUGACGACAAAGUAAUAAGAGCAGGUGUAGGAAAAAUAUUAGCAACUUGAGUCAAAGUCCUCCCAUGCUCCCAUGUAAGUUUCCCCACCAAUUAAUGAACCAAUAUGAUUCUCUUUUCUUUGAUAAUGCAGCUACAUUGAUAAAAGUAUGUAUAGGAUACUAUUGAAAUUAGGAACAAUGGACAUAUAUUGGCAACUUGGCUCAAACUCUUCUCCUACUCCCAUGUGAGUUUCGCCACUAAUUAAUAAACAAAUAUUAUUCUCUUUUCUUUGAUAAUAACCAGCUGCAAUGCGGAAGCUAGUGUUAUACAUUGAGAAAGUUCCCCUCUUGUGGUGUUCGAGACUCUGUUACAAGCUCCCUGUAAAAGCUCUUUGGCCGGCAUGUGCUAUCAACAUUAUCAUAUAAUUUUUAUAGAUUUGAGGAUUUUUGUUUACUUCUAGGGACAAUUGCAUGUGAAUGUGAUAGAUAUUUGAUUCAAAUUUUAAUUGAGAGUCCAUAAAAUUUUAUUGGUUGAAAAUUAUUUAGUGACUGAAUUUAUUUAAAAGGUAAAUAUACUUAAUGAUUAAGAGUUUUGAAUGGGUAGGAACUCAUGGUGGUAAAGUAAUAUGACUCUAUAAAUAUGGAGUAGGUCUUAAUCUUCAGAAUUAAGAUCAAAAUGUAAUCUCUUCGUGAUCUUAAGAGAUAAUCAUAUUAAAAUCGAGGCUUUUGUAAGGGUUUAACAAAUAUAUGGGGGUGUGAGAAAGAGUAGGGAAAAUAAGUUGUAAAAUAUGUGGUAAUGUAUGUUUUCGAGAUACAUUACCUUGAUAUCCGCCCAUGGUCUUCAAGCUCAUGUGACUGAAACUCAGCGGAAUAAUACGAUAUGAUCAUUGUCUUGAGAUUUACAUUGACCAAACGGUAAUAAUCUACUUUUUUUUUCUGAAGGAAAAGAAGCACUUAUUUGUAGUAAUGUAUUCUUCCAACAAUUACUAGUCAUUUUUCAAUAGUGGGAAAUUUUUUACUUAAAUAUUUCUAUAAUAUAAUGACCCUUUUUUUUAUUAUGUGGACCUCAAUAAGUUAAAUUUUGAACUAAUUGAAGUAUAGAAAAUUAUCCAAUAAACUGUCAUGGAAUUUAAAAACUUUAUCAAUGAAAUUAGAAAGUUGUCACAUAUUCAUUAGGAUAUAUUUGAAAAACUUAAUAAAUUAAUCUGAUAAAUGAAAGGAUAUGAAUUUGACAAUAUUUUAAUUUUACUAACAAAGUUAAAAUCUCACCGAGGAUGUAUAGAAUAAUAGUCCUCAAAAGUCAAAAUAAUCCGUUUGUUUUUACAAUUGAAGGACAUUGAUCAUUACAUGCAUUAGUAGUGAAGAUUUGUUGCUUUUCCUUGAAAGAUCAUUACAUUUUGUGCUUAAUUACAUGUUUUUGUUCGGCUUAUAUAUAUAAAGUAUAUAUGCUUUCAUUAGUGCUUGUUGAAUUUUGGCAAUAAAAUGUUUAAUAGAGGUGAUAUGAAUGAAGUGACCAUCCAGAGAUAUUCCAUUCUGAAGUGACUAUCCAGAGAUAUUGCAUUCUAUCUUUUCUGCCUAUUGGGUUCCACUGCUUGGAGCAUUUCUGCAGUUUCUGUAUACUUAUUUGCUACAACUUGAAAGAAAAGAGCAUGACAAGAUUGUAUCCAAAUUUGCCUUUAACUUCAAAUUUACUUCAGCUUGAUCAGCAAAAAAGGAAAAUUUGAGUUCAGAUUAUAGCAUUUUGGUUAUUGAAUGAGUGACUCUUGGAAGAUGGAAAACGUUCAUGCAUGCUUGCGAAGCUCGUUUGGUAAUAUACAGCACAAAAAGCAUUGUGAACCCAACUUCGAAACACAUGAAUCCCAUCUAUUUUUCUAACAACAGACGUGGCAAGCGUGGGCAUACCAAUUCUAAAUUCUAACAUUGGUUUUAGACCACUUUAUCAAAUUUCAAAGCCUUUCUUUAGUGCUUUUUUCCCCUCGGUUUCUUGGGAGAAUUAACUGGUGCUGUGAAAGAGGGCAAUGUUGGGGAUGGCAGGGGACGGAUUAGUGUAAUUUUUUUAUAUUUAUAAUUGAAAAAAAUUAGAGGAAUGCAGAUUAGGGGACAGCAGAUUAUGGAAACGGUGGAAGACAUUUCAGCAGGUGGAUUCUUUAAAGGAGGUGAUAGGCAGUGUAUUAUUCUGUGAGUGCUGAUUUUUUUGGCAAAGGAAGGUGCAAGGAGAGAGUUUUUAUUGGAUAUUGUCAUUACCUUGAGAUUUACAUUGAGCCAGUGGGAUUAAUUUUUUUUUUUUGGUUUUUAAGAAAAAGAAACACUUAUUGUAAACCUUGAACUAAUGGAGGUAAUUGGUUUUAUAUAUAUAUAUAUUGCUCUGGCAAAACAUUGUAAUUUAGAAAUUUAGAAGUAGAGGUAUUCGUUAAUUUUAUUUGCCAAACGAAGAACUCGAGAAGUCAAUUGCAUUAGUAAUUAGAGAAAUUGAGCAUAGCAAAAGCUUUAUAUGGAGAAUAUAACAUGUAUUCUUGAAGCUUACCUUACUUCGAAUGGAUCUUCCAAAGCUGCAUGGAUUUCUACUUCACCAACUCCGGAGAUCGGGAAAGAACAAUUAAGGACCAACCCAAAGCAAAGAAAUAGAAUAAGGGUAAUUACUUCACCAACUCCGACUUCUUUUUUUAGAUAGAAAGCAGAGAAACCAAAAUACUAGAGAUAGCGGCUUUGGGUUUUUUUUUUUUUUUUUUGGCUUUCUGGGGCUAAGGAAAGGAAAAGUAGUUGGGAUCAAAGAACAGUUUUUUGUUUUUUUGUUUUUUUUGGUGAGUUAAAAGAAAAUGAGGAAAGUAGAAACCAAUGAAGAUAAACCAACAGAGAUGCCCUCUUUUUUUGAGUUGAAAGAAAAGUGGAAAUAUCAAGGAACAUGAAAUGGAAGAGUAUGGCAGAAAUCAAACUAAGUCUUUGGGGUAGUGUAGCUCGCAGAUGUGGAGAUGAUAGAAGAAGUUAAAUUUUGAGUUAAUAUAUUGCCCUUGUUUAAAUUACGUAGACCUCAAUAAGUUAAAUUUUGAGUUAAUUAAAUGAUAGAAAAUUAUCCAAUAAACUGUUGAUGGAAUUUAAAAAUUUUAUUAAUGGAAUUAGAAAGUUGUCACGAAUCCAUUAGGAUAUAUUUAAAAAAAAUUAAUCUGAUAACUAAAAGGACAUUUGACAAUAUUUUAACUUUACUAAUGGAGUUAAAAACCCACCGAUUAUUAUACAAAUGAUAAUAAUCCCAACACUAAAUCGCGUCUAUCUAUAAUCCCAACCACCCACUGCUUUUGCUAGUGGAACAUGGAAUUAUUGAUUCACUUUUGAACUAUUUUUAUUUUAUUAUUCAAGACAAGUCACAGCAAAGACUUGGUAUUCUUCCAAGUCUUUUUUUAUUGUCAUUUUCUUUUAUUCAAAUAACAAUCGACCCAAACAUGGUUUGCUUUAUGGAAUUAUUAGCCUCACUUUUCCUUUUUUUUUCUUUUUUAUUGUUAUAUGUGUUGAUCAUUAGAUUAUUAAAGGGAGAUAGAUAAUGACAUCAAUCAUCUUUAGGAGAAAAUUCCAAUUAAAAAAAAGACCAGCAUUGAGAAAAAAAUAAGCUAAAAUUGUCCAAGAAAGUUUUGUCAAUUGUUUUUCUCCUUGUGAUAGGGAAUAUUUUGGUCACUGGUCGCCUAGUUGAUUAUCUCUGCCUCAAAAUUAGUAAAGAAUACUGGCAACUUGGUUAUGAAUAAUGAAUUGAUUAUUGAGAAGAGUAGGUGUAGCAGCAGGACAUUUGGAUAAAUUAUGGGCAACUUGGGUCAACGUGGUCCCAUUGAGAAAGCUACAAUAACAAAGCUACUUCUAUACAUUGAGAAAGUUUAUUUUAUUUAUUGUUUUCCAGCUACAAUCCAAAACAUUGUUAGAAAUCCUUUCAUUUCACAAUUCCCAUACAAAACAAAAGCUUGGCAGAUGAACAACAUCAUUAUUUCUUCAGGUUUGUUUUAUUAAUAAUCAAAUUGAUUUCAUUUCACACUUUGUUAUAUCAACAAGGGCAUUUAUAUUACUUGGCCAAUUGAUUGUUAGCCAACUUGAUUGAGACUUGUGCAUUUACCUCCAUAUAUCAUCAACUCCUCCUUUGUUUGAUCUCUUCUUGAUAAAUAGGUUGCUCAUCAAAAUUUUCUAAUGGCAAACCAAUGUCAGGAUAUAGUUAACUAUUUCAGAGAAAGUGAAAUGCAAAUUUUAACUAAUCAAAAUAGCUUUCCUUUGUUGUUUAAAGAGUGAUUUUCUUUGUAGUUGAUUUCUUAGUUUAAUUAGUCUUUAUUAAUAUAAUAUAUUUAUUUAAAUAUAUAAUAUAUUUCUUAGUUUAGUGAUUUUCUUUUUAUUAAAACAUUUAUUAUAAUAUAUAGCCCUGUUUAAAUUACCUAGACCCCAAUAAGUUAAAUUUUGAGGUAAUUAAAUUAUAGAAAAUUAUCCAAUAAACUGUCAUGGAAUUUAAAAACUUUAUCAACGGAAUUAGAAAGUUGUCCCAUAUUCUUUAGGAUAUAGUUGAAAAAUUAAUAAAUUAAUCUGAUAAAUAAAAGGACAUUUGCAGUUUCUGUAUAAAAGGCUUGGAGCAUUUGCUAGAACUUGAAAAAAGGAAGCAUGACAAGAUUGUAUCCAAAUUUGCCUAUAACUUCAAAUUCAGUUCAGCUUCACCAUCAAGAAAAGAAACUCUCAGUUCAGUUUGUAGUGUUUCAAAUGCAUGCAUGCUUGCGAAGUUCGUUUGGUAAUAUAUAGCACAAAAAGCAUUGUGAACCCAAAUACGAAACACAUGGAUCCCAUCUCUUUUUCUAACAACAGGCGUGGCAAGCGUGGGCGUACCAAUUCUAACAUUGGUUUUAGACCACUUUAUCAAAUUUCAAAGCCAUGUUGUAGUGCUUGUUUCCCCUGGCUUUCUUGGGAGAAUAUCAAGAUUAAGUGGUGCUGUAAAUCAAGGCCAUGUUAGGGAUGGCAGGGGACGGAUUUUAAUAGAGUAUUCGACGUGAUCAUACUCGAUUAAUGUAAUUUUUUAUAAUUAUAUUUGAAACAGAUUGGAGGAAUGCAGUUAAUUGGAUAUUGAACCUCGACAGUAGAUUAUGGAAAUGGUGGAAGACAUUUCAGCAGGUGGAUUCUUUAAAGGAGGUGAUAGGCGGUGUAUUAUUCUGUGAGUGCUGAUUUUUUGGCAAAGGAAGGUGCAAGGAAAGAGAGUUUUUAUUUGGUAGGAAUUCAUGGUGACAAAGUAAUAUGACUAUAUAGAUAUGGAGUGGGUCUUAGUCUUUAGAAUUAAGAUAGACAUGUAAUCUCUAUAUGCUUUUAUGGCAUCCGUCUUUGACCUUUAAGCUCAUGUGCCUAAAAUUCCACGGAAUAAUAAGUUAUUGUCAUUGCCUUGAGAUUCACCUUUAGAAUUCUGAUUCUUCUGAUGCAGCUUUGUUUAUCCUGCAGGGAGCCUUCAAAACCAAACAAAGUGAGACAUUAAGAACAAGAAUUAAUACUAAUUUUCGUUAACAAGUAGUAUAGGACAUAACAAAAAAUAAACAAAAAUCAGUAACAGAGCAAAUUGCAGAUUGUUAAAGACAUGAUAUAUGACUAUGUAACACAAGUCAGACAGAAAAGAGCUAAUAAGCAAAACAGGGUAUUCAUUCAUUAUAUAUGAACUUUCAGGAGCAAGACAGAGCUUCUAUUUUGAUCCAGCCAAAAUACAGACACUAACAAAGUCGGUGAAGUUUUUUUUUUUUUUUUGAGUUCAAAGAAAAUUGAAGUAGAAAUCAACUAUAAUUAAAAGGACGGGAAAUUAGAAAACAACAGACUUUCACUUAUCUUGUUUUGAAUGCACGCAGAUAAUUCUGCUUCUGAUAACAAAAACAGUAGUCGAACAUAGAAAGUAGAAACUCUCAAGGCAAAGACUUGUUUUCUUUGGAAUCCCUUGUUCAUUUUAUUGAUACUAUUUUUCUUAUUCACAUCCUUAGUGGAAGACAAGGGCCCCAACAUCUUUUGCCUUAUCAUUGACUAGUUCUCUCUCAGAGAAGUAAAAAAAGAGAAAAGGAUGGAGUCAAGGAGAUGCCCUGCUACGGGCCCUACUGUUUGGCUUUCCAGGAAGUGUUAUGGAAAGAGGAUGGGAAUCUAUCUUCUUGGUUUAGUUUAUUGUAUGCUUUGCUUUCAUGAUCUUAUCUUUUACUAUUUUAAAACUUUUUGAAUAUUAAAGUUAUGAAUGAAAUAAUUUUUACAAAUAAUUCUAAAUUUAUUAUAAGUAAAAAGUCAAGUAUGGUCCAACCAAGUAAUUACUUGAGCAAUAUGUAAACCUUUAUCAUGAAUAAGAAUAAUUUUAUACAGGUAAUAAUUUCAUGUCAAGUCAAGGUUCCAAUGCAGUAAACGGUAACUUGAUUAUCCAGCUGAUACAUUCUUUUAACAUCUCUACAUAUUUAUGGCUUUUGAAUUAUUGAUCUAAUACCAGAAAGAACAUCUAAGCCUAAUUGCUCUAAUCAAAACUAUUUGAACUAAUUUCCAAUAAAUAAAAGCAAGAGCUUCAAGGAAUAACCCGACCCAUCAAACUUUAUUUGGAUUCAAAAAUGAGACAGAAUUGAUCAGUGUAUUAAUAUAUUAUAAACAACUUUAAUAACCAAGGCUAAUGUGACAAAUUCUAUGCAAUAAUAGAGUUCACACAAUCUCUCCUUAGAAUUUUAUUCCUUUUCUUUAUCAAAAAAUCAUGCCUUGUCCUGGUCCCAGUAUCUGUCUCAUUAUUUAGUUGGGAGGGUAAAAGAAAAUAAAAUCCCCAUUUCUACCUUCCUUCUCGUCUUCCCCAUAGAACAGUGAUAGUGGGCCUACACUCUGAAAAAUUGUCUGUAAAUGUUGUUGGUUUUACCGUAUUCUCGAUCCCAUCUCCAUUGCAACGUAGUUAUAGGUAUAAAUGGCACCCAAACAAUGCUUUUCAUCCUUUUUGGCUAGUAGGACAUGGAACCACUAUUAUGAGCACUUUUGAAUUAUAGGUUUUUUUUUUCUAGUCUCUUUUUAUUUUCAUUUUUUUAUUCAAAUAGCAAUGGAGCCAAACAUCAUUUGCUUCACGGAAUUAUAGAUCUCACUUUUUCUUUUAUAAAAAAGCUUUAUUUAACGGGUAAUUAAUAUCUCAAUUCUAAAAUCUUAAAAUAUUAAAAUACGUUAUAUAUUUAGAUCGUUAUAUUAUAAAUUUUAACUACUAUCAAAAUUGAUUAUUAGAGGGAGACAAAUAAUUAAAUCCAUCGACUCAAUGAGAAAUUUCAAUUAAAAAAUGGCUAGUAUUGAGAAAAGCAAAGCUAAAAGGAAUUUUAAGAAAGUAUUGUCAAAUUUUUUUCUCCUCGUGAUUGGGAAAACUUUAUUUAACCACUAAUGGGAAAAAAAAUGGGGGAAGAAAUAGUUUUGGUCAAUCUUCGGCUAAUUGACUAUCUCUACCUCAAAGUAACAAAGAAACAUCAAUAUGGAAUCAAGACUCUUCUUGGCUCUUGCCUUGAAAGAAUUAAGUCUACCACAGAAACUGAAUUUAUCAAAGUAAAAGGGAAAUUUCCAGAACAUGCAAGUAAACAUAACUAUGUACUACUCAUUCAUACAAGUAGUUACAGGUGACUAACAUUACCGUACAAAAAAGAGUUUAACAUCGUAAAAGAGAAGCAAAGAUCAGCCAGCUGCAAAUCAACUAAUCACAGAGAAAACCAUGUACUCUUGGAAUACUAGAAUUUCACUCAAAAGUUAAGAACAUGUACCAAACAAGCAAAUGCAAUAAGAGUCGUAGAGUAAACUAGUUCUUCACCACUGCAAAAUAAAGCUGAAAGCAGAGACGGUGCCAUAAAGUAGACAGCUCAAAUGUUGUUAAGCACAAUCAAGUACCAACCACCUGUAUCAUUGAAGCAAAGAACCUGUCAUAAAUCAUAAGCCAUUAGACAAGCACCUUAUUUAAGAAAAGAAAUAAAAUUGGGUUGAAAAGCCAUAUCUACCUGGGUUAGUUAUCCUCUGCUUCGUCCACGUUCAAUAUAGAGGUAGUGUCUCUUCCUGAUAUCCACAAAGCCAAAAUACAUCGUUGCAGGCGGCCUGAUUAUCAACUAUUUCUUCCUUAGUGAUCAAACCCUCCCUUCUAUCAUUCUCAACUUGUUCGGGUGCCUUCAAAACAAAUUAACAAAAAACAAAUGGCAUAAAGCAGUAAAUCAAUACCGUUUUAAUUAUUUUCUUCUUAAGAUGCUAGGGAAGAAAAAGCCAACCUUUAUUAGUCUUUUUUUUUUCCUGAUCUGAGGAUGAGUCAAUUUGAAUCUUGCUUAUUGAGCAAAAAAUCAUACAUCAUUUAUUAAGUCAAAUGUGUGAGAAUAAUUAUUAAUUAAUUUAUUUUAGAAGAUAAUUAAUUUCACGUUUGAUUUUUAUGAAUAUAUACUAGAGUUUUUCAAAAAUAUUAAUAGAUAUUCCUUCCAUCCCAUUAUGGUUAUCUUUCAGAACAUUUUCGAUCAAACGAAUUCAACUUUAAUUAUUAUUUUCCAUAAUGUAUAUCUCAUCGUUAGUUCUAUCAAUAUCAUUGUCAAGAACGACUUAUUAAGCCUAACAAAAGAAAAAGCUGAGUGGGUACCUCUGUUAUGGCAUGCACAACACGUUUUGAAUCAAUGCUGAAGCUUGUACUCAACUUGGGGCAUUCUUUUACUUCAGCAUAAUGCAUACAGGGGAAUCGAAAAUGGUAACCCUGAGACAAACUCUUGAGGCUUGGCAGCUCUUUAAGAAGCAGUCCUUGCAAGUUAGGGAGCACUAUUCCCUUCUGAUCAUCUUCAACGUCUAAGUUAAAGACUCGCUCAAGUUUAGAGGCCCCAUCAAUUGAGAUGAUCUUGACUUUUGAAGGAGAACAGGUGAUACUAAGAGGAAAUAAGCUUUUCAAGUUGCUGCACUUAUAAAUUCUUAUAAUUUCAAGACUGGGGAAGGAUAUAGGUUGGAGAUGAGCCUGUGAUGAUGAUGCUGAAGUUUGAUCCAUUUCAAUGAUUUGUUCCAAUUCCUCACAAUGAUUUAUCUCCAAAUGGGUCAAAUGAGGCAAAUUUCGAACAAGCAUAGGAGAGAGGAGGUAUUUCAACCUAUUACACUUUGACACAUGUAACCAUCUAAGACAUUGAAGGCUUGCAACUUGGAUGGGACCCUGCAACUGAUGUAAAUGCUCUAGCUGUAUAUUCUCUACCCUUGAGAAGAAUUGUCCAGCUUGCAUUUGAAAUAUCUUCACACAAUUUCCAACAGUUAUAUAUUCCAAAUUUACUAAACUCCAUCUUGAUUGAGAAUUAAUUGUGUUGCACCCCUUGUCAUUUCCCAAGUCAGAGAGGUAUAAUUCCUGCAAAGAUAUUAAAAUAUCUUAAUUUCAUUAGAAAUUGAAUAAAUUACAAAGGUCCAACAUAUUGUUACAUAAAUAUUGAAAGAGAAAAGUGCCUUGAAUCCCAAAGAAAGUACACAUCACUCUAUGCAUCUAAUGCCUCAUAAAUCAAGCAAUUACUUUAAUAUUUGUUUGAUUAUAAGUUUACACUAUGAAACUUGAUUACAAAGGUCGAUUAACAUAUGACUUGAAGAGUACAAAAUCGAAAGCGAACCUUUUUUGUAUGAAAUGAGGGAAAUAGCAAUUUUUUCUGUAUAUCAAUCUGGAAAUAGCACCCAGUCGUGCUUAGUUCAGUAUAAGUGCAAACAAAGUGGGGAAGGUAUUUUUUUUGUUUACAGGUUCUUGGAUGGGGAGAUUUUGUACUGAUAUUAUAUCUAUUGCUACAUUUCAGGGGUGAUGUUCUGAUCGCCCAUAUUAAUGCAUAUUAACUUUCAGAUAAAAAAACGAAAAAAAUCAGAAUUAACUUCUAAACUAAUGUGCUAUUCUUUUUUUUGCUUUUAAUUCAUGAGUUUUGAUUUUUAUAUUCAUCAAAAAUAAAGAGUUUAAAAUUAUUUUAAUGGCAAUUUUAAGAUAUCGUUGAAUUAGUUUAUGAAGGUUGAAAAGAUUUGAGUCCAAAGCAAAAUCUGGAACCACAAUUGAGGGAAAAGAGUAUAAAAAAAGUACCUUUAGUUGAGCCUGCUGGUUAACUUCUUUUUGAAUGGUGAAAUUUGACAAUUUAAGACAAUUGAAAACUACCAACUUCUCCAAGGAAGGCGCUGCAAUGAGAAAAUUUUUCGAGCAAAAGCAACUCAAAUUUAUCAAGUUUCCAAGCCGGAGAUCUUGUAGGCAAGGGAGCACAAUGGCACGACCAACUCCAUUCUCUUCUUUUGUCACAUUGAACAGUUGUUGUAACUGAGGAGAAUUGCUUAUCCAAACGAAUUUCAACCGUGGAAGAACUUGAGCCAAUGGAGUUUGAAAAACAUAUUCCAAUUUUGGACAAUCACUUAUGGUAAGAGUUUCCAAUUUUGGCAAGAGCGGAGAAUAGGGAUGGUCUUCUGAUUCUAUUUCAUCAUCAAAUUCCAACUCAGUGAUAAUGUGUUGGAGUCCAUUGCAAUGAUCUAUCUUGAGUUGUUCAAGGAGCACCAAGCUUUGAGCAAGGAAUGGUGAGAAGAGAUAUUUCAAUCUAUUGCAAUAACUAAUUUCUACAAACAUCAAGCUUUGGAGGCUGACAAAAUGGGUGGACCCUUUCCAUAUCAACUUCAAUUCUGGUAAUGAGUGCAACUCCAUGAGUGCUAAAUUUGACAGCAGUGGUCCUUGAUUUUCUUUUGUAUCAUGUAGAAUCUCAUCUGUCUGAAAUACUUCUUGCAAUUGGCCACAAUUAAUAACUUUCACUUCCUUUAGAUUUUGUAGCAUAGGAGAUAAAGAGACCAUUUCCAUGCAAUUCGUUGCUUCCAACUUCUCUAGUUUUUGUAGAAAUCCCUUUGGAAUCAGACCGUUGCACAACAUUUUCAAACCAGUCAUUUCUUCUAUGACUAAUUCCACCAAAUUGAAGAAUGUAUUGGUUGAGACAUGGCCUUGUGUUGUAUCAAUCAAGCAUUCCAGCUCCUUGCCAUCUUUAAUUAGAAGAAAAGUUAAUUCAUUCAGUCCCUUUGGAUCCACACUUGGAACCAGAUUUUUCUGAUACAUGACUCCUUUCAGCGUAAGACUUUUGGCAUUGUAUAAUAAAUCCUUCAUGGCAUGCAAUCCAAGGUCCUGAUAAAUUCACAACAAAAUGCUUAGUCAGGCAGAUUUUGUGCUGGUAUCUACAUUACUACAGUGGUAUAACACCUCAAAAUCCUUUUAUACAUUUCAGGGGUGAUGUUCUGAUCACCCAUAUUGAUGCAUAUUAACUUUCAGAAAAUCAGAAUUAACAUGCUAAUUAAUAUGCAAUUCUUUUUCUCACAGCAAUUUUAAGAUACCAUCGGAUUAGUUUAUUAAUGUUGAAAUAUUUGAGUCAAAGGUAAAUUUUAGAGCCACAAUUGAAGGAAAAGAGUAUAAAAGAAGUACCUUUAGUUGAGCUUGCUCGUUAACUUCUUUUUGAAUGGUGAAAUUUGUCAAUUUAGGACAGUCCCAAAAUACUAAAUUCUCCAGGGAUGGCGAUGUGAUGAGAAAAUUUUCUGAGAAAAAGCAACUCAAGUUUAUCAAGUUUCCGAGUUGUAGCUGUUGUAGGCAAGGGAGUGCAAUGGCACGAUCAACUCCAUGCUUUUCUUUUGCCACAUUGAAGACUUGUUGCAAUUGAGGAGAAUCGCUUAUCGAAACGAAUUUCAAUCGUGGAGGAACUUGAGCCAAAGAAAUUUGAAAAACAUAUUCCAGUUUUGGACAAUUACUUAUGGUUAGAGUUUCCAAUUUUGGCAAGAAUGGAGAAUGGAGAUGGGCGUUUGGUUCGAUUCCAUCAUCACAGUCCAACUCGUUGAUAAUGUGCUGCAGUCCAUAGCAGUGAUAUAUAUUGAGAUGUUCAAGAAGCACCAAGCUUUGAGCAAGGGAUGGUGAGAAGAGAUAUUUCAAGCUGUUGCAAAAACUAAUUGCUAAAUACUUCAGGCUUUGGAGGCGAACAAAAUGGGUGGACCCUUUCCAUAUCCACUUCAAUUCUGGUAAUAAGUGUAGCUCCAUAAGUGCUAAAUUUGACAGCAGCGGUUCUUCUGCAUCAUGAAGAAGCUCAUCUAUUUGAAAUACUUCUUGCAACUGGCCACAAUUAAUAACUUUCACUUCCUUUAGAUCUUGUAGCGCGGGAGAUAAAGAGACCAUUUCCAUGCAAUUCGUUGCUUCCAACUUCUCUAGUUUUUGUAGAAAUCCCUUUGGAAACUGACCGUUGCACAACAUUUUCAAACCAGUCAUUUCUUCUAUUACUAAUUCCACCAAAUUGAAGAAUGUAUUGGUUGAGACAUGGCCUUGUGUUGUAUCAAUCAAGCAUUCCAGCUCCUUGCCAUCUUUAAGUGCAAGAAAAGUUAGUUCAUUCAGUCCCUUUGGAUCUACAUUUGGAACCAGAUUUUUCUGAUACAUGACUCUUGUCAGGGCAAGACUUUUGACAUUGUAUAAUAACUCCUUGACUGCAUUAAUUUCAAUGUCCUGAUACAUUCACAACAAAAUGAAAGAUAUGAGAAUAAUAUGAAUAAAAUUUAAAGAUCUGGGCCAAAAAAAAUAUCUUUUCCAAUGAAAGCUUAUUAAAGUCAAAAAAUAAACCAAAGCUUAGAGUAUCAAUAGUGUAUAUUACACUUACGAGUAGAUGUGAAUGUAGUAAAAAUUAUUGAUGGAAAAUAUGUUUUUUUAUGAGAUAAAUAAUCAAUUUAUAAUUACCAGAAGUAAAACUGAAACGAACACAAUGUUAAAGGAAUUACUUUCAACUGAUAUUGCCACGUAAGUCCUUGUUGAUUUUGGGAAUGACUCAUUACUUGGGGUCGGGCACCAACAUUGGAAGCUUCCAACCCUUUGAAAGAUGGCAACUUGACAAAACAGUUUCUUGGACAAAAGCUCCUCAAGUUUUCUAAGUCUUCAAGUCUUAAAAACUGUAAUUUAGGGAGCAUAAUAUCGUGCUUAUCCUCUUCUUUUGCCAUGUUGAAGACAUGCAUUAGUUGAGGGCAAUCAAUUAUCUGAACCGAUUCCAAGUACGGAAGUCCUUGAGCCAAAGUGAUNUCAAGUUUCCGAGUUGUAGCUGUUGUAGGCAAGGGAGUGCAAUGGCACGAUCAACUCCAUGCUUUUCUUUUGCCACAUUGAAGACUUGUUGCAAUUGAGGAGAAUCGCUUAUCGAAACGAAUUUCAAUCGUGGAGGAACUUGAGCCAAAGAAAUUUGAAAAACAUAUUCCAGUUUUGGACAAUUACUUAUGGUUAGAGUUUCCAAUUUUGGCAAGAAUGGAGAAUGGAGAUGGGCGUUUGGUUCGAUUCCAUCAUCACAGUCCAACUCGUUGAUAAUGUGCUGCAGUCCAUAGCAGUGAUAUAUAUUGAGAUGUUCAAGAAGCACCAAGCUUUGAGCAAGGGAUGGUGAGAAGAGAUAUUUCAAGCUGUUGCAAAAACUAAUUGCUAAAUACUUCAGGCUUUGGAGGCGAACAAAAUGGGUGGACCCUUUCCAUAUCCACUUCAAUUCUGGUAAUAAGUGUAGCUCCAUAAGUGCUAAAUUUGACAGCAGCGGUUCUUCUGCAUCAUGAAGAAGCUCAUCUAUUUGAAAUACUUCUUGCAACUGGCCACAAUUAAUAACUUUCACUUCCUUUAGAUCUUGUAGCGCGGGAGAUAAAGAGACCAUUUCCAUGCAAUUCGUUGCUUCCAACUUCUCUAGUUUUUGUAGAAAUCCCUUUGGAAACUGACCGUUGCACAACAUUUUCAUGCUAGUCAUAUCUUGUAUGACUAAUUCCAGCAAAUUGAAGAAGGCACUGGUUGAGACAUGGCCUUCUGUUGUAUCAAUCAAGCAUUCCAGCUCCUUGCCAUCUUUAAGUGCAAGAAAAGUUAGUUCAUUCAGUCCCUUUGGAUCUACAUUUGGAACCAGAUUUUUCUGAUACAUGACUCUUGUCAGGGCAAGACUUUUGACAUUGUAUAAUAACUCCUUUACUGCAUUAAUUUCAAUGUCCUGAUACAUUCACAACAAAAUGAAAGAUAUGAGAAUAAUAUGAAUAAAAUUUAAAGAUCUGGGCCAAAAAAAAUAUCUUUUCCAAUGAAAGCUUAUUAAAGUCAAAAAAUAAACCAAAGCUUAGAGUAUCAAUAGUGUAUAUUACACUUACGAGUAGAUGUGAAUGUAGUAAAAAUUAUUGAUGGAAAAUAUGUUUUUUUAUGAGAUAAAUAAUCAAUUUAUAAUUACCAGAAGUAAAACUGAAACGAACACAAUGUUAAAGGAAUUACUUUCAACUGAUAUUGCCACGUAAGUCCUUGUUGAUUUUGGGAAUGACUCAUUACUUGGGGUCGGGCACCAACAUUGGAAGCUUCCAACCCUUUGAAAGAUGGCAACUUGACAAAACAGUUUCUUGGACAAAAGCUCCUCAAGUUUUCUAAGUCUUCAAGUCUUAAAAACUGUAAUUUAGGGAGCAUAAUAUCGUGCUUAUCCUCUUCUUUUGCCAUGUUGAAGACAUGCAUUAGUUGAGGGCAAUCAAUUAUCUGAACUGAUUCCAAGUACGGAAGUCCUUGAGCCAAAGUGAUGGGAAACACAUAUCUCAAGCUUUUGCAACUAGCUAUCUCAAGAGAUUUUAAUUUUGGCCAGCACAGAAGAGAGCGUUCCUUGUUUGAAACUAUUUCAUCACCAUUUUCUGCUUCCAUGAUUAAAUGUUUCAAAGAGUUGCUUUCCAUUACCUUGAGUUCUUCCAGAUGCACCAAAGCUUGAGCAAGGGUAGGUGAAAAGAGAUAUUCCAAUUUAGAACACAAACCAAUUCUCAUAGUUUUAAGGCUCUGGAGGUUAACAAGACGAGUGGGUUCUCUCCAUAUGCACUUCAAUUCUGGUAAAGACUCCAACUCCAAACAAAUUAAAUUUGAGAGUGGCGGUGCCUGAUUUUCCUGGCAUAAAAAAUUUAUUAAUUAAUAAUUAUUUAAAUCUGAAUUAAUUGUACUUGUUCAGAAAAGUAUUUAAAUAUUAACGACAUAUAUUUUUAAAAAAUUUAAAAGAAAGUGUAAAAAGCCAUAAUUUACGAAGAUUAGAACACAUGAUUACUUAUAUAUUUGAUAAUUUAACAAAAAGAAAACAUAAUUAGAUAAAGAACAGAUGCUAGAAUUAUUAAAGGAAAAAUGGAGAGAUAAGAGGUACCUCCAGCUCAGCCAUAUCUUGGGCAGAAGCAAAGACUUGCUCUAAUUUCUUGCAUGCAGAUAUCUUGAGUUGUUCAAGAUGCAACAAACUUUGAGCAAGGUAAGUUGAGAAGAUAGAUUUCAGUUUAUCACAACCAUCAACUUUUACAUCUUUCAGACUUUGUAGGCUCACAUAAUGAGUUGGCUCUUUCCAUAUACUCUCCAAUGCCGGUAAUGACUGCAGCUCCAAGCUUCUUAAAUUUAAGAUUGACAGCAUCUGACCAUUCAUUUGAAACACUGAUUGCAGCUGUCCACAAUCGCAAAUGAUCAAUGUUUCUAAGUUUUGUAAGAAGCUAUUCGGUGAUUCACCAUGGCAUAACUCUUUCAAAGAAGUCAUUUUACCAAUGUCUAAGUUCACCAAAUUAGAGAAUGCAGUGGUUGGACUCUGUUCUCGUGUUGUAUCAAUCAAGCAUUCCAGAUCGUCACAAUAUGCAACCUCAAGAGAAGUCAAUUCAUUUAGUCCCCACUGAUCGUCACAAAAGCUCCUCAAGUUUUCUAAGUCUUCAAGUCUUAAAAACUGUAAUUUAGGUAGCAUAAUAUCGUGCUUAUCCUCUUCUUUUGCCAUGUUGAAGACAUGCAUUAGUUGAGGGCAAUCAAUUAUCUGAACUGAUUCCAAGUACGGAAGUCCAUGAGCCAAAGUGAUGGGAAACACAUAUCUCAAACUUUUGCAACGAACUAUCUCAAGAGAUUUUAAUUUUGGCCAGCACAGAAGAGAGCGAUCCUUGUUUGAAACUAUUUCAUCACCAUUUUCUGCUUUGAUGAUUAAAUGCUCCAAACAGUUGCUUUCCUUUAUCUUGAGUUCUUCCAGAUGCACCAAAGCUUGAGCAAGGGUAGGUGAAAAGAGAUACUCCAGUUUAGAACACGAGCAAAUUCUCAUAGUUUUAAGAUUUUGGAGGUUAACAAGAUGAGUGGGUUCUCUCCAUAUGCACCUCAAUUCUGGUAAGGACUCCAGCUCCAAACAAAAUAAAUUUGAGAGUGGUGGUGCCUGAUUUUCCUCAUAUAAAAAAAUAUUAUAAAUUAAUAAUUAUUUAAAUAUGAAUUCAUUGUACUUGUUCAAAGAAGUACUUAAAUAUUAGAGACAUACAUUUUUAAAAAAAUUAAAAGGAAGUGUAAAAAGCCAUAAUUUACAAAGAUUACAACUGAUGAUUACUUAUUUAUUUGAUAAUUUAACAAAAAAAAAACAUAAUUAGAUAAAGAACAAAUAAAAGAAUUAUUAAAGGAAAGAUGGAGAGAUAAGAGGUACCGCGAACUCGGCCAUAUCUUGGGCAAAAGCAAAUACUUGCUCUAAUUUCUUGCAUGCAGAUAUCUUGAGUUGUUCUAAAUGCAACAAACUUUGAGUAAGGCAAGGUGAGAAGAUAGAUUUCAGCUUAUCACAACCAUCAACUUUUACAUCCUUCAGACUUUGUAGGCUUAUAAGAUGAGUUGGCUCUUUCCAUAUAUUCUCCAAUGCUGGUAAUGAGUUUAGCUCCAUAAGUGUUAAAUUUGACAACAGCAAUCCUUGAUUUUCUUUCGUAUCAUGAAGAAACUCAUCUAUUUGAAAUACUUCUUGCAACUGGCCACAAUUAAUAACUUUCACUUCUUUUAGAUUUUGCAGCGCAGGAGAUAAAGAGACCAUUUCCAUGCAAUUCCUUGUUGUCAACUUCUCUAGUUUUUGUAGAAAGCCCUUUGGAAACUGACCGUUGCACAACAUUUUCAAACCAGUCAUUUCUUCUAUUACUAAUUCCACCAAAUUGAAGAAUGCAUUAGUUGAGACAUGGCCUAGGGUUGUAUCAAUCAAGCAUUCGAGCUCCUUGCCACCUUUAAGUGCAAGAAAAUUUAAGUCAAUAAGUCCCUUUGGAUCUACAUUUGGAACGAGACUUUUUUGAUACAUGACUCUAUUCAAGGUAAGAUUUUUGACAUUGUGUAAUAACUCCUUCAAUGCUUGCAAUUGAACGUCCUGAUAAAUUCACAACAAAAUGAAAGAUAUUAGAAAAAUAGAAAGGUAGAUAAUACUCCUUAAAUCAGAAUUGAAUUUUUUUCUAUGCAUCAAAUUUAAAAAUUGAGGCAAAAGAAAACUGUUUUAUCUUUUCAUUGAAAGCUCAUUAAAGUUGAAAAACAUACCAAAGCUUGGAAUAUUCUUAUCUGUAGAUAUUGAUUUACUAAAAGAAAGAUGUUUUUCUAUGAUCAGAUAAAUAAUCAAUUAAUAAUUAUCAAAAGUAAAAUUGAAACAAACGAAAAUAUAACAGAACUACCUUCAAUAGAGACCACGAGCAAAGACUUUCGUGAAUAUGGAAAUGAGCCAUUGAUUCGGGUGGGAGACCAAUAUUGCAAGCUUGGAAUUCCUUCAAAGAUGGCAACAUGACAAAAUAGUUUCUUGGACAAAAGCUCCUCAAGUUUUGUAAGUAUUCAAGUCUUAAAAACUGUAACCGAGGGAGCAGAAUAUCGUGCCCAUCCUCUUCUUUUGCCAUGUUGAAGACAUGCAUUAGUUGAGGGCAAUCAAUUAUCUGAACUGAUUCCAAGUGACGGAAGUCCAUGAGCCAAAGUGAUGGGAAACACAUAUCUCAAACUUUUGCAACUAGCUAUCUCAAAAGAUUUUAAUUUUGGCCAGCACAGGAGAGAGCGAUCCUUGUUUGAAACUAUUUCAUCACCAUUUUCUGCUUCCAUGAUUAAAUGUUUCAAGGAGUUGCUUUCCUUUAUCUCGAGUUCUUCCAGAUGCACCAAAGCUUGAGCAAGGGUAGGUGAAAAGAGAUAUUCCAAUUUAGAACAUGAACCAAUUCUCAUAGUUUUAAGGCUCUUGAGCUUAACAAGAUGGGUGGGUUCUCUCCAAAUGCAGCUCAAUUCUGGUAAAGACUCCAACUCCAAACAAAUUAAAUUUGAGAGUGGUGGUGCCUGAUUUUCCUGGCAUAAAAAAUUUAUUAAUUAAUAAUUAUUUAAAUCUAAAUUAAUUGUACUUGUUCAAAAAAGUACUUGAAUAUUAACGACAUACAUUUUUAAAAAAUUUAAAAGGAAGUGUAAAAAGCCAUAAUUUAUGAAGAUUAGAACACAUGAUUACUUAUAUAUUUGAUAAUUUAACAAAAAAAAAACGUAAUUAGAUAAAGAACAGAUGCUAGAAUUAUUAAAGGAAAAAUGGAGAGAUAAGAGGUACCUCCAGCUCAGCCAUAUCUUGGGCAAAAGCAAAGACUUGCUCUAAUUUCUUGCAUGCAGAUAUCUUGAGUUGUUCAAGAUGCAACAAGCUUUGAGCAAGGUAAGGUGAGAAGAUAGAUUUUAGUUUAUCACAACCAUCAACUUUUACAUCCUUCAGACUUUGUAGGUUCACACGUUGAGUUGGCUCUUUCCAUAUACUCUCCAAUGCCGGUAAUGACUGCAGCUCCAAGCUUCUUAAAUUUGAGAUUGACAGCAUCUGACCAUUCAUUUGAAACACUGAUUGCAGCUGUCCACAAUCGCAAAUGAUCAAUGUUUCUAAGUUUUGUAAGAAGCUAUUCGGUGAUUGACCAUUGCAUAACUCUUUCAAAGAAGUCAUUUUACCAAUGUCUAAGUUCACCAAAUUAGAGAAUGCAGUGGCUGGACUCUGUUCUCGUGUUGUAUCAAUCAAGCAUUCCAAAUCAUCGCAAGAUGUAAGCUGAAGAGAAGUUAAUUCAUUUAGUCCCCACUGAUCUACAUUUGGGACAACAGUUUUGUGUUCCAUGACUUUGAACAAAGUCAGCUUUUGCACAUUGGGAAACAGCUCCUUAAAUGCAUUUAAUGAUGAGCAAUCACUAAUUGUCAAUAUUCUCGAGAUACGCUUCUCCGGAAAUUCAAUAUAUGCAUUUACUGCUAUACUGUAGCUUUGUAGUUUAGGGAACACAAAGUUUUCUUGAAAACAUUGAUCAGUAGAAACAAUCAAUGUUAAUGUAGUCAAACGAGACAAUGAAUUCAACUCCAGUAAGUUAGCAUUGUUGUCUCUCGGCACGUGUAGCUCUUGGAGUGACGUUAACCUGUUACACACAAAUACGAAAUAUCAUUAAGGCUGUAAUAACACUUUCAGGCAAAUGAUAAAAAUGGCUAAGUAAUGAAAUGAAUAAGAUAACAUAAACUUUUUUUUUUUCAUGCUUAGAGAAAAUGUGUGCAUUCCAACCAAAAAAGGCAAGCUUCCAUGAACAAGAACAGAUCACCAAAAGUAUAGAAAGCAGUCCAAUCAUGAUAGUGCAGACCAAAUGGAGUAGCAUGAAUCCAGGAUAGUAAUCAAGCAUGACAAAUCAUCGAAGACAGAGGCCAUAGAAACAAGAGACCAACGUAUCAAACAGUCUCAUAAAAAUCCAACAAGGGAAAGGUGAAUAUAUUCGCACAAUCAGAUUGCCAGCGGGAAACAACAAAAUUAAAUACUUAACUAAAAACAACAAGAUAAACAGUUUUAAUGACAUUUAAGUAUUACCUUGAUAGCAAGUUAGGGGGGACAUUGAUGGGUCCAUCUCCAAAGCAAGAAAAAUAUAGUGACUUUAGUCUAUGCAAUUCCAAUAAUUCUUCAGGUAGCUCUUCAAAGUCAACACUACUCAAUUCUAAAAACUCAAGGUUUUUCAGAUUUCUCAAUGAUGAGAUAUCCUCUUGCAGGCCACACCUUACAAAGCUCAGAAUUCGAAGAUUUUUUAGGAAUUGAAAUGCUUCCAUGGAGAAUACAUGACGUUCAAGAAAUAAAAUUUGGAGGGCUUUCAUUCCUUCAAAAAAUGUACUCGGGACUAUUUGGUAGUCCCUUCCUGAUAAAAUCAAGGUCUUGAGUUUUGAAAAUUCUAAUCUCUCAGGAAAAUUAUCUAUCUUACUAUUCCAUAAGGAGAUUGCUGUAUAACAAUCAAAAUUUUCACUGUUAGGCCAUUCCGUCAACUCAUUUUUUACCAUGAACAUUUUUUCCCCUGUGGAUGUUAUCCAAUGAGCAAAAUCACGAACCACAUCAUGCAUUUUUACAGAUUCUUCAUCAUCAGUUUGCAAUAACAAACCAGACUUUUGGAGUUUGGAUAGUGCUAGACGAAUUUCCCUCCUUAAGUCUUCAAUUAAGUUAAUAUUACCAAACAAUCCCAGACCAAUGCCGAAUACAGUCAACAACGCAACACUAAUCUCUUCAUCUUCUAGAAAAAGAGAACACAACAAGAAACAUGACUGGAUAUUAUCUUCCUUCAAAUAAUCAUAAUUACCUUCCUUCAAAUAAUCAUAACUAAGCUUAAGGCAUUUAUAAAUACCUCCGCAAACAUGUUGAUUAUCCAAAUGUCUUGACUCCUUAAGUCGUAGAUUUGCUGCUAUCCACCCAUCAAGACUUUCACCUUUUAGAGCUUUCGCCAUAGUUACAAUUGCAAGAGGCAAACCCUUGCCUUCAAGAGCAACCUCCUUGGCUACCUUCAAGGUGGGAGAGUUAUCUUUUAGACCAGCGCUAUCUUUGAAUAAAGCCCAUGCUUCAUCGUCAGAUAAGAUUUUGAGGAGAACUUCCCUUUGACAAUGCAUUCGAGUGCAAACUUCUUGAAGACGCGUGGUUAAAAAAAUUUUGCAACCCUUGUGAUCAUCACCGAAUGGAAUUCCAAUAAUCUUCAAGUCAAGUUCUUCCCAAACAUCAUCGAGGAUUAUAAGGAUGCUCUUCUCGUCUUUGAUUCUCAACCACAAUUGUUCUGCUCUUCCUUCUGGUGUCUUCUUUUGAAAAUCUAAAUCUAGGAAGUCUGCAAUUUUAUCUUGAAUAUUGUUGAUGUUUGGAUUUUGGGACACGGUUACAACCUCAACUUUAUCGAAGAGUUGUUUGGCUUGGUUUCCCACUUCUUUUGCCAAAGUGGUUUUACCCACACCUCCCAUCCCAUAUAGUCCAAUCAUGUUCACAUCACCAUUAUUCAGAGCCUCCAUGAUCUCUUUGAAAGCAGAAUUUGAAGAUUCAGAAGACAUGAAAUCCUUAGAUGGAAUGAACUCUAAUCCUGGAAGAGUAGCUCGGUAACCUACUCGUUCAAAAUUAGAAUUCUCUAAAAGUUGAGAGAUACAAAGUGUCUUCUUAGCUACUUUGAUGCUUAAGCAGUAUCGCCAGCCCCAACUAGGACACCAAUUGAAACACUUGUUACGUUCAAUUUCAUCUUCCAAACUCUGAGCUUCUCCCAAUUUUUUCUCUGCCCUUGUUAGCCACUCCUCAACAUCCUUCUCAAUUACCUGAGUUUGCUUUUUUGCCUCAGCGACAUCAUUUUCCACUCGAAUUUUUCUCAAUUCAAGUUGGUUUCGUCGAUUCUUGAAAUCUUCAACAAUUUUGCCAAAACGGAAAAAAUAACUGAGAUAAGGUGAUGCGUAUUCUGUUGCCAGGUUCCCCAUGGUAUUGCUUGCAACAGCGAUGCCAAGUUCAGCCAUUCUUUGAUGAUCUGAUAGUGAAGAGCAAUUUCUAUGAGUAAAAAUUUUACAUAGAGACAAAAACAAUUAGGAAAUGUUUGGAAUGUAUCUUACCCUGGCAACAAUACUUUUUUGAAAUAUGUGAAUCACAAUAGAACAAUUGUCGAUCAACCAACUUGAAAAUUGAGAAUGCUGCACAAGCAGAAAUUAUUCACUGGUCACCAACUCCGGAGAUCAGGAAAGAAAAAUUCAGGAGCAGUCGAAAGCAAAAAAUAGAGUAAGGGUAAUUAAAGAAAUAGAGCAAAGAAAUAGUCUAGAGUUGCAUGGUUUUCUUCUUUUAAGAUAGGAAGCAGAGAAAUCAAAAUACUAAAGCUAGCAGCUAUGGGCUUUUUUUUUUUUUUUUGACCUUUGUGGAGCCAAGGAAAGGAAAAGUAGGAAUCAGAGAACAGAUUUAAUCAAAAUACCGAGGAAAUAUAUAAGAAUUUUCAGGAGCCAAGAUCAAGGGACUGACAAAGUCGGUGAAGUUUCUUUGAGUUCAAAGAUAACUGAAGGCCAAGGAAUUAAUGCAUACAAAUAAUUCUGCUUUUCAUAGCAAAAACAGUCCUUAAAUAUACAAAGUAGGAACUCUGAGGCAGGAGGAUUUUUUUUUUCUUUUACAUGUUAGAGUAAAAGCAUAAUAUUAUCAUUCUAUAAAAUAAUCUCUUAACAUUCAAAAUAUCUAUAUAUUUAGUUUUUUCUCAAUAACUACAGCUUUUAUUUGACAAUGUUGUAAUUUGGAAAUAGAAAAUAUCUAGUCAAAUGUAAGACCAAAUAAAUAAAUCAUAGAAGAGAAAGAUGAACAUUUACAUACCAAGGAAAGCUAUAGAUGAAGUUUCAGGAGCAAGACAGAGCAGCUUCUAUUUUGAUCCACGCAAUCUCACAAAGUCGGUGAAGUUCGUUUUUUAUCUUUUUAAGUUCAGAAAAAACUGGAGUAGAAAUAAACUUUGCACUGCAAUGAUCAGAAGGCCAGCGAAUUAAAAAAAUAUUAGACUUUCACUUAUCUUCUGUUUAAUGCAUAUAGAUAAUUCUAUUUCUGACAGAGCAAAACAGAAAAAGCAAAGUAAACAGAGCAACUCAGAUGUUAAGAAUAUAGAAAGUAGAAACUCUUAAGCCAAGAGGAAUUUUUUUUCUUUCCCUAAAACAAAGAGAUGAGCUUAUGUAAGCAAAUUAAUAUACUGUAAAAGGUGCUGAAAUCCUUUCUUGAAACUUACCUCUCUAUUCUCACCACUUGAAUGUGAAAGGGUAAGAGACACACAAAGUUUCUAGCUCUCUGCUUCACACAAAUGCCAUGGGUGUAGUUUAACUGUAGAAAAACAAAACAGUUAAUUUGGACAUAGAAGAUAAUUAAGUGCCGAUUUUGCAUGUAAAGUUUGCAGAUGUAUACUCAAUUGCAAAAACCAAGACAAAAAUAAGCCAUGGAAGAAAAUGAUGCAUAUAUAUACCAAGGAAAGAUGAAGUUUCACGAGCCAAGGCCAAGCUUUUCAUAAGUGAUCGAAGAAAACUCAAGUAGAAAUCAAGUUUGUACUGCAAUAACCAGAAGCCCACUAGCAAAGGGAAUUAAGAAACAACAAAUAUCUGUCAAUCUAAGAUGAAAAGAAUAACUUAAUUUGACAAUAGAAAAUACGUGUCAAUGCAUCUAAACUUUCAAAUAUCUAAACUCAAAUGUAAAGCCAAGACAAAUAAACCACAGAAGAAGAGGAUGAACAUUUACAUACCAAAGGAAAUAUACAUGAACUUUGAGGAGUCCGGACAGAGCUUCUAUUUUGAUCCAGCCAAAAUGUAUUACAGACACUGACAAAGUCGGUGAAGUUUUUUUUUUUUUUGAGUUCGAAGAAAACUGAAGAAGAUAUAAUAAACUUUGCACUGCAACGAUCAGAAGGCCAGGAAAUUAAAAAAACAAAAAGACUUUCACUUAUCUUCUUUAGAAUGCAUGCAGAUUAUAAUUCUCCUUCUGAAUACAAAAACAGUAGUUGAACAUAGAAAGUAGAAACUCUCAAGGCAAAGACUUGUUUUCUUUGGAAUCUCUUUUUCUUUUUAUUGUUACUAUUUUUUUCUUGCUCAAAUGCUUAGUGGAAGACAAGGUCCCCAAUGUCUUUUGCCUAAUCAUUGACUAGUUCUCUCUCAGACAGAUAAGAAAAGAACAAAGAAAAAAAAAAGAAAAGGAUGGAGUCAUGGAGAUGCUCUGCUAAGGACCCUGCUGUUUGGCUUUCCAGGAAGUGUUAUGGAAAGAGGAUGGAAAUCUAUCUUCUUGGUUUAGUUUCUUCUAUGCUUUGCUUUCAUGAUCUUAUCUUUUACUAUUUUGUAAGCUUUUUGAAUAUUAAAAGUUAUGAAUAAAAUAAUUUUUACAAAUAAUUCUAAAUUUGUUAUAAGUAAAAAGUCAAGUAUUGUCCAACCAAGUAAUUACUUGAGCAAUAUGUAAACCUUUAUCAUGAGUAAGAAUAAUUUUAUACAUGUAUUUAUGUCAUGUCAAGGUUCCGACGCAGUAAACAGUAGCUUGAUUAUCCAGCUGAUACAUUCUUUUAACAUCUCUACAUAUAUUUAUGGUCUUUGCCUCAAGACAUAAAGAAAUUAGUGGAGAGUAAUUGACAUAAGUGGCCAUUUUUUAUUGAAUUCAAGGAAAAUGACUUCACAACUUCUAUCAUGACUUUGCAUUGAGUUAUGCUAAUGAAGCACAGUUUUCUCUAUACCAAAUUUACCAUGAUUUCGAAAGCAAGUUCACACCUUCAAUUCAGUUUUUCCUUUUGGUCUUACGGAUUGGAGAAGAAAACUGAUCUAUCAAGAGUUGUCUCUUUUUCUUUAUCAGUAUUUUCUUGAUGAUAUGAUUUUUCGUUGUCAUUUCCUGUCUUCUUGUUGCGUACCCUUCUAUUUUGCUUCAAACAAUUUUUUUUUUUCAUUUUCUCAUUAAUUAAGAAGAUAAAGAUUACCAAUGGGACAUAGACAUCAUUUCUAUCAAACCUUUUGAAUUAUUGAUCUAAUCCCUUUAUUAUUGCGUUUUAGAUUUUUGUCAUUUUGCAAUCAUUUUUCCCUUGGAGGUCCAUUUAUUUCUGACUUUCUUGCUUGGUAGGUUUAAUGGCUUUCAUGGAAAAAUACUUGCCCUAUUUUUUUUUUUUUGGGAUCAAAUUCUGUGUUUAAGGGAUUGAAGCUUUACACUUCGUUUAACACAAGGAAAAAUGGCGAAAUACAUCAAACGAUUCACACAGUGCAAGGAUCAUGUUUUGCAUGGAGAGAAGUAGAGGGUCAAGGUACAUCUCUUUAUAUUUAUGGUCUUUGCCUCAAGACAUAAAGAAAUUUGUGGAGAGUAAGACAACUGGCGAGUUUUUAUUGAAUUCAAGGAAAGUGACUUCACAACUUCUAUCAUGACUUUGGAUUGACUUAUGCUAAUGAAGCAUAGUUUUCUCUAAACCAAAUCUAUCAUGAUUUUAAAAGCAAGUUCACACCUUCAAUUCAAUUUUUCUUUUUGGUCUUACGUCUCUUUUUCUUAAUCAGUAUUUUCUUGGUUAUAUGCAUUUUCGCUGCCAUUUCCUGUCUUCUUUUUGCUUAUCCUUCUAUUUUGCUUCAAACAAUAAUUUUUUUUCAUUUCUCAUUAAUUAAGAAGAUAAAGAUUACCAAUGGGACAUAGACAACAUUACUAUCAAAGCUUUUCAAUUAUUGAUCUGAUCCCUUUAUUAUUGUCUUUUAGAUUUUUGUCAUUUUGCAAUCAUUUUUCCCUUGGAGGUCCAUCUAUUUCUGACUUUCUUCCUAGGUCGGUUCAAUGGCUUUCAUGGAAAAAUACUUGCACUUUUUAUUUUAUUUUUUGGACUAAAUUCUGUGUUUAAGGGAUUGAAGUUUUACACUUUGUUGAACACAAGAAAAAAUGGCGAAACACAUUAAAUGAUUCAUAUAGUGCAAGGAUCAUGUUUUGCUUGGAGAGAAGUAGAGGGUCAAGGUACAUCUCUAUUUUUUGAACCAUCAUUUACAGAUACUUAGGAACGUUUUCCUCCAAGGCUGGUAAUCUAAUACAAGAAAGAAGAUCAUCUAAGCCUAAUUUGUUCUAAUCAAAACUAUUUUGAAUUAAUUUCCACUAAAAAAAUUAAGAGCUUCAAGGAAUAACCCGACCUAUCAAACUUGAUUUAAAUUCAAAAAUGGUAUAGAAUUGAUCAGUGUAUUAAUAUGUUAUAAAUUGUUAUGAAAAUUACUCAAAAACAAUAAAGAUAAAAUUCAGCAAAAUCAAGCAAACAUAAAAAUAUAAAAAUUUACAUGAUUCGACUUGUUGUCUACGUCUAUGGAGUAAAACUGUAAAACCAAGACAAAUAAACCAUAGAAGAAGAGGAUGCAAAUCAAAAGAAAUAUACAUGAACUUUUGAGGAGCUUCUAUUUUGAUCCAGCCAAAAUAUAUUACAGACAUGCACUGACAAAGUCGGUGAAGUUUUUUUUUUUUUUUUGAGUUCGAAGAAAACUGAAGUAGAUAUAAUAAACUUUGCACUGCAACGAUCAGAAGGCCAGGAAAUUAAAAAAACAAAAAGACUUUCACUUAUCUUCUUUAGAAUGCAUGCAGAUUAUAAUUCUGCUUCUGAUAACAAAAACAGUAGUAAUAUAUAGAAAUUAGAAACUCUUAAGGCAAAGACCUGUUUUCUUUGGAAUCUCUUCUUCUUUUUAUUGUUAGUAUCUUUUUCUUGCUCAAAUGGUUAGUGAAAGACAAGGGCCCCAAUGUCUUUUGCCUAAUCAUUGACUAGUUCUCUCUCAGACAUAUUAGAAAAGAAAGAAAGAAAAGGAUGGAAUCAUGGAGAUGCUCUGCUGGUUGGCUUUCCAUGAAGUGGCAUGGAAAGAGCAUGGGACUUGCGAGGAUGUUAAUGUAUAGAAAAUUUUUGAAAUUCUGCUUCAAAUGUCUUUGAAUGAAAAACAUAAACUUAGUGUUAUUUAUGAUUCUUUUGUAAUUAAGUAAUACUUGGUAAAUUCUCCUCUAAUAAUGAGUAAUGACCUACUUUUCAAAGCUUUUUUUGAACUUGUUGCCUGCCUAAAUCUUUUAAGUUGGACAUAGAAAAUAAUUAAUUUAGUGCCAAUCUUGGGUGUACGACAAUCACAGAGCCAUAGAAGAAAACCAAGAAAUGAUGUAUACUCAAAUGCAAAAACCAAGAGCCAUAGAAGAAAAUGAUGCACAUAGAUGGUUGAGUUUUAAGUUGACUAGAAUUGUAGAUCUUAUUUGAUUAGGAUUCUUGUUUGUGUACAACAUUGAGUAGUUGUAUGGUUUUAAACUUCUUAUUCCACAUUGAGUCAUAAUCACAUUCUACUUUGGACUUUUAUACUAUAAAAGUGGAUAUUUAGGUUUUAGAAUUGCAAGUAGUGCUUUGAGAGCUUUAGAGAGGGAACACCUUGUAACUCUGUUUUUUACUCUAGGUGGAGCUAGAGUGGUUUGGGUGAGUGUUCUUAGGAGGUUAUUGAGAAAAAGUGUGCAAGGGAUCUCGGGUUGGUUUGGGGAACCAUAAAGGUCAAUUUAUUGUACUUUAAUUUCUCAAUAAUAGAAAGAACAGUUUCAAUCCAUGGACGUAGGUAAGAGACCAAAUCACGUAAAUUCUUGUGUUUUUCUGUUUGCUUAAUUUCUCUAGGUUUUAUCUUUGUUGUUUCUUAGGCAAUUUCCACAACAAACUAGUAUCAGAGCUUCGAGUUCAAUAAAUUCAAGAUUUAAUAAAGAUGUCGAAAGUUACUAGUUCUACAAAUUUUUCAAUUGAGAAGUUUAAUGGGAAGACUAGUUUCACGCAGUGGCAGAGAAGGAUGAAAGACCUCCUUGUGCAGCAAGGUUUAAUGCGCCCCUUGCUAGGAAAAGAGGAAAGGCAACCAAAUGACAUGAAGGAUGUUGAAUGGGCAGAGUUGGAGCAAAGGUGUGUAAGCACUAUUCGACUUUGCAUUGGAGAUAACGUGUUUAACCAUGUUAUUGAUGAGGAUUCUGCUCCAAGGUUAUGGGCAAAGUUAAAGAAGAUUUACUUGGCGAAAAGUCUUUCCAACAAGUUGCAGCUUAGGUGAAAGUUGUAUCGCUUAAAGAUGGAGGAGAAUAGAGACCUCAUGAAGCAUAUGAACGAAUUCAAUGGGAUCAUUGAUCAGUUGAAGAAGGUUGAUGUGAAGGUGGAGGAAAAGGAAAAGGCACUGUUGUUCCUAGCUUCGCUUCCAGACUCCUUUGAGGUACUUGUGGAAUCUCUAAUAUGUGGGAUAGAUACAAUAACGUUAGAAUAAGCACAAGCAACGUUAAUGUCUCGUGAAGCCCGAAAGAAAAGUAAAGAAGGGGAUAGAGAUCCAAGUGGCUUGGCAUUGGUAACUGAGGUUUAUAGGAGGAAGUCAACCGGUAAGGGAUUUAAGGGUGGCAAGUCUAGAUCCAACAAUGUUCAGUGCUUUCAAUGCAAAGGGUAUGGACAUAUUAAAAUGGAUUAUCCUACAAAAAAGGAUGAAAGUAAUGAGAACAAAGGUGAGUGUGCUUUCAUUGCUGAAGGUGAUGAUUGUGAUGUCCUUACAAUUUCGAAAAAUAUGGAUGCAAAUUCUGAUUGGUAUUUAGAUUCUGCUUCUACUACUCACAUAUGUUAUCAAAAAGAUUGUUUUGAUUUACUUCAAGAAGGGGUGGCUGGGAAUUUGAGUUUGGGUAAUAAGUCAAUAGUGAAGGUCAUGGGUCUUGGAGUGGUGAAAAUCAAAAUGUUUGAUAGGGUUGUGUGCUCUUUGGGUGGUGUGGCCUAUGUCCCAGAGAUGCGUAAGAAUCUAAUAUCAUUGAGCCUGUUAAACUCUAAAGGGUAUGGAUAUUCUGCUUGUGAUGGAGUGGUAAAAGUCACAUAAAGCAACAUGGUCCUAAUGAGGGGGAAUUUGCAUAAUGGCUUAUAUUGUCUAAAAUGUGAGGCCUUGAAGGGAUGAGAAUAGUGCACAGGAGAUGGUAGCUACCAAAGUGAGAUUUCAUUUGCUGAGGAGUUGAUGAAAGGUUCCCAUGGUGUAGACGAUGGUGAAAGGAUGAAAAAUCUUGCCAAUAGUGAAUUAGGAGGGUCGUCGAGGUCCCUUUCCGAAGUCAAUUAGUGCCAUUGACUUGACUGCUACACAUGUGCAUUGGCUGUUUUGUGGAAUCGAGUGUUGGACCAUGUUUGAUUCGAUAUGUGUAGUCGUGGUAAUUAUAAAGGCCAAUGAUUUGGAAAGUCUUAUGCUUGGAGAGUUGUUCAAGGUGUUGGAAAGUAGGUGGAGUUAGGAAAUUGCAAAUAGGUGCAACUGGUGGAAGAAGUUUAAGGAGUUUGAAUUCAAGUCAAAGGUGGAGAUUUGUUGAGUUUUAGAUUGACUAGAAUUCUAGAUCUUAUUUGAUUAGGAUUCUUGUUUGUAUACAACAUCGAGUAGUUGUUUGGUUUUAAACUUCUUAUUCAACAUUGAGUACUAAUCACAUUCUACUUUGGACUUUUAUACUAUAAAAGUGGAUAUUUAGGUUUUAGAAUUGCAAGUAGUGCUUUGAGAGUUCUAGAGAGAGAACACUUUGUAACUUUGUCUUUUACUCUAGGUGGAGUUAGAGUGGUUUGAGUGAGUGUUCUUGGGAGGUUAUUGAGAAAGAGUGUGCAAGGGAUCUCGGGUUGGUUUGGGGAACCAUAAAGGUCAAUUUAUUGUACUUUAAUUUCUCAAUAAUAGAAAGAACAGUUUCACUCCGUGGACGUAGGUAAGAAGUCGAACCACGUAAAUUUUUUUAUUUUUCUGUUUGCUUAAUUUCUUUAGGUUUUAUCUUUAUUGUUUCUUGGGUAAUUUUCAUAACAUAUAUUUUGGCUGAAUUACGAUAAUCAAAGAAACAAGUGGAAAUCAAGUUUGCACUACAAUAAUCAGAAACCCGCUAGCAGAGGGAAUUAAGAAACAUCGAUUUAUUCUUCUUCGUCCAGCGGAAACACUUCAAUACAAGAGAGAAAAUUUUGAAUAAAUGAUGUGAUCGUUCUAUCAUUGUCCUUUCUAUUUUUGUCAUUUUGCAAUCAUUUUUCCCUUGACGUCCAUUUAUUUCUCACCGACUUGUUUCCUCUGUUUAAUGGCUUUCAUGGAAAAAUACUUUACCAUAUAUGGUACAAGGGAAGAGAGAUUCCCGGAGCUUUCAUAUAGAUUUUUGUUCCCUUUAUUUACUCCAACUCCCCCUUUACUUACUCCUUAUUGAUGAAAAGGCGAGACAGACUCACAGCUUUUGUCACGACCCGGAACUCCCAUCGGGCCCGUGACAACCGCCGCGACGUUUAGAUAGGCACUCAUUAUCCCGAAUGCCGAUUGGAACCCCGCAAGGCUUAGCAUCAGCUUCAGCAUCUCCCCGGUGAGCGACAGUUAUUAAAUCUUGCAUUUAAAAAAAAUCAUAAGUCGUUUCCAAAUCAAAACAAUAAAAUAUUAUUUUUUGGCUCAUAGGGAUAUUUUUGUCAUUUUUCUUCGAUAAUACCGAAACUCGCAAAAAACAUGGUGUAAAAGCUUAAUAUGUUCAUACAUAUUUUAAAUCAAAUAACUAAAGUAUAAAAUUACUUUUACAAUGACACGUGGACCCCUAACUAACCAAUAAGAUGCGAGUCUGUGAACCUAUAAUUUUGACAAUGCAAGGCUAACUGAAGUCCUUGAUGUAAUCGGCUAUCUACCGGCUAUCCCGAACCUGAAAUGUGGGGAAUUGAGGGUGGUGAGAUUAUAAAAUCCUAGUGAGUAAACAUACACUAUCUAAACUAUCGAAAGGCAAGUAAAUGGAGACAAUUAAAAAAUAAUUAACUUCAGCAAAUUUUUCACAUCACGAAUAUUCAUUUCAACCAAAUAAUCAAUAUGGCUCGUGAAUUACUCAAAACUUAGCUCAUGCCAAAUCUUGUACUCGAUGACACCUAGACCAGGGGUAUCUAACCGAGCCCUCCAAGGUUGUUAAAAAUUCAUAUUUCGCAUAAAUCAUAUUUUUAUUUUGAAACAUAGCCAUUCCUUGGCGUUGGCUGAGUCUCACUCUCACGCGGUGGUCCACGUUAAGUGCACUCAAAAAGCCCACCUCAGGAGAUACUCUACGCGCCUCUACGACUGAUGUGAGAAUAUAAAGGAGUUUACCGUGCCCCUCUAAUAGGCUGGCCCACGGAUCCCCCCACCACUGCAGUAGCUAAUCUUUUUAUCUACCACCUGAUUUAUAAAAUCUUUUUCUGCAUGACAUGGCAAUUUGUCGCAACCUAGCCUCUCAAGGCUAAAUACACAGUACAAAUAAUUCUAACACCAAAAUCAGUUUAGCCAUUCAUGCUCAUUUAUUGUCAUAAGCCAUUCAAUUUAAAACCAUAAAUUUACAACACAAGUAGGCAGUCUCCAAUUACUCUAUUUUCAAAACCAGUAUUCGAUUUUUUAGAAAAUUUAUAAAAUCAUUUUAUAAAAUCACAAUUUCUCUUAAAACAUAGCAAUUUACUAUUUAAACCCAUUUUCCAUAAAAUCGCACAAUUGUAUAAAACUACUCUAGAUAAUUAAGACGAUAAUAAGUUUACUCACAUUUUUCGAAAAUUAAAUUCGGGUACUCCAACUAUUACUCCUCGAGUGCGAUUUCUUUGCCCUUGCUAGAGGAUUCGCCACCUUGACAAAUUGUACAAUUAAGAGGUUUACUACUUUGAUACUAAACCAAAAUAAACUAAUUUAUACUACUAAUGCAUGAUAUGAAGUGCAAAAUGUCUAAAUUUUACCUAAACAAGAUGUUAGCCUAUUUCGGUCUUUUACCCGAUAAAUCGAUAUACGCAUCCGUUUAAACUCCAAAUUAAUUUUUUUUAAUUUCUAUACCUCAAUUCCACCCAAAUUGACUUAAUGUUCCUCAGUGUGGUGCAAAUUAACAGUCUUGAUAGCAAAUUACGAAAAUACCCCUAGUGGGUAAAAAUUCAUAUUUUUACUCCGAAAAUUCCCAUUAUUUUUCUAGGCUCAUAAUUCAUCAUUAUUUAUUAUAAUUCCUCAAAUAAACAUCAAGAUCAGCAGCCAAUAUUCUCCUAUAAAAUUCAGCAUAAUGGGUUUCAAUGGGAGAAAAUUAUUUCUCUAGCUUAUUUUUGCUAUAUUUCAAUUUAACCUAACUAAAAUCACUUAAUUCAAUUAAAAUCAACCAAAACUCAAGUUCAAAACUCAUACAUGGAGGUUUGGCCAGCAUGGGUGUCCAUACCCACUUUCUAAUUUUGCAUGGAAAUGAGAAAAAAAUGCAUGGGUAGUGAAAAUCACAAGGAAAAUCAAUGAAAUUUACCUUUUUAAUGCUUGAUUUCUUGAUUUCUCUUGAUUUUCCCCAAAUUUUUUGGUAGGGUUCUUAUUUGUUUUUUUCCCCCUUUUCUCCCCUGGUUUGGACAGCUGAAGAAGAUGAGAAUUCUGGAAUUUUUACCUUUUUAAAGGCUAAAAUAAUAUAAUAUUAUUUUAUUCAUUUUUUUAAUGUUUUAUUAAUUCCUUAAAUUCCAGCCAUCCAUUUAUUUCCAAAUUUCACCAUACACUUGUCCCACCAUAUCCAUAGCUUAGAUAAAAUUCUCAGACUUAUCCAAUCAGAUUCGAAAAAUGAGAAAGAAAGAAAAAGUGUGGAGUAAUUUUUGAAAUUUACACUUUUGCCCUCGUAAAAGUCAAAAAUUACAUUUUUACCCCAAAAACUGAAAAAUUGCCCAUAGACAUAUUUUUCAUCCCUUAUACUCAUACCAUUCUCCAAUUUGUCAAAUGUGAUCUAAAUUCUCUCAAAAUCUCAAAUUUUGUCCGCGAGUGAAAAAAUUACGAUUUUGCCCAUACACUCCAGAAAUAACCGAAAUUAAACUUUUUCACUGCCAAACCCUCAGAUUAUACUCCAAUACUCAAAUCAUACUCCAAUAAGUUAAAUGUGGCCAAAAAAAUCUUUUCUCAAAAUUCUCAUUUUAUCCCCAGGUGGCAAAUGACCAUUUUGCCCCUAGAUAGUGAAAAUUUCAGUUUGACUCCAAAUUGAUCCUCGAACUCCGAAUUACCAUUUUGAGUCAUCCCUGAACUGUGAAACUCUUAAUUUCACCUCAAAAUUCCUAUUUGAACUAGUUCGAGGCUUAAUCGACUUAAUGGUACCAUAAGGGGUAAUAUCGUCUUUUAACGAUUUCUCGAACUUCCUAAACAUGCAAACAUUCUAUUGAGUAUAUAAAUAACGUCGUAAUUAUUUUAUAGAACAGGGUUUGACAGCUUUUUCUGUGUCAUUGAUGCUUAGUUAGAAUGACUAAUCGACGGCUUCCAAUUAUGUUGCUAUUUUCGUAAUUUUUUGAUCUACCUGGUUGGUUUAAUGGAUUUCAUGUUAAAACACUUGCACUAUUUAUUUUAUUGUUGAGCUAACUUUUGUGAUCAAAUUAUGCACCCAAUGGAUUUAAAAAUAUUAUUUGAUGAAUGUACAAAAAUAGGUAGCAAUGAACAUAUAGCAUGUUAGUACUGACUAUUGAGAUUGUAAUCGAUUAUUGUGAUAAAAUAUUAUGACUGAAAACAAACGGAUAACAAUCUGAAAUGCCUGUAGGAACCUGCUGAAAUGCAUACCUAGCUUUUUGACCACGCUUGUCAUCUGAAAAAUGGGAAAGCCCAAGCAAUAAUAUACCUAUUUUCUUCUUUUUCUCCUCCUUGGAGUUAAAAGAGAAGCAAAAAUGAAGAUAAAUCCUUCUUGACUUGGAAGUUGCAUGUGGGAACAAUGUCAAAACUUAAAAAUGGAAAAGAAGGAAAUGAAGAAGGAAAGUAUGCACGGACUAAGCAACUGGCUGCACAUUCUUAGAAUGGAACACAAUAUUAAUGUCACCAUUAACUGAGAGUAUAUUGUCAUUGACUAAGUUUUUUGGCUAAUUCCCUCUCAAAGAAAAAAAAAAUAAGAAUGGAGAUGCUCUGAUAAAGAAAAUUCUAACUAAUGUAAAAUUAUUGGCUUCAUGUUUGUGAUCCUAAUCAUAUUAAUGUCUUCUCUAUAAAAAUUUUAAAAAAUUAAAUUACUUUAAUGAUGCAUAAAUUUCUCAUAAAUUUAACAUUAUUUAAAAAGGUAAUUUAGUUGACACCUUUGAUUGUCUCUUUUGUAAUUGAGCAUUACUCAGUAAAUUUUAAAAAAAUUUUGUGAACUUGUUGUCUGUCUAAAUCAUUUAAUUUAGACAUAGAAAAUAAUUUAAUGUCAAUUUUACAUGUAAAGUAUGCAGAUGUUUACUCAAAUGCAAAAACCAAGAGCCAUAGAAGAAAAUGAUGCACAUAUAUACCAAGGAGAGAUGAAGUUUCAGGAGCCAAGGCCAAGCUUUUCUAUAUUGAUCAAAGAAAACUCAAGUAGAAAUAAACUUUGCACUACAAUAAUCAGAAGCCCACUAGCAGAGGGAAUUAAGAAACAACUGUUAAUUCUUCUCUUCGGCUAGCAAAAGCACUUGAAUAUAGAAAUUUUUGAGUAAGUGAUAUGAUCCCUCUAUUAUUGUCCUUUAAUUUUUGUUAUUCUGUAAUCAUUUUUCCAUUGAGAUCCAUUUAUUCUCACCUACUUGCUUGCUCUGUUUAAUGGCUUUCAUGAAAAAAUACUGUAUCAUAUAUAAUUAAGAGGGAGAUUUUCAAAACUUUCGUGGUUUAGAGAUUAGUAUAAUAAAUAAAAGAAUAUGUGACAAUAUUUUAAUCUAAUUUGUGGUUUAGAAACUAAACUGAAAAUGUAUAAAAUAAUAUUCUUAAAAUUAUUCUGAAAAGGCACUCUAUAGGUAAAUCUCUACUUUUUGAACUAUCAUUUACAGAUCAUAUUUUUUUUUCCCCCACAUUUGAUUCCUUGUUCUUUAUCAGAAAAUCAUGCCUCUUCCUAAUCUCUGUAUCUGUCUCAUUAUUUCAUUGGGAGGGUAAAAGAAAAUGAAUCCCCCUUUCUCCUCAAAGAGAAUGUGAUAGUGGGUCCACACUCUGAAAAAUUGUCUGUAUGAAGGAAGAAAUAGUUUUGGUUAGUCGCGACCUACUUUCUGAAAAAUUGCUGGACUCUUGUCCUGAGAGAAUUAAGUUUAAGGUGGGAACCGAAUUUAUCAAAGCAAAAGGGAGAUUCUCGGAACUUUUUUGAUAAUUUUGAUUCAUUGUGGAAUCAAACACAAUAUCAAUGUCACUAUUUAUGGAGAGUGUAUUGUCAUUAAAAAAGUAUUUAUUGACUAAUUUUCUCUCAAAGAAUAAAAAAAGGAUGAAGAUGCUCUGUUGAAGGAAAUUUUAAUUAAUGUAAAAUUGAUUUCAUAUUUGUGAUUCUAAACAUAAUAAUAUCUUUUUCAUAAAAUUUAAAAAAUUAAAUUAUUUUAAUAAAUAAAAUAUAAAUUUUCACUAAACAAAAUUUUAAGCAUAAUAUCCAACACCUUUAUCCUUGGAGGCCAAUCCCUGUGAGAACAACAACCAGAGCAGGGCGCGAGCAAGCACCCACUAGGAGAAUAAACAAAAUUGAUCACAUAAAGGACCCCUGUAACAAAAGACAAAUUCAGUGUGAACAAUCAACAAAAGUUGGCCCCCAGAAGCAAUCAAAAAACUUGUCAAGAGCAGCUGCAAAAGAAAUGAAAGUCACACUUUUUAUUUUUUCUUUGUGCUCCUAUAUAAGCAAAUGGGCGGUGGAAUCAUCGAUUCACUUUUGAAUUAUUAAUAUUUUUUUAUCAUUUUUUAAUUACUUUUCAGUAUUUAUUUUUAACCAACUUAAUUAGUUUGUAUGAAAAACAAUUAAUUCUCUUUGUAAGCAAAAACUAUUAUUAUUAUUUCGUAAAUGUUGUUAAGAGUAAACACUACACUUGAUUAUCCUUAUUUAUAAUUCAUUUGUAAUUAAACAUUAUUUGGUGAAUUCUCUUGUAAUAAAGAGUAAUGACUUACUUUUAAAAGCUUUUUGUGAACUUGUUGCCUGCCUAAAUCAAUUAAGUUGGACAUGGAAAAAAAUUUAGUGCCAAUUUUGCAUGUAAAGUUUGCAGAUGUAUACUCAAAUGCAAAAACCAAGAGCCAUAGAAGAAAAUGAUGCACAUAUAUACCAAGGAAAGACGAAGUUUGAGGAGCCAAGGCUAAGCUUCUAUUUUUAUCAAAGAAAACUGAAAUAGAAAUCAAGUUUGCUCUACAAUAAUCAGAAGCCCACUAGCAGAGGGAAUUAAGAAGCAACAGUUAAUUCUUCUUCAGCUAGCAAAAACACUGGAAUACAGGAGAUAAAAUUUCGAAUAAAUGAUGUGAUUCCUUAUUAUUGUCCUUUAUAUUUUUGUCAUUUUACAAUCAUUUUUUUCUUCAGAUCCAUUUAUUUCUCACCUACUUGCUUAAUGGCUUUCAUGAAAAAAUAGUUGAUGCCAAAAACGAAACCUUAUCCUUCAAUAACCAGAAAUCAACUUUGCACUACAAUAACCAGAAGCCCGCUAGCAAAAGGAAUUAUGGAACAACCGUUUAUCCUUCUUCAGGUAGCAAAAACAAUUGAAUACAGAAACUCCAAGGCAGGAGAGAAAAUUUUGAAUAAAUGAUGUGAUCCUUCUAUUUUUGUCAUUUUGCAAUCAUUUUCCCCUUGAGCUUCCAUGUGUUUCUCACCUUUAAAUAGUAUUAUUCUUUCAAACAAAAGAAUACCAUCGAAAACAGGAGCCACAGCCAUUUGGCCAUUAGAUAGUUGAUGCUCCUCCCAUCUUUUUCCUUUCUUCUUGUGGUCUAUGAGGUGAUCUCUUAUCCAAAACUGAAAACGAAACAUCAAUUAAGAUGCUGGGUAGUAAAUAGGUGAAGCUUUCUUUCCAUUCUGAUGCAGUCACAGGUCCUAAUUUGCACAUCCUUUUCUUCUGAGUGAGCUGUCAUUAGUCACGGUAUCAUGUAGAAGGGUCUAUUUCAUUAAUAAAAUUGUUGAUUUUCAAAAAUAUAAAAUAAAAAUAUUUAAAGAGUGUUAUAGCCUUUUAUUUUGCUUUAAACUUUUUUUAUUUUUUAUUAAUUAAAAAGAUGAAAAUUGACAGUUUCUUUGUAGCUUUUGUCAAUGCGACAAGACAUUAUAUUGAUACCUACAAGUAUGAGUAAUUGACGUGAUCUCUCUAUUAUUGUCCUUUAUGUUUGUUAUUUCCCUGUUGUGUACAUUUAAUGGCUUUCAUGAAAAAAUCUCUCUCUGGCUACAAACUUGAUAGGACCAAAGGAUUAGAAUACCGAUAUCAACCAACCAAUUUACUAGAUAAUGGAUGCAUAUAUGGACAAAUAUAUUUAUAAAUAUUGAUAAAAAAAGUGUAAAAAUGAUGAAAAUAUACAGUAAAUGUUAGAAAUUUAGAAUCAAAUUUAGCAUAUGUUUAUACAUAUUUUAGAAUUAUAGUAUAAAAAUUAUAUCAUACUAAUUAACUCUACACAUAGUAUAUUGUUAAAUAUUUAUAGGGUAAAAAAAAAUCUCUAUUAUAUUAUAAUUUAUAUUAUAAAUAUGGAAAUAAAUUGAAGCUAAUUUGUGAAAUAUUGAUUUCCAAACCCAAAUAUUAAAAGCCGAACCGAUUAAUAAUACCUAAUACCAUAUUGAAUUCUAAUUAAUUGAAAAUAUUUGGCUUCAUGUUUAUGCACCUAAACAUAAUAAUAUCUUCUUAGUAAGAUUUCAAGAUAUUGAAUCUUUAUAAACCUAUUGAAAAUAGAAUAAAAAUCAACAAGCGUCAUUUGAAUUACUUUAAUGAAGCAUAAUGUAACAACUCAAGUUCAAGUAUUCGUCUAGCAACUAAGCCACGUGGUCCUCAAGUUGCUAAUAAUAAUGGAUUUGAAUUGUUAUAUAGGUUUUAACAAUCAUAUUCACAUAAGAUGUAGGCAAUGGAGUAUCACAAUCCCACUCAUUGAAAUCCUUGAUGUUCUUAUUAAGGCAUUCGCAAGACCAAGAUCCCCCACGUCAAACUGGUGUAAGCUCUGAUGCUAUUUAUAACAACCUAAAUCUAAGCACUAACCCAACAACCUUUUAGGCUUCAGUCGCAUGAUUCUUAAAAGCUCAAGUUCUAGUAGUAAUAGACGUGGCUUUUUAUAUAAGUGUUAAUAAUCACAUUCAAAUAAGAUGUGAGAUGUGGGGUAUCACACAUAAAUACUCCUAAAGAAAUAUUAUCAACAUUUUCUAUUAUUUAGAUCAUUUUGAUGAAAAUAUUUUCCAUCAUCAUUGGUGAAGUUAUUUGGGUGUUAAAAUGAUAAAUAGGAGUUGAUUACAAAAUAAUGAGGCCAUUAGGUUUUCACAUUAAAAUUAAGAAUGGAAAUGAAAAUGAGCAAAAUUAAUAAUAAUAUUUUUCAGUGCAUUUAACCACAUAUUAUAAAGAAAGUAAGUUUCAAUUUUGAAAAAAUUUCUAUCUCAUCAUUGUUUUAUCAUAACAUUAUAAAAAUAUCGAUAUUUAUCAAUUAUGUAAAACAUUCAAAACUUAUAUUUAUAAAUGUGUAUUCAUUAAAUGACGAUCUUUGAAAUAUUUUUUGUUAUAAUUAUUAGUAAGAUUUAUUCAAUUUAUAAAUAAAAAUAUUAAUUGCAUUAAAUGAUUUCAUUAAAAAGUAUGUUUUAAAAUUUUAACAGUAUUCAAUAAUUUAAAUAUUAAUAUUUUAAAUUAAUUUUUUUAAAAUUAAAUAUUUUUAUUUUUAUUUUUUUAAUAUUUUAAAUUAAAUAUGAAUAUUCUUCAAACUUAUUAUCCCAAGUUUAAUAUAAGAAAAGUUUUUUUAUUCUUUAGGAAAUGUCUUACGCCGCUGUAUGUUCAGGGACUCGAUUUCCUCUUGAUAACGCUUUUGUCAUUUGGAACAAUUAAGCCCUUUUGUACGUAUACUACUCAUUUUAUCUUCAUAGCUUGACUUUUUAUGUCACUAUAAGUCUUUUAUCUACAAGAUUCAAGACUUAUUAUGAAAUAUAAAUUUUUAAAAUUAAAAAAUUUCUACUUUUAAAAAAAAAUUAAUUAUAAUUGGUAUGGUUGGUCAUUUAAUGGCUUUCAUGUAGCGCAUUACUUAUUGGAAAUAGAAAAUAUCUUUUCAAAUGUAAAACCAUAGAAGAAAAGGAUGAACAUUUACUGAACAUCUCUUUAUUGUUUUUUAAACUGUUUCUUUUCUUGGUGAUAUGCUUUUUCUCUUUCAUUCCUGCCUUAUUUUUGCUAAAACCUUUGCUUUGCGUCAAACACCUCCUUUUAUUUACUCAUUAAGAAGGUGGAUUUGAUCAUCUUAUUUUUGCCCUUUUAAUAGUUACUUACUCACUAUUAUUGAUCAUCUUAUUUAUUGAUCCUUUAUUAUUGUCAUUUUCUGUAAUUUUCUCAUCUACUUGGUUGGUUGGUUUAAUGAUUUUCAUGGAAAAACACUUGCACUAAUUAUUUUCUCUUUGGGAUUAAAUUUUAUGAUCAAAUUAUGCCCUCAAGGGAUUCAAAAUUUAAUUACAAAAUAUAAAAAGGUUCAAGAUUCAAAUUAAUAUUUUUCUAAAUUUUUCCUCCCUCCUAAUGUAUUGAAAGAAGUACAGAUAAAAAAUGCAUCCAAAGAAAUAACUAAUUUAGAUUAUUUAAGACAAAUAUUUUAUUUGACUAAAGAAAAUAAGGCGUUAUUUUCAAAAAUUUUAUAAUAAUUGUCUCUAAAUUUUUUAUUGUCCUCUGUAAGGGCCUACAAUUAUUUGAUAGUUCUAGGGACCUAGAUUAUUCACACAAAUUAUGGAAAAAUUCUCCAUCCAUUAAAUUAAAUCUCCUGGCCAAAAACAAAACUUUAUCCUUCAAUAACCAGAAAAUCAACUUUGCACUACAAUAACCAGAAGCCUACUAACAAAAGGAACCGUUUAUCCUUCUUCGGGUAGCAAAGACAAUUGAAUACAGAAACUCCAAGGCAGGAGAGAAAAUUUUAAAUAAAUGUUGUGAUCCCUCUAUUUUGUCAUGUUACAAUCAUUUUUCCCUUGAGCACCAUCUAUUUCUCACCUUUAAAUAGUAUUAUUCUUUCAAACAAAAGAAUACCAUCAAAAACAGGAGCCACAGCCUUUUGGCCUUUAGAUAAGUUGAUGCUCCUCCCAUCUUUUUCCUUUCUUCUUGUGGUGUAUGAGGUGAUCUCUUAUCCAAAACUGAAAAAGAAACAUCAAUAAAGAUGCUGGGUAGUAAAUAGUUGAAGCAAAUAGGUGACGCUUUCUUUCCAUUCUGAUGCUGUCACAGGUCCUAAUUUGUACAUCCUUUUCUUCUGGGUGAGUUGUCGUUAGUUACAGUAACGUGUAGAAGGGUCUAGUUCAUUAAUAAAAUUGUUGAUUUUCAAAAAUAUAAAAUAAAAAUAUUUAAAGAGUAUUAUAGUUUUUUGUUUUGCUUUAAACUUUUUUAUUUUUAAUUAAUUAAAAAGAUGAAAAUUGACAGUUUCUUUAUAGCUUUUGUUAAUGCGACAAGACAUUAUAUUGAUACCUCCAAGUAUGAAUAAUUGACGUGAUCUCUCUAUUAUUGUCCUUUAUAUUUGUUAUUUCCCUUUUAUGUACAUUUAAUGGCUUUCAUCAAAAAAUAUCUCUCUAGCUACAAACUGUUUAGGACCAAAGGAUUAGAAUACCGAUAUCAACCAACCAAUUUACUAGAUAAUGGUUGCAUAUAUGGACAAAUAUAUUCAUAAAUAUCGAUAAAAAAAUGCAUAAAAAUGAUGAAAAUAUAUAGUAAAUGCUAGAAAUUUAGAAUGAAAUUCAGCAUAUAUUUAUGCAUAUUUUAGAGUUAUAAUAUAAAAAUUAUAUCAUACUAAUUAACUCUACACAUAAUAUAUUAUUAAAUAUUUAUAAGGUAAAAAAAAAGAAAAUUUCUGAAGAAUAACCCUCCUUGAUAAGAGCAUUUAAAAAAUAAUCAUUAAAAUAAAUUUAACUGUUUUUAACCAUAUUUAGCCAUGAUUUGAUAAAAAUACCCUUGAAACUAUUUCAAAUAAAUUAAACCAUUCAUCACAAUUUUUUUCCAUUUCUGCUUCCGAUUUCUCUCUCUCACCAUCAAGCUCUCUCUAAUUUUAUCGAUUUCUCUUUUCGGCAUUCAUCUACUAUACUCUUAAUUACUCUCUCUCACACUUUUAAAUUUUUCUCUCCUACGCUUUCAAGACACCAAGUGACGAUUUUAAUGUGCUUGGAGUAGGUGGCUAUUUGAAAAUUUUGAUUUUUAAAUAUUUUAGAUAAAACUAAAACAGUAAAAAUUAUCACAGAUGUUUGAAAUAGCUUUUAAAUGGAUCAAUUCGAGGACCUAGACAUGAAUAUACUUAAGAAUUUGAAAAUUAUAAACUUAGGUUUUUAAAGGAAUUUUUUUAUUUUUAGUCAAAAUAGGUGUUUUAGAUAAGAAAAUUUAUGUUUUGAUUUAUGAAAUAUGUUAGAAACACUUUAAUCGGUACCAAAUUGUUAAAAAAACAAAAAAAAAAUGAAAAGAGUUUAGAGGAUUUGAAGUUUUAGUUUGUAAGUAACAACAACAUUUUAAGCAUUACAGUAUAACAAAAUGUUUUUGAACAUAGAGUGUAAUAAUAAUAUUUUUUUAACAUGCGGUCAAACUAUAACAUUUUUUUCAACAUGGCGUGUAACAACUUUUUUUAACCAUGACAUAUAACAUGUUUUUGCAUAUGGCAUGUAUCAACAAUAAUUAUUUUUUCAACAUUGCGUGUAACAACCUUUUUUAACCAUAACCUAUAAUAUAUUUUUGUAUAUGGCGUGUAACAACCUUUUUUAACCAUGACGUGUAACAUGUUUUUGUACAUGACAUGUAACAACAAUAAUUUUUUUUUCAACAUGGCAUGUAACAACUUUUUUUAAUUAUGACGUGUAACAUAAUUUUGUACGUGGUGUGUAAUAUCAUGGGGUGCAGUUUCAUUAAUGGUGAUUUUAUCCAAUUUGGAUAAAAACAGUUAAAAUUAUAAAGAAGGUUAUUUUUGAAAAUAUUUUAUCUUUAAGGGUUAUUUUCAAAAAUACCCCCAAAAAAAUCUGUAUUAUAUUAUAAUUUAUAUCAUAAUAUAGAAAUAAAUUGAAGCUAAUUUGUGAAAUAUUGAUUUCCAAAGCCAAAUAUUAAAAGCCGAACAGAUUAAUAAUACCUAAUACCAUAUUGAAUUCUAAUUAAUGGAAAAUAUUUGGCUUCAUGUUUAUACUCCGAAACAUAAUAAUGUCUUCUUUGUAAGAUUUCAAGAUAUUGAAUCUUUAUAAACCUAUUGAAAAUAGAAAAAAAUCAACAAGCUUCAUUUAAAUUACUUUAAUGAAGUAUAAUGUAACAACUUAAGUCCAAGCAUUAGCCCAACAACUAAACCACAUAGCCCUCAAGUUGCUAGUAAUAAUGGAUUUAAAUUGUUUUAUAUGAGAUUGAACUAGUAUAGGCUUUGAUAUUAUUUGUAACAAUCCAAGUCCAAGCACUAGCCUAGUAACUUUUCAAGCCUGAAUCACAUGGUUCUUAAAAGCUCAAGUUACUAGUAGUAAUAGACUUGACUUAUUAUUAGGUCUUAACAAUCACAUUUAAAUAAGAUGUGGGAUGUGUGGUAUCACACAUAAAUACUCUUAAAGAAAAAUUAUCAUGAUUCAAAAAGCAAUUAAGGGUCUGUUUGGUAAUAAGAAAAUAACUUGUUGGGAGAAAAAUUUUUUUGUGUAAAAUAUUUUAUAGGAGAAUCUAAUAUUUCAUAUUGUUUGGAUAAGUUGUUAAAAACAUUUUCUAUUGGGUAAAAUACCUUGGCCCCCCUAAAUUUUGUUUGAAAUUAUACAGAGAUUUAUUAGUUUUCGAAAUGGACAUUCUACCCUAAGACAACAAACACCGCUAACAGAAAUAAUGAAAAGACUAAAAUAUCUUUUUUUUUUUAAAUAAAAAAAUAGGGAGCCUCGGUGCUCCCCUUGGGGAGCUUGAUUGGGGGCUCUUUAAGCACUGGUGCUCCAUUCGGGAGCCUGAUUUGGGGCUCCCCCGGUGCUCCCCAAUGGGGAGCUAUUUUUUUUUAUUAAUAAAAAAUAAUAAAAUUAUAUAAUUGUAAUUAUAAGAAUUAAUCAAGUGUAAAAUUAUCUUUCUACCCUUCCUACGUUAGCAUGUUGACGAAAAUACUAACUGUUAGACCUACGUGUUUAGCAAAAAAUAUUUUUUUGAGACAGAGUGUCUAUUUUGAAAACUAAUGGACCUUUAUGUAAUUUCGAUCAAAACUUAGGGGGGUUAGGGUAUUUUAUUCUUUUUCUAUUAUUUGGAUCACCUUGAUGAAAAUAUUUUCCACCAUCAUUGGUGGAGUUAUUUGGGUGUUAAAAUGAUAAAUAGGAGUUGAUUACAAAACAAUAAGGCCAUUAGGUUUUCACAGUAAAAUUAAGAAUGGAAAUGAAAAUGGAAAAAAUUAAUAAUGAUAUUUUCCAAUGCAUUUAACCACAUAUUAUAAUAAAGGUAAGCUUCAAUUUUCAAAAAAACUUCUAUCUCAUCAUUUUUUUACCAUAACAUUAUAAAAAUAUCAAUAUUUAUCAAUUAUAUAAAACAUCCAAAACCUUUAUUUAUAAAUGUGUAUUAAUUAAAUGACGAUUUUUGAAAUAUAUUUUGUUAUAAUUAUUAGUAAGACUUAUUCAAUUUAUAAAUAAAAAUAUUAAUUGUUUUGAAUGAUUUCAUUAAAAAAAAUAUUUUUUAAAUUUGAAUUGUAUUGAAUAAUUUAAAUUUUAAUAUUUUAAAAUAAAAUUUUUAAUUAAAUAUUGAUUUUUUUAUUUUUUUAAUAUUUUAAAUUAAAUAUUAAUAUUCAUUAAAUUUGUGUGCUAAGUUUAGUAUAAAAGCAGUUUUUUUGUUCUCCGGGAAAUGUCUUAUGCCUCUGUUUGUUUAAGGGCUCGAUUUCCCCUUGAUAACGCUUUAUCAUUUGGAGUAGUUAAGCCCUUUUGUAAGUGUACUACUCCUUUUAUCUUCAUAGCUUAACUUCUUAUGUCACUAAAAGUUUUUUGUUUACAAGAUUCAAGACUUAUUACGACAUGCAAGCUUUCAGAAUUAAAAAAAAUUUCUAAUUUCAAAAUAAAAAUUAAUUAUAAUUGGUAUGAUUGGUCAAUUAAUGGCUUUCAUGUAGCGCAUUACUUAUUGGAAAUAGAAAAUAUCUUUCCAAAUGUAAAACCAUAGAAGAAAAAGAUGAACAUUUAUAAAACAUCUCUUUAUUGUUUUUUAAACUCUUUCUUUUCUUGGUGGUAUGCUUUUUCUCUGUCAUUCCUGCCUUAUAUUUGCUUAACCCUUUGCUUUGCUUCAAACACCUCCUUUUAUUUACUCAUUAAGAAGGUGGAUUUGAUCAUCUUAUUUUUGCCCUUUUAAUAGUUACUUACUCACUAUUGAUGUGAUGAAAAGACGAGAAAAAAUGACAGUUUCUUCACAGCUUUUGUUAAAAAGACAUAAUGCGUUCAUACUUAAAUAAACUAAUUACACCUUUAUUAUUGUCGCUUUCUGUAAUUUUCUCUUCUACUUGGUUGGUUGGUUUAAUGGAUUUCAUGUAAAAAUACUUGCACUAUUUAUUUUAUUUUUGGGAUUAAAUUUUAUGAUCAAAUUAUGCCCCAAGGGACUCAAAAUUAAAUGACAAAAUUAUUUGAUAGUUCUAUGGACAUAGUACCUAGAUUUUUCAGACAAAUUAAGGCAGAAUUCCCCAGCCCUUAAAUUAAAUCUCCCGGCCAAAAACAAAAUAAAACUCUACAAAAUCCAUGUUUGAGAAUCGUCAUAGCUCCUCCUUCCUAUGUUGCGUGGACUAUCUCUUGAUCAUAGUUUGCUUAUCCAUGUUUGAGAAUGGCUAAGGAUGUUAGUACUAAUUGGUAAGAGACAAAUACAAGUUUUUAGCUCUCAGCUUCACACAAAUGCCAUGGGUGGAGUGUAACUGUAUCAAAUCAAAAGAGUUAAUUUUGACAUACAAAAUAAUUCAGUGCCAAUUUUACAUGUAAAGUAUGUAGAUGUAUACUCAAUUGCAAAAACCAAGAGCCAUAGAAGAAAAUGAUGCACAUAUAUACCAAGAAAAUCCGAAGUUUCAGGAGCCAAGGCUAAGCUUCUAUAUAUUUUGAUAAAAGAAAACUCAAGUAGAAAUCAAGUUUGCAUUAAAAUGAUCAGAAGCCCACUAGCAGAGGGAAUUAAGAAACAACAGAUAAUUCUUCUUUUGGCAGCAAAAACACUUAAUACAGACACUUCAUAAAGGUGGGAGCAGCUUUUUGCUUUGUUCCUUUGGUCUAUGAGCUGAUAGUCUUGAUUAUCUCUAAUCCAAAAUUGACAAAGAAUUAAAUCCAACGCGGUUUGAGGUGGUGGGUAGUAAAUGGGUGCAGCUUUCUUUCUAUUCUGACGCUGUCGCUGGUCCUUUCUACAUCCUUUUCUUCUCAUGUAUAAGGGUCCAGUUCAUUAAUAAAAUUUGUUGAUCACAAACCAAUAACACACUUGAAUACAGAAACUCCAAGGCAGGAUAGAAAUUUUCGAAUAAUUGAUGCUGAUCUUUCUAUUUUUGUUCUUUAUAUUUUGGACCAUUACUUUUCAACCUACUUGAUUGGCUGUUUAAAUGGCUUUCAUGAAAAACUAUCUUUACACCAUAAAAAUAGAAAUAAAUUGAACAAAUUUGUAAUAUAUUAAUUUUCAAUGACACCAAAUAUUAAAAACUUUGAACCGAUUAAUAAUACCAAGUACCCAUAUUGAAUUCUAACAAUUGAAAAAUUAGUUUCAUGUUUAUGCUCUAAACAUAAUAGUAUCUUCUCCAUAAGAUUUUAAGAUAUUAAACGUUUAUAGACCAAUUGAAAAUAGAAAAAAGAUCAAGCAACUUCCUUUGAUUUAUCUUAAUAAAGCAUAAAUUUCUCCUAAAAAAAAUUUACUCUGAUUCAAAAAGCAAUUAAGUUUACACCUUUAACUAUUUUUUUCUUGUGCUCUUACAAAAUUUGUGAAGAAAACUAAUUUGUCAUUAUCAAAAUUGUUAGAUUCUUCACGGCUUUUACUAAUGUGACAUGACAUCAUUGAUGCAAUUUUAAAUUAUUAAUUCUUCUAAUUUUAUUACUAUUUCAAUUAUUUUUCAGCAUUUAUUUCUUACCAACUUACUUGGUUGGCAGGUUUACCUGGAAAAAGCACAUGACUCUUAAGAGUAAAACUACUAUUAUUACAAACACUUCCUUUUUUUCAUGGAAAAACACUCGCACUAUUUAUUUUGUUUUUGGAAUUAAAUUCUGUUAUCAAAUAUUUAUGCCCCCAAGGGAUUCAAAAUUUAAGGACAAAAUAUGAAAAGGUUCAAGAUUCAAUCUAAAUUUUUUUCCUCCCUUGAAUUAUCCUAUUGUAUUGAAAGAAGUACAAAAUCCAUGAUUGAGAAUACCAUAAAAAUUGGGGCCACGGCCGACCUUUCGGCCUUUAGAUAGUUGAUGCUCCUCCCAUCUUUUUCCCCUGCUCUUGUGGUCUAUGAGGUGAUCCCUUAUCCAAAACUGACUAAGAAACAUCAAUUAAGCUGGUGGGUAGAAAAUAGGUGUAGCUUUCUUUCCAUGCUGACGCUGUCGCAGGUCCUCAUUUGUAUAUCCUUUUCUUCUGAGUGCUCAUUAGUCACAGCAUCGUGUAGAAGGAUCCAGUUCAUUAAUAAAAUUGUUGAUUUUCAAAAAUAUAAAAGCAAAAAAAUUUAAAGAGUAUCAUAGCUUUUUAUUUUGCUUCAAACUUUUUUUUAAUUUUUUUUAUUAAUUAAGAAGAUUAAGAUUGACAGUUUUUUUGAAGUUUUUGUUAAUGCGACAUGACAUUGUAUUGACACCUACAAAUAUGAAUAAUUGACGUGAUCUCUCUAUUAUUGUCCUUUAUAUUCGUUAUUUCCCUUUUAUGUCCAUUUAAUAGCUUUCAUGGAAAAAUAUCUCUCUAGCUACAAACUGGAUAGAACCAAAGGAUUAGAAUACCGAUAUCAACCAACCAGUUUACUGGAUAAUAGAUGCAUAUAUGGACAAAUAUAAAUAUAUUCAUAAAUAUCGAUAAAAAAUAGGUAAAAAUGAUGAAAUAUAUAGUAAAUGUUAGAAAUUUAGAAUGAAAUUUGGCAUAUGUUUAUACAUAUUUUAGAGUCAUAAUAUAAAAAUAAUAUCAUACUAAUUAACUCUACACAUCGUAUAUUAUUAAAUAUUUAUAGGGUCAAAAAAUAAAUAAUCUAUAUUAUGUUGAAAUGUAUAUCAUAAAUAUUGAAAUAAAUUGAAACAAAUUUGUGAAGAAUUGAUUUCAAAACCCAAAUAUUAAAAGCCCAAUCAAUUAAUAAUACUUAAUGUAUUGAAAGAAUUACAAAAUCCCUGAUUGAGAAUCGCCAUAGAUCCUCCUUCCUAAGUUGCAUGGAAUAUCUCUUGAUCAUAGUUUGCUUAUCCAUGUUUGAGCAUGGCUAAGGAUGUUAGUAGUAAUCGUUUAAGCCAAAGAAAUAGUGAAUCAAAGGAAAGAGCCUAACUUCCCCUGCCUCGCUUUAAAGGAAAGAGCCUAACUUCCCCUGCCCCGCUUUAAAGGAAAGAGCCUAACUUCCCCUGCCCCGCUUUUGUAGGAUCAGGGGAUGAACAUAGAUAUUUGACAAGCUUCAAUCAGUUGAAGCUAGAUUCCAAAUUCCAUAGUCUCUGCAACAUACAAAUAGUUAGUGAAAGUUCAGAUUUUUGCACUUGACAUGAUUCGGUAUGGUUUAAAAGAUUGUAUUGAUGGGUCUGCUUCAUUAGUUUUUCCCACGGUUUGUAACACAAAAGAAAAGGUAUAGCAACGCCGCUUCAUCUAUCAAGAAUAUAUUUAUAUAAAAUUAUAAAUAACAUCUCAUUAAAUUAAUUAUAAGAUCGUCACAGCAAAAUCAAGCAUGGAAAACCAUGAGAAAUUUGUUUCAUCUCUGAAUCAGACAUGCAAGUAAACAUAACUAUGGUUGUGUGAUUGUUCUGGGGAUUGGUUGGUGUUUCGGUCACUGGCUUCUUCUUGGGUUGGUUGUGUGAUUGUGUGAUGUUUUCAUCUGCUUUGGUUAGGAAGAUUAUUUUCCCAGGAAGAGUUCCGACGUCUCUAAGUGGUUCAGGUUUUGAAUGAUAGGCUUGUGCUCGUUGUUUGAUGCUAGAGUUCAAUGGCGAGCUUUUUCCUUAUAUAUUGUUUUAUGCCAACUGGUUGCUUUUGUGUUCAGUGGCAAGUUGUGUAUAUCCUUUUGAUCUUUCCCAUGCCAGUUUUUUUUAUGCCAACCAUUAUUAGGUUUUUUUUUUAUUUGGGGAUGAGCUGAUUUGAAGCUUGCUUUUUGAGUAAAGAAUCAUACAUCAAUUAUUGAGUUAAAUAUGUGAGAAUCAUUAUUAAUUAAUUUAUUUUGAAAGAUAAUUAAUUAGUUUUACAUAUAAUUUUUAUGAAUAUAUACCGGAUUUGGUGCUUCUCAGUCAGAUCCUCAUGAUCGAAUCUGGCACUCCAUGGUCAUAUUUGAUCACGGGAAAUGCCGAUUUGGCACAUCCUGGUGGUUAGAUGGUGUGCUAGAUCGGCAUUUCAUUACACUAGCCACAUUUUCGGUGAUUGGCCAACGGACAAAAAGAAAGGAGAAAGAGAACAAGAGAAAAAAAAUUAAAAUAAAAAAGUUGAAAAAUUAUUUAUAAAUUAUAAACAAUUAAUAUUUUAAUAUUUUAAUCAUAACAAUGUUUAAAUAUAAAUAAAAUAUGAAAAUUUUAAAAUAUAAAUGUUUACCUUAUUAAAUUAUUAAUAUAUUAAAUUUGUAAGGAAAGAAUAAAUAAAAAAUUAAAAAAAUGCAAAUAAAGAAAAAUAAAAAUUAUACUAAUAUUUUAAUAAUAAAUUAUUAAAAUUUUAAAUUUUUAAUGAAAAUAAAAAUAAAAUGAUUAAAAAGAAAAAUUUUACUUAUUUUUGUCUUUUGGUAUAAAUUUUACUAAAUUAUGUAAAGGGUAAUUUUGUUGUUUUAUAAAAUAAAUCUUAUUAUAAUAAAAAAUUUAAAUUUUUUAAUUAUAUAUUAUAAAAUUAAUAUUUUAAAUUUGCUAGCGGUAUGGGCAAAUCCUCCUUUUAUUAUUUAAAAUUUUUUUAUAUUAUAUAAAAAUUUACUAUAUUUUUUAUAUUUUUAAUAACUCUUUAAAAAUAUUUUUAUUUAAUAAUUAAUAUAAAUAAAAAAAUAAAAUUAUCUAUAUACCUUACUUAAUUUUAAAGUUUUUUUCUUUUAAUUUAUAUUAUUAUUUAUAUUUAUAUUUUUUAUCUUUUUUAUUUCUAUUGUAUUUGCUUAUAUAUUUUAAGUUUAUAUAAAUUUUCUUUUUCAAAUUUCGAUUAACCAUCAACCAUAUUCUAUUUUUUUCUUUUUUAUUAUGUUAUAUGUGGAUUUUAUCUUCUACUUAUCAUAUUCUUCUUUUCACUGUUAUGUGAAUUUUAUUUUUUAUAAUUUUAAUUUUUAAAAUUUAAUAAAUUAUUAUGUAAUUUUAAAAUAUAAGUUGUAGUAUUGCACUGUUGGUUAAAAUUUAAUCCAUGUAUCAUUUUUUUUAUUAAACCUGAUUAUGCAAGAGAAAAUUUUCUUGAGUAUAUCUUUUUUAUGUGAUUUACGUUUUAUAUUUAGUUGAAAGCAAAUUAUCUUGAAUAUAUAGUUUUUAAACAAUAUUGAUUAUAUAAUAAGAAAUUAUUAAUUUUGUAUAUCGUAUUUAACCAUUUAUAUUUUAUACAUUAUAGUUUUAUAUUUAGUAUUAUAAAUUUAAAUAGAAAGAAAAUAAGAAUAUUAGAUAUUAACUAGAUUAAUUUUUUUUUCAAAGUUUGAUUAAAGUAUAAGUCACUACAACAUUUUUAUUCUUUUAUUGCAAAAUUUUAGAUGCAUUUUUUCUUAUGUAACUAAAUUCAUCAUAUUACUCUUGAUACAUUUUAUUUAAUUACACUAUCUAAAGUGUAAUCCCAUAAAAAAAUUAAGAAGAGAAAAGCUCACAAAAUAAAAGCAGCCAACAGCCUAACAAAAAACAAACAAAAGCCCCUUGCCCUUUACGUGGUCAAAUAGACUAUAUUUUUCACCUAUGACUGCAAUAUUUUUUGUAGCCAAAGGUCAACAAUGUUGUAGUGAGUAAGGUGAAAAUAAUUGACAAAUUCUUUAAAAGAAAAGAUUAAGUCAUCCAAAUGAUUCUCAUACACUUAAGCACUGUAUCAAAUAAAUAAAAAUCAGUAAUAGUGCAGAGAAGUAGUAUAGCAUAUAUCAAAUAAACAACAAUCAGUAAUAGUGCAGAGCACUAUUAUUUCUCCUCAUCCCCUAAUUGUUGCUCUAGUUCUGAAGGACCUUCUACUGUGAUUAUUUCUAGUUUUGGCAGAGCAACACUAACUGGAAAUAGACAUUUCAGUUUAUUGCAGCCUGCAAUUUUGGUUUUAUUCAGUGCAAAUAAACAUAUAGGUUGGAAAUGAAUCCUUUGAUUAUGAUGAUCCAACUCUAGGUGCAUGUAGAAAUGAGCCAAUCCCAUUUUAUAGUUCUUUGUACUAGUAUUUUCUUUUAGUAAUGAGUAAUUACUUCAUUUUAAUUGCUCUAUGUGAGCUUGCCGCUGGGCUAUGCUAUCAUGGCCAGAUCAUAUAAAUUGGAGUAGCAAUCAAACUCUCAAUAUUUCAAUAAAUCACUCACAACCUUCACUUAAUAAAAUAUGCCUGGUUUUAAUUUUCCAUGUCUUGGUUUCCUACAUAGCAGACUUGCACAACUUAUUCACUAAAAAUUUAAAAUACAAAAAUAAAGAUAAGAAAGAGAGGAAUUUCACUUUUAUUCUUCCACUUAUUGUACAUAUAGGAUACAAUAACAGCUGCAAGAGAGAGCAACAAUACACUAAUUGACUAAAUUACUGAAAGCAUGCGAUCCGUUCCCUUGACAACUCCAUUAAGCAAAUACCUUUGGGUUACAUUUUGUUUAAGGAAACAACGAAUAAUAGAAAUGAAGAAAAUCAGCACUACGAGGAAGAAAGCAUGUAAGCACUAAGCAACUAGCUGGACAUUCCUUACCUAAAAAAAUGAUUUGUUCAUAUAAUAUUUUGAAUAAUUUGUAAUAUUUAAGAGUCUUAUAUUGAAAGAUAAUUAUUCAAAUGUGAUCGUUCAAAUUAAAAUAUAAUACUUUGAAUAAUGCACAGGUGUUUUCAACAAAAACAAUUAUUGAAAAUUGAUCAGUGAAAUACGUUUGUUGAAACACAAUAAACACAUUUAUAAAAACACAAUAGCCAUAUUUGUUAAAACACAACAGGCACAACUUUUCAGUGUCUAUAAAAAAAAGUACUUCCAAAAUAAACUUCAUCUUCAAAAAAAUAUUCUACGUAGGCUUAUUGUAUCUUGGAAAGUUUUUGUAUACAAAUCCCCAUAAUAACUAACAACUUUUUAAAGAAAAUGUGUUACAAUACACCUCAAGCUUUCGUAAUAUCCCUUUCUUAUACUACUUAUCCUAACAUAAUAAAUAAACUAAUUAAUAAAACCAAUUGACUGCUUGAUUCAAAGUUUUAAACUAGAGAAAGUUUGACAUGUAUACACUUCACUUGCGUCAUCAUCAAUUAAUUUCACACUUUGUUUAAGAAAUACUAGCCUAAUCUCACCCCAUAUACAUAAAUGAAAUAAAACAAGGACAAAUAUUGUGAGAUUUGAACUUUUGUAUUUAACAGAUAAUUAAUAUCUCAAACUCGAAAAUCUGAAGCUCUUAAAGCACAUUGACAAAAGCUAAGCUAAAAAGAAUUUCUGAAAACAUCCAGAGAUAACACACUUAUUACGCAUUGAAGAUAAAGUUUUGUCAAUUGUGUUUUUCCUUGAGAAAGUUUUAAGGAAAAUGAUCCUAAUAAAAAAUAAUAUAAGAAAUAGUUUUGGUCAGGUCAUUUCCACUGAAUUGAUUAUAUCUGCUGCAAAGAUUGAUCAAGAAAUUUAUCAUUUGCACUAACCAAAUAUUCUGUAAACUAUUUCAAUCCUAUUACGUUUUCUCCAAAUAUCAACGAAAUUAAAAAUAUAGAGACAAAAUUCAUCAUUUGCAUUAACAAAAUAUUCCAUAAAAUAUUCUAAGUCUGUUGCCUGCUGUCUAAAAAUCUACUAAAUUAAAAAUACAGUGACAAAACACAAUAAAAUUAAAGCUAAAUAUAACAAUAAAAUUCAAUAUUAAAUUAUAAUAUACUGACAAACUUUACAUUAAUUCCGUCCUUUUUUCUUUCUUUUCCAUGGAUCACUGUGACGGCGUUGGCACAUGAGAGAUUAAGAUAGAGUGAGAAAUCUUGUGAUGCAUUUGUAGAAUAUUUUGGCUGUGCCAUAUAUCCUGCAUUUCGUCUUUCCUCAGUUCACAAGGAUCCAGGGAUAAGUCACUUGGAUCUUUCAUAAAAUAAAAAUCUACUUAACUUAUAUAGGGAAAUUAAAAUUUAUUUUCGCAUGUCUUGAAUAAGAAAUAGAAGAAUUUAACCCUUGUUCUUCUACUUGUUGUACAUACAGAAAGCAACAUAACAUUGAUUGGCUGAGGAAAAAAAACAUAACAUUGAUUGGAUAAAUUGUUGAAAGCAAGUGAUCCCGUCACUUGACAACUCCAUGAAACCAACAUCUGGACCAAUAAAAAGCACAAUAAUUUCAACUAUCUGUUUUUCUUUUUUUAUAUAUAUAUAAAUAAUAAAGGUUAGCACAAGUUAACCACCAAAACUUGAUUAGAAAUGAAAAUGGAAAGUAGCCUUUGUUUUACCUGUGUUUAGUUGAUGGCCCCAAUGUACUCAUUGAUGUUUAAAAAUGCCUUUGCAACUUCCCCUGCAACCAUCUCAUAAUUCUUCCUUGCAAGGUGGUAGCUCAGUAAGCCGAUACUGUGGGUCCUUCCGGUGCCAAUAUAUGUUCCGAUACGGUUUAAAAAUUUUGCAACCCUUGUGAUCAUCACCAAAUGGAAUUCCUAUAACCUUUAAGUCAAGUUCUUCCCAAACAUCAUCAAGAAUUAUAAGGAUGCUCUUCUCGUCAUUGAUUCUCAACUACAAUUGUUCUGCUCUUCCUUCUGGUGUCUUCUUUUGAAAAUCUAAAUCUAGGAAGUCUGCAAUUUUAUCUUGAAUAUUGUUGAUGUUUGGCUUUUGGGACAGAGUUACAGGCACAACUUUAUCGAAGAGUUGUUUGGCUUGGUUUCCCACUUCUUUUGCCAAAGUGGUUUUACCCACUCCUCCCAUCCCAUGUAGUCCAAUCAUGUUCACAUCACCAUUAUUCAGAGCCUCCAUGAUCUCUUUGAAAGCAGAAUUCGAAGAUUCAGAAGACAUGAAAUCCUUAGAUGGAAUGAACUCUAAUCCUGGGAGAGUAGCUCGGUAACCUACUCGUUCAAAAUUAGAAUUCUCUAAAAGUUGAGAGAUACGAAGUGUCUUCUUAGCUACUUUGAUACUUAAGCAGUAUCGCCAGCCCCAACUAGGACGCCAAUUGAAACACUUGUUACGUUCAAUUUCAUCUUCCAAACUCUGAGCUUCUCCCAAUUCUUUGUCUGCCCUUGUUAGCCACUCCUCAACGGCCUUCUCAAUUACCAGAGUUUGCUUUUUUGCCUCAGCGACAUCAUUUUUCACUCGAACUUUUCUCAAUUCAAGUUGAUUUCGUCGAUUCUUGAAAUCUUCAACAAUUUUGCCGAAAUGGAAAAAAUAACUGAGAUAAGGUGAUGCGUAUUCUGUUGCCAGGUUCCCCAGGGUAUUGGUUGCAACAGCGGUAACAGGUUCAGCCAUUCUUUGAUGAUCUGAUACUGAAGAGCAAUUUCUAUAAGUAAAAAGUUUUACAUAGAGACAAAAGCAAUUAGGAAAUGUUUGGAAAGUAUCUUACCUUGGCAACAAUACUUUUAUGAGAUUUGUGAAUCACAAGAGAACAAUUGUCGAUCAACCAACUUGAAAAUUGAAAAUGCUGCACAAGUAGAAAUUAUUCACUGGUCACCAACUUCAGAGAUCGGAAAAGAAAAAUUCAGGACCAGACGAAAGCAAAGAAAUAGAGUAAGGGUAAUUAAAGAAAUAGAGCAAAGAAAUAGUCUAGAGUUGCAUGGAUUUCUUCUUUUAAGAUAGGAAGCAGAGAAAUCAAAAUACUAAAGCUUGCAGCUAUGGGCUUUUUUUUUUUUUUGACCUUUGUGGAGUUAAGGAAAGGAAAAGUAGGAAUCAGAGAACAGAUUUAAUCAAAAUACCGAGGAAAUAUAUGAGAACUUCCAGGAGCCAAGAUGGAGCUUCUAUUCAGAUCAAGGGCUGACAAAGUCGGUGAAGGUUCUUUAAGUUCAAAAAUAACUGGAGGCCAAGGAAUUAAUUAAGAACCAAAAAACUUUCACUUAUCUUUAUUUUAAUGCAUACAAAUAAUUCUGCUUCUAUUCUGCUUUUUAUAGAAAGUAGGAACUCUAAGGCAAGAGGAUUUUUUUUUUUACAUGUUAGAGUAAAAGCAGAAUAUUAUCAUUCUAUAAAAUAAUCUCUUAAAAUUCAAAAUAUCUAUUUAUUUCAGUUUUUUCUCAAUAACUACAGCUUUUAUUUGACCAUGUUGUCGUCUAGGGCUGGGAAAGAAAUAAAGUGUAAAUUGAUUAAUUUUAUUUGCCAAACGAAGAACUGGAGAAGUCAAUUGCAUUAGUAAUUACAGAAAUUGAGCAUAGCAAAAGCUUUAUAUGGAGAAUAUAAUAUGUAUUCUUGAAGCUUAUCUCACUUCGAAUGGAUCUUCUAAAGCUGCAUGGAUUUCUACUUCACCAACUCCGGAGAUCGGGAAAGAACAAUUAAGGACCAACCCAAAGCAAAGAAAUAGAAUAAGGGUAAUUACUUCACCAACUCCGACUUCUUUUUGUAGAUAGAAAGCAGAGAAACCAAAAUACUAGAGAUAGCAGCUUUGGUUUUUUUUUUUUUUGGCUAUGUGGAGCUAAGGAAUGGAAAAGUAGUAGGGAUCAAAGAACAGUUUUUUGUUUUUCUUUUUUUUUUUUGUUUGUGAGUUAAAAGAAAAUGAGGAAAGUAGAAACCGAUGAAGAUAAACAAACAGAGAUGCCUUCUUUUUUUGAGGUGAAAGAAAAGUGGAAAUAUCAAAGAACAUGAAAUGGAAGAGUAAGGUAGAAAUCAAGCUAACUCUUUGGGAUAGUUUAGCUCGCAGAUGUGGAGAUGAUACAAGAAGAUGCUUGAAUGAAAACUCUAUGACGACAAAGUAGUAAGAGUAGGUACAGGCAAUUUGGAACUACUACGAUGCAAUGGAAAAAUAUUAGCAACUUGGCUUACACUCCCCAUGUACGAUUCUCUUUUCUUUGAUAUGCGAAAGCUAAUGCUAUUCAUUGAGAAAGUUUGUUUUAUUUAUUGUUUUUCGGUUGGCUUUUCUAUAGUUUGUUCCCCCUUUUUUGUUUUCUCUUGGUUAUGGGUGGUGCUCGAGACUCCAAUGUUUAUUUCUGCCUCUCGCUAAAAGCUCUUUGGCCAGCAUGAGCUAUCGACAUUAUUAUAUAAUGUUUAUUGAUUUGAGGAUUUUUGUUUACUACUAGGGACAAUUGCAAGUGAAUGUGUUAGAUAUUUUAUUCAAAUUUUAAUCGGAAAUCGGUAAAAUUUCAUUAGUUGAAAAUUAUUUGGUGAUUAAAUUUGAUUAAAGGGUACAUAAACUUAAUGGUUAAGAGUUUUUGAUGGGUAGAAAUUCAUGGUGACAAAGUAAUAUGGACCUAUAAAUAUGUAGUGGGUCUUAACCUUUAAAAUUAAGACAGAAAUGCAAUCUAUUUUUCAAAUUGAGUUUUUUGUCAGAGUUUCACAAAAUUGUAGAGAUGUGAGAAAUAGUAUGGUAAACACUGGUUGCAUGAGAUCCAAGGUAUUGUAAACCUUGAACUAGUGGGAGUAGUUUUUUAUAUACCUUUCUCUCUUCCUAAACAUUGGGAUGAUUAGAAAUUUAGAAGUAGAGUUAUAAGUUGAUCAAAUUCAUUUGGUUUCAAAUUUCUUUUCCUUUUUUAAGUUAAUUUCCUUUUAAAAAAAUUAUAUUAUGUGGCCAAAGGAUAUGAGCUCUUAGUGAAAAUGUAUUUAUAUUGUUGAAAUCAAAUAAAAACUAAAAGAAAUACCAACAAAAUAUUGAUGCUCCUUCCAACUUUAAUCUCUUAGUUUUUUCCUUUAUACUUGGUCUUUGAGGGGAUAGCUUUUGAGUAGAAAUGCCUACUUCCAACAAUUACUAGUCAAUUUACAAUAAUUGGAAAAUUUUCAUUAAAAUAUUUAUAUAAUAUAUUGCCCUUGUUUAAAUUACGUAGACCUCAAUAAGUUAAAUUUUGAGUUAAUUAAAUGAUAGAAAAUUAUCCAAUAAACUAUUGAUGGAAUUUAAAAAUUUUAUUAAUGGAAUUAGAAAGUUGUCACGUAUCCAUUAGGAUAUAUUUUAAAAAAAUUAAUCUGAUAACUAAAAGGACAUUUGACAAUAUUUUAACUUUACUAACGGAGUUAAAAACCCACCGAUUAUUUUACAAAUGAUAAUAAUCCCAACACUAAAUCGCUUCUAUCUAUAAUCCCAAUCACCCACUGCUUUUGCUAGUGGAACAUGGAAUUAUUGAUUCACUUUUGAACUAUUUUUAUUUUAUUAUUCAAGACAAGUCGCAGCAAAGACUUGGUAUUCUUCCAAGUCUUUUUUUAUUGUCAUUUUCUUUUAUUCAAAUAACAAUCAACCCAAACAUGGUUUGCUUUAUGGAAUUAUUAGCCUCACUUUUUUUUUCUUUUUUAUUGUUAUAUGUGUUGAUCAUUAGAUUAUUAAAGGGAGAUAGAUAAUGACAUCAAUCAUCUUUAGGAGAAAAUUCCAAUUAAAAAAAAGACCAGCAUUGAGAAAAAAUAAGCUAAAAUUGUCCAAGAAAGUUUUGUCAAUUGUUUUUCUCCUUGUGAUAGGGAAUAUUUUGGUCACUGGUCGCCUAGUUGAUUAUCUCUGCCUCAAAAUUAAUAAAGAAUACUGGCAACUUGGUUAUGAAUAAUGAAUUGAUUAUUGAGAAGAGUUGGUGUAGGAGUAGGACAUUUGGAUAAAUUAUGGGCAACUUGGCUCAACGUGGUCCCAUUGAGAAAGCUGCAAUGACAAAGCCACUUCUAUACAUUGAGAAAGUUUAUUUUAUUUAUUGUUUUCCAGCUACAAUCCAAAACAUUGUUAGAAAUCCUUUCAUUUCACAAUUCCCAUACAAAACAAAAGCUUGGCAGAUGAACAACAUCAUUAUUUCUUCAGGUUUGUUUUAUUAAUAAUCAAAUUGAUUUCAUUUCACACUUUGUUUUAUCAACAAGGGCAUUUAUAUUACUUGGCCAAUUGAUUGUUAGCCAACUUGAUGGAGACUUGUGCAUUUACCUCCAUAUAUCAUCAACUCCUCCUAUGUUUGAUCUCUUCUUGAUAAAUAGGUUGCUCAUCAAAAUUUUCUAAUGGCAAACCAAUGUCAGGAUAUAUAGUUAAUUAUUUAAGAGAAAGUGAAAUGCAAAUUUUAACUAAUCAAAAUAGCUUUCCUUUGUUGUUUAAAGAGUGAUUUUCUUUGUAGUUGAUUUCUUAGUUUAAUUAGUCUUUAUUAAUAUAAUAUAUUUAUUUAAAUAUAUAAUAUAUUUCUUAGUUUAGUGAUUUUCUUUUUAUUAAAACAUUUAUUAAAAUAUAUUGCCCUGUUUAAAUUACCUAGACCUCAAUAAGUUAAAUUUUGAGCUAAUUAAAUUAUAGAAAAUUAUCCAAUAAACUGUCAUGGAAUUUAAAAACUUUAUCAAUGGAAUUAGAAAGUUGUCGCAUAUUCUUUAGGAUAUAUUUAGAAAAAUUAAUAAAUUAAUCUGAUAAAUAAAAGGACAUUUGCAGUUUCUGUAUAAAUGGCUUGGAGCAUUUGCUACAACUUGAAAAAGGAAGCAUGACAAGAUUGUAUCCAAAUUUGCCUAUAACUUCAAAUUCAGUUCAGCUUCAUCAUCAAGAAAAGAAAAUCUCAGUUCAGAUUGUAGUGUUUCAAAUGCAUGCAUGCUUGCGAAGUUCGUUUGGUAAUAUAUAGCACCAAAAGUAUUUUGAAACCAAAUAUGAAACACAUGGAUCCCAUCUCUUUUUCUAACAACAGGCGUGGCAAGCGUGGGCGUACCAAUUCUAACAUUGGUUUUAGAUUAUGCUUGUUUCAAAGCCAUUUUUUAGUGCUUGUUUCCCCUGGCUUUCUUGGGAGAAUAUCAAGAUUAAGUGGUGCUGUAAAUCAGGGCCAUGUUAGGGAUGGCAGGGGACGGAUUUCAAUAGGGUAUUCGAUGUGAUCAUACUCGAUUAAUGUAAUUUUUUAUAAUUAUAAUUGAAACAGAUUGGAGGAAUGCAGUUAAUUGGAUAUUGAACCUCGACAGUAGAUUAUGGAAAUGGUGGAAGACAUUUCAGCAGGUGGAUUCUUUAAAGGAGGUGAUAGGCAGUGUAUUAUUCUGUGAGUGCUGAUUUUUUGGCAAAGGAAGGUGCAAGGAAAGAGAGUUUUUAUUGGGUAGGAAUUCAUGGUGACAAAGUAAUAUGACUUUAUAGAUAUGGAGUGGGACUUAGUCUUUAGAAUUAAGAUAGAGAUGUAAUAAUCUCUAUAUGAUUUUAUGGCAUCCGUACUUGACCUUUAAGCACAUGUGCCUAAAAUUCCACGGAAUAAUAAGAUAUUGUCAUUGCCUUGAGAUUCACCUUUAGAAUUCUGAUUCUUCUGAUGCAGCUUUGUUUAUCCUGCAGGGAGCCUUCAAAACCAAACAAAGUGAGACAUAAAGAACAAGAAUUAAUUAAUACUAAUUUUUGUUAACAAGUUGUAUAGCACAUAACAAAAAAUAAACAAAAAUCAGUAACAGAGCAAAUUGCAGAUUGUUAAAGACAUGAUAUAUGACUAUGUAACACAAGUCAGACAGAAAAGAGCUAAUGGGUAUUCAUUCAUUAUAUAUGAACUUUCAGGAGCAAGACAGAGCUUCUAUUUUGAUCCAGCCAAAAUACAGACACUAACAAAGUCGGUGAAGUUUUUUUUUUUUUUUUUGAGUUCAAAGAAAAUUGAAGUAGAAAUCAACUAUAAUUAAAAGGACGGCAAAUUAGAAAACAACAGACUUACACUUAUCUUGUUUUGAAUGCACGCAGAUAAUUCUGCUUCUGAUAACAAAAACAGUAGUCAAACAUAGAAAGUAGAAACUCUCAAGGCAAAGACUUGUUUUCUUUGGAAUCCCUUUUUCAUUUUAUUGUUAUUAUUUUUCUUAUUCAUAUCCUUAGUGAAAGACAAGGGCCCCGACAUCUUUUGCCUUAUCAUUGACUAGUUCUCUCUCAGAGAAGAAAAAAAAAAAGAAAAGGAUGGAGUCAUGGAGAUGCUCUGCUACGGGCCCUGCUGUUUGGCAUUCCAGGAAGUGUUCUGGAAAGAGGAUGGGAAUCUAUAUUCUUGGUUUAGUUUAUUGUAUGCUUAGCUUUCAUGAUCUCAUCUUUUACUAUUUUAUAAGCUUUUUGAAUAUUCAAAGUUAUGAAGGAAUAAUUUUUACAAAUAAUUCUAAAUUUAUUAGAAGUAAAAAGUCAAGUAUGGUCCAACCAAGUAAUUACUUGAGCUAUAUGUAAACCUUUAUCAUGAGCAAGAAUAAUUUUAUACAGGUAAUUAUGUCAUGUCAAGUCAAGGUUCCAAUGCAGUAAACAGUAACUUGAUUAUCCAGCUGAUACAUUCUUUUAACAUCUCUAUAUAUUUAUGGCUUUUGAAUUAUUGAUCUGAUCCCUUUAUUAUUCUUGGUGAUAUGCAUUUUCGCUGUCAUUUCCUGUCUUCUUUUUGCUUACCCUUCUAUUUUGCUUACAACAUUCUUUUUUAUUUUCUCAUUAAUUAAGAAGAUAAAGAUUUCCAAUGGGACAUAGACAUCAUUGCUAUCAAAUCUUUUGAAUUUUUGAUCUGAUCAUGUUUUGCUUGGAGAGAAGUAGAGGGUCAAGGUACAUCUCUACUUUUUGAACUAUCAUUUACGGAUCCUUAGGAACGUUUCCUCCAUGGCUGGUAAUCCAAUACCAGCAAGAAGAUCAUCUAAGCCUAAUUUGUUUUAGUCAAAACUAUUUUGAACUAAUUUCCAAUAAAUAAAAGCAAGAGCUUCAAGGAAUAACCUGACCCAUCAAACUUGAUUUGGAUUAAAAAAUGAGACAGAAUUGAUCAGUGUAUUAAUAUAUUAUAAUCAACUUUAAUAUCCAAAGCUAAUGUGACAAAUUCUAUGCAAUAAUAGAGUUCACACAAUCUCUCCUUAGAAUUUUAUUCCUUUUCUUUUUCAAAAAAUCAUGCCUCGUCUUGGUCCCAAUAUCUGUCUCAUUAUCUGAUUGGAAGGGUAAAAGAAAAUGAAUCCCCAUUUCUACCAGAAUUGGCCCUUGGGUGAAGCCACCCAAGCAAGGGUUUUAGGCCCCCAAUUUGAGAAGGCCCCAAUUUUAAUAAAGAUUUAUAAUUUUAUAAUAAUUAUAAUAUAAUUAAUUAUAUUAAAAAUAUAUAAAAAUUAAAAAAAUAUAAAAGUUAAAAAUAAUUAAUAAAAUUAUUUGUUCUUUCACUUUUUUAAUUAUGUACCUAAUAAAUCUUAAUUUUCUAUUACUUUUUUAUUUCUAAAAUACUAUUAAUUCUCAACUAUAUUAUCUUAUUUUCAAUAAACUAAUAGUCAUAUGUAUUUAAUAAUCUCCAACAACUAUUUUUUUCUCACUUAUUUCUUUUAUUUCCAAUCAACGCAUUUAACGAUUUCUAACAGCUAUUUUUUUUCCUAUAUAUAAAACUAGUUUUUUUUUUCAAUGUAUAAUAUCUACUUUUGAAAUCUUCCUUUCUCAUUUGCUCUUUCUUCCUUUAACUUCAAAUUUUCUCUAAAGAAUACACAACAAAUCUACUCUUUUUAUUAUCUUCAUAAAGCUGUAAGCCUCAUUUGAAAGAAUAUUGCCUCAAUGUUAAAUAUUCUUUAAAAUAUAACAACUAUUCCGAUAUUGAUGGUUUAGAUUUAUUUUCAAAGUUAAAAAUUUCAAAAGAAAUUAUACAGAAAGAAAACAGUACAAUUGAUAUACUUAAUCAUACAAGAAGACUCGAUUCUUUUCCAAAUGCAGAUAUAGCUUUUAGAAUAAUGUUAACAAUUCAAGUAAGUGUUGCUUCAGGAAAAAGAAGUUUUUCAAAACUAAAAUUAAUAAAAUCUUAUUUAAGAUCAACAAUAUCUCAAGAAAGAUUAAAUGGAUUGGUUAUAUUAUUAAUUGAAAAAGAAAUAUUUGAAGAACUUGAUUAUAAAAAUUUAAUUAAAAAUUUUGCAUCUCAAAAAGCUAAAAGAAUAAAAUUUUAAUAAAAAAAAACCUCAUUGAAAUAUUUCGCUUUAGGCCUUUGAAUUUAUUGGGCCGUCCUUGAUUUCUACCUUCCUUCUCGUCUUUUUGGCUAUACUCUGAAAAACAUUUGAUAGUGGGCCUAUACUCUGAAAAAUUGUCUGUAAAUGUUGUUGGUUUUACCUUAUUCCCAAUCCCAUCUCCAUUGCAAUGUAGUUAUAGUUAUAAAUGGCACCCAAACAAUGCUUUUCAUCCUUUUUGGCUAGUAGGACAUGGAACUACUAUAAUGAGCACUUUUGAAUUAUUGGUUUUUUUUUUCUAGUCUCUUUUUUAUUUUUUUAUUCAAAUAGCAAUGGACUCAAACAUCUUUUGCUUUAUGGAAUUAUAGGUCUCACUUUUUUUUAUAAAAAGCUUUAUUUAACAGGUAAUUAAUAUCUCAAUUCUAAAAUCUUAAAUUAUUAAAAUACGUUAUAUAUUUAGAUCGUUAUGUUAUAAAUUUUAACUACUAUCAAAAUCGAUUAUUAGAGGGAGACAAAUAAUUAAAUCCAUCAACUCAAUGAAAAAUUACAAUUAAAAAAUGGCUAGUAUUGAGAAAAGCAAAGCUAAAAGGAAUUUUAAGAAAGUAUUGUCAAUUUUUUUUCUCCUCGUGAUUGGGAAAACUUUUAUUAACCACUAAUGGAAAAAAAAAAUGGGCGAAGAAAUAGUUUUGGUCAAUCUUCGGCUAAUUGACUAUCUCUACCUCAAAGUAACAAAGAAACAUCAACAUGGAAUUAAGACUCUUCUUGGCUUGCCUUGAAAGAAUUAAGUCUACCACAGAAACUGAAUUUAUCAAAGUAAAAGGGAAAUUUCCAGAACAUGCAAGUAAAUAUAACUAUGUACUACUCAUUCAUACAAAUACUUACAGGUGACUAAAAUUACAAUACACAAAAGAGUGUAACAUUGUAAAAGAGAAGCAAAGAUCAGCCAGCUGCAAAUCAACUAAUCACUGAGAAAACCAUGUAUUCUUGGACUACUAGAAUUUCUCUCAAGAGUUAAGAACAUGUACCAAACAAGCAAAUGCAAUAAGAGGCGUAGAGUAAACUAGUUAUUCAUCACUGCAAAAUAAAGCUGAAAGCAGAGACCGUACCAUAAAGUAGACAGCUCAAAUGUUGUUAAGCACAAUCAAGUACCAGCCACCUGUAUCAUUGAAGCAAAGAACCUGUCAUAAAUCAUAAGCCAUUAGACAAGCACCUUAUUUAAGGAAAGAAAUAAAAUUGGGUUGAAAAGCCAUAUCUACCUGGGUUAGUUAUCCUCUGCUUCGUCCACGUUCAUAUAUAGAGGUAGUGUGUCUUCCUGAUAUCCAUAAAGCCAAAAUACAUCGUUGCAGGCGGCCUGAUUAUCAACUAUUUCUUCCUUAGUGAUCAAACCCUCCCUUCUAUCAUUCUCAACUUGUUCGGGUGCCUUCAAAACAAAUUAACAAAAAACAAAUGACAUAAAGCAAUAAAUCAAUACUGUUUUAAUUAUUUUCUUCUUAAGAUGCUAGGGAAGAAAAAGCCAACCAUUAUUAGUCUUUCUUUUUUCCUGAUCUGAGGAUGAGUCAAUUUGAAUCUUGCUUAUUGAGCAAAAAAUCAUACAUCAUUUAUUAAGUCAAAUGUGUGAGAAUUAUUAUUAAUUAAUUUAUUUUAGAAGAUAAUUAAUUUCACGUUUGAUUUUUAUGAAUAUAUACGAGAGUUUUACAAAAAUAUUAGUAGAUAUUCCUUCCAUCCCAUUAUGGUUAUCUUUCAUAACAUUUUCAAUCAAACGAAUUCAACUUUAAUUAUUAUUUUCCAUAAUGUAUAUCUCAUCGUUAGUUCUAUCAAUAUCAUUGUCAAGAACGACAAAUUAAGCAUAACAAAAGAAAAAGCUGAGUGGGUACCUCUGUUAUGGCAUGCACAACACGUUUUGAAUCAAUGCUGAAGCUUGUAUUCAACUUGGGGCAUUCUUUUACUUCAGCAUAAUGCAUACAGGGGAAUCGAAAAUGGUAACCCUGAGACAAACUCUUGAGGCUUGGCAGCUCUUUAAGAAGCAGUCCUUGCAAGUUAGGGAGCACUAUUCCCUUCUGAUCAUCUUCAACGUCUAAGUUAAAGACUCGCUCAAGUUUAGAGGCCCCAUCAAUUGAGAUGAUCUUGACUUUUGAAGGAGAACAGGUGAUACUAAGAGGAAAUAAGCUUUUCAAGUUGCUGCACUUAUAAAUUCUUAUAAUUUCAAGACUGGGGAAGGAUAUAGGUUGGAGAUGAGCCUGUGAUGAUGAUGCUGAAGUUUGAUCCAUUUCAAUGAUUUGUUCCAAUUCCUCACAAUGAUUUAUCUCCAAAUGGAUCAAAUGCGGCAAAUUUCGAACAAGCAUAGGAGAGAGGAGGUAUUUCAACCUAUUACACUUUGACAUAUGUAACCAUCUAAGACAUUGAAGGCUUGCAACUUGGAUGGGACCCUGCAACUGAUGUAAAUGCUCUAGCUGUAUAUUCUCUACCCUUGAGAAGAAUUGUCCAGCUUGCAUUUGAAAUAUCUUCACACAAUUUCCAACAGUUAUAUAUUCCAAAUUUACUAAACUCCAUCUUGAUUGAGAAUUAAUUGUGUUGCACCCCUUGUCAUUUCCCAAGUCAGAGAGGUAUAAUUCCUGCAAAGAUAUUAAAAUAUCUUAAUUUCAUUAGAAAUUGAAUAAAUUACAAAGGUCCAACAUAUUGUUACAUAAAUAUUGAAAGAGAAAAGUGCCUUGAAUCCCAAAGAAAGUACACAUCACUCUAUGCAUCUAAUGCCUCAUAAAUCAAGCAAUUACUUUAAUAUUUGUUUGAUUAUAAGUUUACACUGUGAAACUUGAUUACAAAGGUCGAUUAACAUAUGACUUGAAGAGUACAAAAUCGAAAGCGAACCUUUUUUGUAUGAAAUGAGGGAAAUAGCAAUUUUUUCUGUAUAUCAAUCUGGAAAUAGCACCCAGUCGUGCUUAGUUCAGUAUAAGUGCAAACAAAGUGGGGAAGGUAUUUUUUUUGUUUACAGGUUCUUGGAUGGGGAGAUUUUGUACUGAUAUUAUAUCUAUUGCUACAUUUCAGGGGUGAUGUUCUGAUCGCCCAUAUUAAUGCAUAUUAACUUUCAGAUAAAAAAACGAAAAAAAUCAGAAUUAACUUCUAAACUAAUGUGCUAUUCUUUUUUUUGCUUUUAAUUCAUGAGUUUUGAUUUUUAUAUUCAUCAAAAAUAAAGAGUAUAAAAUUAUUUUAAUGGCAAUUUUAAGAUAUCGUUGAAUUAGUUUAUGAAGGUUGAAAAGAUUUGAGUCCAAAGCAAAAUCUGGAACCACAAUUGAGGGAAAAGAGUAUAAAAAAAGUACCUUUAGUUGAGCCUGCUGGUUAACUUCUUUUUGAAUGGUGAAAUUUGACAAUUUAAGACAAUUGAAAACUACCAACUUCUCCAAGGAAGGCGCUGCAAUGAGAAAAUUUUUCCGAGCAAAAGCAACUCAAAUUUAUCAAGUUUCCAAGCCGGAGAUCUUGUAGGCAAGGGAGCACAAUGGCACGACCAACUCCAUUCUCUUCUUUUGUCACAUUGAACAGUUGUUGUAACUGAGGAGAAUUGCUUAUCCAAACGAAUUUCAACCGUGGAAGAACUUGAGCCAAUGGAGUUUGAAAAACAUAUUCCAAUUUUGGACAAUCACUUAUGGUAAGAGUUUCCAAUUUUGGCAAGAGCGGAGAAUAGGGAUGGUCUUCUGAUUCUAUUUCAUCAUCAAAUUCCAACUCAGUGAUAAUGUGUUGGAGUCCAUUGCAAUGAUCUAUCUUGAGUUGUUCAAGGAGCACCAAGCUUUGAGCAAGGAAUGGUGAGAAGAGAUAUUUCAAUCUAUUGCAAUAACUAAUUUCUACAAACAUCAAGCUUUGGAGGCUGACAAAAUGGGUGGACCCUUUCCAUAUCAACUUCAAUUCUGGUAAUGAGUGCAACUCCAUGAGUGUUAAAUUUGACAGCAGUGGUCCUUGAUUUUCUUUUGUAUCAUGUAGAAUCUCAUCUGUCUGAAAUACUUCUUGCAAUUGGCCACAAUUAAUAACUUUCACUUCCUUUAGAUUUUGUAGCAUAGGAGAUAAAGAGACCAUUUCCAUGCAAUUCGUUGCUUCCAACUUCUCUAGUUUUUGUAGAAAUCCCUUUGGAAUCAGACCGUUGCACAACAUUUUCAAACCAGUCAUUUCUUCUAUGACUAAUUCCACCAAAUUGAAGAAUGUAUUGGUUGAGACAUGGCCUUGUGUUGUAUCAAUCAAGCAUUCCAGCUCCUUGCCAUCUUUAAUUAGAAGAAAAGUUAAUUCAUUCAGUCCCUUUGGAUCCACAUUUGGAACCAGAUUUUUCUGAUACAUGACUCCUUUCAGCGUAAGACUUUUGGCAUUGUAUAAUAAAUCCUUCAUGGCAUGCAAUCCAAGGUCCUGAUAAAUUCACAACAAAAUGCUUAGUCAGGCAGAUUUUGUGCUGGUAUCUACAUUGCUACAGUGGUGUAACACCUCAAAAUCCUUUUACACAUUUCAGGGGUGAUGUUCUGAUCACCCAUAUUGAUGCAUAUUAACUUUCAGAAAAUCAGAAUUAACAUGCUAAUUAAUAUGCAAUUCUUUUUCUCACAGCAAUUUUAAGAUACCGUCGGAUUAGUUUAUUAAUGUUGAAAUAUUUGAGUCAAAGGCAAAUUUUAGAGCCACAAUUGAAGGAAAAGAGUAUAAAAGAAGUACCUUUAGUUGAGCUUGCUCGUUAACUUCUUUUUGAAUGGUGAAAUUUGUCAAUUUAGGACAGUCCCAAAAUACUAAAUUCUCCAAGGAUGGCGAUGCGAUGAGAAAAUUUUCUGAGAAAAAGCAACUCAAGUUUAUCAAGUUUCCAAGUUGUAGCUGUUGUAGGCAAGGGAGUGCAAUGGCACGAUCAACUCCAUGCUUUUCUUUUGCCACAUUGAAGACUUGUUGCAAUUGAGGAGAAUCGCUUAUCGAAACGAAUUUCAAUCGUGGAGGAACUUGAGCCAAAGAAAUUUGAAAAACAUAUUCCAGUUUUGGACAAUUACUUAUGGUUAGAGUUUCCAAUUUUGGCAAGAACGAAAAAUGGAGAUGGGCAUUUGUUUCUAUUCCAUCAUCAUAGACCAACUCGGUGAUAAUGUGUUGCAGUCCAUCACAGUGAUCUAUCUUGAGUUGUUGUAGCAGUACCAAGCUUUGAGCAAGGGAUGGUGAGAAGAGAUAUUUCACGCUGUUGCAAAAACUAAUUGCUAAAUACUUCAGGCUUUGGAGGCGAACAAAAUGGGUGGACCCUUUCCAUAUCCACUUCAAUUCUGGUAAUAAGUGUAGCUCCAUAAGUGUUAAAUUUGACAGUAGGGGUUCUUCUGUAUCACGAAGAAGCUCAUCUAUUUGAAAUACUUCUUGCAACUGGCCACAAUUAAUAACUUUCACUUCCUUUAGAUCUUGUAGCGCGGGAGAUAAAGAGACCAUUUCCAUGCAAUUCGUUGCCUCCAACUUCUCUAGCUUUUGUAGAAAUCCCUUUGGAAUCCGACCGUUGCACAACAUUUUGAAACCAAUCAUUUCUUGCAUGACUAAUUGCACCAAAUUGAAGAAGGCAUUGGUUGAGACAUGGCCUUCUGUUGUAUCAAUCAAGCAUUCCAGCUCCUUGCCAUCUUUAAGUGCAAGAAAAGUUAAUUCAUUCAGUCCCUUUGGAUCUACAUUUGGAACCAAAUUUUUCUGAUACAUGACUCCUUUCAGGGUAAGACUUUUGGCAUUGUAUAAUAAAUCCUUCAUGGCAUGCAAUCCAAGGUCCUGAUAAAUUCACAACAAAAUGCUUAGUCAGGCAGAUUUUGUGCUGGUAUCUACAUUGCUACACUGGUAUAACACCACAAAAUCCUUUUAUACAUUUCAGGAGUGAUGUUCUGAUCACCCAUAUUAAUGCAUAUUAACUGUCAGAAAAUCAGAAUUAGCAUGCUAAUUAAUAUGCAAUUCUUUUUCUAACAGCAAUUUUAAGACACCGUUGGAUUAGUUUAUUAACGUUGAAAGAUUUGAGUCAAAGGUAAAAUCUAGAACCACAAUUGAAGGAAAAGAGUAUAAAAGAAGUACCUUUAGUUGAGCUUGCUCGUUAACUUCUUUUUGAAUGGUGAAAUUUGUCAAUUUAGGACAGUCCCAAAAUACUAAAUUCUCCAAGGAUGGCGAUGUGAUGAGAAAAUUUUCUGAGAAAAAGCAACUCAAGUUUAUCAAGUUUCCGAGUUGUAGCUGUUGUAGGCAAGGGAGUGCAAUGGCACGAUCAACUCCAUGCUUUUCUUUCACCAUAUUGAAGACUUGUUGCAAUUGAGGAGAAUCGCUUACCCAAACGAAUUUCAAUCGUGGAGGAACUUGAGCCAAAGAAAUUUGAAAAACAUAUUCCAGUUUUGGACAAUUACUUAUGGUUAGAGUUUCCAAUUUUGGCAAGAAUGGAGAAUGGAGAUGCGCGUUUGGUUCAAUUCCAUCAUCACAGUCCAACUCUUUGAUAAUGUGCUGCAGUCCAUAGCAGUGAUAUAUCUUGAGCUGGUCAAGAAGCACCAAGCUUUGAGCAAGGGAUGGUGAGAAGAGAUAUUUCAAGCUAUUGCAAAAACUAAUUUCUAAAAUCUUCAGGCUUUGGAGGCGAACAAAAUGGGUGGACCCUUUCCAUAUCCACUGCAAUUGUGGUAAUAACUGUAGCUCCAUAAGUGCUAAAUUUGACAGCAGCGUUUCUUCUGCAUCAUGAAGAAGCUCAUCUAUUUGAAAUACUUCUUGCAACUGGCCACAAUUAAUAACUUUCACUUCCUUUAGAUCUUGUAGUGCGGGAGAUAAAGAGACCAUUUCCAUGCAAUUCGUUGCUUCCAACUUCUCUAGUUUUUGUAGAAAUCCCUUUGGAAACUGACCGUUGCACAACAUUUUCAUACUAGUCAUAUCUUGUAUGACUAAUUCCACCAAAUUGAAGAAGGCACUGGUUGAGACAUGGCCUUCUGUUGUAUCAAUCAAGCAUUCCAGCUCCUUGCCAUCUUUAAGUGCAAGAAAAGUUAGUUCAUUCAGUCCCUUUGGAUCUACAUUUGGAACCAGAUUUUUGUGAUACAUGACUCUUGUCAGGGCAAGACUUUUGACAUUGUAUAAUAACUCCUUUACUGCAUUAAUUUCAAUGUCCUGAUACAUUCACAACAAAAUGAAAGAUAUGAGAAUAAUAUGAAUAAAAUUUAAAGAUCUGGGCCAAAAAAAAUAUCUUUUCCAAUGAAAGCUUAUUAAAGUCAAAAAAUAAACCAAAGCUUAGAGUAUCAAUAGUGUAUAUUACACUUACGAGUAGAUGUGAAUGUAGUAAAAAUUAUUGAUGGAAAAUAUGUUUUUUUAUGAGAUAAAUAAUCAAUUUAUAAUUACCAGAAGUAAAACUGAAACGAACACAAUGUUAAAGGAAUUACUUUCAACUGAUAUUGCCACGUAAGUCCUUGUUGAUUUUGGGAAUGACUCAUUACUUGGGGUCGGGCACCAACAUUGGAAGCUUCCAACCCUUUGAAAGAUGGCAACUUGACAAAACAGUUUCUUGGACAAAAGCUCCUCAAGUUUUCUAAGUCUUCAAGUCUUAAAAACUGUAAUUUAGGGAGCAUAAUAUCGUGCUUAUCCUCUUCUUUUGCCAUGUUGAAGACAUGCAUUAGUUGAGGGCAAUCAAUUAUCUGAACUGAUUCCAAGUACGGAAGUCCUUGAGCCAAAGUGAUGGGAAACACAUAUCUCAAACUUUUGCAACUAGCUAUCUCAAAAGAUUUUAAUUUUGGCCAGCACAGAAGAGAGCGAUCCUUGUUUGAAACUAUUUCAUCACCAUUUUCUGCUUCCAUGAUUAAAUGUUUCAAGGAGUU